This 197669-nucleotide long non-coding RNA is filed under the name Triticum aestivum (bread wheat). Its description in RNAcentral is "long non-coding RNA (TAES_LNC010794)". The stretch from base 2425 to 2539 matches the Rfam family "MIR1120/MIR1122 microRNA precursor family". Lineage: Eukaryota; Viridiplantae; Streptophyta; Magnoliopsida; Poales; Poaceae. The record is from RNAcentral.
UUUUGUAUUAGCAAGUUUUGCCACCUGACUCAAUUGUAAAUUGGGAUUUUUGAUGGAAGCAUCCGAUGAUUCGGUUUGUAAUCUCCUAUUAUUGGAGAGUUUAUUUGUUCCUUGAAUCCCUCUUUUCACUUGCGGGAUUAAUUUAUUUGUUCUGUCCCAUCCUUUGCAUGUUGACUUGAUGCAGCGAGGCCUCCGAUGUAUAAAAUUCCAUGGCCGAGCCGCUCGCCUCCGUCCCCAUGAUGCCCGUGGCCACAACCGCCGCGGCUGCACUCUGCACCGCGCCCCCGCCUCGUUCGACCUCCUGUCGCCGCCCCGCCCCUCCUUUCUCCCUUGUUCUCUCCCUCACCUCCCUGACUUCUUUCUGCCCAGGAGCCGCGACUGCCCGGCAAGCCGCGCUCCGGCCUUGCUUGUCAUCACCGGCAACCCCGCCUUCGGAUCCGCCUCCCUCGCCCAUGCUACGCAUGGAUCCGGCCGUGCAAGCUCUAGUCCCACCACCGUUCUGCACCGUGGGUUGAAUACUACAAAUUAUAGGGUCUGUUUUGUAAAAGAAUGAAAAGUUUUCUCAUUUAUCCAUGUAAAACAGGACUGCGGGUUGAAUACUAAAAAACACAAGGACGUUGUUGCAAAAUCGCUAGAGACGACGUACGACCAGAAACCCAAUUUUAUCUAUCGACAAAGCUAAUUUCCUGUCGACUGUUUGUCGACCCACUAGCUACAGCACAGGCAGCCAACCAUCUCGUCUGGCUCUUUCACAUGCCUAGGAGCAGGUUAGCUUUUUAUCUACUUUCAUUCUCCAGAAUUUUUAAGCCCUCUUAUUUUAACUCAUUCGAUUUUUCUUUGGAGUUAUUGCAUGCACACAUGCAUGUGAGUAGGUGAAUUGAUAUGGGGGUGCAUGUAAAAGCAUAUCAAUGCGUGAUUUGAGGAGCCAGAAGAAUAAAUCAUCAACAAUAAACUACAUGCAAAAUUAACGAUCACCUGACCAUUGAAGGAGUUAAUGCCUAAACUUGCAUGCAUAAUUAGUAGCUAGUUUUUGAUCUGUAGGCCCUAUGAUAGCAUGGCAACUUUACGAAUCACAGAGGUGAUAACUCAUGUAUUAAUAACAAAGUAAUAUACAAACCGUAAACCUGAUAACCUAUGUAAAAACCGCGGUAAUUUUUUCUAGCAAGGUAUUUUUUUCAAAAUGAUCGUAAACCCGGGGAAAAUGAAGGUGAAUCUGAUAACCUAUACACACCAUUGACCUGAUAACCCAUGAGUAUUAACAACAUGGUACUUCUGCCUAAAUAGCAUGAUAAUAUACACAAUGCGGACAUGGUAAAUUACACAUAGACACGUGGUAACCUAGGCCCAGAGAAAAAAUUGUUGUUGAAACCACACCCUUGAUAAUUUCUUUGGAAAUAGAAUGGUAAUACUCCCUCCGUUUCUUUUUAGUCCGCAUAUAAGGUUUGGUCAAAGUCAAGCUUUGUAAAGUUUGACUAACUUUAUAUUAAAAAAUAUAAACAUUCACAAUAUGAAAUUAAUAUUAUCACAUACACCAUGAAACGUACUUUCAUAUUAUAUAGUUUUAAUAUUGUAGAUAUUCAUAUUUUUUUAAAUAAAUUUGGUCAAACUUGGUGUAGUUUUACUUUGACCAAAUCUUAUAUGCGGAGUAAAAAGAAACGGAGGGAGUAUAUGCAUAGUAGACCUGAUAACUCAGGUAUAAAUAUCAUGGUAACUUCUUAACCCGGAGGGGGGGAUAGUUGUUGAAAGAAUACCUUGGUAACUUCAACGUAAAUAGUAUGGUAAUAUACGAAUUGCACACUUGAUUUAUGCACAAACACCAUGGUAACUUUAGACCGGGGCAAAACACAUACCCACGGUAAAUUAUGUAUAAAUAGGUGGUAACAUACGCACAACAGAGCUGAUAACUCAGGCAUAAACACCAUGGUAACUUUGAACUGAGGGUUGUAAAUAGCGUGGUACUAUAAGCAUCGUAUACAUGAUAACUCAUGCGCAAACACCACAGUAAUUUUGACCUGAGGGUGGGGGAUGGGAGGAAGUUGUUUGAAAAUAUAGGCCCCUCCCGAUAACCUCCAUAUGUAAAUAGCACAAUAUAAUAUACAUGUUGUAAACUUGAUAACUCGCGUACAAAACACCAUUGUAACUUUGAACCGGAGGAAGGGGGAGGGGGAGGAAGUUGUUCGAAAACAUACCUUUGACAACUUAUGUGUAAAUAACGUGGUAAUAUACGGACUGUGUGCAUGAUAACACACGCACAAGCAACACGGUAAUUUUUGUCCCCAAAAAACAAGUUGACAAUAUACCAUGGUAACUCACGUAUAAAGAGCAUGAUAAUAUACAUACAUCAGAGCCGAUAGCUUACUUAGCCCAUGCCUAGUAACUAUUUGCACGGAAAAAUCAUCAGAACAUAUCAACACGUGAUCUAGUUUACUACUCCCUCUGUUCCGAAUUACUUGUCGCAUGUAUGGAUGUAUCUAGAUGUAUUUUAGUUCUAGAUACAUCCAUUUCUUCGACGAGUAAUUUGGAACGGAGGGAGUAGAUCUCAUCGCGAUGGUUUUUACUGCGUGAAAAUGAUUUUUUGAUCGGACAGACAGUUCACGCUAUAAAAACCUUUUAAAGUUUGAAAAUAGGGAAGCAUCUAAGAUGACAUCCAUUUCCCCCUAAUGCAUUAAGGCAUGUGCAUGUGAAGCGAAGGUUUGAGAGACUAUUUUUAUGUCCCUGUAAUUCCUUUGUAAACAACAUGAUAACUACCAGGCAGCAAGCCUAGUAAGCUAUCUAAAAAAUAACAUGAUAACUUAUGCACAACUGACAUGGUAACUUGCAUAGCAGAUGCGUGGUAACUGUUUUCUCGGAAAAAAAAUCGUCGGAACAUAUCAACGUGGGAUCUAGUUUCGAAGGUCUUGCCGCGAUGAAUCUUUUAUGUGAAAACGAUUUUUUGAUCGGAGCAACGGUUCAAGCUACAAAACAUUUUGAAUUUUAAAUUUUGUUGGAAUCUUUGCUGACAUCACCAUUUUUGUCUCACAUGAAUGCAUACUUAAUUAAAUUAAUUGGAGCUAAUUAGCACAGGAGAGUCACGCGGGCUCAAAAAUUGUUCGUCUGGCGUAUACGCUUGGCUGCAUGUUGUUCGUAUCGAGAGAAGUGGAUCGUACAGGAAUAAAUUGUGCGGAUCUGCUGCUAACGACCAGUCGACUGGUCGUUAGCACAGUCCCUUUAUCUAUUACUAGUAUAUAAACAUGCCCGGACCAGAAACCCAAUUUUAUCUAUUACUAGUAAAUAUGUCCAUGCGUUGCAACGGGUGAAAAAAUAUCACGUCAUAGACAUUUCUUGUCUAAGACACUAUCUUCUGUUUUGAUACGAUUUUGAUUCUAAAUCACCGAUUAUUAUUGCGGUGCUAAUGACGCACACCACCACGACCACACUCAGCAGCAGGAUGGUGCCGCCCGACAGUGAGAAGGCCGUGUCUAAAAAUUAAGUCUAUUUAAGAAAGCCCAUGUAUAUCACCAUCACAUGUGGAAUGGAUGAAAUACAAAUUAAGACCGUUCAUACACAUGUUUUGAUAAGGACAAAAGAUGAGAAAUGUCACAUCUCUGUCAUGACAAGUGGCAACAUUCCUCUUAUUUUUUGUCUCUCCUUUUAUCAACAUGUGGAUCACGGAUCCAUCCGCCUUGUUCUGCUGAGACAUGGCGUUGGGGAGUUAGGUGAAGUACUACGCCACUGCCGCCAUGGCUGGGUUUCCGAUGUUCCAUAUAAAUUUAAAAGGAAAAUACAAAAUGCCAUAGUUGAAGCAUAUUAGGCCAAUUCCACCACGCGAUCCCAAACAGACGUCCGUUUUGUCCGGUUUCUGUCCCUUUGGGUAGGGAUUUGGGGUCAUGUCCGGGCGUGUCCUGGGAUGCGGUGGCCGUGCGCCCAGCGCGCGGCCGCAUCCUUUUGCCCUAUCCUGUCCGCGUCUAUUUAAAAAAAGAAACGUUUCAAAUGCCAAGCCCUAGUUCACGAUCCCAGUUCAUCACGCCGGCAACAAAGCCAGCGGCCUACACAUCCAUCGCCGGCAUCGGCCAGCGGCCGGCAACACAGCCAGCCUCCAAAAUGAAUAGUUGUCCUCGCCGGCAACACAGCCGGUCUCCAAAAUGAAUGUUUUCUCGCCGGCACACUGCCAGCGGCCCAGCGAGCGGGCGGCACCCGUGCCAGCCUCCAAAAAGAACGGCCACGCCGAUCGGACGACCUAGUUCAGGCCUUCGGCUCGAGCAUCUCCUUCUGCCUGGCCUCAAACCAGGCCCUCGUCUUGUCGCUCAUCUUCGACAAGUCCACUCUCAUGAUCGCAAGGGCCACCUCCUUCACUUUUGUGGCGGCAUUGGUGGCCUCGAUGUCGAGCUGCCUCUGCCUGGCCUUGACGUUGUCGGCCUCGAUGUCGAGCUGCCUUUGCCGGGCGGCCUCUUCCAUGUCGAGCUGCCUUUGCCGGGCCGCCUCCUCCAUGUCUAUCUUCCUCUUCUUGGCCGCCUCCUCCAUCUCAAGCUUCUGUCUUUGGAGGUCUAGGUAUUGCUUCAUUUGCUCGUCCUUGCUUUGCCGCUUCUUCUCGUCCCUCACAUUCUUUUGUGACAUCAUGCCAUGCAAGGCCCUGGAUGAGGCGUCACGUAUGUCGUCCACCUUGGAGUUGGUCUUGCCCCUCGGCCUCUUCAACGCCUCGCCAUCCCCACCUCCGGCGAACUUGGUCGUCUUCUUGCCUCUCUUCCUUUGAAGUUCACGGUAUUGAUCCUUGAACUUAGGGCAAUUGUUGAUGAUCGUCCAACAAUGCGUAAGAGUGAAUGGCUUGUCAUUGUGCCGGGCCUUGAAUGCCUCCAAAGAUUGAAAUGCCUACACCACAUGAUCAACAACAAGUGAACAUGCAAACAUAUACACGGCCGAAAUCUCAUGGCCGUAGCAAGGAAAGGGCUAGAAAGAGAAGAGCAUACCAUGUCCCCAACGCCGAGACCACUCACGGGUCGUGCUUCAACACUCUCAAAUGCGGUGCAAUACUUGUUGCACUCUUGUUGGAUGAACAACCAUAUUUUUUGAAUCGAGCCGAUGCCACCGUUGCUUGUAAUUUGGUAGGGCUCAAACACCUUCCUUUCAUGGAAUGUUUUGUGGACUCUCGUCCAAAAAACAAUGCCAUUUUGUUGCGCGCCGGUCCUCGGAUCUUGGCUAAUCUCCAUCCAUGCUUGGCAAAUCAACUUGUCCUCGUCUUGUGUAUAUGAACCCGUGUGAAUGCUCUUCCGCUUCUUUUGUGUUUCCGCUCUUUGGGUGAGCUCGUCGAUGAACAGUGGCUCGCCACUAAUAUCAACAUCAUUGCCUUCGUCUUCAUCACCAUCACCUUAGACAUAGAUGUCAUCGUCUUCAUGCCACGAGUCAUGAAGGAAAUAUGCCCUAGAGGCAAUAAUAAAGUUAUUAUUUAUUUCCUUAUAUCAUGAUAAAAGUUUAUUAUUCAUGCUAGAAUUGUAUUAACCGGAAACAUAAUACAUGUGUCAAUACAUAGACAAACAGAGUGUCACUAGUAUGCCUCUACUUGACUAGCUCGUUAAUCAAAGAUGGUUAUGUUUCCUAACCAUGGACAAAGAGUUGUUAUUUGAUUAAUGGGAUCACAUCAUUGGUUGAAUGAUCUGAUUGACAUGACCCAUUCCAUUAGCUUAGCACCCGAUCGUUUAGUAUGUUGCUAUUGCUUUCUUCAUGACUUAUACAUGUUCCUAUGACUAUGAGAUUAUGUAACUCCCGUGUGCCGGAGGAACACUUUGUGUGCUACCAAACGUCACAACGUAACUGGGUGAUUAUAAAGGAGCUCUACAGGUGUCUCCAAAGGUACAUGUUGGGUUGGCGUAUUUCAAGAUUAGGAUUUGUCACUCCGAAUGUCGGAGAGGUAUCUCUGGACCCUCUCGGUAAUGCACAUCACUUAAGCCUUGCAAGCAUUGCAACUAAUGAGUUAGUUGCGGGAUGAUGUAUUACGGAACGAGUAAAGAGACUUGCCGGUAACGAGAUUGAACUAGGUAUUGGAUACCGACGAUCAAAUCUCGGGCAAGUAACAUACCGAUGACAAAGGGAACAACGUAUGUUGUUAUGCGGUCUGACCGAUAAAGAUCUUCGUAGAAUAUGUAGGAGCCAAUAUGGGCAUCCAGGUCCCGCUAUUGGUUAUUGACCGAAGACAUGUCUCGGUCAUGUAUACAUUGUUCUCGAACCCAUAGGGUCCGCACGCUUAAGGUUUCGAUGACAGUUAUAUUAUGAGUUUAUACGUUUUGAUGUACCGAAGGUUGUUUGGAGUCCCGGAUGUGAUCACGGACUUGACGAGGAGUCUCGAAAUGGUCGAUACAUAAAGAUUGAUAUAUUGGAAGCCUAUGUUUGGAUAUCGGAAGUGUUCCGGGUGAAAUCGGGAUUUUACCGGAGUACCGGGAGGUUACCGGAACCCCCCGGGAGCUAUAUGGGCCUUAGUGGGACUUAGUGGAAGAAGAGGAGAGGCGGCUAGGGCUGGGCCGCGCGCCCCUCCCCCCUAGUCCGAAUAGGACAAGUAGAGAGGGGGCCGGCGCCCCCCUCCUUCUCUCUCUCUCUUUUCCACCUCGCGAAUCCUAUUCCAACUAGGAUUGGGGGGGGAGUCCUACUCCCGGAGGGAGUAGGACUCCUCCUGGCGCGCCUCUCCUAGGCCGGCCACCCCCCCCUUGAGCCUUUAUAUACGGAGGCAGGGGCACCCCAGAGGAACACAAGUUGAUCCACGUGAUCAUAUUCUUAGCCGUGUGCGGCGCCCCCUGCCACCAUAGUCCUCGAUAAUAUUGUAGCGGUGCUUAGGCGAAGCCCUACGACAGUAGUACAUCAAGAUCGUCACCACGCCGUCGUGUUGACGGAACUCUUCCCCGACACUUUGCUGGAUCGGAGUCCGCGGAUCAUCAUCGAGCUGAACGUGUGCUAGAACUCGGAGGUGCCGUAGUUUCGGUGCUUGAUCGGUCGGGCCGUGGAGACGUACGACUACAUCAACCAAACGCUUCCGUUGUCGAUCUACAAGGGUACGUAGAUCUCACUCUCCCCUCUCGUUGCUAUGCAUCACCAUGAUCUUGCGUGUGCGUAGGAAAUUUUUUGAAAUUACUACGUUCCCCAACAGUGGCAUCCAAGCCUAGGUUUUAUGUGUUGAUGUUAUAUGCACGAGUAGAACACAAGUGAGUUGUGGGCGAUAUAAGUCAUACUACUUACCAGCAUGUCGUACUUUGGUUCGGCGGUAUUGUUGGACGAAGCGGCCCGGACCGACAUUACGCGUACGCUUACGCGAGGCCGGUUCUCCCGACGUGCUUUGCACAUAGGUGGCUUGCGGGUGACAGUUUCUCCAACUUUAGUUGAACCAAGUGUGGCUACGCCCGGUCCUUGCGAAGGUUAAAACAGCACCAACUUGACAAACUAUCGUUGUGGUUUUGAUGCGUAGGUAAGAUUGGUUCUUGCUUAAGCCCGUAGCAGCCACGUAAAACUUGCAACAACAAAGUAGAGGACGUCUAACUUGUUUUUGCAGGGCAUGUUGUGAUGUGAUAUGGUCAAAACAUGAUGCUGAAUUUUAUUGUAUGAGAUGAUCAUGUUUUGUAACCGAGUUAUCGGCAACUGGCAGGAGCCAUAUGGUUUUCGCUUUAUUGUAUGCAAUGCAAUCGCGCCGUAAUGCUUUACUUUAUCACUAAGCGGUAGCGAUAGUCGUGGAAGCAUAAGAUUGGCGAGACGACAACGAUGCUACGGUGGAGAUCAAGGUGUCGCGCCGGUGACGAUGGUGAUCAUGACGGUGCUUCGGAGAUGGAGAUCACAGGCACAAGAUGAUGAUGGCCAUAUCAUAUCACUUAUAUUGAUUGCAUGUGAUGUUUAUCUUUUAUGCAUCUUAUCUUGCUUUGAUUGACGGUAGCAUUAUAAGAUGAUCUCUCACUAAAAUUAUCAAGAAGUGUUCUCCCUGAGUAUGCACCGUUGCGAAAGUUCUUUGUGCUGAGACACCACGUGAUGAUCGGGUGUGAUAGGCUCUACGUUCAAAUACAACGGGUGAAAAACAGUUGCACACGUGGAAUACUCAGGUUAUACUUGACGAGCCAAGCAUAUGCAGAUAUGGCCUCGGAACACGGAGACCGAAAGGUCGAGCGUGAAUCAUAUAGUAGAUAUGAUCAACAUAGUGAUGUUCACCAAUGAAACUACUCCAUCUCACGUGAUGAUCGGACAUGGUUUAGUUGAUUUGGAUCACGUGAUCACUUAGAGGAUUAGAGGGAUGUCUAUCUAAGUGGGAGUUCUUUAAGUAAUUUGAUUAAUUGAACUUGAAUUUAUCAUGAACUUAGUACCUAAUAGUAUCUUGCUUAUGUAUGUUUGAUUGUAGAUAGAUGGCCCGUGCUGUUGUUCCGUUGAAUUUUAAUGCGUUCCUUGAGAAAGCAAAGUUGAAAGAUGAUGGUAGCAAUUACACGGACUGGGUCCGUAACUUGAGGAUUAUCCUCAUUGCUGCAUAGAAGAAUUACGUCCUGGAAGCACCGCUGGGUGCCAGGCCUACUGCUGGAGCAACACUAGAUGUUAUGAACGUCUGGCAGAGCAAAGCUGAUGACUACUCGAUAGUUCAGUGUGCCAUGUUUUACGGCUUAGAAUUGGGACUUCAACGAUGUUUUGAACGUCAUGGAGCAUAUGAGAUGUUCCAGGAGUUGAAGUUAAUAUUUCAAGAAAAUGCCCUGAUUGAGAGAUAUGAAGUCUCCAAUAAGUUCUAUAGCUGCAAGAUGGAGGAGAAUAGUUCUGUCAGUGAGCAUAUACUCAAAAUGUCUGGGUAUAAUAAUCACUUGAUUCAGAUGGGAGUUAAUCUUCCAAAUGAUUGCGUCAUUGACAGAAUUCUCCAAUCACUGCCACCAAGCUACAAGAGCUUCGUGAUGAGCUAUAAUAUGCAAGGGAUGAAUAAGACUAUUCCCGAGCUCUUCGCAAUGCUAAAAGCUGCGGAGGUAGAAAUCAAAAAGGAGCAUCAAGUGUUGAUGGUCAACAAGACCACUAGUUUCAAGAAAAAGGGCAAAGGGAAGAAGAAGGGGAACUUCAAGAAGAACAGCAAGCAAGUUGCUGCUCAAGAGAAGAAACCCAAGUCUGGACCUAAGCCUGAAACUGAAUGAUUCUACUGCAAGCAGACUGGUCACUGGAAGCGGAACUGCCCCAAGUAUUUGGCGGAUAAGAAGGAUGGCAAGGUGAACAAAGGUAUAUGUGAUAUACAUGUUAUUGAUGUGUACCUUACUAAUGCUCGCAGUAGCACCUGGGUAUUUGAUACUGGUUCUGUUGCUAAUAUUUGCAACUUGAAACAGGGACUACGGAUUAAGCGAAGAUUGGCUAAGGACGAGGUGACGAUGCGCGUGGGAAAUGGUUCCAAAGUCGAUGUGAUCACGGUCGGCACGCUACCUCUACAUCUACCUUCAGGAUUAGUAUUAGACCUAAAUAAUUGUUAUUUGGUGCCAGCGUUGAGCAUGAAAAUUAUAUCUGGAUCUUGUUUAAUGCGAGACGGUUAUUCAUUUAAAUCAGAGAAUAAUGGUUGUUCUAUUUAUAUGAGUAAUAUCUUUUAUGGUCAUGCACCCUUGAAGAGUGGUCUAUUCUUAUUGAAUCUCGAUAGUAGUGACACACAUAUUCAUAAUGUUGAAGCCAAAAGAUGCAGAGUUGAUAAUGAUGGUGCAACUUAUUUGUGGCACUGCCGUUUAGGUCAUAUCGGUGUAAAGCGCAUGAAGAAACUCCAUACUGAUGGAAUUUUGGAACCACUUGAUUAUGAAUCACUUGGUACUUGCGAACUGUAAGUGCAUCUAGUGCCACCCCUAGUUGGUUUUGGAGUAUUGACGACAAACCUAGUUGAGGGACUAAUGUGUUUGUGAGAAUUGCAGGAAAACACAGGUAGAAGUCCCUCAUUGAUUCGGUUUUACUACUAGAGAUGACCCCUAAAAAUGUAUGAAGACAUUGAAGACAAAGGUGGUAUAUGAAGAUAUUCACAUUGAAGACUAUGACAAAAGAAGACACGUUAUGAAGCCUAUGGAACUCGAAGACUUAGAUCCUUCUUAGUUCUUUUUCUUUUGUGUUGAGUCAUAGGAACCACCGUACUGUUAAGUGGGGUCCAGGAGAACCAGUCAGAAUGACUGAAGUGAUGCCUAAAUCAAAAACCUAUGUCUUCGAGCGAAGAUAAUGAGAGCGAAUCUUGUCCAGAGCCGGACAAGUUAGCUUUGCUUGUAGCCCAAGCAAAGUUGCCAUGAGAGUUUGAAAUCUGACCGUUGAGACACAUGUCAGUUCCUUAGUGACCCAGGGUCAUUUCGGACAAAUCAGGUCGGGUUGCCAAGUGGCUAUAAAUAGCCCACCCCCACAACCAUAAACGGUUGGCUGCUUAGAUUUCAGUGCACGGCUUUUGUCGUUUGAGAGCAACCCACCUCGAAGCCUUUGAGAGAAAAAUUCUAGUGAGGAGAAAGCCCUAACCACCAGAGCCAGAGUAAAUUGGGCAUCACUAAGUCUUCUUGUCUGUGUGAUCUGAAGACUUAUUACACUUGAGGACUGUGAAUCCUCCAGACGGUUAGGCGUCGCGUUCAGAGCAUCCAAGAGACAUUGUGGAUUGCCAGUGAACGAAGUCUGUGAAGGUUUGGGAGUCUACCUUGAAGACUUACCGGAGUGAUUGGGCGAGGACUAAGUGACCUUAGCUCAAGGAGAAUACGGUGAGGACUUGGUGUCCUGGACUGUGUGUUCAGGACUGGGUGUCCGGGACUGUGUGUCCUAAGGUUUAAAUACCUAGCCGCUCCAACCAGACGUACAGUUGUCACAGCAACUGGAACUGGUCCAACAUAUCAUUGUCUUCAAGGAGUCACUGGUUUCAUCUUCUCUUCCUUUUCUUACUGUUACACAUUGUGAAGCCAUUGCAUGCUUGCCUUAUCUUUUGUCUUCACAACGUGAAUGUAUGAACUGUUCGGCUUCAUAACUUCUUCCUACCUGAUCCUUAUUACACUGCAGUUGUUUGUCAUUGUGCUUUCACUCUAUUGAAUACAUGACCAUUGCUGGCCUAGUGUAAUCUAACUUCCGCUGCAUAGUAAAAGGCAUAAUUUUCGCUGUUUGUCUUCAUAACUCUCACGUUUUGAAGACUUUCAUAAAAAUCGCCUAUUCACCCCCCCUCUAGUCGAUAUAACGCACUUUCAAUUGGUAUCAGAGCAAGGUGCUCCCUUGUUCUGUGUGAUUCGGUUUAACCACCUGGAGUUUUAGCUAUGUCGACUGCAGGGAUAAUCAAAGUCUCCACUGCGUGCCCCGUCUUCGAUGGAACUGAAUAUCCCUACUGGAAGAAUAAGAUGCGCAUGCAUCUUGAAGCCAUUGACGUCGACCUAUGGUAUGUCGUCGAGAACGGCGUUCCCAAGGCUGGAGAAGGUGUCACUGCUGCUGAUGUCAAGAAGUUCACUCAACUGGACUCUACUGCCAAAAAUAUCAUCUGUGGUCAUCUGACAAAAGGACAGUAUGGCCGUGUGAGUGCCUUGAAGACAUCCAAGCUGGUCUGGGACUGGCUCUCCAAGGUCAAUGAAGGCGUCUCAACCCAGAGAGAUCAAAGAAUCAGUGUUCUUCGCAACCUCUUCAACUGCUUCAAGCGAAACGACAAUGAGAAUGUCCAGCACACAUUUGACCGGCUCACUGACAUCACAAAUGAGCUUCAAGCCCUCGGCGCCACUGAGAUCACCAAACAUGAAAUCGUCAAGACGCUGCUGAGAUCACUUGAUAGUUCGUUUGACAUCCUGGCCCUGAUGAUUCAAGAACGUCCUGAUUUCAAGACACUCGAUCCGUCUGACAUACUUGAGAGGCUCAACACACAUGAGUUUCAGCUUUCUGAGAAAAGAGAUAUCUACGGUCCAAACUAUGGGCGAACUCGUGCCUUGAAGGCAAAAGCUGUUUCCUCAUCUGAAGAAGAAUCUGACUGCAGUUCUGAUGAUCCUGAAGACAUUGGAAGAGAACUUGCAAUGCUAGUGAAGAAGUUCCAAAAAUUCACCAAGAAGAAAGGCUUCAGAAAAUCUUCACGAUCAAGCUCAAGGAAUGAUGAAGCUUCUGCUCAUGACUACAAGAAGAAAACAUGUCACAAGUGCAAGAAAACUGGACACUUCAUCUCUGAGUGUCCACAGUGGGACAAUGAGAAUAGAAGGAAGAAGAAGAGCAAGGAAUAUGAUUCUGACGACAAGAAGAAGAAGAAAUACUCAAAGUCUUCUUCCAAGUCUUCCUCAAAGUCUUCAACACACAAGAAGAGCUCAUCUGGCAAAGCACGUGCGUUUGUUGGCAAGGAAAUGGAUUCAGAGGAUGAGUCCGCUUCUGAGGAGGCGGAGGUGGAGUCUGAGGAGGAGUCUGAUUCUGGUAUUGCGAGUCUGGCUACGGCAUACGUCGCCAAGUCCAUCUUCAACACUGAAGACAAUGACUUCAUCACCGAUACCGAUGCAAAUGACAAGAACGACUCCUCUCCUACCUACUGCUUCAUGGCACGCGGUGCCAAGGUAAACACACACACUACUCGCUAUCAAACAUCUAGUGAAGAUGACUUUGACUGUGAUUCAAAACCCAGCUACAAAACACUUGCUAAAAUUGCAACUGAACAACAGAAAGCUAUGGAACAUAUUCAAAAAACUGUUAGACAGAAGCGAUGAUCUGUUGGGUGCUGAAAUGACUCGAUCUGAAUCCUUAAUUGAAGACAUAAAAAAUCUUCACAUUAAGUAUCAGGAACUUGAGGAUCGUCUUGAUACUCUCUCAACAACUCAUGAAAAGCUUUCCUAUGAUUAUCUUCAAAGGAAGCAAGAACUUGAGAAAUUGAGAGCGGCUCAUGAAGAUCUUCAAAAGGAAAACGAGUCACUUCGCGCCGAACAUAUCAGUCCCACUCAGGAAGGAUUUGAACCACCAUGUCUUAAAUGCAUUGAGCGUGAUAAUGCUACUUCUGUUGUUGAAUGUUCCACUGCUACUGUUGUUGCAAUAUCUUCAACUGUUGAUGUGGUAACUAACCCCUCUGCUGAGGAUACCACUGCUAUUGCUGAUGAGAAUGCUAGGUUGAAGACAUUGCUUGAAACAGGGAUGUACAAAAGUCUUAAAGGACAUCAGACAUUAUGUGAUGUCCUCAAGAAGCAGAUUCUGAACCGAAACACUAGGAAAGAGGGUGUUGGGUUCGUGAGGAAAAUAAAUGUAGAUGGCUCUUACUGGAAACCUGAGCAGUACCCCAAAACCACAUGGGUUGCUGCAAAGGAAACUUCAGCAGAUUCAUCCAAUUUAUCUGGCUUCACAUGUGCUAACCCCAUUAUUAUUGAUGAAUCCUUUGAUGCAAACUAUAAACUGUUUAAGAAUCAGAAAGGUGAAGUGUUUGCCAGGUACAUUGGUACUAACUGCAGGAAUGGACCGCUUAUGAAGAAGAUCUGGGUUCCGAAAAAAUGUCUUGAAAAUCUUCCUGUGAAUGUCUUCAUGACACCUCACUUGAAGAAGACAAACCUCAGACCAAUGGCUUCAUAUGGUCCAAAGGCUUCAUACAAAUAGAGGACUCACCCGAGUCACACUAAUGCAAAUGUUUUGCAGGGAAACCAUACUCAGGCAUAUGAAUAUGAGAGCGGUUCUUCGAAUCAUCAUGUUCAUAUGACCAAAAAUUAUUCUGCCUAUUCCUAUGAGUACUAUUGUCCACCUGCUAGACUGUUUGCUAAGGCUUCAAAGCCAAAAUUCUCAGAUGUUGCACUUAGACUUAUUGCUUCUAAGCCACCCUUGAAGAUGUGGGUGGUUAAGAAAGCUUAACUCUCUUUUGCAGGGAAAGGUCUCCAGCAGACAAACAAAAUCUUCUGAUGCUAUUGCUGGGGACCUUAAAAAUCUUGUAGGGCGCAAGAUAAAAUGCCCGAAUGGCAUCAUUAUGUACUUCGUUCCUGAAUCGCAUGCUACUCUCCCUAUUAGUCCUAAUCUGGAUCUAAGUUUUCAUAACCCACUGGUUCAUCAAAUGUUUAUGCUUCACAAUUCUCUUCGUGAAGCCUAUCCCCCUAACUGCACUGUAGGGUACGACACCAGCGACUUCAAAGUCUUCAGAAUGGAUUAUUGACAGUGGGUCUACAAAUCACAUGACUGGCAAAAUAAGCCUUCUUAUGGACUCAACAUUAUGUCCAUCCGACAAGAGCCACAUCACAUUUGCUGACACUGGUAAAAGCAAGGUAUUGGGUCUAGGUAGAGUUGCAAUCUCAAAGGAUCAACACAUGGAUAAAGUCAUGCUUGUUGAAUCCCUUGGCUUCAACUUAAUGUCUGUCUCAAUGCUUUGCGAUUUGAAUAUGAUCGUAAUGUUUGGAAAAUAUCGCUGCCUGGUACUAAUGGAAUCUGACAAGUCUCUAGUGUUUGAAGGGUAUCGGAAAGGUGAUUUGUACAUGGUAGAUUUCUCAGCAGGACCACAACUUGCAGUAUGUCUUCUUGCAAAAGCUUCAGAAUGCUGGCUUUGGCAUCGGAGGCUUGGGCAUGCUGGCAUGAGGAACCUCCACACCCUUGCGAAGAAGAAGCAUGUCAUAGGCAUCGAGGGCGUCAAGUUCAAGAAAGAUCACUUAUGCGGUGCCUGUGAAGCAGGGAAGAUGACAAGGGCAAAGCAUCCUUCGAAGACAAUCAUGACUACUACUCAACCCUUCGAACUGCUCCACAUGGAUCUUUUCGGUCCCACUCACUACUCAACUUUUACUACCACUGCUUGCCUCUAUGGCUUCGUGAUUGUUGAUGAUUACUCUAGAUAUACUUGGGUGCACAUAAUCCUUUACAAGACUGAAGUGCAGGAUGUCUUCAGACGCUUCGCCAAUCGAGCUAUGAACAAUUUUGGCGCCAAGAUAAAGCACAUCAGAAGUGACAAUGGCACUGAAUUCAAGAACACUGGCCUUGAUACAUAUCUUGAUACCUUGGGCAUCACACAUGAAUUCUCAGCUCCGUACACGCCACAGCAGAAUGGCAUUGUCGAACGCAAGAACAGAACACUCAUUGAGAUGGCCAGAACGAUGCUAGAUGAAUACAAGACUCCAAGAAAAUACUGGACUGAAGCCAUUGAUACUGCAUGCCAUACAAUCAAUCGUGUUUAUCUUCACAAGCUUCUGAACAAGACAUCUUAUGAACUCCUAACUGGCAAGAAGCCAAAUGUCAGUUACUUCAGAGUAUUUGGCUCAAGGUGCUGGAUCAAGGACCCACAUCACACUUCAAAAUUUUGCACCUAAAGCACAUGAGGGCUUUAUGCUUGGAUAUGGAAAGGACUCGCACUCCUACAGAGUCUUCAAUCUCUUUCAUUACAAAGUGGUUGAAACAGUGGAUGUGCGGUUCGAUGAGACAAAUGGUUCACAAAGAGAGCAACUACCAAAUGUGCUAGAUGAAGUUCCAGCUAGUGAAUCGAUCAAGCUUAUGGGAACUGGAGAGAUUAUACCUUCUGAAGCUCAUCCUGAAGAAGAACUUAUCAUCUCAGCACCUGAUCAACAUGAAGACAAUGCUCAGCCUGAAGACAUUCCUCCCAACAACAACGCAGAUCAGCAAGAGCAAAGUCUUCGCCCUGUACAUCCUCGUAUUGCAAAUGAAGUGCAGAUUGACAGAAUAAUUGACAGCAUCAAUGCACCUGGUCCACUCACUCGUUCAAGGGCAACUCAGCUAGCAAACUUCUGUGGGCACUUCGUAUUCGUCUCAAUAUCCGAACCCAAGAAAGUUGAAGAAGCCUUCAUGGAACCUGAAUGGAUUCAAGCUAUGCAAGAAGAGCUUCAACAGUUUGAGCUGAAUAAUGUAUGGGAACUGGUUAAGCGUCCUGAUCCACGGAAGCACAACAUAAUAGGCACCAAAUGGAUAUACCGCGACAAGCAAGAUGAGCAUGGUCAAGUUGUCAGAAACAAAGCUCGUCUCGUUGCUCAAGGAUAUACUCAAGUGGAGGGCAUUGACUUCGAUGAAACAUUUGCUCCUGUGGCAAGGCUUGAAGCUAUACGCAUACUGCUGGCCUAUGCAAAUCAUCAUAACAUACUUCUAUAUCAAAUGGAUGUGAAAAGUGCCUUUCUCAAUGGCAAGAUUGAAGAAGUGUAUGUUGCACAGCCACCUGGCUUUGAAAAUCCAAAACAUCCUGACAUGGUAUACAAGCUCAACAAGGCACUGUAUGGCCUCAAACAAGCCCCUAGGGCCUGGUAUGACACACUCAAAUACUUCCUGAAGAGCAAAGGCUUCAUACCUGGUUCCUUGGAUCCCACUCUUUUCACGAAGACAUAUGAUGGUGAACUGUUUGUGUGCCAAAUAUAUGUGGAUGACAUUAUAUUCGGCUGCACCAAUCAGAAGUAUAGUGAAGAGUUUGGAUAUAUGAUGCAAGAGCAAUAUCAGAUGUCCAUGAUGGGGGAGCUGAAGUUCUUCCUUGGCCUUCAAAUACGACAACAACGCAAUGGCAUCUUCAUAUCUCAAGAGAAGUAUCUCAAAGAUUGCAUGAAGAAGUUCGGUAUGCAAGACUGCAAAGGCUUCACAACACCAAUGCCAGCCAAACAUCAUCUAGGUCCUGACGACAAUGGUAAAGAGUUCGAUCAAAAGGUAUACCGCUCCAUGAUUGGUUCUUUGCUUUAUUUAUGUGCAUCUAGGCCAGAUAUCAUGCUUAGUGUUUGCAUGUGUGCUCGAUUUCAAGCGGCACCAAAGGAGUCGCAUCACUUAGCUGUGAAGCGAAUUCUUCGAUAUUUGGCUCACACCCCAACUCUAGGAUUAUGGUAUCCAAAGGGCUCAGAGUUUGAUUUGGUUGGAUUUUCGGAUGUUGAUUAUGCUGGUGACAAAGUUGAUCGCAAGUCUACAUCAGGCACAUGUCAUUUUCUGGGACGAUCACUUGUAUGUUGGUCUUCAAAGAAGCAGAACUGUGUAUCUCUCUCCACUGCUGAAUCUGAAUACAUUGCUGCUGGAUCUUGCUGCGCCCAGCUUCUGUGGAUGAAGCAAACACUCAAGGACUAUGGCAUUCAUCUGAAGCAAGUGCCACUUUACUGCGACAACGAAAGCGCCAUCAAGAUUGCCAACAACCCAGUUCAGCACUCGAAGACAAAGCACAUUGAAAUUCGUCAUCACUUUCUCAGAGAUCAUGUUGUGAAGGAAGACAUUGAUAUCAUACACGUCAACACUGAAGAGCAAUUGGCAGAUAUCUUCACCAAGCCCUUGGAUGAGAAGAGAUUUUGCAAGUUACGGUGUGAGCUAAAUAUCUUGGAAUCCUCAAAUGUCCUGUGAUCAGGCACACAUCCUAACACUUAUGCAUAUUGAUGACUUAGAUGUGCAACACACAAAGUAAAGUAUAUCUUCAUUCAAUGAAGACAUACAUUCUAAGUGUGAAUACAUUAAUGUGGAAUUUGACUUCGGAGCGCCACGAUAAUUGUGCGCCGUGUCUGGGUCUAAUACUUCCUAUACGGUGGGUAACGCCACCACCAAACGUUCUAUUUGAAGUGUUUCACUCAUGGCGUUACCUUGCAAUAUCUUCACAUUUGGUUGUCUUCACAUUUGGUUUGGCUUCAAACAUGUCUUCAUAAUUAUCUUCACUAUGUUGCUUGUAUAGAUAUAUAUAUAUAUAUAUAUAUAUAUAUAUACUAGUGUUCUGUCCUCUACAGCAUUCACUUAUAGCUAUGUCUUCUUGGUUGAAUCUUUUGAACUAAGUGAAUGUGAUCGGACCCUAAUCUCUCUAUGCUUUCUAUCUCAAAUUCUAUCUCUCCAAGUCAUAUGCAUUCUAUUGAAACUGUCGAAUGUCUUCAAUGCGUCCUAGUCAGCAGAAGAUAUAGAGACAACCAUAAAGUCCGUCUUCAAUGCUCAUUCCUCCACAUAAAAUCCGGAGAAGUAGGAACGACCGCCCGACAAACCAGGCGUGCGUGGGAUGUGGAACUGCCCCCAAAAUACCGCAUGAUGGCCACGUACUACUCAAAUGCGAAUCGCCAGGGGCACCUGAGUAAUAGCGCAGUGCCGCCCCUGCGCCUAUAAGUUCACACUUACCACGGUUAUUAUCUCUUUCUUCCACCCUCGCACGAACCCUAGCGCCACCGCUAGCUCUCGACGACGCCGGAGACGAAGCGCUUCGCUGCCGCAACCUCUCCAACGUCGUCCUCACGCUGACCGCGGACAUCAUCCUCUCCGCCGUCACCGUAGGUGUUUUCCGUCGCCAAGUUAGGGCACGGAGGACUGAACUGCUCGGCAUCAACUCCCUUCUGUCUAGCAGUUCCAGUGUGGUAAAUAAAACUUCUUUUUACAGCCUCUUUUGAUCUCAUGGUUCUGUCACUUUCUACCAUAAGAAGUUUCUCUUCACACUAGUUAGAUCUCUCACUGCAUCUCAUAACAUGCCUAGUAUAUUCACUUGUGCUUCAUAAAGUAGUUAGAUUCCUCACUUGUACUGAUCUGUGGGUUCGUACAAAUCUGGAACCAACUUCUUAUCUAUGAGUGAAUGUCUUCGCACGAUGAGGUCAAUGUCUUCUAAACUGAUUAAUCUUCAAAACCUUCUGAGAAUGCAUAUGACCUCUUCCCCUUCCCUUGCACCUUAAUGCUGUCACAGGUACAUGUCCGUGGGAGAAUCCUUCGGUUCUCAUAGUCUGCAUUCAUUUGCAGAAUUCCUACAGCAUCACAUAAACUCUGUUGAAGCCAGUUCCUGUUGGUCCAGAAAAAGAAAGCCUUUGAAAGUUUUGAAGCCUUUCAAGUUAAAGUUUAUGGCUUCAGAAGCAGCAGCAAGGAAGGGGGGCAGACAGAGAUGUGAGGGAACUUCCAAGGAUCUGCCUGAAGACUUGGCAGAAAUGUACAAAACAGAUCCAGAAGAGAGCUAUGGGCAGCGCAAGACACGAAUCCAAUGGAUUCGACGCUAUUGGGCAGAACAGUGGUUCAAAUACCGCUUCGUCACCGAGGAGUAUGCUGAGAAAAGUGCCAUCAGGAGACCAUGGGGGGACAUCCGCUUCAAGAAUCUCUUGCCCAGGACCAGAGAUGAAGCCAUUGCUCAAGGUUUCUACCCAUGCAUGGUCCGAGGACCACAGCCUGAUGAUGCGCAUCCGUCGUCACUCCUCUGGUGUCGUGACAACAAUCUGUUCAAGCGCAACUACCAGUUUGCUCAACAAUCUACGAAGCUGAGCAAGAAGAAAUUUGGGUUAGACUUCAACCCUGGCCCCUCCGCACCAAGGGCAGAUGGCACACGCUACGCCGAACCCAAUGUCAUCGGUCUGUUUGCCAAUCUUGAGGGCCUGAUCACUCACAUCUUAGUCCAAGGGACUGCCGUAAAUGACCCUCCAGCUGACUCUAAGUCUGAUGAAGCUCCUGCUGUACUAAAGCCAAAGCAGACGAAGAAACCAAAAGCUUCAAAGCCGGCCCCUGCCUCAAAAAUCUCAAGGGCGAAGCCAUUGAAAACUACACCUCCUAAAGUCAGUGUGCAGUCUGAAGACGUAUCCCGCGUCUCCAAGCCCCAGAAGGAAAAGGAGCCCCAGCAACAAACAGGCAAAGAGCUCACUGCUGCUGCCAUUCUGCGCAGCAAAGCCAUUGAUCUAUCAAGCGAUGAAGAUCUGGGAGAUGACGCUCUAGAGUAGCUUAUCAAAAGCAAAGAAGAAGCUGAAAUCUUCAACAAUUUACCUCUCUUUGAUGUCGCCGUCAUCCACAACUUCAUCGAUGAAUGGUUUGCCUCACCAGACAUCAGCUUCGAAGAUCUGCAGCUGCCUGUCGGUCUCAGCGUCGCCUUCCAAGGCGCAAUUGCCUCAAAACUUGCCAUUGCUCAGCGCAUAGUUGAGCUGAAGCAGAAAAUUGAUCAUGAAAAGGCUCAGUUCAAGAAGCACAUGGCCAGGCUCAGCGUGCAGGAAGUGAAGAGCUUCAAAACCAUGUUGCAUGAGCUCAAGGAAAAUUUCCUGAAGAAGCGUGCUGAAGCUCAGGGCUCGUGUGAGCGGAUGAAGUCUCUGGCAGAACGAUGUGUGCAGGCCUACAAUGAGGCCGAGAAGCGCAAGGCACUUGGGCGUCCUGGCAUCGACCCCAAGAUGGCCGCAAAGAAGAAGAAGCAGCCUGCUGUGAAUGAACCAGAGGCACCAAGGCAAGAAGCUGUUCCGAUUGUCUUCCCCACCGCCAUGACUGGCUCGAAGCCAAAGAGCCGGUCAACAGCUUCAGAGCUUAAGAAGACACGAAAUGCAGAGGCUGAAGCUAGGAAGAGAAAACUCUUUGAAGCCUCUCCUUCUGACCCCAGCAAGAAGAAGCGCAAGGUCAAGAAAUCUCGGGCUUCUCCCACAGAGCCCUUGAUGGUUGAACCUCUCUCUGUCAUUCACCCCAAUGCAGAGAGACGACUGACAGUUCAUGAGCCUGCUCCCACAGAGGCCCCUGAAGCUGAAGAUAUACCAGCAGCCGACCCAAUAGCUGCUGAAGACAUUGGUCAUCAGGACAAUGUACAAGAUGAUGCAGCCCUUCCUCAGCUUGAAACAAGCAAACUCAUCAGUAUUGGUCGUCCUCUGACGCCAAUGGCACAAGAUGAGUCAUGGGCGGAUCGCCCUCAGAAGGAAGAAGACUUUGAGGUCCAGCCCACUCCGACCCCACAAGCGUCAUCUGCGUUCCGUAGGCUUCGCAAAGGUCCACGGCCUCAAGUCCAUACUGCAGAAAUUCCGGCUGCAUCAGCCGAAGACAAUGAAGAAGCACCACCAGAACCCACUUCCCCGCUUCAUCAAGAUGCAGUUCUCUAGGAGAACGUGCCUAAGGUUGUCCCUCCAACUACACAAGCGGAGAAAGAAAAUGUUGCGACUGCCACCACAAACACUGAAGCCAAUGUGGAGCCCGCCCCACCAAAUGCUUCAGCGGAUAGCGAAGCUACCGAGCCAGACACUUCUGUUCCUGAGUCUGCUACAGGUCCUCAAUUCGAUUAUCAUAUUGAGCACAUGCCUCAUGUUCAGAAGCCAGUCCCAAGGCUGCCAAGGUUCCCAGGUCCUGCAUCAGCACCUGGUUCCUUUGACAUCAACAGCUUCAAGGCAGACAAUACAUUUUUCAAUAGCUCCAAGAACCCCUAUUCAAGGGAAAGGAUUGUAUCAGACAGGUUCUGGAGCUAUUCUCAGCGCAGCUAUUAUUCAUGCAUCUUAUACAACCAAGGCCGCAUCUUUCCGCACAAGUGCCUUGAGGUUGAAGCCAUUGCUGGUCUGCCCUGCUUAGAGGAAGCACUGGAUUGCUUCAGGCAAGUGGGUCUGCUGCCGUUUGUGACUGAUGAAGAGCACUGGAAUGAAGAGCUUCUGCUUCAGUUCUAUGCCACCCUCCAUAUCAAAGGAUACAACAGAGAUCCGAAGACUUGGAUCCUGGAGUGGAUGACCGGCAAUGUCCAUCAUGAAGCCAAUGCAUUUGAUAUCAUUGAGCUCACCGGCCUGCCCACUCCUGGCGAAUUCUUCGAGGAAGGCUGUCAACUACAUUCUGAAGCUAUUGAGAGCAUAUUCCAGAGGCCUGAACCCAAUAUGAGUCAGAUGCUCUCAAUGAUGAAGCCUUUGCCCCAUGAUGCACCCUAUCCUACUGAGUUCUUCGUUGAAGACCUAGAGUACCUGCCCAGGACCAUAUAUCACAUCAUCCGGUGGACUCUCUGGCCCAUUAAGGGACACUCACCACAUGCCAAGAUUGAGGGUGCAAUGAAGACUCUCAUAUUCUAUAUCCUGCAUGGCAAAUGCUUCAACGCACAGGAUCUCUUCAUACGCCAACUUGCAGCGUCAGGCUCAGAAUUGUUUGGUUUGAAGUUCUAUGCUCCUUGGGUGAUGAGGCUAAUCAAACUGCACUCUGCGAUCUCGUAUCAGCCCUCUGCCCGAAACCAUCGGAUCUUCUUGCCAGAUGUGGAUACCUCUGCUGAAGCAAUAUAUCCUGAGCCUGCCAAGCAACCGAUAAGUCUUCAGAAUGCAGAACACCAGAGCUUCACGUAGAAUGUUGAAGGUGUUGAAGCCAUAUCCAGGGUAUAUCCGUUGGCUGGCACUACACGUGCACCAGCAUCUACUGAAGCCACAGACAGCACAAAUGCUCCAAGACCCAAGAAGCGUGCUCGUGUCCUCACUGACCGAGAGCUUCUUGUGGCCCUUCACCAAAAGCAGGAUAGGCAUCACGACUGGCUAAAACGUCAGAUGAAGAGCCUCUUGGUGGAUAUCAAUCGUCUUCGAAACCUAGCCACCAAGAAUGCUUUCGUUACACAUGAAACGUGCCGCCGUACAUGGAAAGGGCUCUCAAUGAUAUGUACUGAAGCUGAACUUGAAGAGGAUGGCUUCACAGAGCGUUUCAAGUUUGACACCACACCUCCCAGAAGGGUUGUGAUGCGCAACACACCAUCACUUGAAGACUCUGAGUUUUCUUCAUCUGCUGCCACAAUUACUGCAAGGAUCAUUGAUGAAGACGACGAUGCUACAUCACCACCACCUGCUUCAGCACAUCCAAGCUUUGCACCGCCAAACAACUCCACCGACCCUGCUGCGCCUGGGAACGCGUAGAAAACUCUAUGUCUUCAAACCUUUUUGGUCAUUACUGACAAAAGGGGGAGACACAUAUGAUGUUUAUAGUCUUCAAGCGGGUCAAUAUGGGCGGGUGCCCUAUGUUUUGUUAUAUUUUGCUUCAUGUUUACAACUCUUGAUUUUGCUUCAUUUGGUUCUUUGAGUUGUAAACAUUAAAACUCGAUGGUCGUCUGCUACUUGUUUGCCACUCUGUUUGCGAAGAUAAAUUCCGCACUUAUCUCAUUCUGCAGACGUCCAUUUUCCAUUAUGCAUGUCAUUAUCUUCAUAUACUUUCACAUGCAUAGUGGAUUGUCAUCAUAAGCUGAAGUGGAUCUCCACAAGUACAACCUGCCAUGUGCAUUUGGAUUCCAAAAGCAAAUUAACUUAUAUGCACAUCUUCAGGGGGAGCCCUUGCAACUUAUGAAGACAAUUCCCUAUCCUUUACAAACUUCACACUUUAUAUUCCCUGUUGAAAACUUCAACUAGUUUGUCAUCAAUCACCAAAAAGGGGGAGAUUGUAAGUGCAUCUAGUGCCACCCCUAGUUGGUUUUGGAGUAUUGACGACAAACCUAGUUGAGGGACUAAUGUGUUUGUGAGAAUUGCAGGAAAACACAGGUAGAAGUCCCUCAUUGAUUCGGUUUUACUACCAGAGAUGACCCCUAAAAAUGUAUGAAGACAUUGAAGACAAAGGUGGUAUAUGAAGAUAUUCACAUUGAAGACUAUGACAAAAGAAGACACGUUAUGAAGCCUAUGGAACUCAAAGACUUAGAUCUUUCGUAGUUCUUUUUCUUUUGUGUUGAGUCAUAGGAACCACCGUACUGUUAAGUGGGGUCCAGGAGAACCAGUCAGAAUGACUGAAGUGAUGCCUAAAUCAAAAACCUAUGUCUUCGAGCGAAGAUAAUGAGAGCGAAUCUUGUCCAGAGCCGGACAAGUCAGCUUUGCUUGUAGCCCAAGCAAAGUUGCCAUGAGAGUUUGAAAUCUGACCGUUGAGACACGUGUCAGUUCCUUAGUGACCCAGGGUCAUUUCGGACAAAUCAGGUCGGGUUGCCAAGUGGCUAUAAAUAGCCCACCCCCACAACCAUAAACGGUUGGCUGCUCAGAUUUCAGUGCACGGCUUUUGUCGUUUGAGAGCAACCCACCUCGAAGCCUUUGAGAGAAAAUUUCUAGUGAGGAGAAAGCCCUAACCACCCAGAGCCAGAGUAAAUUGGGCAUCACUUAAGUCUUCUUGUCUGUGUGAUCUGAAGACUUAUUACACUUGAGGACUGUGAAUCCUCCAGACGGUUAGGCGUCGCGUUCAGAGCAUCCAAGAGACAUUGUGGAUUGCCAGUGAACGAAGUCUGUGAAGGUUUGGGAGUCUACCUUGAAGACUUACCAGAGUGAUUGGGCGAGGACUAAGUGACCUUAGCUCAAGGAGAAUACGGUGAGGACUUGGUGUCCUGGACUGUGUGUUCAGGACUGGGUGUCCGGGACUGUGUGUCCCUGUCCUAAGGUUUAAAUACCUAGCCGCUCCAACCAGACGUACAGUUGUCAUAGCAACUGGAACUGGUCCAACAUAUCAUUGUCUUCAAUGAGUCACUGGUUUCAUCUUCUCUUCCUUUUCUUACUGUUACACAUUGUGAAGCCAUUGCAUGCUUGCCUUAUCUUUUGUCUUCACAACGUGAAUGUAUGAACUGUUCGGCUUCAUAACUUCUUCCUACCUGAUCCUUAUUACAUUGCAGUUGUUUGUCAUUGUGCUUUCACUCUAUUGAAUACAUGACCAUGGCUGGCCUAGUGUAAUCUAAGUUCCGCUGCAUAGUAAAAGGCAUAAUCUUCGCCGUUUGUCUUCAUAACUCUCAAGUUUUGAAGACUUUCAUAAAAAUCGCGUAUUCACCCCCCCCCUCUAGUCGAUAUAACGCACUUUCACGAACCGUGCCUCAUGGGCAAGAUGACUAAAACACCAUUCUCCGGUACUAUGGAGAGAGCAACAGAUUUGUUGAAAAUCAUACAUACAGAUGUAUGUGGUCCAAUGAAUAUUGAGGCUCGUGGAGGAUAUCAUUAUUUUCUCACCUUCACAGAUGGCUUAAGCAGAUAUGGGUAUAUCUACUUAAUGAAACAUAAGUCUGAAACAUUUGAAAAGUUCAAAGAAUUUCAAAGUGAAGUUGAAAAUCAUCGUAACAAGAAAAUAAAGUUUCUACGAUCUGAUCGUGGAGGAGAAUAUUUGAGUUACGAGUUUGGUGUACAUUUGAAACAAUGCGGAAUAGUUUCACAACUCACGCCACCCGGAACACCACAGCGUAAUGGUGUGUCCGAAUGUCGUAAUCGUACUUUACUAGAUAUGGUGCGAUCUAUGAUGUCUCUUACUGAUUUACCGCUAUCGUUUUGGGGUUAUGCUUUAGAGACGGCCGCAUUCACGUUAAAUAGGGCACCAUCAAAAUCCGUUGAGACGACGCCUUAUGAGCUAUGGUUUGGCAAGAAACCAAAGUUGUCAUUUCUGAAAGGUUGGGGCUGCGAUGCUUAUGUGAAGAAGCUUCAACCUGAUAAGCUCGAACCCAAAUCAGAGAAAUGUGUCUUCAUAGGAUAUCCAAAGGAAACUAUUGGAUACACCUUCUAUCACAGAUCCGAAGGCAAGACUUUUGUUGCUAAAUUCGGAAACUUUCUGGAGAAGGAGUUUCUCUCGAAAGAUGUGAGUGGGAGGAAAGUAGAACUUGAUGAGGUAACUGUACCUGCUCCCUUAUUGGAAAGUAGUACAUCACAGAAAACUGUUUCUGCGACACCUACACCAAUUAGUGAGGAAGCUAAUGAUAAUGACCAUGAAACUUCAGGACAAGAUACUACUGAACCUCGUAGAUCAACCAGAGUGAGAUCCGUGCCAGAGUGGUACGGUAAUCCUGUUCUAGAAAUCAUGCUGCUAGAUCAUGAUGAACCUACGAACUAUGAAGAAGCGAUGGUGAGCCCAGAUUCCACAAAAUGGCUUGAAGCCAUGAAAUCUGAGAUGGGAUCCAUGUAUGAGAACAAAGUAUGGACUUUGGUUGACUUGCCCGAUGAUCGGCAAGCAAUUGAGAAUAAAUGGAUCUUCAAGAAGAAGACUGACGCUGAUGGUAAUAUUACUGUCUACAAAGCUCGACUUGUCGCAAAAGGUUUUCGACAAGUUCAAGGGGUUGACUACGAUGAGACCUUCUCACCCGUAGCGAUGCUUAAGUCUAUCCUAAUCAUGUUAGCAAUUGCCGUAUUUUAUGAUUAUGAAAUUUGGCAGAUGGAUGUCAAAACUGCAUUCCUGAAUGGAUUUCUGGAAGAAGAGUUGUAUAUGAUGCAACCGGAAGGUUUUGUCGAUCCAAAGGGAGCUAACAAAGUGUGCAAGCUCCAGCGAUCCAUUUAUGGACUGGUGCAAGCCUCUCGGAGUUGGAAUAAACACUUUGAUAGUGUGAUCAAAGCAUUUAGUUUUAUACAGACUUUCGGAGAAGCUUGUAUUUACAAGAAAGUGAGUGGGAGCUCUGUAGCAUUUCUGAUAUUAUAUGUGGAUGACAUAUUACUGAUUGGAAAUGAUAUAGAAUUUCUGGAUAGCAUAAAGGGAUACUUGAAUAAGAGUUUUUCAAUGAAAGACCUCGGUGAAGCUGCUUACAUAUUAGGCAUAAAGAUCUAUAGAGAUAGAUCAAGACGCUUAAUUGGACUUUCACAAAGCACAUACCUUGACAAGAUUUUGAAGAAGUUCAAAAUGGAUCAAGCAAAGAAAGGGUUCUUGCCUGUGUUACAAGGUGUGAAGUUGAGUCAGACUCAAUGCCCGACCACUGCAGAAGAUAGAGAGAAAAUGAAAGAUGUUCCCUAUGCUUCAGCCAUAGGCUCUAUCAUGUAUGCAAUGCUGUGUACCAAACCUGAUGUGUGCCUUGCUAUAAGUCUAGCAGGGAGGUACCAAAGUAAUCCAGGAGUGGAUCACUGGACAGCGGUCCAGAACAUCCUGAAAUACCUAAAAAGGACUAAGGAUAUGUUUCUCGUAUAUGGAGGUGACAAAUAGCUCAUUGUAGACGGUUACGUUGAUGCAAGCUUUGACACUGAUCCGGACGAUUCUAAAUCGCAAACCGGAUACGUGUUUACAUUAAACGGUGGAGCUGUCAGUUGGUGCAGUUCUAAACAGAGCGUCGUGGCGGGAUCUACAUGUGAAGCGGAGUACAUAGCUGCUUCGGAAGCAGCAAAUGAAGGAGUCUGGAUGAAGGAGUUCAUAUCCGAUCUAGGUGUCAUACCUAGUGCAUCGGGUCCAAUGAAAAUCUUUUGUGACAAUACUGGUGCAAUUGCCUUGGCAAAGGAAUCCAGAUUUCACAAGAGAACCAAACACAUCAAGAGACGCUUCAAUUCCAUUCGGGAUCUAAUCCAGGUGGGAGACAUAGAGAUUUGCAAGAUACAUACGGAGCUGAAUGUAGCAGACCCGUUGACUAAGCCUCUUCCACGAGCAAAACAUGAUCAGCACCAAAGCUCCAUGGGUGUUAGAAUCAUUACUGUGUAAUCUAGAUUAUUGACUCUAGUGCAAGUGGGAGACUGAAGGAAAUAUGCCCUAGAGGCAAUAAUAAAGUUAUUAUUUAUUUCCUUAUAUCAUGAUAAGAGUUUAUUAUUCAUGCUAGAAUUGUAUUAACCGGAAACAUAAUACAUGUGUGAAUACAUAGACAAACAGAGUGUCACUAGUAUGCCUCUACUUGACUAGCUCGUUAAUCAAAGAUGGUUAUGUUUCCUAACCAUGGACAAAGAGUUGUUAUUUGAUUAACGGGAUCACAUCAUUGGUUGAAUGAUCUGAUUGACAUGACCCGUUCCACUAGCUUAGCACCCGAUCGUUUAGUAUGUUGCUAUUGAUUUCUUCAUGACUUAUACAUGUUCCUAUGACUAUGAGAUUAUGUAACUCCUGUGUGCCGGAGGAACACUUUGUGUGCUACCAAACGUCACAACAUAACUGGGUGAUUAUAAAGGAGCUCUACAGGUGUCUCCAAAGGUACAUGUUGGGUUGGCGUAUUUCGAGAUUAGGAUUUGUCACUCCGAAUGUCGGAGAGGUAUCUCUAGGCCCUCUCGGUAAUGCACAUCACUUAAGCCUUGCAAGCAUUGCAACUAAUGAGUUAGUUGCGGGAUGAUGUAUUACGGAACGAGUAAAGAGACUUGCCGGUAACGAGAUUGAACUAGGUAUUGGAUACCGACGAUCGAAUCUCGGGCAAGUAACAUACCGAUGACAAAGGGAACAACGUAUGUUGUUAUGCGGUCUGACCGAUAAAGAUCUUCGUAGAAUAUGUAGCAGCCAAUAUGGGCAUCCAGGUCCCGCUAUUGGUUAUUGACCAGAGACAUGUCUCGGUCAUGUCUACAUUGUUCUCGAACCCGUAGGGUCCGCACGCUUAAGGUUUCGAUGACAGUUAUAUUAUGAGUUUAUACGUUUUGAUGUACCGAAGGUUGUUCAGAGUCCCGGAUGUGAUCACGGACUUGACGAGGAGUCUCGAAAUGGUCGAGACAUAAAGAUUGAUAUAUUGGAAGCCUAUGUUUGGAUAUCGGAAGUGUUCCGGGUGAAAUCGGGAUUUUACCGGAGUACUGGGAGGUUACCGGAACCCCCCGGGAGCUAUAUGGGCCUUAGUGGGCCUUAGUGGAAGAAGAGGAGAGGCGGCCAGGGCUGGGCCACGCGCCCCUCCCCCCUAGUCCGAAUAGGACAAGGAGAGAGGGGGCCGGCACCCCCCCUCCUUCUCUCUCUCUCUUUUCCACCUCGCGAAUCCUAUUCCAACUAGGAUUGGGGGGGGGGGGGAGUCCUACUCCCAGAGGGAGUAGGACUCCUCCUGGCGCGCCUCUCCUAGGCCGGCCACACCCCCCCCCCUUGAGCCUUUAUAUAUGGAGGCAGGGGCACCCCAGAGGAACACAAGUUGAUCCACGUGAUCAUAUUCUUAGCCGUGUGCGGCGCCCCCUGCCACCGUAGUCCUCGAUAAUAUUGUAGCGGUGCUUAGGCGAAGCCCUGCGACAGUAGUACAUCAAGAUCGUCACCAUGCCGUCGUGUUGACGGAACUCUUCCCCGACACUUUGCUGGAUCGGAGUCCAGGGAUCGUCAUCGAGCUGAACGUGUGCUAGAACUCGGAGGUGCCGUAGUUUCGGUGCUUGAUCGGUCGGGCCGUGGAGACAUAUGACUACAUCAACCAAACGCUUCCGUUGUCGAUCUACAAGGGUAGGUAGAUCUCACUCUCCCCUCUCGUUGCUAUGCAUCACCAUGAUCUUGCGUGUGCGUAGGAAUUUUUUUGAAAUUACUUCGUUCCCCAACAAGUCACCAUGGUCGUAGUCAGCACGGUCGUCGGCCUCUUCAUCGGGGACGUACUGGGUGCGGCCAUCCUGACUUUGGGUCUCAUCGGGGUCGUAGGCACGGCCAUGCACACCCUGGAAGAUCACGUCCUCCAUGUACUGGUUGUAGAAGGGGUCGUCGAUCGUUGGCGUUGGGGUUGUCAUUCCGUCAAACAAGACGCGGGGGGGCGGCAUGGUGCCCGUGAACGGUGCCCGGCCUGCUUUCUUUGCAUCUCGACGGACGGCCGCCCGCUGCUGCUGGACCCAGGCAUGACGUUGAGGUCGAUGACGGCCACGGGGCGCGGUGUGGAUGGCGCGAACAAGCACACGUCCGGCAACGCCGAGAAACGGGUCUGGCCGUCGUGCCUUGGCGGAGGAAAGCUGGGCGACAUGGGCGCGGCACGCGACGUCGGCGACUGGCAGUGCGUAGGCCGGGCGACCGACGAGCCUGUGCUCGCUGGGCCGACGGCCGCUGCAUGGAACCCCGUCGGACGGCCCAUGCCAAGCAUGAGGAUGGCGUGCGCUUUGUUGACGAGGUCCUCCUUCUCGUCGGCAACGGCCUUGCGCCGCGCGGCCUCCAGCUCCUCGCGCUGGGCGGCGAACUCGGCCGCGGCGGCAUUGACCUUGACGACCGCUCGCCGUUCCCUCCUCUUCACCGAAUCCGCGUCCAACUUGGCGAUCUCCUCCGGCGUGCACUCCGACCGCGGCUUCCUUGGCGCCUUCUUCUUCACCUUUGCGGGCGGGUCGACGGCCAGGCCGCCGGAACUCGGCGGGGCGUCGGCCAUGGACGGGGGAGAGGGGGCGGCGGAAGGGACGUGGGAGGGUUUGGGGGAAAUGGCGCCAAAUGGGCGUGGUGGGGGGGUGGUUUCUCCCACCGACGGGCGGGCCAGGGGAGGACAAGCGCGCGCGUCCCAUCCGUCCGCGCGCUGUCCGUUUCACCCCAAAACCGACGCAAACUUGGGCCGGGGAUGGGUCGAAAGCGGACACAAAGCGGACAAAAGUCCGUUUGCGCCCGCGCGCUGGGCCGUCUCGUCUGUCCCUUUUACCCCAAACGGACGGGGGCGGACAGGAUAGGGUCACACGGUGGAGUUGGCCUUAUGUCUAAAGUAAUACGAAACUCGAAAUAACCAUUAUUGAUGUUAACAUUAAGACCAAUUCAAUAUCAACAAAGUGAAUCUAGAUCAAAACAAGCGGGGGCCAAUAUAAUACCAAAAUUGAACCAGCAGGCAGGUGUAAUCAAGUAAUUCAUGUCAUAAGAGUUGCAACGGAGUAAGCAAGUUAGGAUUAUGCAUGUUUUACCCCCAGCACGCACUAUCCUGCAGGGCUAAACACGACCAACACGUGUUCUAGUCAGCCCCACCACUGAAACGGCAUAUUUUAUUUUUUCUUUCCAUUCCCUUACCUUAUCUCCUGGACUCCUCUAGCGAGUCAAUUACACCGGUGGUGCUUAAACUUGGCACAAAUGGUCACUUUGGUGCUAGAACUUGCGGCAUACAAUGAACUGGUGCAACAACUUGGCUCGGACGUGCAAAUACGGUGCUAAUCACACUUGGGUACAAAAUCGAUGCUGACUUGGCGCGCCAGCAUGGCAUAGGGCCCACUGUCAAUAACGGGAAGGCGUAGAGUAGGUUUGUGGCCUUUUUUGCGAAAACACCCUCAAAAAGUUUUAUUUCUCACAGAAAGCCCCUAACAACACGGCAGUUGCCAUUUCAUUUUGACUCCAUGACACAUGGGCCCCACCUGUCAAUAUGUGAAAACAAAAAUAGAUCAAACGCCUUCGCGUCUCGAACUCAAGACCAACUGUUGUAUAGCUAGCCGUCCAAACAACUGCACCAUUCAUGUUUGCAUUGAGAAACACUGAUAACAGUCCUUAAUGUAGUACAAGGAGGAGGCGUCUGGGACUUCUAUGAGCUGUAAAUAGGGCGGCACAUUUUGCACGCACUGACUUUUUAAUACUUUUGUAAAACAUAAGUAAUAAAAAUAAUGUGCAUAUUAAUGAUUAGUAAAUAAAAUUAUUUAAAUAUACACACAUGUAUUAUAAAAAUGUUUGGUAAAUACGGACAUUUAAAUAUUUAUGAAGUAAAAUAUUUAAUUGAUACAGAAAAUAUACACUUGUAACUUAUAUUUAAAUUAUACAAAAUGAUGAAUAAAAACAUCCAUGUGGUAUAAUUUUCACUCGUGAUUUAUAUUAAAAAAUAUUAUAUAAUUUAAACAUUACCCAUGAAUGAAUAUUCAUGUGAAUUUUUAAAUUUAAAUUAUGAAUAUUUAUUUUUACGAACAUUGAACUAUUAAAAUGUGCACAUAAUUAUUGACAUGUUUGUAUGAUUAGAAAAUACUUUGGAAUUGUAAUGUUAAAAUACUUGAUUUGUUAUUAAUUAUCCAAAAAAUAAGAAUUCAUGAAUAUCAUUUUAAAUAUAUUAAUAUUUUUAAAAUAAUACGUGAACAAUUCUGAAACGUAAGUUAUUUAGUUUGUAUGUAUAAUAUUUAUACGACAUGAAUAAUUAAAUGUUAUUUUUAUUACUGAGAUCAUAAUUUACAUACCUUUUAAAAAGUUCUAAAAAAACAGGUGCAAAUGAGCCGCAUCCGCACUCAUCACAGUCCAUUUCAGCUCCACAAGCAUGUUUGUUCCGCUACAUUAAGUGUUGAGGGAGCUGUGACGGUGUCAAACCUAUUGGAGACUUAUUGCAAAGCCUCGGGGCAACAGAUAAAUAAUGAAAAAUCUUCCAUUUUUUUCAGCAAGGGUUGUCCUCAGGUGAUGAGGGAUAACAUAAAACAAACUUUGAACGUGCACAAUGAGUCUUUGAGUGAGAAAUACCUUGGGAUGCCUACUGAUGUGGGUCAAUCAAAAAUGGGCACGUUCAAAUAUUUGAGAGACAGAGUAUGGGAGAAAGUCAGAGGGUGGAUGGAGAAAUUGUUGUCUGCAGCAGGCAAGGAGGUACUUAUCAAGUCAGUGGCCCAAGCUAUCCUAGUUUAUUCUAUGGCUUGUUUCAGGUUACCCCGAGGUUUGUGUGAAAAUAUUACCUCAAUAAUUAGGCAAUUUUGGUGGGGAAGUAAGCAAGGAAGGAGGAAGCAAGCGUGGGUAGCAUGGGAUGUGAUGACUCAACCAAAAUACAUGGGAGGUAUGGGUUUUAGAGACAUAGAAAUUUUCAACCUUGCUUUGUUGGCCCGUCAAGCUUGGAGGAUUCUGGAUGAUCCGAACUCUUUAAGUGCAAAAAUAUUAAAAGCUGCAUACUUCCCAACUUGCGGUUUCUUGGAAGCAGAGUUGGGGAACCGCCCCUCGCAAAUUUGGUGAGCUGUGAUUGAUGGAAGAGAUGUAUUAAGGCAAGGACUUAUUCGGAUGGAAGUACUAUAAAUAUUUGGGAGACAAACUGGAUACCUAGGGCUGGUCCGUUGCGCCCCAUAAUAUCUAGAUCAGAUAAUCCUCCGGUGUUUGUCUCUGAACUGAUUGAUGCAACGACAGCAACAUGGAGAGAAGAUUUGAUAAGAGCAAAUUUUAUACCUUUUGAUGCUGACGCCAUUAUGUCCAUCCCGUUGUGCACCAGGGUAAUUGAUGAUUUUUGGGCCUGGGAGGCCGAGAGGAGCGGGAGAUUCACAGUAAGAUCAUGCUACCGGAUGGUCAUGAACAAAAAUUCCAUAGAGAGAACUGGAUAGAGGAACAUGCUGGAGCAUCUGACUUUACUGCAAGAGGAAAAGCAUGGAAUGAUCUAUGGCACAUUAAAGUCCCAACGAAACUGAGGGUGUUCUUAUGGAGACUUGCGCAACAUUCCAUGCCAUCCAUGGAUGUACUGCAUCAUCGCAACAUGGCGACCACACACCUUUGUGCGCUCUGUGGCUGUGCCGACUCAUGGAGGCACACUCUUUUUGAUUGCACCAUGUCACGAUGUAUUUGGUCUUUGUCAGAGGUUUCUUUGGUUGAAAGAGUUAGCAUGAACACAGAUACGAAUGCUCAGAAUUGGCUCUUUGCAAUGCAUGAUCAACUACCACAAAGGGAUUUUGUGCCUUUGGUUGUAACUCUCUGGUCGGCAUGGAAGGCGAGACGUAAGGCAAUAUAUGAAGGUAUCUUUGAAAGUCCAGACUCCACACAUCAGUUUAUUAAAGCCUAUCUGAGGGAUCUUGACACACUUGAGGAGACAGGAAACAAGCCUCCAGAACGGCGACAAAGCAGACCGAACCAGUGGCUCAAACCUCCAGACGGAAUGUUCAAGUUCAAUGUCGACGCUGCAGUUCCCCAGAGCCGGAGUCGCGGCAUAGCAGCAACGAUAUGUCAUGACCAAAAUGGAUGCAUUCAGGGAGCAUCAGCAUUAGUGGUGAAAGGAAGUUUUGAUCCUCCGACUGUUGAGGCUCUGGCUAUUCGGGAAGCAUUGGCACUUGCUGCAGAUCUUAAUAUACAAAGUGCACAUGUAGCUUCGGAUUGCAGAACGGUGGUAGAUGAUAUUAAGCAAAGGAACCCAGUAAGCUAUGGGGCGAUCUUACAUGAAAUAAUAGAUCAGAGCUCUUCUUUAAGUAGAUGUAGCUUUGUGCAUGAGUUUAGGAGCUCGAAUUUCGAGGCUCACAAUCUAGCGAAGCAUUGUUCAAAUUUAGGGGUGGGCCGCCAUGUUUGGUUAGGGCACCCCGGUGAUCUCUCUUUUGUACCCAUGAACAUCGUUUUGAUCUAAAUAAAGCUUCGCGAGAUUGUCUCAAAAAAAAAACAUUAAGUGUAUUUAUCCAUUUUGUCACACCACUAAAUUAUUGUUUAUCCAUUUUGUUACGUGAAUACUAGAAGUUGUAGUGGCUACGUCCUACUGUGCAAGGAAUGGUCGAGGGUUCGAGACAAGGGGGCUUCAUUUUUCGUCAAUUUCACACUUCACUAACACCCACCUCUCGCAGAGCUGAAAGNNNNNNNNNNNNNNNNNNNNNNNNNNNNNNNNNNNNNNNNNNNNNNNNNNNNNNNNNNNNNNNNNNNNNNNNNNNNNNNNNNNNNNNNNNNNNNNNNNNNNNNNNNNNNNNNNNNNNNNNNNNNNNNNNNNNNNNNNNNNNNNNNNNNNNNNNNNNNNNNNNNNNNNNNNNNNNNNNNNNNNNNNNNNNNNNNNNNNNNNNNNNNNNNNNNNNNNNNNNNNNNNNNNNNNNNNNNNNNNNNNNNNNNNNNNNNNNNNNNNNNNNNNNNNNNNNNNNNNNNNNNNNNNNNNNNNNNNNNNNNNNNNNNNNNNNNNNNNNNNNNNNNNNNNNNNNNNNNNNNNNNNNNNNNNNNNNNNNNNNNNNNNAAUUAAAAAGGCCUCACUGACAGCAGGGCAGAUGCCACAUUGGCAUGCCAACUCAGCAUCAUUACGUAUCCAAACAUGAUUUGCAUCGUAUUUGCACGCCCGAGCCAAGUUUUUGCACCAGUUCAAUGUAUGCCACAAGUUCUAGCACCAAAGUGAUCGUUUGCGGCAAGUUCAAGCACCACCGGUGUAAUUGACUCUCCUCUAGCUGCCUCAGUUCGACCUCAAUGAGGCGUUUCCCACAAAGUGAGACGGUGAGAUGCCAGUCCGCUGUCCGGGGCCAUCGCCGUCGCCGGCGGCAAGUAGGGAUCCCUUGCAGGUAGCACGGCCCGCGUCCGGUGCGUCCAAGCCCGGGCCUAAGUUGUGGCAGCUGCUCCCAUGCCUAUGUUCUCCUCAGUUCGAGCUCAGAGACGAUUCACACAAGGUGAGAUGUUGUCUGCCGUCUAAGGCUGUUGCCGUCGGCAAGGCGAGAGCUAUUGCGGGUAGCACCGCUUGCAUCCGGCACGCCAAAUAAGUUGUGGCAGCUGCUCCAUGCCGUUGUUCCCCGUCAAAUAGCAUCGCGUGCAGGGGCGGUCAGCUGGUACCCCAAGAUACAGCACAAGCUCGUGAAGACUCACUUGAAGUUUGGAGCUCGAUGCAACCUCACAGGGAGAGGUGAGUGCUACCCCCAUAUGCUACUUCAUCUACCUGUAAUUUCCCUUUCCUGUAGCUCAAAGUAAUGGAAACAGAGGAGGGGCAGAGUGUAUGCACAUAUGCAUGUACUCUUAGUUUUCAAUCACACGAGCGCAAGAGCAAGAGGCAAGACUACAUUUAACUGGAAAACUAAAUCAUGAAGGAAUAACCAGCAACUAAUUUGUAUGCAUAUAUAUCUUUAUUUGAGCAUAAAACUGUUGUACAUCUAACAUCAAAAGGAAUGGUACGAUAAAGUAUUACAUGACUUGACUGGCUACCCAAAACCUAGAAGAACAAAGAAACAAUUUCAAUGACAAAAUUAAAGCGUGCAAGUAUAUUAAAGUACAUAUGUGCCAGAAGUUCUGAAUUUAUGUCUUGUCAACAUAUAUUAUUCAUGAACUGAGAACCACAAAUGACUGCAAGCGCAAUUAAGUAGCAAAAGGUGGUUAUUUAGGCUUCAAAGUUAAAGCCAGAAAGAAGUAACCGGUCAAUGUCUGUUAUGAACUGAGGGACCAAUCAAAUCUGAUACUAUUCUAACCUAAAUACUACAUGAGUACACAUAGUAAAGAAAUUCUAAAGCCGCUUGACUUGAAGUAGCCUCUGCAGGCUUGUCAGUGUGGAUUGCACACAGAAAAUGCAUUGCUCUACUUGUCUAGUAAUUAACCAUCUGCUUGACAGGACAAAAGACCAUAUGCUUGACAGGACAAAAGGAUAUGAUAAUUGUAUUAGGCUAGUAUUACUGUACCACCAAUUCAAUCAAAUGGUCUCUGGUGCUGCACAUCCAAACUACACUGGUUAAUUGUAGCCUAUGAUUAACUGAUAGAUUGAUCAAUAAAGCAAUUUAAUUACAGUCCGCGAUUGGGCUAGGAAUUGUGGUAGCCUGUUAGUUGGGCCUUGGAACUGUUCUCCUUGGAGCCGAGCUGCGCCGCCAUGGCGGAUAGGCCUUCCACACGCUUGGAUACCCCACUGCCACCCAACAACAAGUGGUGCAGUGGAUGCAUGGGAGAUCCGCACACGCACACACGUCUGCUGGGUCCAGUGCCAAGGGAGCUAGACCUAACCAACAAAGAACUUGCCAAAGACGUUCUAAUCUGCCAGCUAAUCUACAAAGAAAUUCUAGAAUCAACCAAGAAUUCUACCCUGCGCUCAAAUCUGCCGUUAACCAAAAGAUGUCUACCUAAUAUACUAAUCCCAAAUCCAGAGGAUUUUUUUAACAAAUAAGAGGUAUAUUUAAUGCAACACCAGGAAGAAUGAUAUUGUUGCACCUUGAGUUCAUGCCUCAUGGAAAUCAAUUUCUACAUCUGUUAUGGUCGGCCGGUCAUAUGAAAGGCCCAUCGGACAAUCUUAGCCCACAAGUUAUCUUAGGUUAAUUCGUGUGCAAGUUAUCUAGGUUAUAAAUAUAAGUUGUAAGACUCUUUUCAGAUCAAACAAUAAGAAGAAUAUUAUCUCCUAUUGCCCGGCUCCCUGAGGAGCCGGAAACCCUAGCCGCCAACAGCCCUAGCUGCCGCCCUUCUCCUCUCCCGCGACGGCGCCCAGCCGCCGGCGCGGCCGCUCAUCGCCACGCCUAGCCCCCUCCUUCCCCUACUGCCUACGGCCAAGACCGGACAGAACCCUAGCCCCUAACACCUUGGUAUCAGCUAGCUUCGGUUCGAUCAUGUCUUCACCGCCGCCCAACCCGUCUCUUCCACUGCCGGUCACGACCGUCGCCCCGCUCCUGCUCGCGCCGGGAUCCUCCGUCGCGCCCGCCCCCGUCGUCCUCACCCCGGAGGUGUCCGGGGCGCUGCGGGACCUCACACAGGCGGUCCAGGAGAUCCACCUAUUCUUGGCCGGGUCCUAUGGGCCGCACCCGGCUGCGCCGCCCAUCACCGCCACCGCACCGCCGUGGCUGCCGUGGCAGCCGCCGCACCAAGCGGCCCCCGCCGCGCUCGCCGGGCUACUGCAGCAGCCGCUGCAGCUGCCAUCCAUCGCCCCGUCCUGGCUGUCAUGGUAGCCGCCGCACCAGGCGGCCUCCGUCGCGCUUGUCGGGCUGCUGCAGCAGCCGCUGCAACUGCCAUCCACCGCCACCACCGCCCCGUCCUGGCUGCCGUGGCAGCCGCCGCACCAGGUGGGCUCCGCCGCGCUCAUCGGGCCGCUGCAGCAGCUGCCAUCCACCGCCCCUGCCCUGGCUGCAGUGGCAGCCACCGCUCCUGGCGACCUCCGCCGCGCCCGGCGCUCCGCCGCAGCAGCCGCUGCAACUGCAGCAGCCAUCACCGGUCAGCUCCGGCCCCGCAUCGACCGCGCCGAGGGGAGUCCCGAUCCACCAGAUCAAGUUCCCGCCGUCGCCAUCACCGCUUCCCCAGGGCGUCCCCAUCCAGCAGAUCAAGCUUCCGCCGUCGCCGUCACCGCUUUCAGCUUGGAUCACUACCCGCCAUGUGUCGGCGACGGUGAGGCUGCAGGCUGCUGCACGCGGCCUCCUAGCGCGUCGGCGUGUGCGGGAGUUGCGUGGUCUGCAGCUGCCGCUCCUCCCAGUUGCGCUUCGCUGCGCAAAGGACCUCGAUCUCAUCCACUGCGUCGGGGAUCUUGGGCAUGCUGUUUUCCUCACGGGCAGCGACCUCCAAGUCUACGACAUUGGUGGUUGGGGGGGCGCACCCCUCCUCGUCAUUCUCCAUCGCAAGCCCCCCACUCUUCCCUGUGCGGUGCAGACCAACAGCCGUCCGGCAGGAAGAAGGCAUGGUGUCACCGACAACAACGCACCACGUAGCACCACUGCAUUCCGUCACCGGGCGCCGCAAGGGCGCCUCUGCUGGUCACUCUUGCGACCACUUCCAGGUGGUCCUACACAUGCACUCCUUUUGUCCAGAUGGUGUCCAUGGGAUCCAGGUGGCUGUACACGUGCAUGUCCGACGUGCGGAUGGUGUCCACUUUUUGUUAAGGGGUCCAAAAUAAAGCGUCCCAGUCCAUUUUAGGUUGAGAAUAAUAAAACAAGCCGAGAUGUAAAAGGCUUGUUUUUAGGUGUUAGGUUUGGGUUGCGUCGAGUCAUGGUUAUAAGUUGGUUAGGCUGCAGCUUGAGGACAAGCUGCAUGUCCAGGUGGGGUGUAGUGUUAGAGUACGUAAUGGGCCUAAUGGGCCCGUUAGUCUUAGGGAUAAUUAGAGAUAAGAGUCGCUUUCUUAGGGUCAAGUAAGCCUUGCUUGGGAGUCAAGUAAACCUCUCUAUAUAAAGAGAGGAGAUGCAUCAAUCUAAUCAAGCAAGAAUUAAGAAGGAAAUCCUUCCAUCUUGCCCGGCCGUGGGCAAAAGGCCCCCGGCCGGCCUUCUUGCGCCCUCCUUCUAGCAGCGCCAUAACAAUUUGGUAUCAGAGCCCCGCCUCUACCUGGCAGGUCCGUACGGGCCGCCCCCACCACUCCAUCCAGCCAUGGCCGCGGGUCAGCAGGCGCUUCCGUGGUACUCGGCACCGGGGGCCAUCACCGGACUCCAUCCAGCCAUGGCCGCGGGUCAGCAGGCGCUUCCGUGGUACUCGGCACCGGGGGCCAUCACCGGAGGCUACUCGGCGCUCCCCGCCCAAGCGGCCNNNNNNNNNNNNNNNNNNNNNNNNNNNNNNNNNNNNNNNNNNNNNNNNNNNNNNNNNNNNNNNNNNNNNNNNNNNNNNNNNNNNNNNNNNNNNNNNNNNNNNNNNNNNNNNNNNNNNNNNNNNNNNNNNNNNNNNNNNNNNNNNNNNNNNNNNNNNNNNNNNNNNNNNNNNNNNNNNNNNNNNNNNNNNNNNNNNNNNNNNNNNNNNNNNNNNNNNNNNNNNNNNNNNNNNNNNNNNNNNNNNNNNNNNNNNNNNNNNNNNNNNNNNNNNNNNNNNNNNNNNNNNNNNNNNNNNNNNNNNNNNNNNNNNNNNNNNNNNNNNNNNNNNNNNNNNNNNNNNNNNNNNNNNNNNNNNNNNNNNNNNNNNNNNNNNNNNNNNNNNNNNNNNNNNNNNNNNNNNNNNNNNNNNNNNNNNNNNNNNNNNNNNNCUCGCCACCAUGGAGCCGCAGUGGCCCCCCUGGACCGCGCCGGCCGCGCCGUCCUCCGUCGCGCCCUACCGUCCACCGGCCUCGGAGCAGGGUCCUCCACCGGCCCCGCCCAGCCCUAACCUGCGCCUCGGAGCAGGGCCAGACCCAGCAGCUUCUUCCGGCGUCACCGCCGGCCCCCACGCCGCAGGCGCCGCCGCCAUCGACAGUACCACCACCCGCGCCUAGGGCUACGGGUCGGCCCCUGCACCGGGUGCAGUUUCCACCGUCACCAUCGCCGAUCCCCGCUUGGGCGACCGGCUCGUCUCCGGGCCCGGUCUACUCCACGGCGCCGGAACACCCGACGCCCUCCCUGCGGUUUGAUCACCCCUCCAGCUCGGCGAACUAUGCCCCGGCGCUUCCAGACCCAGCAUACGCGUCGGCGGCGACUGCGGCCGCCCCCGGGCACGGCGGGCCGACACCCCCUCGCUUCGCCAAACUGGACUUCGCCACCUACGAGGGCACGGAGGACCCCCUCAACUAGCUCAACCAGUGCGAGCAGUUCUUUCGAGGGCAGCGGACGCUCGCUUCGGAUCGCACCUGGCUUGCGUCCUAUCAUCUUCAGGCACAGCGCAGACCUGGUACUACGCCCUCGAGCAGGACGAGGGCGGCAUGCCACCAUGGGAGCGCUUCCGGGAGCUCUAUCUCCUCCAGUUCGGGCCUCCUAUCCGCGGGAGCCGACUGGCGGCCCUCGGUCGCUUACCUUUCACAUCUGCGGUGCAGGACUACGCCGACCGCUUCCAGGCCCUGGCGUGCCACGCGCCGGGCGUCUCCGCAACUCAGCGCGCCGAGUUAUUUGUGGGCGGCCUACCAAACCAUAUACGCGUGGACGUGGAACUUCGGGGACCCCAGGAUCUCCAGUCGGCCAUGUAUUACGCCCGCGCAUUCGAGCGCCGCCGGUGGCCAUCCAGCAGGAAUCACCGUCCCAGACUGCUGGGUCGCUACCCGGACCGAAUUCCACGCAGGGUCGGCCCGUGCAGGCUUCUGCGGCACCCCUCGCCGCGACCGCGGGGCGCCCGUUCCGCCGGCUCACCCCAGCUGAGAUACUCGAGCGUCGCCGCCAAGGGCUGUGCUUCAACUGCGACGAACCCUACAAGCCCGGCCACGCCUGCCCGCGACUCUUCUACCUGGAGGUGGCAGACUACAGUCCGGAGGACGCCGUCGCCACCGACCUGGCCGCCCCAGAUGUCGAGAAGGUGUUUGACGCUGGUUGAUUCCCUCGAAGAGUUCAAGCAAGCGCUUCCCCACCUUACAGCUCGAGGACAAGUUGUUUGUGCAGGCGGGGAGAAGUGUUAUGGCCGGCCGAUCAUAUGGAAGGCCCAUCGGGCAAUCUUAGCCCACAAGUUAUCUUAGGUUAAUUCGUGUGCAAGUUAUCUAGGUUAUAAAUAUAGGUUGUAAGACUCUUUUCAGAUCAAGCAAUAAGAAGAAUAUUAUCUCCUAUUGCCCGGCUCCCUGAGGAGCCGGAAACCCUAGCCGCCAACAGCCCUAGCUGCCGCCCUUCUCCUCUCCCGCGACGGCGCCCAGCCGCCGGCGCGGCCGCUCAUCGCCACGCCUAGCCCCCUCCUUCCCCUACUGCCUACGGCCAAGACCGGGCAGAACCCUAGCCCCUAACAACAUCAGAAAGGGACAAACGCAUUGAACGACAUCACUUUGAUAUAGAAUAAUGAAGAGCGAACAUGAGACAACUAAACAAUAAAACAUGAACUUAUGUUUAUUUGGCAUGCAAGAAUUGAAGCAUACAUGAUAAAGAUGAAAAAUCAGCAAAGAUGUAUCUACAGAACCUCUGAGCAGCAAUGCAUAUACUUUACACUGUUGAUGUUCUAUAGCUAGGAUCUCCAGUUUAACCAAAUAUCACUACCAAAUAAAUGGAAAUAAAUAGUUCACAACCUUGAGCUCAGUAACAAAAAUCCUAGAGCAUGAAUGCGCAAUCGUCCUCUGAAGGAGAGACGCAAUGACUUGCAAUAUUUUUUCCCUUUUAUUUUUCAUAAGAGCUUUUAUUCAAUUUUUGUAUCCAAAUCCCCCCUCCCCCUCUAGCAAUGCAUAUACUUUACACUGUUGAUGUUCUAUAGCUAGGACCUCCAGUUUAACAAAAUAUCACUACCAAAGAAAUGGAAAUAUAUAGUUCACAACCUUGAGCUCAGUAAAAAAUAUCCUAGAGCAUGAAUGCGCAAUCGUCCUCUGAAGGAGAGACGCAAUGACUUGCAAAGUUGCAAUAUUUUUUCCCUUUUAGUUUUCAUAAGAGCUUAUUCAAUUUUUGUAUCCAAAUUGAUCUGCCUAAAUAUUCAAGCUGAUACUUAGAAGGCACAAAGUUGAAAGACAGUUGCAGAACCUACCAUUGCAUUUGACUAAGAAAUUCACAGGAUUUUAAGAUGAGACAGAAACAGCAACCUUAUAUAACUAAGGAGCACCAGUUAAAUCAUGCAUCGGGUAGUUCUUAAUGGAAACAAAACUGUAUAUAAUAACUUUAGUUAUGUAUCUUCAGGAUGAAAAGCAUGGGAAAGAAGUGAACCAGAAUCAAUAAGUUCAUUGAGAAUCUGCCACUCAUGAUUGCUGUCAAUAUACAUGUGAACACUUUUCUAGAUUUCUUCAAGCUCAGUCAUUUUCUUUAAGACAAGCUCUUCCAUUUUGCGAGCUUUCAAAUGCUUCAGUCUCUUGACCUCAACCUCUACCCAAACAACGGGGGAAAGGAAUUUCACAUGACAUUUACUAUAAUUUAAAGAAAUUAGCUUGAUGAAAAUAGAAAGAAAAUAAGUAAAUAAAUAGACAAUCAAGAAUCAACUCUAACCUUCUUAAUAAGGUCAUGUGCAAGGCAUCCUUGGGGCAUCGCUGUAUUUUGUGAGACUGAAAUCAAAGAAGUAACAUGAUCAAAGCAUUUCUGUUCAUCUAAUGGUGUGUCUAUUAGACUCCAUAACUCAAUGAGUGUGCUUCCAUGAUCUUGUAGCUGCAAUAGAUAAUGCAAAUUUCAACAAUAUGGAUCUUUGAUACAAAGAAAUAUGGAACAAUAUUUAGCAGAAGUUGAAAGGAAAGCAUGCUAAAAUGCACAAGUCAGUAAACCAUACACUGGUCAGGAAUAAAACUGAAUUAGGAUGGCAAACCAUGUCAUGUAUAGUGUAUGUAAAUCAUAAUGGAAUGGCAUAAACCAAAUAAAUCAAACUACAAAAGGUUUAGAAAAAUUCAUGAUAUGCUUUGCUAAGCUGAAUCGCAUUAUAAUGUCAAGUCUCAAAUUCAAUGACUGGCAUACUGGAGGUCAAAUAGUAAAACAAUAUAUGCCAAGGUGAAAGCAUUGAAGUAAGAUAGAUACAUGCUCCUGCUUUUAUUAAAUGUACAGGUACAUUGAAUCAUAAGAGUUACAAGCAAGACAACAUAUUCGACAGUUCAGGAAAAAUAAAUCAUGAUAUGAUUUGCUAAGCUGAAUCAUAUUAUCAGGUCAACUACUCAAACACAAUGACAGGCCCAUACUGGAGGUCAACAGUAAAACAUAUAGACUAAGGUGAAUACGCUAAAGAUACACACAGACCCAUACUUUUGUUAAAUGACAAACAUGAACAGCAAACAUCAGUACCUUCCGGAGCCUCUGUUUCUUUUCUUGAUUUAGUGCAUGAACUUUUCCUGCAAGCCUAUCAAGUGUGCUAUCACUUAUACUCAUGGAUUUGAUUCUUUCCAAUUCAACAAAGCUGGGAUGAACUUCAUAUAAUGUCUUCUUAAGAUCAAGAGACAUCAUGUUGCACAUUUCAUUAAUACACUUGAUCUGACCAUCAAUCUUUGCAGUAUGAGAUUCUGAAAACACAUCAGGACAAACAAUUUAAGCGUCAGAAUUGAAAGAUUCAGGAAAUGAUAGGCUUAUACCAGGUGUCUAACCUUUUCUGUGUGGAGCUCAUCACUGUCCCUUCUUUCUCCCUCACCUCCCUAUCUCCUUUCUGCCCAGGAGCGCCAUGGAUUUCUGCCCAGGAGCCACCAUGGAGCCGACCGGGAAGCGUGCUCCGGCCUUCCUCCGCGUCACCGGCACACCCCCCCGGCAGAUCCGGGCCCUGCAAGCUCCGUCCGCUGCCGUUCUGCAUCGAACCGCGAGCCCUCCCGGGCGGCACACAGUGACGAGCUCGGGCGCGCGUGGAGGAGAGGAGGAUCUGAGGCUUAACGGUGGUGCAGGGUGCUGUGCUCGCCGGCGCCGACCGGCGCACGUCGCGGCAACGGAUCGAGCGUCGCCGGGGUCGGUCGCCUCCUGGCGGCUGGGAUCGGGAGGUGAGGGAGAGCCCGUGCUCUAUUUUUUGCUUGUGGACCAAGGGUUGAAUAUUGGAAACUACAGGGGGCGUUUAGAAAAACAACCUGAACGAAACGUUUUUCUCACUUAAUAAAGGACUGCGGGUUGAAUACUAAAAUACAGAGUUUCCCCGUGCAAAGAUUAGGUAAAGAUAAAGAUAUAGUGUGGCUUUCGUUUCUUAGCCACUAGAGUUUCCUCGUCGCACUGGUUAGCUGCGUGGUCGUGUUUGCCGCUGUUUGUGGGUUCGACUCCCACCAGGGCGUAGUUUUUCUUUUAUUUUCACGCCUCGCUGCCUUAAAUGGGUCGGCCCAGGUCAUCUAUGCCCUAUCCGAUUCAUCGACUGUUUGCCGGGGCCAUUGCAGAGAGUAGGCUACUGUAGCAGACGGCCUUUGUAUGUCCAGUGUCCUGUAGCAACCGAGUUUUAGUGCUUUAAAAAUUUUAAGCUUUUUUUAUAGAAAGAAUAUAUUUUUAGAACGCAAACAAUUUUCGAAAUUUCUGAAGAUUUUUUGAAAUUCCGUACAUUUUUUGAAAUUGGGAACAUUUUUUGAGACCUAGAAUUUUUUUUGAAAAUCCAAACUUUUUAUUAAAAAGCGAACAUUUUUUGAAACUCCCGAACAAAAAUUGAAACACGAACAUAUUUUUUGAAUUUCAAACAAUUCUUUAAAUGGAAACAUUUUUUGAAACUCCCAAAAAAAUUGAAAGCAUAAACAUUUUUUGGAAAUUGGCCAACAAAUUUUGAAAAUGGGAACGUUUUUUGCGUCCUGACAGGGCCAUCGGAAUAUAACCCUGUCAGGACGCAAAAAAUGGCGCGCCCCACCAGACACCCUGUCUAAUGGGUAGCGCGAGUAAUAGCCUGUUUUGCGCGACCGAUUUGAUCUUCAAGAUGACCUUUGAUCAAAAAACAAUCAACAUGAAAGUUAUUCGUCUCGUCGAAACGGUCAAGAUUGCUUUUGGGAUCGUUUCCAUCCAAGGUCGUUUACCACCUUAAUAGUUACUCGCAAGGUGCAGCCAGUUUAAACCGAACAGUUUUGGAAAGUUCAGACAAAACCAAUCCGAAUUUGACUAGGGUUUUGGACAUGAAUCCAAGCCUUUUCCUUUCACGGGAAGUCUAGCCACCUCUUAUAUACCUAAGGGGUGACGACCGAUUGAACAACACACAACGAUCAAAUCAUCUACCACUUUUUAUCUUUUAUCUUUUCUCCUUAACCCUAGUUUUUUUUCUUCCUCGUUCUUCGUCUGUUCUUCUUGUUGCAGGGCGGCGAACCUCGAGGCCCUAGGGGCGAUCAGGUCGACCUAGGGCAGCCCACAGCCGCCGCGCGCCCUGACGGGCUCCCUCCCGGGUGCGUGGGGUUUCGGGUCUUCAAAAGCACCCACCGGAUUGCUUGCAUACCGCGCUUUUGGCAGGUCUCCUUCGAUGUGAGCUGCGGUGCAUCACCCCCGGCGUCGAGCGUACAUGGUGACAUGUUCAUGUGCGAACAUACUUUUUGGCGACUCCGCUGGGGAUGAAGCUUUGAACGGUCUCCAGCCCGUUCUUGUUACAAAGAGAUCGUCAUCUAGGGUUUGUAAUCUACAAAGGUAAUAUGAAUACCCAAUUCACUUAUGUAGAUGCAAAUAAUGCAUAUGUUGUUGCCAGAUCGCUUAAUGAGCAUAAUGUAUCGGCUAGCCCUAGUUUUAUCAAUUAUGCAUCUAAUUAUUCGUAACAGCCGAUUCAGAAUAAUCUUCAUGCUUCAACUUCAUAUAAUUUUAGCAACAUGCAAGAUAUGUAUCCCAACUCCCAUGCAUCGGCAACCCCACAAAUCUAUAUGCCGAUGAACAACAUGAUGAGUUUGUUUAAUCAAGUCGAGACACACCAUGUAGGAACUUCCAAUAGUAUGCAACAAAGUGUUUCAACUUUUUAUUCAUCGGCAAAUAACUUGCAGUAUGUUAAUCCAAACGUGUCGGUGGAUAGGGGAAUUGGACAUGCUACUACUAGUUAUUCAACCAAUACCCUCAAACAUCAUAUGCUACACCUCAUGCUACUAAUUUUCUGGCACCAUAUGCAACUGUUGAUGUCCAUAAUUCGGCUCCGCACCUUCAUGGUCAUGGCCGAAUAAGUGAAACUUCUACAGGAGCACAAAUGCCUUCACCUACUACCGUGGCAUAUCAUGUCCCCCCAACACAAUUACAGAAUUUCGGCAACAUCUCAUUGACAAAAGAGUCUAAAAGCAUCGAGGGGCAACCAUAUCCAGAUUGGGUAAUUGAGAAAAAGCUUACAUUCUCUUGGGAUUUGUGCAACGCUAUUCGCCAGGAACUAAUAGAUGGCGGGAAGCCUCAUGACUUUGCUACUGUAAAAGCAAGAGUUGUGCAAAUGAUGCAUUCGCCUAGUUCUGUAGCAACCAAUGUGCCCCCUAAACAAUUGCAAAGUUUCGGCACCUCAUUGCUAAAAGAGUCUCAAAGCAUUGGGGGGCAAUUUCAUGAGGAGUGGAUGCAAAUUGAGAUGAAAAAGUUUAAAGCUCGCCAAACUAAGAUGUGGGCUAAAAUAAGACAAGAGCGAGAAGGCUUGCAAAUUCAAAAAGAGAAAAGUAUUGAUUCAGGUAACAAAGAAAAUCCGGUUAUUGAAAAAGCCGAAUCAAAUAGUAUGUGUACCGAAUCUAUCGAAGAAAAAGAGGAUGCCAAGGCAUUGGACAGUUAUUCAAAAGUGGAACAUAGUAUUAUUCAAGUGAUAAAACCAUCAUGCUCUCCCAACGUGUAUGAAGAGGUAUGUCUACCAAGUGAUUUACCUAUUUUCAGAUUUGGUCACAACUUUAUUGUUGAUGCAUCUAUUAGAAAAAAUCUUAUAAGUAAUUUUGAAGGACCAAUGAUGAAGGGUAAUUUACUUGUGAGCAACAAAAUUGUUACAAAGUAUAUCGGUCAACCUAUUGUCCCAUUCAUAAAGACCGAUAGUGACUUAUUAUUGCAGCCAAAGGCUUCCCCAUUGCUUUACUUAAAACUUAUCUCUAAGGGGGUAGCUUUGCUUGUUUCAUACUUGGCUUUCACUUGGUCUCAAUUGAGACACGUGUGUUCUAACUAUUUUCGUUUCAAAAAUUUAAAGCCAAUGUUAAAUUCUUUUGAGAAAUCCGAUGCUAAUAUAAUAUCUUAUCCAAAGACAUCGGAUUUAGAGUGGAAAACACAAUGCAUAGCCGAAUGGGGAGAUUCCAAAUCUGUACCAUUUGUUUGCUUACCUCCAAAGCCGUUCGUACACCAAGAUCGGCUAGAAAACAAGAAGUAUACCUUCAACUCAAGCAUGUGUGAUCAAAUAUUUGAUUUGUUGCUGAAAAAUAAUUACAUUAGAAUUCUUGAUCACUAUGUCAAGCCAUCCAUCCAGGGACGAAUGUAUUGCAAGUUGCAUGAUUCGUCCAAGCAUAAUUUCGAGGAUUGCAACAUGUUUUGUCAAAUAGUUAAAUCGGCCAUUGAUAAGGGACGAUUGAAAUUUGUUGAAACACCGACAGAUGACCAGUCUAUUCCAAUUGGUCCUGAUGGCAAAAACUUUUUGCAUCGGCUGCUUCAAGCCGAUCCAUUAAAGAGAAGGUAAAAAUUGCAGGUGAUGAGAUCAAGAUUUCAAGUAAAGAAGUUGUUCAAGAGCACAAUGAAAAUAUUCUUGAAGGCAUGAGUUCUAUUGAAGUUACAGUAAAGACGCCAAGGACUGGGGGGCAACAUGCAAAUCCUAUGAUCAAUGAAAGCAAACAAAAAAAACAAAGACCGAAAUAAGCGCAAGGGUAAGAGAUCGAAAAUAACCUUUGCUGAAUUAUUAGAUAAAUAUCAAAAAAAAGAGUGAAGAGAAAAGUGCUUAUCGGUCAAGUAGUUUAGAAGCAUCAAGAUCACCCCCUAAAAUCUCUAUGAGCAUAUUCAUGUCCUUACUUUGGGCCGCUAAUGCCAAUGUCAUGGAUACCUCCUUAUGCUCAUGUAAAUCCAUAUCCAUCAUGGGACAUGUAUAAUAUAAGGGCACAUUCUCCAUCUUAUUUUAGACCAUCUCACCAAUACUAUGCAGUUUCAAGAAGAUCAACAUUUGAAAAAUCACACGUCAAAGACCGUUUCAAUCAUAAGGAAUCAGUCCAGAGCUCAUGGAAGAAGAAAGAGGUGGUCAAGCAAGUUUACCGCGUGAAAAGAGAUGGUCAUAAGUGUGCUACUUCAGAUUUGAUCUCAAAUAACAAAGAGCCAAUUAAAGUGUUGACAUUGGCUACAAAAGGCAAUGAGGCAAGUCAAUCAAGUGUCAAAUUUGAAGAAAAGAAGUUGAGAGUGCGCAAGGUAAAAAAAUAAUUUCCAUUACUUCAAACAAAAUCACAGCCGGGGUGCUCACUCGGCUUAUCAUAUCGGGAAAAAAAGAAAUUACAAAAACUUAGUGCACAAAAACUUGAAGAAAGAAACAUGGCAUGGGUUUCUAAAGGAACCACUCAAAAUAAGAAUUAUGUGAAAGCAUCCAUUACAUGACAUGCGGCAAAGAUGAAGAAGGAAAAGAGUGAAAACUAUGAAGGGCCAAGCCGAAUGUUUCAACAUCUUCGGUUCACACAUUAUUCAUAUUCUUCAACUAUGCCGUUGAUGGCUAUGCCAUGAAAUUCGUCAUCAAGUAUGAUUGGUUACCCUCAAUGGGCUUAUUUUAAUCCAUGGAUGCAAUAUAAUUUCUUACAUCAUGAAGGGGUAUUACCAAAUUAUUAUAUGUUCGAUUAGCUUCACUUUUGUUUCUAAUCUAAAUGGCCGAUAUAUACAUAUCGUCCUAAGCACGUACGAAUGCCGAUGAAGUGUUGACAUCGCACUUAGAACAAACUUCGUGCAAGUUAUUUUUCGGCACACAAGUUUUGCCAAAAACAGAGGGGCAAGUGUUGACACCAGAUUUUGGCACGGUCAAGAACUUAACUAAUAUGGUCUCAAAUGGAGAAGUGAUCUACUAGAAAAAGUUUCGUAUUGUCAACAUGAACAUCUUUGAAGUUUGGGCCAUCGCCAUCCGACCUCAUCUCAAGGGCCGAAACUAUGCUCAAAGUAUUAAGAUUUUGUUUUCAAAGUAUUGUUCGGCCAAUUAAGACUCCAAGACGACCUCAUAUGAGAAAAGUUUCUACACGAAUUGUCUUCGUCUCGUUAAAACGGUCGAUUUUCAUAUAAAAUCAUCCCAAUCCGAGUUGGUACGCAAAAGUUAGAGCCAUCAGAAUACAGCCUUGUCAGGACGAAUAAUAGCGUAUUUUGGGCGACCGAUUUGACCCUCAAGAUGACCUCUGAUCAAAACACAUUCAACAUGAAAGUUAUUCGUCUCGUUGAAAAGGUCAAGACUGCUUUUGGGCUCGUUUCCAUCAGAGGUCGUUUACCACCUCAAAAAUUACAGCCGAGGUGCCUAAUUCUACGUGCAGGCUGCCGACGACGAGCAGGAGUAGUUUAGGAGGAUCCCAGGCAGGAGGUCUGCGCCUCUUUCGAUCUGUAUCCCAGUUUGUGCUAGCCUUCUUAAGGCAAACUUGUUUAACUUAUGUCUGUACUCAGAUAUUGUUAUUUCCGCUGACUCGUCUAUGAUCGAGCACUUGUAUUCGAGCCCUCGAGGCCCAUGGCUUGUAUUAUGAUGCUUGUAUGACUUAUUUGUGUUUUAAAGUUGUGUUGUGAUAUCUUCCCAUGAGUCUCUGAUCUUGAUCGUACACGUUUGCGUGCAUGAUUAGUGUAUGAUUGAAUUGGGGGCGUCAUAGCUAACCUCUCUGUUGUGUGUAGGUAGUGCUGCGACGUGUUGAUCUUCCGAGGCCAGGCAUAACCCAGGAAAGUGUGUCCGGCCAGAGGGAUCGAGCGUGUUGGGUAAUGUGGUGCACCCCUGCAGGAAAGUUUAUCUAUUUCAAUAGUCGUGUUCCUCGGUAAAAGGACGACCCAGAGUUAUACUUUGACCUUAUGACAACUAGAGCUGGAUACUUAAUAAAACACACCUCUUACAAUUUCCGGAUACAACCCGGUGAUCGCUUUUCCACAGGGCGAUGAGGAGAGGAUCGCCGGGUAGGAUUAUGCUAUGCGGUGUUCCUUGAUGCUGCUCUUGCUACUCUCUUCUACAUGUUUCAAGAUGAAGGCUGCCAGAAGCGUAUUCUUCGAUAGGACUAGGUAUCCCUCUUAUUCCAAAUCUGGCCUAAAUCACUGCUUCAAUAUAUUCACAGAGGGCCCAGCAACUCCUAAGAAAAUGGCCCAGAUUGUUUAGCACCGCCCAUCUGCACCGGGUCCGAAAUAGCACCGCUCUGCUGUCCUAGAGCCUGCAAUGUUUCAACUUGUGCUACUCCCGUGUUGUCGCUUCAAACAGCGGCUGUCUCUAGAUUAACCGUGACUGGCAGCAGCACUGUACCCAUAAAGGCACCACUUUGACUUUCUGCUUGAAUAUACCUUUGAAUUAUGGGUACAUCGAGGUGACCAUCCGGGCCGGCGCUGGCUUCCGCAAUCUCAAGUAACUGGUCGUAGCAGCGAGGUGCCAACUGAGAGCACACACAUAUAUAUCUUUGAAUUAUGGGUACAGCUAUUAUCAAGGUAUAUUCAAGCAGAAAGUCAAAGCGGUGCCUUGAUAAUAGCAUAACCCAUAAUUCAAGCAGAAAGUUAUCCGAACCCAUGCUCCAAGGCUGAGGAGUAAUCACAAACAUAACAGCAUCCAUGCUCUAGCCAUAGAGUGCUGCACAGCCUAAACCGAAAGAACUCUGAUUGGACCUCUUGUAGAAGCAAGCUUCAUGAGAAAAUUGAAAUCUGCAUCCUGACCCUCCUCAAGCCUCUGUUCAGCCUGAAUAUAAACAAUCGCCGGUUCGCUGAUGGACAGCGCUUGCAUGGUGAGCUCAAUCCCAGGAUCUGGCGCAAUCGCUCGAGAAGAGAGCUGAGUGACCUGAUUAACACUCUUUUCCCCAGGCUCGUCCGCAUCCGGACGAGCAAGCUCUCUUUUUAUGCUAGAAACCCGCCCGUCCAGAACCACAAGUGACCGGGAGGGCCAAAGCAGGACAGCUGAUAAGAAAGGAUCCACAAGAGAGAUGUGACAAGGGAUUAGAGAGAGAUCAGAGGGCGAGGGAAAGAUUGGGGGAACGAGGAGGAGGGGAGUUGGAACAGAGGAGGAGAGAAGGUUAGAGCGGCAUAGCGCCAGUCCAGAAAGUCCCCUGCGUGUAUAAACUGAUCUGGUUUAUUGAAGACUAGAUGAAAGGAAUUACCCACCGUCCAAACAAAAUUGAGUGAAAGUACAGCAGAUCGGAGAACCAUCGUGCUUACCUGCAAGAGCACCUUCUUGUGAAAUUGGAUGUUAACAGGUGCGGCUGCGCGCCCGUCCGACCUGACAAAAAUAAAAUCCACCAACAAUGGCUCAGCCUGUGAUUCCGCGGAGAGAAGGAGAUAAUUUGAGGGGGGACGCGGGAGAAAAAAUGGGCUCUUACUGCCGGUAGGUGUCGAGGCUGUCGGACGGUGACUCGAGGGCAGCGGCUGGGCCACGGAGAGAGACGCAGCGGAGGCAUCGAGGGCAGCGGCUGGACGAUGCAUCCAGGAUGAAUCUCGGCUGGAUCCAGUGACCUGGGGAGAAGGACCACGCCGCCACGGACUCGGCUGUGCCGUCCAGAUCAGGGGCGUGCGUGGUGAUACGGCGCUGUCUCAUCCUGGGUGUACGGGAAGGACGGAGAUGACCGCUUCAGUUCUUCUGGCCAGGGACAAAAGGCUAGUUCGUUUAGUCCCACAUCGGCUAGCGAGGUAGAGCAGGACCGGUUUAUAAGCCGCGCGCUGCUACUUGUACUGUCCCUUCGGGGACACCCGAUAAAAAUGCUUAAUAUAUGUGGUACCUUGAUGAUUGCACAACAUUGGUUGUCAAAAAAAAGGAUGACAGUUUUUUUUGCCCCUCAAGCUAUACUGAUUUUAUGGAAUGUCCUCAUUGUUCUUGUUUUGAGAUCCAAAAUUUUAUGUAUACUACAAUUUUUAUUAAAAGGUCCACAUAGUUUCAUUUUCCAUCUUUUGAGAUCCUAGCCGCUGCCAUAUUUUGGGUGGCAGGUCAAUAGCCAAUUUUUACUCUUGUUUUUUGCACCUCACGAGUUAUACUGAUUUUGUAGAACGGUCCUCAUAGUUCUUAUUUUGAGAUCCAAAAUUUUAUGAUUUUCACGCACCAUAUUUUCAGCUCCUCACGUAUACUAGUAUUUUUUUUAUUAAAAGGUCUGCAUAAUUUUAUUUCCAUCUUUUGAGAUCCUUAUGCCUGCCAAAUUUUGGGUGGCAGGUCAACAACCAAUUUUUACUCUUGUUUUUAGCCCCUCACGAGUUAUACUGGUUUUACAGAAAGGUCCUCAUAGUUCUCAUUUUCAUAUUUUGAGAUCCAAAAUUUCGGAUUUCACUCUCCAUCUUUUCAACCCCUCACAUAUACCACUAUUUUUAUUGAAAGGUCCACAUAAUUUCAUUUUCAUCUUUUGAGAUCCCUAUAGCUGCCAAAUUUUGGGUGGCAGGUCAACUGCCAAUGUUUACUCUUGAACCAUGGUCAUGUAUACACAUGAAAUACUACCUCUGUUUCAUUUCACUUAGCAUAUUAGAUUUGUCUAAAAUCAAACUUGGACGUCUUGCUUAUUUGGUUUGACUCACUUGUCCGGGGCUUCAUGCGCUUAGCUGUGUAGUUUCCUCUCUUUGGGCCGAGCAUCCCCUAUCUCUCUGCUCCGGGUGCCAUGUUCACGCCUCCUUGUGUUCGUGUAGUGUGUUGUACCUGUGGCGCCCCCGAUUUGACCGUACACUAAUCAUACACGCAAAUAUGUACGACCAAGAUCAGGGACUCACGGGAAGAUAUCACAAGACAACUCUAAACACAAAUUAAAAUAAUACAAGUUUUAUAUUACAAGCCAGGGCCUCGAGGGCUCGAACACAAACGAGUCAGCGGAAGCAACAAUAUCUGAGUACAGACAUAAGUUAAACAAGGUGCCAUAAGAUGGCUAGCACAAACUGGGAUACAGAUCGAAAAAGGCGCAUGCCGCCGGCCUGGGAUCUUCCUAAACUACUCCUGGUCGGCGGCGGCCUGCACGUAGUAGUAGGCACCCUCGGUGUAGUAGGGGUCAUCGUCGACGGUGGCGUCUGGCUCCUGGGCUCCAACAUGUGGUUGCGACGUCCGAGAAGAAUGGAAAGGGGGAAAAGAGGGAGCAAAGCAACCGUGAAUACUCAUCCAAAGUACUCGCAAGUAAGGAUCUACACCACAUAUGCAUUGGUAACAAUGAAACGGGUAGUAUCUGUGGACUGAACUGCGGAAUGCCAGAAUAAGAGGGGGAUAGCUAGUCUAUCGAAGACUACGCUUCUGGUAGCCUCCAUCUUGAAGCAUGUAGAAGAGAGUAGCAAGAGCAGCAUCAAGGAACACCGCAUAGCAUAAUCCUACCCGGCGAUCCUCCCCUCGUCGCCCUGUGGGAAAGCGAUCGCCGGGUUGUAUCUGGAAAUUGUAAGAGGUGUGUUUUAUUAAGUAUCGGGUUCUAGUUGUCAUAAGGUCGAAGUACAACUCUGGGUUGUCCUUUACCGAGGGACACAGCUAUUCAAAUAGAUAAACUUCCCUGCAGGGGUGCACCACAUUACCCAACAUGCUUGAUCCCUUUGGUCGGACACACUUUCCUGGGUCAUGCCCGGCCUCGGAAGAUCAACACGUCGCAGCCCUACCUACAUACAGCAGAGAGGUCAGCACGCCGGUCAAAAUCCUAAGCGCAUAGGGGUCUGAGCCCAACGCCCGUUGCACAACUGCACGUUGCGUACGCGGCCGGUGAGCAGACCUAGCAACCUCCAUUACAAAGGAUGUUGCGUUACACGGUCCAACUCGGUGCGCGCCGCUCAGUCGCUGAUGUCAAGAAGGCUUCGGCUGAUACCGCGACGUCGAGUGCCCAUAACUGUUCCCACGUAGUUGGUUAGUGCCUAUAGGCUCGUAGCCAGACUCGGAUCAAAUAUCAAGAUCUCGUUAAGCGUGUUAUUUUGAAGUAACCAGGGACCAGGCUCACCUGUCUCCUAGGUGGUCGCAACCUUCCCUGUCGCUCCGCCACAAAGUAACAAUCUGGGGGCUACCGGGGACCCAGACCCACCACUACCUGGGUGGAACCACCUGCCCCUUUAGCCCCCAUCUCCGAAUCAUCAACAUAAGUAUGUAAUAGUAUAGUAUAUACCCGUGAUCACCUCCCGAGUGAUCACGGCCCAGUAGUAUAACAUGGCAGACGGACAAGAGUGUAGGGCCACUGAUGUCAUACUAGCAACCUAUACUAAGCAUUAGGAUAGCAGGUAAAGGUAUCAACAACUGUAGCAACAGUGACAGGCUAUGCAACAGAAUAGGAGCUAUUGAAUCAACAACAAUAGCGAACCUAAUGCAAGAAUAAGAGAGAAGAGAGUGGGCGAUAUCUGGUUGAUCAAAGGGGGUUUACUUGCCUGGUUGCUCUGGCAAGAAGGAGGGGUCGUCAACACCGUAGUUGAUCGGGGCAGCAGCGGCAUCAGUCUCGUAGUCUACUGAAGAGAAGAGGGGGAAGAAAAAAUGAAUACAAUGCAAACAGAUGCAUGACGAUGCAUGUCAUGACAUAUAAUAGUGCUGGGUGUGCUCUAACACGGUACUAGGUGCUACUGGCGAAGGGGGAAAACAUCCGGGAAAAUAUUCCCCAUGUUGACGUUUUCGGACAAAUGAACCGAAGGUGGAUUGUUGCAUGUUCGCUAUUCUAGGGAUGUGUGGCGGAAGAACGGGCUACAUAUUUGAAUUCGUCUCGUCGUUCUGAGCAACUUUCAUGUACACAGUAUUUUCAUCCGGGUUACGGAUUAUUUUACAUGAUUUUCUGAAGUUUUAGCAAUAUUCUAAAAUUAUUAUUUAUUCGAAAAUAAAGACUAAAAUUGCUAGGGGCACCCAGCACCGGGUACACAAAAGUGUACCAGUGGCUGACAGGUGAACCGGGGGGUCCUAGUUGAUCAGUCAACGUUUGACUGGUCAACAGGGGGUCACUAGUAGAAAAGGGGGCAAUGGUCCAGGCCGGGUCAGCCCAUUAGUCCCGGUUUAGUCCAAAACCGGGACCAAUGGGGGCAUUGGACCCGGUUCGUGAGCCCAGGGGGCCGGCCGGGCCACGUGGGCCAUUGGUCCCAGUUCGUCUGGACCUUUUGGUACCGGUUGGUGGGACGAACCGGGACCAAUGGGCCUGGCUCCUGGCCCACCACCAUUGGUCCCGGUUGGUGGCCUGAACCGGGACCAAAGGCUGCCCUUUAGUCCCGGUUCAUGCCACGAACCGGGACCAAUGAGGUGCCUAUAUAUACCCUCGCCCGCGAGCAGAGCACUCCAGUGCUCUGUUUUUCUCUGGCCGGCGAGGGGAGGGGUUUGUGGUGCUCUAGCUCACCUCCUAUGCACAUGAGGUGUUCGAUGAAAUGCCCGAGCCACACUAGUUAAGUUUUCUCCUCUCGAAGCUCGACCUCAAAGCUCCAUUUUCCUCGAGAUUUGUCUAGAUUUAGCGGUCCGUCACGCCCCACCGCCGUCUUCACCGCCGUCGAUCACCCGCGCCGAUCUCAUCACCGACACCACCAUGGUGAGCCUCUUGUUCUUAUCUUCUUUCUGAAAGGAAAAAUAUUCUUACUUGUAUGUUUAGAUAGAUACUUGUAUCAUUUUCUUACUUUUAUUAUUGCAUCUUAUAUAGUGCGAUGGUUUUGGUAUCCGCCCCCGUCGGCCCUCGUCCUGUCUAUGAUUCGGAUGUGGUAUAUAUAUUAUCUUUGUAACUAUUGGUUCAUUUAUUGUUUAUGAAAAUUAUGCGGACCAACAUGACAUAGAUUUUAUUUAUCUAGGAUGUAUGUGAACCGGAAAUUCCAACCGACCCUAUUGUCGAGAGGUUAAAUUUAGUUGAAGAAGAAAACAAUUUCUUGAAGGAAAAAAUAAAAAAAAUUGAGGAGGAGAAGAUGAUAUUGGAGUUGCAUGUUGCGGAUGUCGUCGAUGAUCAAAAGAUCAAGAUGGAUGCAAUGCGCUUGAAGAUUAGAAAGAUUAGAAAAUAUGCCAUUCAUACCGAGGCUUGGUAUCAUUAUGCCGUUGGAUCAAUUGUUACCUUGGUUGCGAUUAUGAUCGCCUUUGUUUACGAAGAAGAAGAGUACGAUGACAACUAUGUGCCCCCUGAAUACUGUGAUGCUGCAACGGGGGGAGCUGGUGAAGAUCAAGAGGAACCAGACGAUGUGCCCAAUGAUGCUGCAACGGGUGAAGCUGCUGAAGAUCAAGAGGAACCAGACGAUGUGCCCGAUGAUGAUGAUCUCCACCGGGUCAUUGUCGAUGCAAGGACGCAAUGCGAAAGUCAAAAGGAGAAGCUGAAGUUCGAUCGCAUGUUAGAGGAUCACAAGAAAGGGUUGUACCCCAAUUGCGAAGAUGGCAACACAAAGCUCGGUACCGUACUGGAAUUGCUACAGUGGAAGGCAGAGAAUGCUGUGCCUGACAAAGGAUUUGAGAAGCUACUGAAAAUAUUGAAGAAGAAGCUUCCAAAGGAUAACGAAUUGCCCGACAGUACAUACGCAACAAAGAAGGUCGUAUGCCCUCUAGGAUUGGAGGUGGAGAAGAUACAUGCAUGCCCUAAUGACUGCAUCCUAUACCGCGGUGCAUACAAGGAUCUGAACGCAUGCCCGGUAUGCGGUGCAUUGCGGUAUAAGAUCAGACAAGAUGACCCUGGUGAUGUUCACGGCGAGCCCCAUAGGAAGAGGGUUCCUGCGAAGGUGAUGUGGUAUGCUCCUAUAAUACCACGGUUGAAACGUCUUUUCAGAAACGGAAAGCAUGCCAAGACGAUGCGAUGGCACAGUGAGGACCGUAAGAAAGACGGGAAGUUGAGAGCACCCGCUGACGGGUCGCAGUGGAGAAAAAUCUUGAGAAAGUACUGGGAUGAGUUUGCAAAGGACCCAAGGAACGUAUGGUUUGCUUUAAGUGUGGAUGGCAUUAAUCCUUUCGGGGAGCAGAGCAGCAAUCACAGCACUUGGCCUGUGACUCUAUGUAUGUAUAACCUUCCUCCUUGGAUGUGCAUGAAGCGGAAGUUCAUUAUGACACCAGUUCUCAUCCAAGGCCCUAAGCAACCCGGCAACGACAUUGAUGUGUACCUAAGGCCAUUAGUUGAAGAACUUUUACAGCUGUGGAAUGGAAACGGUGUAUGUACAUGGGAUGAGCACAGACAGGAGGAAUUUAACCUAAAGGCGUUGCUGUUCAUGACCAUCAACGAUUGGCCCGCUCUCAGUAACCUUUCAGGACAGACAAACAAAGGAUACCACGCAUGCACACACUGUUUAGAUGACACUGAAAGUAUAUACCUAGACAAAUGCAGGAAGAAUGUGUACCUGGGCCAUCGUCGAUUUCUUCCGACCAAUCAUCAAUGUCGAAAGAAAGGCAAGCAUUUCAAAGGCGAGGCAGAUCACCGGAAGAAGCCCGCCAUGCGUACCGGUGAUCACGUACUUGCUAUGGUCAAUGAUUUACAUGUAAUCUUUGGAAAGGGUCCCGGUGCACUAGCUAUUCCAAAUGACGCUGAGGGGCACGCACCCAUGUGGAAGAAGAAAUCUAUAUUUUGGGACCUACCCUAUUGGAAAGACCUAGAGGUCCGCUCUUCAAUCGACGUGAUGCACAUGAUGAAGAACCUUUGCGUGAACCUGCUAGGCUUCUUGGGCGUGUAUGGAAAGACAAAAGAUACACCUGAGGCAUGGGAGGACCUGCAACGUUUGCACGAAAAAGACGGCAUGCCUCCGAAGCAGUAUGAAGGUCCUGCCAGCUACGCUCUUACAAAAGAAGAGAAAGAAAUCUUCUUUGAAUGCCUGCUCAGUAUGAAGGUCCCGACUGGCUUCUCGUCGAAUAUAAAGGGAAUAAUAAAUAUGCCAGAGAAAAAGUUCCAGAACCUAAAGUCUCAUGACUGCCACGUGAUUAUGACGCAACUGCUUCCGGUUGCAUUGAGGGGGCUUCUACCGGAAAACGUCCGAUUAGCCAUUGUGAAGCUAUGUGUAUGUGCAUUCCUCAAUGCAAUCUCUCAGAAGGUGAUUGAUCCAGAAAUCGUACCAAGGAUAAGGAGUGAUGUGGCACAAUGUCUUGUCAGUUUCGAGCUAGUGUUCCCACCAUCCUUCUUCAAUAUCAUGACGCAUGUCCUAGUUCAUCUAGUCGACGAGAUUGUCAUUCUGGGGCCCGUAUUUCUACACAAUAUGUUCCCCUUUGAGAGGUUCAUGGGAGUCCUAAAGAAAUAUGUCCAUAACCGCGCUAGGCCAGAAGGAAGCAUCUCCAUGGGCCAUCAAACAGAGGAUGUCAUCGGGUUUUGUGUUGACUUCAUUCCUGGCCUUAAGAAGAUAGGUCUCCCUAAAUCGCGGUAUGAGGGGAGACUGACGGGAAAAGGCACUCUUGGAAGUGACUCAAUAAUAUGCAGGGACGGAUAUUCUUGGUCUCAAGCACACUACACAGUUCUACAGAACUCUACCUUGGUGACCCCAUAUGUCGAUGAACACAAGAAAAGUCUGCGCUCCAAACACCCAGAGCAGUGCGACGACUGGAUUACAUGUGAACACAUUAGGACUUUAAGCAGUUGGUUGGAAGCACGUCUCAGAGGUGACAACACUGUUUGUGAUGAGUUGUACUUGUUGUCUAGGGGACCAUCUUUGACUGUAUUGAUUUAUAAAGGAUACGAGAUAAAUGGGAAUACAUUUUACACGAUUGACCAAGAUCAAAAGAGCACCAACCAAAACAGCGGUGUCCGCUUUGUGUCAUUUCCCUUCUCGGUUGUUGCAUCAAAGCGGACACCGCUGUUUUGGUUGGUGCUCUUUUGAUCUUGGUCAAUCGUGUAAAAUGUAUUCCCAUUUAUCUCGUAUCCUUUGUAAAUCAAUACAGUCAAAGAUGGUCCCCUGGACAACAAGUACAACUCAUCACAAACAGUGUUGUCACCUCUGAGAUGUGCUUCCAACCAACUGCUGAAAGUCCUAAUGUGUUCACAUGUAAUCCAGUCAUCGCACUGCUCCGGGUGUUUGGAGCGCAGACUUUUCUUGUGUUCAUCGACAUACGGGGUCACCAAGGUAGAGUUCUGUAGAACUGUGUUGUGUGCUUGAGACCAAGAAUAUCCGUCCCUGCAUAUUAUUGAGUCACUUCCAAGAGUGCCUUUUCCAGUCAGUCUCCCCUCAUACCGCGAUUUAGGGAGACCUAUCUUCUUAAGGCCAGGAAUGAAGUCAACACAAAACCCGAUGACAUCCUCUGUUUGAUGGCCCAUGGAGAUGCUUCCUUCUGGCCUAGCGCGGUUACGGACAUAUUUCUUUAGGACUCCCAUGAACCUCUAAAAGGGGAACAUAUUGUGUACAAAUACGGGCCCCAGAAUGACAAUCUCGUCGACUAGAUGAACUAGGACAUGCGUCAUGAUAUUGAAGAAGGAUGGUGGGAACACCAGCUCGAAACUGACAAGACAUUGCGCCACAUCACUCCUUAGCCUUGGUACGUUUUCUGGACCGAUCACCUUCUGAGAGAUUGCAUUGAGGAAUGCACAUAGCUUCACAAUGGCUAAUUGAACGUUUUUCGGUAGAAGCCCCCUCAAUGCAACCGGAAGCAGUUGCGUCAUAAUCACGUGGCAGUCAAGAGACUUUAGGUUCUGGAACUUUUUCUCUGGCAUAUUUAUUAUUCCCUUUAUAUUCGACGAGAAGCCAGUCGGGACCUUCAUACUGAGCACGCAUUCAAGGAAGAUUUCUUUCUCUUCUUUCGUAAGAGCGUAGCUGGCAGGACCUUCAUACUGCUUCGGAGGCAUGCCGUCUUUUUCGUGCAAACGUUGCAGGUCCUCCCGUGCCUCAGGUGUAUCUUUUGUCUUUCCAUACACGCCCAAGAAGCCUAGAAGGUUCACGCAAAUGUUCUUCGUCACGUGCAUCACGUCGAUUGAAGAGCGGACCUCUAGGUCUUUCCAGUAGGGUAGGUCCCAAAAUAUAGAUUUCUUCUUCCACAUGGGUGCGUGUCCCUCAGCGUCAUUCGGAACAGCUAGUGUGCCGGGACCCUUUCCAAAGAUUACGUGUAAAUCAUUGACCAUAGCAAGUACGUGAUCACCGGUAUGCAUGGCGGGCUUCUUCCGGUGAUCUGCCUCGCCUUUGAAAUGCUUGACUUUCUUUCGACAUUGAUGGUUGCUCGGAAGAAAUCGACGACGGCCCAGGUACACAUUCUUCCUGCAUUUGUCCAGGUAUAUACUUUCAGUGUCAUCUAAACAGUGUGUGCAUGCGUGGUAUCCUUUGUUUGUCUGUCCUGAAAGGUUACUGAGAGCGGGCCAAUCAUUGAUGGUCAUGAACAGCAACGCCUUUAGGUUAAAUUUCUCUUGUCUAUGCUCAUCCCAUGUACGUACACCGUUUCCAUUCCACAGCCGUAAAAGUUCUUCAACUAAUGGCCUUAGGUACACAUCAAUGUCGUUGCCGGGUUGCUUAGGGCCUUGGAUGAGAACUGGCGUCAUAAUGAACUUCCGCUUCAUGCACAUCCAAGGAGGAAGGUUAUACAUACAUAGAGUCACAGGCCAGGUGCUGUGAUUGCUGCUCUGCUCCCCGAAAGGAUUAAUGCCAUCCGCGCUUAAAGCAAACCAUACGUUCCUUGGGUCCUUUGCAAACUCAUCCCAGUACUUUCUCUCGAUUUUUCUCCACUGCGGCCCGUCAGCGGGUGCUCUCAACUUCCCGUCUUUCUUACGGUCCUCACUGUGCCAUCGCAUCGACUUGGCAUGCUCUCCGUUUCUGAACAGACAUUUCAACCGUGGUAUUAUAGGAGCAUACCACAUCAUCUUCGCAGGAACCCUCUUCCUGUGGGGCUCGCCGUGAACAUCACCAGGGUCAUCUCGUCUGAUCUUAUACCGCAAUGCACCGCAUACCGGGCAUGCGUUCAGAUCCUUGUAUGCACUGCGGUAUAGGAUGCAGUCAUUAGGGCAUGCAUGUAUCUUCUCCACCUCCAAUCCUAGAGGGCAUACGACCUUGUUUGCUGCGUAUGUACUGUCGGGAAAUUCCUUAUCCUUUGGAAGCUUCUUCUUCAAUAUUUUCAGUAGCUUCUCAAAUCCUUUGUCAGGCACAGCAUUCUUUGCCUUCCACUGCAGCAAUUCCAGUACGGUACCGAGCUUUGUGUUGCCAUCUUCGCAAUUGGGGUACAACCCUUUUUUGUGAUCCUCUAACAUGUGAUCGAACUUCAGCUUCUCCUUUUGACUUUCGCAUUGCGUCCUUGCAUCGACAAUGACCCGACGGAGAUCAUCAUCAUCGGGCACAUCGUCUGGUUCCUCUUGAUAUUCAACAGCUUCACCCAUUGCAGCAUCAUUGGGCACAUCGUCUGGUUCCUCUUGAUCUUCACCAGCUCCCCCCGUUGCAGCAUCACCGUAUUCAGGGGGCACAUAGUUGUCAUCGUACUCUUCUUCUUCGUCGUCUUCCAUCAUAACCCCUAUUUCUCCGUGCCUCGUCCAAACAUUAUAGUGUGGCAUGAAACCCUUGUAAAGCAGGUGGGUGUGAAGGAUUUUCCGGUUAGAGUAAGACAUUGUAUUCCCACAUUUAGUGCAUGGACAACACAUAAAACCAUUCUACUUGUUUGCCUCAGCCGCAUUGAGAAACUCAUGCACGCCCUUAAUGUACUCGGAGGUGUGUCUGUCACCGUACAUCCAUUGCCGGUUCAUCUGCAUGCAUUAUAUAUAAUUAAGUGUCCAAAUUAAUAGAAGUUCAUCAUCACAUUAAAACCAAUGUACAUACAUAGUUCUCAUCUAACGACAUAUAGCUCUCCAGAGCAUCUAAUUAAUUAAACCAUACAUUGAAACUAUGUAAAACAUUUAAAUGCAAAAGUAAAGGCGAUCAUAAUCGCAACCAAGGUAACAAUUGAUCCAACGGCAUAAUGAUACCAAGCCUCGGUAUGAAUGGCAUAUUUUCUAAUCUUUCUAAUCUUCAAGCGCAUUGCAUCCAUCUUGAUCUUGUGAUCAUCGACGACAUCCGCAACAUGCAACUCCAAUAUCAUCUUCUCCUCCUCAAUUUUUUUUCCUUCAAGAAAUUGUUUUCUUCUUCAACUAAAUUUAACCUCUCGACAAUAGGGUCGGUUGGAAUUUCCGGUUCACAUACUUCCUAGAUAAAUAAAAUCUAUGUCACGUUGGUCGGCAUAAUUUUCAUAAACAAUAAAUGAACCAAUAGUUAUAAAGAUAAUAUAUAUACCACAUCCGAAUCAUAGACAGGACGAGGGUCAACGGGGGCGGAUACCAAAACCAUCGCACUAUAUAAGAUGCAAUAAUAAAAGUAAGAAAAUAAUACAAGUAUCUAUGUAAACAUACAAGUAAGAAUAUUUUUUCCUUUCAGAAAGAAGAUAAGAACAAGAGGCUCACCAUGGUGGUGCCGGCGAUGAGCUCGACGCGGGUGAUCGACGGCGGUGAAGACAGGGACAGGGCGUGACGGACCGCUAAACCUAGACAAAUAUUGAGGAAAAUGGAGCUUGGAGGUCGAGCUUGGAGAGGAGAAAGCUUAAGUAGUGUGGCUCGGGCAUUCCAUCGAACACCUUGUGUGCAUAGGAGGUGAGCUAGAGCACCACCAGCCCUCUCCCCCUCGGCCAGGAAAAACAGAGCAGUGUGCUCUGCUCUUGCGCGAGGGGGGUAUAUAUAGGCACCACCACUGGUCCCGGUUGGUGGCAUGAAUCGGGACUAAAGGGGAGCCUUUGGUCCCGGUUCAUGCCACCAACUGGGACCAAUGGUGGUGGGCCAGGAGCGAGGCCCAUUGGUCCCGGUUCGUCCCACCAACCGGGACCAAAGGUCCAGACGAACUGGGACCAAUGGCCCACGUGGCCCGACCGGCCCCCUGGGUUCACAAACCGGGUCCAAUGCCCCCAUUGGUCCCGGUUCUAGACUAAACCGGGACUAAUGGGCUGACCCGGCCUGGACCUUUGCCCCCUUUUCUCACGACCCUUUGUUUUCAUUUAUUUUGAAUGAUCAUAGCAAGUUGGCCUCGGCAUCUGCGGCACGAUGUUCAACCUCAGUUGCAUCUAGAGAUAUGUGUUAACGAACCCAAUAUCACCGAUUUGUCUUUUCUUCAAUUUGGCGAUCUUCAAUCUGCAUAAUAUAGUGAGGAUAAUUAUAAAUACUUGCAAUGAAGGAGCUGAGCUAUAUAGAGAGACUUACUGACAGAAGUAGUAGUACUUACAGACAGUAGCAGGUGACCGUUGCUUUAUCGAGGGCCAAUUGAUUGAAAAACUGAUAGUACUCCUCAAAUGGAAUAGGCAACAGAUCAAUUCCAACGAGGUCAUGCUCCGGUUUAACUCUCGCAUACAAAGUACACCUCCCCCCAGACUCUCUGCAGAUUUUCAAGUACCAAUCAUGCAAUCUUCACAUCAUCGUUGUUAGAGAUUUUUCAUCUUUGACGAGAGGCUUCCCGUACUCGUAUCUGUGUAUCUGCACGUCCAUGGGAUCAUAAUGUACAUCAUCGGGUAGGUAAUCUUCAAGAUUGCUAUAACCGGGCACCAUCCUCGGAUCGACGAUGUCGCUAGGCACCUUGAGCGGGGGGCACAAUUGAUUCCCUUGUUCGCUGAGCUGGGCAAUUUGUUUCCCAGCUGCUCGUCAUUCUUUCAUCCUUUGAUCACUGACUGUACUUCCCGACCGCUCCGCUUCGGCCCAUGUCUUUGCAAUAAUGCGCUCAUAGUUGCCUUUCGGCGGAGACUUGGGUGGUUUUGCCAGGGCAGCCAGAGUGCGCUUCGCUUUCAACGGAUCUACCUUCUCCUCUGGAGGUGGAUGUCUCUGUGCUUUCAACCCUUCAAACCAUUCCUUCGCUUCGGUUCGCGCGAUCUUCGCGUUCUCCUCCGGGCUCAUCUCGUAUGGUAACUUCUCUGGAGUCUUCAGAGAAGGACCGAAUCUGUAUGUCUUCCCGCCACUGGCUGUACUGCUAGACGCCGGCCGAGCAGACGGAGCGGUUGUCUUCUUUACUUGCUUAUGAGGUGGAGGAGAAGGACUACGACGCACCGGAGCAGCUGCUGGAGCGGCGGCGGGUCUCUUCCGGCCUUGCUGACGAGGCGGAGAAGGAGGAGGCUGGCUGCUCGGGCGCGCAGGCGUAGGCGGAGAAGGAGCCGGAGUGCCGCCACGCGCCGGAGAAGGAGCCGGCCGAGUGCCCUGAUCGUCACUUGCCGGAGGAGGAGGCGGUGGAGGAGGCGGACUGCCCUGACUCGCCGGAGAAGGAGGAGGAGGAGGCGGAGGCGUCCAGUUCUGAAGGUUGAUGAGAUCCUUCCGCCAUAGGCAUGGAGUCUUCAGAGCAGAACCCAGCCGAGUCUCCUCUUCACUGGUAGGGUGGUCAAGCGGGAGCUCCUCAAAUCCCUCCGUUAUUUCAUCCACCAUCACCCUAGCAUAUCCUUCUGGAAUCGGCCAAUAGUAAAAAGUUGCGCCGGGUUCAGAAGGAUAAAUAGAGCCAACAGCCGCCUUGACCUUCAUAUUAAUCCAUUGCGUCAUAAGGUGGCAAUUUUGAGACUCCGUGAUAGCAUCCACGGGAUAGCUGGCAGGAGCCGUCAAGACAUGCUCCGGCUGAAGCAGCUCGGUGGAAGCCACGCUGCUUCUCCGCUGAGAUGGCGGGGUAGCUUCGGGGGAAGCUUCGGCAGUUCAUUUACUGCGAUUUGCUUCUCGUUCCUCUAUCCCGAGUACCCUUGCUUUAAGCGCCUGCAGUUUGGACUGCUGCACUUUCUUCCUCCUUUCCUGGCAUUUGUAACCGCCUGCGUCCGGAAACCCAUCCUUCCACGGAAUGGAGCAUGGCGUGCCUCGUGUCCGCCCAGGGUGCUCAGGAUUCCCGAGGGCCAUUGUGAGCUCGUCCUUCUCUCUGUCUGGAACGAACGUCCCUUGCUGCGCUGCUUCGAUAUACUGCUGAAGCCUCUUGACUGGUAUAUCCAAUUGAUUGUCCGUCCAAAUGCACUUCCUUGAUACAAGGUCCAAGGUUCCGCCAGCCCCGAAGAACCAAGUCCGGCAACGGUCUGGCCAGUUCAUUGUCUCUGGUUCGAUCCCUUUUUCAACCAGAUCAUUCUCAGCCUUGGCCCACUUAGGCCGGGCUACGAGGUAGCCACCUGACCCCGUGCGAUGGUGAAGCUUCUUCUUUGCAGCAUUUUUCUUGUUUGUCGCCGACAUCUUCUUACUCUUUUCCUAUGUCUUGUGGGCCACAAAUGCGGGCCAGUGAUCUCUGAUCUUCUCAUACCUGCCCUUGAAUUCUGGUGUCUCUUUUUUAUCGACAAACCUAUUCAGCUCUUUCUUCCACCUCCUGAAUAGGUCUGCCAUCCUCUUAAGAGCAAAAGACUUGAUUAAUUGCUCUUUAACUGGCUUCUCCGGAUCAUCCUCUGGCGGUAGGGUGAAAGUUGACUUCAGCUCAGUCCAAAGAUCAUUUUCUGCAUAUCAUUGACGUAAGACACCUCAGGGUCUUCUGUAGCCGGCUUUAACCAUUGCUGGAUGCUGAUCGGGAUCUUGUCCCUAACCAGAACCCCGCACUGAGCAACAAAUGCGUUCUUUGUUCGGAUGGGUUCAAUCGGUUGGGCGUCGAGCGCGAUUGCUAUGAUCUCAAACCUUUCAUCCGAGCUCAACUUUUUCUUCGGGCCUCUUCUCUUUACCUUAGUUGUGCUCGAUCCGGAGGGCUAGAAAAAAGAACAAAGACUUAUUUAAUAUGUGUACAUACCAAAACAAUGAAUGCAUCAAUUAGCUAGUCAGCACAUGCUUAACUAAUAUAUAUACCUGGCCGGACUCGGUUCGGUCACUGGAGCCGUCAUCACGGUCUCCUUCUUGCACCGGCAUUGGGUCACCAUAGCCGUCCUCACGUUCUCCUUCUUGCACCGACAUUAGGUCACUGGAGCCAGCUUCUUCACCCUCUCCUUCCAGACCAUCAGUGUCGUUGAGAAACAACAAGCAGACGGCAUCACUUCCCAUUGCGAUUAUGUCCCUCAACAAUGCUUCUUUUACUUUGUCUCGGGCGGUGUCCAUAGUUUCUACAAAUAUUUACAAUAUGGCAAUUAUUAUUCAAACAUGACACAUGGAUAUAUUAGUGGCAAACGUAGAACUAGCUAGCUAAUCACAGUAAGGAAUCAUAUAUAUUAAUUAGUGGCCUCGACGCUGCUUCUCUAGGGUUUGGGGUGGCCUCGACAACGCUUCAAGGGUUUGGGGUGGCCUCGAGAGAGUUUGUCGGGUAGGGGUGCGGCAGGAGGGGGUAGGAGACCGACAUCGUUUUUUUCUAGGGUUUGGGUGUCCUCGAGAGUUUUGGUCGAGCGAGAGGGUCGGGGGGGUGCUCCCGCGGUAUAAGUUAUCACAGUCGAGAGGGGGUAUAUCGACCCCCGCACACGUGUUGAAGUUAUCGGUUGGGGGUUAUAUCGACAACGACGACAUACAUACAUGGGAAAAUAAUAUUAUCGGGGAGGGGGUAUAUCGACCCCCCUCGUAUUGAAGUUAUCGAGAGGGGUAUAUCAACGACGAUAGACCCGAUAAAACAUAAGAAAACGGAGAAGAAAUAAAAAGAGGAGAAGAAGAAAGGAAUAGAGGAGAAGAUCGAAGAAAAAAAAGAAGAAAAAAAAGAGGAGAAGAAGAAAGGAAUAGAGGAGAAAAAAAAUAGAAAUCAUUUUAUAUUUUUUCUUCUUCUCCUCUAUUCCUUUCUUCUUCUCCUCUCCUUUUUCUUCUUUUUUCCUCUUCUUAUUUNNNNNNNNNNNNNNNNNNNNNNNNNNNNNNNNNNNNNNNNNNNNNNNNNNNNNNNNNNNNNNNNNNNNNNNNNNNNNNNNNNNNNNNNNNNNNNNNNNNNNNNNNNNNNNNNNNNNNNNNNNNNNNNNNNNNNNNNNNNNNNNNNNNNNNNNNNNNNNNNNNNNNNNNNNNNNNNNNNNNNNNNNNNNNNNNNNNNNNNNNNNNNNNNNNNNNNNNNNNNNNNNNNNNNNNNNNNNNNNNNNNNNNNNNNNNNNNNNNNNNNNNNNNNNNNNNNNNNNNNNNNNNNNNNNNNNNNNNNNNNNNNNNNNNNNNNNNNNNNNNNNNNNNNNNNNNNNNNNNNNNNNNNNNNNNNNNNNNNNNNNNNNNNNNNNNNNNNNNNNNNNNNNNNNNNNNNNNNNNNNNNNNNNNNNNNNNNNNNNNNNNNNNNNNNNNNNNNNNNNNNNNNNNNNNNNNNNNNNNNNNNNNNNNNNNNNNNNNNNNNNNNNNNNNNNNNNNNNNNNNNNNNNNNNNNNNNNNNNNNNNNNNNNNNNNNNNNNNNNNNNNNNNNNNNNNNNNNNNNNNNNNNNNNNNNNNNNNNNNNNNNNNNNNNNNNNNNNNNNNNNNNNNNNNNNNNNNNNNNNNNNNNNNNNNNNNNNNNNNNNNNNNNNNNNNNNNNNNNNNNNNNNNNNNNNNNNNNNNNNNNNNNNNNNNNNNNNNNNNNNNNNNNNNNNNNNNNNNNNNNNNNNNNNNNNNNNNNNNNNNNNNNNNNNNNNNNNNNNNNNNNNNNNNNNNNNNNNNNNNNNNNNNNNNNNNNNNNNNNNNNNNNNNNNNNNNNNNNNNNNNNNNNNNNNNNNNNNNNNNNNNNNNNNNNNNNNNNNNNNNNNNNNNNNNNNNNNNNNNNNNNNNNNNNNNNNNNNNNNNNNNNNNNNNNNNNNNNNNNNNNNNNNNNNNNNNNNNNNNNNNNNNNNNNNNNNNNNNNNNNNNNNNNNNNNNNNNNNNNNNNNNNNNNNNNNNNNNNNNNNNNNNNNNNNNNNNNNNNNNNNNNNNNNNNNNNNNNNNNNNNNNNNNNNNNNNNNNNNNNNNNNNNNNNNNNNNNNNNNNNNNNNNNNNNNNNNNNNNNNNNNNNNNNNNNNNNNNNNNNNNNNNNNNNNNNNNNNNNNNNNNNNNNNNNNNNNNNNNNNNNNNNNNNNNNNNNNNNNNNNNNNNNNNNNNNNNNNNNNNNNNNNNNNNNNNNNNNNNNNNNNNNNNNNNNNNNNNNNNNGGUCAACCGGGACUAAAGGGGGCCAUUGGUCCCGGUUGGUGCCACGAACCGGGACCAAUGCCCCCCUUUGGUCCCGGUUCGUCCCACCAACCGGGACCAAAGGCCUUCUGCUGCCCCGCGCCCAAAAGUUUAGUCCCACCUCGCUAGUUGAGAGGGCUCGGGAGUGGUUUAUAAGCGCUGCUGCGCCCACCCUCUCGAGCUCCUCUCAACUGCAGGCUGUCGGGCCUAAUCUGUCACUAUGUGCCUGUGGGCCUACUGGGCCUCCUGCGGGCCUGAAUUCUGGCUCAUGGUAGGGUUUCUAGUCGUAUUCAGGCCAUGAGGGCCCAGUAGGUGGCACUAUUUUUAUUUUUUUCUAGUUUUUUGUUUUGUUUUCUGCAUUAUUUAUUUUCAUUUGUUUUUUGCUUUAUUUUUAAAUUCUUUUUGCUUUUAGUUUUAGAAAAAUUAUAAACUUUAUUUUGUUUUUGAGUCAUUAGUUUAUGAAUAACUUUACUAUAAAAAUUGAUUUUUGAGUCAUUAUACUCAAUUUGUUAAUUUUAGUUAGUCAUAACAAAUAUUAUAGGUAUUUUUUUGCUAUUUAUUUUUUUCAUUUCUACUUAGAACUAAAUACUUAUAGUUUUUUUAUGAUUUCUUUUUUCUUUUAGGUCACAAAAAUUAUAAACUUUCUGUUAGUGCCAUUAGUUUUAAAAUUUGAAUAGUUUAAAUUUGAAUUUUUUAAAAUUUGUGUGAAUCACAAGUUUGUGAUUAACUUUACUAAAAAAAUGAACAUAGAUGCACCUAUAGAGAAAAUUAAACCUAAAUUCAUAAUCAAUUUCUAUGAAUUUUAGAGAAAUUCAUUAUGAAUUUAGGUCAAAUUUCCUGUAUAGGGGCAUCUAUUUUCACUUUGAGAGGAGCUCAGCAAGGCAGAGAGGGACGGGCUUAUAAACCGCUGUGGGCGCCCUUUGGUUGGGAGGUGGGACUAAACUCUGGGUGCAACGAGGGCCAACCCUUUAGUCUCGGUUUGUGGCACAAACCGGGACUAAUGGUCAUGGGCCAGGGGCGAGCCCUAUUUUUUUCCAGUUUUUUUGUUUUGUUUUCUGCAUUAUUUAUUUUCUUUUGUUUUUUGCUUUAUUUUUAAAUUCUUUUUGCUUUUAGUUUUAGAAAAAUUAUAAACUUUCUGUUAGUGCCAUUAGUUUUCAAAUUUGGAAACACUUUUUUAGUUUUUUUGAUUUCUUUGUUGCUUUAUUUGUUUUAUUUUGUUUCUACUUACAACAAAAUACUUAUUGUUGCUAUUUUUAUUUUUUUUCCAGCUUUUAUGUUUGUUUUCUGUAUUAUUUAUUUUCUUUUUUUUUGCUUUAUUUUUUAAUUCUUUUUGCUUUUAGGUCAGCAAAAUUAUAAACUUUCUGUUAGUGCCAUUAGUUUUAGAAAAAAUAUAAACUUUCUGUUAGUGCCAUUAGUUUUCAAAUUUGAAUUCUUUGAAAUUUGUGUGAAUCACAAGUUUGUGAUUAACUUUACUAAAAAAAUGAACAUAGAUGCACCUAUAGAGAAAAUUCGACCUAAAUUCAUAGUUUUCAAAUGAACUCUGAAAAAGUUGGCAUAGCAUACUCGUCUGUUACAAAUUUGGCAUGGUAUCAUCAUAAUAGUUGCGGGAGGAAGUCUUCACUUUUUCUUCGCUUGUGUCAUUUGCUUAUUGCGCCGUAACCAUGGAUAAUCUUCAUCGUUUAUCAGGAUGCUUGGGUCAGCCUUGACAUUGAAGGGAGGAAUUUCAUGAAACUUUUCAUAAUCUUCAGACAUGUCUGUCUUGCCCUCCACUCCCAGGAUGUCCCUUUUUCCUGAAAGAACUAUGUGGCGCUUUGGCUCAUCGUAUGAUGUAUUCGUUUCCUUAUCUUUUCUUUUUCUCGGUCUGGUAGACAUGUCCUUCACAUAGAUAACCUAUGCCACAUCAUUGGCUAGGACGAACGGUUCGUCAGUGUACCCAAGAUUUUUCAGAUCCACUGUUGUCAUUCCGUACUAUGGGUCUACAUGUACCCUGCCUCCUGACAGAUUGACCCAUUUGCACUUAAACAAAGGGACCUUAAAAUCUUGUCCGUAGUCAAGUUCCCAUAUGUCCACUAUGUAACCAUAAUAUCUGUCCUUUCCCUUCUCGGUUGUUGCAUCAAAGCAGACACCGCUGUUUUGGUUGGUGCUCUUUUGAUCUUGGUCAAUCGUGUAAAAUGUAUUCCCAUUUAUCUCGUAUCCUUUGUAAAUCAAUACAGUCAAAGAUGGUUCCCUGGACAACAAGUACAACUCAUCACAAACAGUGUUGUCACCUCUGAGACAUGCUUCCAACCAACUGCUGAAAGUCCUAAUGUGUUCACAUGUAAUCCAGUCGUCGCACUGCUCCGGGUGUUUGGAGCGCAGACUGUUCUUGUGUUCAUCGACAUACGGGGUCACCAAGGUAGAGUUCUGUAGAACUGUGUAGUGUGCUUGAGACCAAGAAUAUCCGUCCCUCCAUAUUAUUGAGUCACUUCCAAGAGUGCCUUUUCCAGUCAGUCUCCCCUUAUACCGCGAUUUAGGGAGACCUAUCUUCUUAAGGCCAGGAAUGAAGUCAACACAAAACCCGAUGACAUCCUCUGUUUGAUGGCCCAUGGAGAUGCUUCCUUCUGGCCUAGCGCGGUUACGGACAUAUUUCUUUAGGACUCCCAUGAACCUCUCAAAGGGGAACAUAUUGUGUAGAAAUACGGGCCCCAGAAUGACAAUCUCGUCGACUAGAUGAACUAGGACAUGUGUCAUGAUAUUGAAGAAGGAUGGUGGGAACACCAGCUCAAAACUGACAAGACAUUGCGCCACAUCACUCCUUAGCCUUGGUACAAUUUCUAGAUCGAUCACCUUCUGAGAGAUUGCAUUGAGGAAUGCACAUAGCUUCACAAUGGCUAAUCGGACGUUUUCCGGUAGAAGCCCCCUCAAUGCAACCGGAAGCAGUUGCGUCAUAAUCACGUGGCAGUCAUGAGACUUUAGGUUCUGGAACUUUUUCUCUGGCAUAUUUAUUAUUCCCUUUAUAUUCGACGAGAAGCCAGUCGGGACCUUCAUACUGAGCAGGCAUUCAAAGAAGAUUUCUUUCUCUUCUUUCGUAAGAGCGUAGCUGGCAGGAUCUUCAUACUGCUUCGGAGGCAUGCCAUCUUUUUCGUGCAAACAUUGCAGGUACUCCCGUGGUGUAUCUUUUGUCUUUCCAUACACACCCAAGAAGCCUAGCAGGUUCACGCAAAGGUUCUUCAUCAUGUGCAUCACGUCGAUUGAAGAGCACACCUCUAGGUCUUUCCAGUAGGGUAGGUCCCAAAAUAUAGAUUUCUUCUUCCACAUGGAUGCUUGUCCCUCAGCGUCAUUCGGAACAGCUAGUGCGCCGGGACCCUUUCCAAAGAUUACGUGUAAAUCAUUGACCAUAGCAAGUACGUGAUCACCGGUACGCAUGGCGGGCUUCUUCCGGUGAUCUGCCUCGCCUUUGAAAUGCUUGCCUUUCUUUCGAAAUUGAUGGUUGGUCGGAAGAAAUCGACGAUGGCCCAGGUACACAUUCUUCCUGCAUUUGUCCAGGUAUAUACUUUCAGUGUCAUCUAAACAGUGUGUGCAUGUGUGGUAUCCUUUGUUUGUCUGUCCUGAAAGGUUACUGAAAGCGGGCCAAUCGUUGAUGGUCACGAACAGCAACACCUUUAGGUUAAAUUCCUCUUGUCUGUGCUCAUCCCACGUACGUACACCGUUUCCAUUCCACAGCUGUAAAAGUUCUUCAAGUAAUGGCCUUAGGUACACAUCAAUGUCAUUGCCGGGUUGCUUAGGGCCUUGGAUGAGAACUGGCAUCAUAAUGAAAUUCCGCUUCAUGCACAUCCAAGGAGGAAGGUUAUACAUACAUAGAGUCACAGGCCAGGUGCUGUGAUUGCUGCUCUGCUCCCCGAAAGGAUUAAUGCCAUCCGCGCUUAAAGCAAACCAUACGUUCCUUGGGUACUUUGCAAACUCAUCCCAGUACUUUCUCUCGAUUUUUCUCCACUGCGACCCGUCAGCGGGUGCUCUCAACUUCCCGUCUUUCUUACGGUCCUCACUGUGCCAUCGCAUCGACUUGGCAUGCUUCCCGUUUCUGAACAGACGUUUCAACCGUGGUAUUAUAGGAGCAUACCACAUCACCUUCGCAGGAACCCUCUUCCUGUGGGGCUCGCCGUGAACAUCACCAGGGUCAUCUCGUCUGAUCUUAUACCACAAUGCACCACAUACCGGGCAUGCGUUCAGAUCCUUGUAUGCACCGCGGUAUAGGAUGCAGUCAUUAGGGCAUGCAUGUAUCUUCUCCACCUCCAAUCCUAGAGGGCAUACGACCUUCUUUGCUGCAUAUGUACUGUCGGGCAAUUCGUUAUCCUUUGGAAGCUUCUUCUUCAAUAUUUUCAGUAGCUUCUCAAAUCCUUUGUCAGGCACAGCAUUCUCCGCCUUCCACUGCAGCAAUUCCAGUACGGUACCGAGCUUUGUGUUGCCAUCUUCGCAAUUGGGGUACAACCCUUUUUUGUGAUCCUCUAACAUGCGAUCGAACUUCAGCUUCUCCUUUUGACUUUCGCAUUGCAUCGACAAUGACCCAGCGGAGAUCAUCAUCAUCGGGCACAUCGUCUGGUUCCUCUUGAUCUUCACCAGCUCCCCCCGUUGCAGCAUCAUUGGGCACAUCGUCUGGUUCCUCUUGAUCUUCUCCAGCUCCCCCCGUUGCAGCAUCACCGUAUUCAGGGGGCACAUAGUUGUCAUCGUACUCUUGUUAUUCGUUGUCUUCCAUCAUAACCCCUAUUUCUCCGUGCCUCGUCCAAACAUUAUAGUGUAGCAUGAAACCCUUGUAAAGCAGGUGGUUGUGAAGGAUUUGAAGGAAAUAUGCCCUAGAGGCAAUAAUAAAGUUAUUAUUUAUUUCCUUAUAUCAUGAUAAAUGUUUAUUAUUCUUGCUAGAAUUGUAUUAACCGGAAACAUAAUACAUGUGUGAAUACAUAGACAAACAGAGUGUCAUUAGUAUGCCUCUACUUGACUAGCUCGUUAAUCGAAGAUGGUUAUGUUUCCUAACCAUGAACAAAAGAGUUGCUAUUUGAUUAACGAGAUCACAUCAUUAGAAGAAUGAUGUGAUUGACAUGACCCAUUCCAUUAGCUUAGCACCCGAUCAUUUAGUAUGUUGUUAUUGCUUUCUUCAUGACUUAUACAUGUUCCUAUGACUAUGAGAUUAUGCAACUCCCAUUUGCCGGAGGAACACUUUGUGUGCUACCAAACGUCACAACGUAACUGGGUGAUUAUAAAGGAGCUCUAUAGGUGUCUCCAAAGGUAAAUGUUGUGUUGGCGUAUUUCGAGAUUAGGAUUUGUCACUCCGAUUGUCGGAGAGGUAUCUCUGGGCCCUCUCGGUAAUGCACAUCACAUAAGCCUUGCAAGCAUUGCAACUAAUGAGUUAGUUGCGAGAUGAUGUAUUACGGAACGAGUAAAGAGACUUGCCGGUAACGAGAUUGAACUAGGUAUUGGAUACCGACGAUCGAAUCUCGGGCAAGUAACAUACCGAUGACAAAGGGAACAACGUAUGUUGUUAUGCGGUCUGACCGAUAAAGAUCUUCGUAGAAUAUGUAGGAGCCAAUAUGGGCAUCUAGGUCCCUCUAUUGGUUAUUGACCGGAGACAUGUCUCGGUCAUGUCUACAUUGUUCUCGAACCCGUAGGGUCCGCACGCUUAAGGUUUUGAUGACAGUUAUAUUAUGAGUUUAUACGUUUUGAUGUACUGAAGGUUGUUCGGAGUCCCGGAUGUGAUCACAGACUUGACGAGGAGUCUCGAAAUGGUCGAGACAUAAAGAUUGAUAUAUUGGAAGCCUAUGUUUGGAUAUCGGAAGUGUUCCGGGUGAAAUCGGGAUUUUACCGGAGUACCGGGAGGUUACCGGAACCCCCCGGGAGCUAUAUGGGCCUUAGUGGGCCUUAGUGGAAGAAGAGGAGAGGCGGCCAGGGCUGGGCCGCGCGCCCCUCCCCCCUAGUCCGAAUAGGACAAGGAGAGAGGGGGCCGGCGCCCCCUCCUUCUCUCUCUCUCUUUUCCACCUCGCGAAUCCUAUUCCAACUAGGAUUGGGGGGGGGNNNNNNNNNNNNNNNNNNNNNNNNNNNNNNNNNNNNNNNNNNNNNNNNNNNNNNNNNNNNNNNNNNNNNNNNNNNNNNNNNNNNNNNNNNNNNNNNNNNNNNNNNNNNNNNNNNNNNNNNNNNNNNNNNNNNNNNNNNNNNNNNNNNNNNNNNNNNNNNNNNNNNNNNNNNNNNNNNNNNNNNNNNNNNNNNNNNNCCUCUCCUAGGCCGGUGCACCCCCGCUUGAGCCUUUAUAUACGGAGGCAGGGGCACCCCAGAGGAACACAAGUUGAUCCACGUGAUCAUAUUCUUAGCCGUGUGCGGCGCCCCCUGCCACCAUAAUCCUCGAUAAUAUCAUAGCGGUGCUUAGGCGAAGCCCUACGAUGGUAGUGCAUCAAGAUCGUCACCACCCCAUCGUGCUGACGGAACUCUUCCCCGUCACUUUGCUGGAUCGGAGUCCGGGGGUCGUCAUCGAGCUGAACGUGUGCUAAAACUCGGAGGUGUCGUAGUUUCGGUGCUUGAUCGAUCGGGCCGUGAAGACGUACGACUACAUCAACCGCGUUGUGCUAACGCUUCCGCUGUUGGUCUACAAGGGUACGUAGAUCACACUCUCCCCUCGUUGCUAUGCAUCACCAUGAUCUUGCGUGUGCGUAGGAAUUUUUUUGAAAUUACUACGUUCCCCAACAGUGGCAUCCGAGCCUAGGUUUUAUGUGUUGAUGUUAUAUGCACGAGUAGAACACAAGUGAGUUGUGGGUGAUAUAGGUCAUACUGCUUACCAGCAUGUCAUACUUUGGUUCGGCGGUAUUGUUGGACGAAGCGGCCCGGACCGACAUUACACGUACUCUUACGCGAGACUGGUUCUCCCGACGUGCUUUGCACAAAGGUGGCUAGCGGGUGACAGUUUCUCCAACUUUAGUUGAACCAAGUGUGGAUGCGCCCGGUCCUUGCGAAGGUUAAAACAACACCAACUUGACAAACUAUCAUUGUGGUUUUGAUGCGUAGGUAAGAUUGGUUCUUGCUUAAGCCCGUAGGAGCCACGUAAAACUUGCAACAACAAAGUAGAGGACGUCUAACUUGUUUUUGCAGGGCAUGUUGUGAUGUGAUAUGGUCAAGACAUGGUGCUAAAUUUUAUUGUAUGAGAUGAUCAUGUUUUGUAACCAAGUUAUCGGCAACUGGCAGGAGCCAUAUGGUUGUCGCUUUAUUGUAAGCAAUGCAAUUGCGCUGUAAUGCUUUGCUUUAUCACUAAGCGGUAGCGAUAGUCGUGGAAGCAUAAGAUUGGCGAGACGACAACGAUGCUACCAUGGUGAUCAAGGUGGCGCGCCAGUGACGAUGGUGAUCACGACGGUGCUUCGAAGAUGGAGAUCACAAGCACAAGAUGAUGAUGGCCAUAUCAUAUCACUUAUAUUGAUUGCAUGUGAUGUUUAUCUUUUAUGCAUCUUAUCUUGCUUUGAUUGACGGUAGCAUUUUAAGAUGAUCUCUCACUAAUUAUCAAGAAGUGUUCUCCCUGAGUAUGCAUCGUUGCGAAAGUUCUUCGUGCUGAGACACCACGUGAUGAUCAGGUGUGAUAGGCUCUACCAAGGUUGUCAGAAUCGCGAUUUUGAAUAGGAUCGGAGCUUCGAUGGUAGGAUCGCAAAUCGUAGAAUCUUCACUAUCAGAAUCAUAGAAACAUAGAUUCUAAGAACUAAAAUCGUAGAAUCGUAGGGGUUAGUUUGGAUCGUAAAGUCGUAGAAUCGUAUAACAGAAUCGCGAUUCUGACAACCUUGGGCUCUACGUUCAAAUACAACGGGUGCAAAAUAGUUGCACACGCGGCAUACUCAGGUUAUACUUGACGAGCCAAGCAUAUGCAGAUAUGGCCUCGGAACACGGAGACCGAAAGGUCGAGCGUGAAUCAUAUAGUAGAUAUGAUCAACAUAGUGAUGUUCACCAAUGAAACUACUCCAUCUCACGUGAUGAUCAGACAUGGUAUAGUUGAUUUGGAUCACGUGAUCACUUAGAGGAUUAGAGGGAUGUCUAUAUAAGUGGGAGUUCUUAAGUAAUAUGAUUAAAUUGAACUUAAAUUUAUCACGAACUUAGUCCUGGUAGUAUUUUGUAAAUCAUGUUGUAGAUCAAUAGCUCGCGUUGUUGCUUCCCUGUGUUUAUUUUGAUAUGUUCCUAGAGAAAAUUGUAUUGAAAGAUGUUAGUAGCAAUGAUGCAGAUUGGAUCCGUGAUCUGAGGUUUAUCAUCAUUGCUGCACAGAAGAAUUAUGUCCUUGAUGCACCACUAGGUGACAGACCUAUUGCAGGAGCAGAUGCAGGCGUUAUGAAUGUUUGGCUAGCUCAAUAUGAUGACUACUUGAUAGUUUAGUGCACCAUGCUUAAUGGCUUAGAAUCGGGACUUCAAAGACGUUUUGAACGUCAUGGACCAUAUGAGAUGUUCCAGGAGUUGAAGUUAAUAUUUCAAGAAAAUACCCGAGUUGAGAGAUAUGAAGUCUCCAACAAGUUCUAUAGCUAAAAGAUGGAGGAGAAUCGCUCAACUAGUGAGCAUGUGCUCAGAUUGUCUGGGUACUACAAUCGCUUGAAUCAAGUGGGAGUUAAUCUUCCAGAUAAGAUAGUGAUUGACAGAAUUCUCUAGUCACCAUCACCAAGUUAGUAGAACUUCGUGAUUUACUAUAAUAUGCAAGGGAUAACGGAAACAACUCCCAAGCUCUUCGUGAUGCUGAAAUCAACGAAGGUAGUAAUCAAGAAAAACAUCAAGUGUUGAUGGUUGACAAGACCACUAGUUUCAAGAAAAGGGCAAAGGGAAGAAAGGGAACUUCAAGAAAAACUGCAAGCGAAUUGCUGCUCAAGUGAAGAAGCCCAAGUCUGGACCUAAGCCUGAUACUAAGUGCUUCUACUGCAAAGGAACUGGUCACUGGAAGCGGAACUACCCAAAGUAUUUGGCGGAUAAGAAGGAUGGCAAAGUGAACAAAGGUAUAUUUGAUAUACAAAUUAUUGAUGUGUAUUUUACUAGUGCUCAUAGCAACCCCUUGGUAUUUGAUACUGGUUCAGUUGCUAAGAGUAGUAACUCAAAAUGGGAGUUGCAGAAUGAACAGAUACUAGUUAAGGGUGAAGUGACGAUGUGUGUUGGAAGUAGUUCCAAGAUUGAUAUGAUCAUCAUCGCACACUCCCUAUACUUUCGGGAUUAGUGUGGAACUUAAAUAAGUGUUAUUUGGUGUUUGCGUUGAGCAUGAAUAUGAUCUGAUCAUGUUUAUUGUAAUACGGUUAUUCAUUUAAGUAAGAGAAUAAAUUGUUGUUCUGUUUACAUGAAUAAAACCUUAUAUGGUUACACACCCAAUGAAAAUAGUUCGUUGGAUCUCGAUUGUAGUGAUACACAUAAUCAUAAUAUUGAAACCAAAAGAUGCAAAGUUAAUAAUGAUAGUGCAACUUAUUUGUGGCACUUCUGUUUAGGUCAUAUUGGUGUAAAGCGCAUGAAGAAACUCCAUGCUGAUGGGCUUUUGGAAUCACUUGAUUAUGAAUCAGUUGAUGCUUGCGAACCAUGCCUCAUGGGCAAGAUGACUAAGACUCUGUUCUUCGGAACAAUGGAGCGAGCAACAAAUUUAUUGGAAAUCAUGCAUACUGAUGUAUGUGGUCCGAUGAAUAUUGAGGCUCGUGACAGGUAUCAUUAUUUUCUGAUCUUCACAGAUGAUUUAAGCAGAUAUGAGUAUAUCUACUUGAUGAAACAUAAGUUUAAAACAUUUGAAAAGUUCAAAGAAUUUCAGAGUGAAGUGAAAAAUCAUCGUAACAAGAAAAUAAAGUUUCUACGAUCAGAUCAUAGAGAAGAGUAUUUGUGUUACGAGUUUGGCCUUCAGUUAAAAACAAUGUGAAAUAGUUUCACUACUCACGCCACCUGGAACACCACAAUGUAAUGGUGUGUCCGAAAGUCAUAACCGUACUUCAUUAGAUAUGGUGCGAUCUAUGAUGUCUCUUACCGAUCUACCACUAUCGUUUUGGGGUUAUGCAUUAGAGACAGUUGCAUUCAUGUUAAAUAGGGCACCAUUUAAAUCCGUUGAACCGACAAAAUUUGAACUGUGGUUUGGCAAGAAACCAAAGUUGUUGUUUCUUAAAAGUUUGAGGUUGCAAUGCUUAUGUGAAAAAGUUUCAACCUGAUAAGCUCAAACCCAAAUCGGAGAAGUGCGUCUUCAUAGGAUACCCAAAAGAAAAUGUUGGGUACACCUUCUAUCACAGAUACGAAGGCAAGAUAUUCGUUGCUUUGAAUGGAUCCUUUCUAGAGAAGGAAUUUCUCUCGAAAGAAGUGAAUGGGAGGAAAGUAGAACUUGAUGAGGUAGCUGUACCUGCUCCCUUAUUGGAAAGUAGUUCAUCACAGAAAUCUGUUCCUGUGACUACUACACCAAUUAGUGAGGAAGCUAAUGAUGAUGAUCAUGUAACUUCAGAUCAAGUUACUACCAAACCUCGUAGGUAAACUAGAGUGAGAUCCGCACCAGAGUGGUAUAGUAAUCCUGUUCUGGAAGUCAUGGUACUUGACCAUGACGAGCCUACGAACUAUGAGGAAGCAAUGAUGAGCCCAGAUUCCGCGAAAUGGCUUGAGGCCAUGAAAUCUGAGAUGAGAUCCAUGUAUGAGAACAAAGUAUGGACUUUGGUUGACUUGCCCGAUGUUCGACAAGUCAUUGAGACUAAAUGGAUCUUCAAGAGGAAUACGGACACUGAUAGUAGUGUUACUAUCUACAAAGCUAGAAUUGUCGCAAAAAGGUUUUCGACAAUUUCAAGGUGUUGACUACGAUGAGAGUUUCUCACUCGUAUCUAUGCUUAAGUUUGUCCGAAUCAUGUUAGCAAUUGCCGCAUUUUAUGAAAUCCGGCAAAUGGAUAAACAAAACUGCAUUCCUUAAUGGAUUUAUUAAAGAAGAGUUGUAUUUGAUACAACCAGAAGGUUUUGUCAAUCCUAAAGGUGGUAACAAAAUGUGCAAGCUCCAGCGAUCCAUCUAUGGACUGGUGCAAGCAUCUCGGAGUUGGAAUAUACGCUUUGAUGAGAUGAUCAAAGCAUAUAGCUUUAUACAGACUUGCAGUGAAGCCUGUAUUUACAAGAAAGUGAGUGGGAGCACUACAACAUUUCUGAUAAGUAUAUGUGAAUGACAUAUUGUUGAUCGGAAAUAAUGUAGAAUUAUUCUGCAAAGCAUAAAGGAGUGUUUUGAAAGAAGUUUUUCAAAGAAAGACCUCGAUGAAGCUGCUUACAUAUUAAGCAUCAAGAUCUAUAGAGAUAGAUCAAGACGCUUGAUAAGAUUUUUUCAAUGAGUACAUACCUUGACAAUAUUUUGAAGUAGUUCAAAAAUUGGAACGGUCAAAGAAAGAGUUCUUGGCUGUGUUACAAGGUGUGAAAUUGAGUAAGACUCAAAGCCCGACCACGGCAGAAGAUAGAAAGAGAAUGAAAGUCAUUCCCUAUGCCUCAGCCAUAGGUUCUAUAAAGUAUGCCAUGCUGUGUACCAGAUCUAUUGUAUACCCUACACUGUGUUAAGCAAGGGAGUACAAUAGUGAUCUAAGAGUAGAUCACUGGACAACGGUCAAAAUUAUCCUUAGUGGAAUAAGGAAAUAUUUCUCAAUUAUGGAGGUGACAAAAAGGUUCGUCAUAAAAAGUUACGUCGAUGCAAGUUUUGACACAGAUCUGGAUGACUCUAAGUCUCGAUCUAGAUACAUAUUUAAAGUGGGAGCAAUUAGCUAGAGUAGCUCCGUGCAGAGCAUUGUAGACAUAGAAUUUGCAAAAUACUUACGAAUCUGUAUGUGACAGACCCGUUGACUAAAAUUAUCUCACAAGCAAAACAUGAUCACACCUUAGUACUAUUUGGGUGUUAAUCACAUAAACGACGUGAACUAGAUUACUGACUCUAGUAAACCCUUUGAGUAUAGGUCACAUGACAAUGUGAACUAUGGGUGUUAAACACAUGGUGAUGUGAACUAUUAGUGUUGAAUCACAUGGCGAUGUGAACUAGAUUAUUGACUCUAGUGCAAGUGGGAGACUGAAGGAAAUAUGCCCUAGAGGCAAUAAUAAAUUUAUUAUUUAUUUCCUUAUAUCAUGAUAAAUGUUUAUUAUUCAUGCUAGAAUUGUAUUAACCGGAAACAUAAUACAUGUGUGAAUACAUAGACAAACAGAGUGUCACUAGUAUGCCUCUACUUGACUAGCUCGUUAAUCGAAGAUGGUUAUGUUUCCUAACCAUGAACAAAAGAGUUGCUAUUUGAUUAACGGGAUCACAUCAUUAGAAGAAUGAUGUGAUUGACAUGACCCAUUCCAUUAGCUUAGCACCCGAUCGUUUAGUAUGUUGCUAUUGCUUUCUUCAUGACUUAUACAUGUUCCUACGACUAUGAGAUUAUGCAACUCCCGUUUGCCGGAGGAACACUUUGUGUGCUACCAAACGUCACAACGUAACUGGGUGAUUAUAAAGGAGCUCUACAGGUGUCUCCAAAGGUAAAUGUUGGGUUGGCGUAUUUCGAGAUUAGGAUUUGUCACUCCGAUUGUCGGAGAGGUAUCUCUGGGCCCUCUCGGUGAUGCACAUCACAUAAGCCUUGCAAGCAUUGCAACUAAUGAGUUAGUUGCGAGAUGAUGUAUUACGGAACGAGUAAAGAGACUUGCCGGUAACGAGAUUGAACUAGGUAUUGGAUACCGACGAUCGAAUCUCGGGCAAGUAACAUACCGAUGACAAAGGGAACAACGUAUGUUGUUAUGCGGUCUGACCGAUAAAGAUCUUCGUAGAAUAUGUAGGAGCCAAUAUGGGCAUCCAGGUCCCGCUAUUGGUUAUUGACCAGAGACAUGUCUCGGUCAUGUCUACAUUGUUCUCGAACCCAUAGGGUCCGCACGCUUAAGGUUUCGAUGAUAGUUAUAUUAUGAGUUUAUACGUCUUGAUGUACCGAAGGUUGUUCAGAGUCCCGGAUGUGAUCACGGACUUGACAAGAAGUUUCGAAAUGGUCGAGACAUAAAGAUUGAUAUAUUGGAAGCCUAUGUUUGGAUAUCGGAAGUGUUCCGGGUGAAACCGGGAUUUUACCGGAGUACCGGGAGGUUACUGGAACCCCCCGGGAGCUAUAUGGGCCUUAGUGGAAGAAGAGGAGAGGCGGCCAGGGCUGGGCCGCGCGCCCCUCCCCCUAGUCUGAAUAGGACAAGGAGAGAGGGGGCUGGCGCCCCCUUCCUUCUCUCUCUCUCUCUCUCUCUCUCUCUCUUUUCCACCUCGCGAAUCCUAUUCCAACUAGGAUUGGGGGGGGGAGUCCUACUCCCGGAGGGAGUAGGACUCCUCCUGGCGCGCCUCUCCUAGGCCGGCCACACCCCCCCUUGAGCCUUUAUAUACGGAGGCAGGGGCACCCCAGAGGAACACAAGUUGAUCCACGUGAUCAUAUUCUUAGCCGUGUGCGGCGCCCCCUGCGACCAUAAUCCUCGAUAAUAUUGUAGCAGUGCUUAGGUGAAGCCCUGCGACGGUAGUGCAUCAAGAUCGUCACUACGCCGUCGUGCUGACGGAACUCUUCCCCGACACUUUUCUGGAUCGGAUUCCGGGGAUCGUCAUCGAGCUGAACGUGUGCUAAAACUUGGAGGUGCCGUAGUUUCGGUGCUUGAUCGGUCGGGCCGUGAAAACGUACGACUACAUCAACCGCGUUGUGCUAACGCUUCCGCUGUCGGUCUACAAGGGUACGUAGAUCACACUCUCCCCACGUUGCUAUGCAUCACCAUGAUCUUGCGUGUGCGUAGGAAUUUUUUUGAAAUUACUACGUUCCCCAACAGGAUUUUCCGGUUAGAGUAAGACAUCGUAUUCCCACAUUUAGUGCAUGGACAACACAUAAAACCAUUCUUCUUGUUUGCCUCAGCCGCAUCGAGAAAUUCAUACACGCCCUUAAUGUACUCGAAGGUGUGUCUGUCACCGUACAUCCAUUGCCGGUUCAUCUGCGUGCAUUAUAUAUAAUUAAGUGUCCAAAUUAAUAGAAGUUCAUCAUCACAUUAAAACCAAAUUACAUACAUAGUUCUCAUCUAACAACAUAUAGCUCUCCAGAGCAUCUAAUUAAUUAAACCAUACAUUGAAACUAUGUAAAACAUUUAAAUGCGAAAACAAAGGCGAUCAUAAUCGCAACCAAUGUAACAAUUGAUCCAACGGCAUAAUGAUACCAAGCCUCGGUAUGAAUGGCAUAUUUUCUAAUCUUUCUAAUCUUCAAGCACAUUACAUCCAUCUUGAUCUUGUGAUCAUCGACGACAUCCGCAACAUGCAACUCCAAUAUCAUCUUCUCCUCCUCAAUUUUUUUUAUUUUUUCCUUCAAGAAAUUGUUUUCUUCUUCAACUAAAUUUAACCUCUCGACAAUAGGGUCGGUUGGAAUUUCCGAUUCACAUACAUCCUAGAUAAAUAAAAUCUAUGUCACGUUGGUCGGCAUAAUUUUCAUAAACAAUAAAUGAACCAAUAGUUAUAAAGAUAAUAUAUACCACAUCCGAAUCAUAGACAGGAUGAGGGCCGACGGGGGCGGAUACCAAAACCAUCACACUAUAUAAGAUGCAAUAAUAAAAGUAAGAAAAUAAUACCAGUAUUUAUGUAAACAUACAAGUAAGAAUAUUUUUUCCUUUCAGAAAGAAGAUAAGAACAAGAGGCUCACCACGGUGGUGCCGAUGAUGAGCUCGAUGCGGGUGAUCGACGGCGGUGAAGACGGGGACAUGGCGUGAUGGACCGCUAAACCUAGACAAAUAUUGAGGAAAAUGGAGCUUGGAGGUCGGGCUUGGAGAGGAGAAAGCUUAAGUAGUGUGGCUCGGGCAUUCCAUCGAACACCUUGUGUGCAUAGGAGGUGAGCUAGAGCACCACCAAGCCCUCUCUCCCUCGGCCAGGAAAAACAGUGCAGUGUGCUCUGCUCUUGCGCGAGGGGGGUAUAUAUAGGCACCACCGCUGGUCCCGGUUGGUGGCAUGAACCGGGACUAAAGGGGAGCCUUUGGUCCCGGUUCAUGCCACCAACCGGGACCAAUGGUGGUGGGCCAGGAGCGAGGCCCAUUGGUCCCGGUUCGUCCCACCAACUGGGACCAAAGGUCCAGACGAACUGGGACCAAUGGCCCACGUGGCCCGGCCGGCCCCCUGGGCUCACGAACCGGGUCCAAUGCCCCCAUUGGUCCCAGUUCUAGACUGAACCGGGACUAAUGGGCUGACCCGGCCUGGACCUUUGCCCCCUUUUCUACUAGUGAUUCUUAGGAACAUACAUAAGCUUGGCAAUUUUAGUGGGAGGACUAGGAGUAUUCUUUACGGGAGAAAAGGUGGUUCCCAAGUUGGCAAUGAUACCCUCAAGUUUAUCGAUUCUAGUGGAAUCUAGAUUUAUUUUCUCAUUAACCAUAUGUUCCUUCUCCUUAAUAUUUUUCAAAGUCAUUCCUACCUUAGAUCCAUAUUGAGUAAUUUGAUUAUUGAUCUUUUUAUCUAGAUUUUCAAUGGACUCAAUGGUAGCAACUUUGUUUUCAACAAUUUCAAGCCUUUGCAUAACAUGCUCCAAAGUUAACAUAGUUCCAUUAACCAAAAGAGGUGGUGAGCCAAAUAAAUCUAUCAUAGCAUUAUAAGAAUCAAAAGUAUGGCUACCCAAGAAAUUACCCCCGGUAAUGGUACCAAGGAUAUAUCUAUACCAAGGACUAGCACCUACAUAAAAAUUGCGAAGAAGAAGUGAAGUAGAUUGCUUCCUGGUAGAUCUAUUUUGAGCAUUGCAAAUUCUAUACCAAGCGUCUUUCAGAUUUUCUCCCUCCCUUUGUUUAAAAUUUAGGACUUCAUUCUCGGGAGAUAACAGAGAAGAAAUAAGAUUAGCCAUGAUGACAAGGCAAACGAGAAAAAGGCAAACGGAAAAGGAGAAGGAGGUUGGGAAAGAGAGGGCGAAUAAAACGGCAAGGGUGAAGUGGGGGAGAGGAAAACGAGAGGCAAAUGGCAACUAAUGUAAUGCGAGAGAUAGGGAUUGUGAUGGGUACUUGGUAUGCUGACUUUUGUGCAGACUCCCCGGCAACGGCGCCAGAAAUUCUUCUUGCUACCUCUUGAGCUUGCGUUGGAUUUCCCCGAAGAGGAGAGGAUGAUGCAGCAGAGUAGCAUAAGUAUUUCCCUCAGUUUUUGAGAACCAAGGUAUCAAUCCAGUAGGAGGCUACACGCAAGUCCCUCGUACCUACACAAAAACAAUAGCUCAACGCAACCAACGUGAUUAGGGGUUGUCAAUCCCUUCACGGUCACUUAUGAGAGUGAGAUCUGAUAGAUAGUAUUUUUGGUAUUUUUGAUAUAGAGAUGCAAAGUGAAAAGUAAAAGGCAAAGUAAAAAAGCAAAGCAAUAAUAAAGUGAUGGAGAUUGAUAUGAUGAUAAUAGACCCCGGGGCCAUAGGGUUCACUAGUGGCUUCUCUCAAGAGCAUAAGUAUUCUACGGUGGGUGAACAAAUUACUAUUGAGCAAUUGAUAGAAUUGAGCAUAGUUAUGAGAAUAUCUAGGUAUGAUCAUGUAUAUAGGCAUCACGUCCGAGACAAGUAGACCGACUGCUGCCUGCAUCUACUACUAUUACUCCACUCAUCGACCGCUAUCCAGCAUGCAUCUAGAGUAUUAAGUUAAAAACAGAGUAAUGCUUUAAGCAUCUACUACUACUACUAGACAAGGAGUACGCCAGUGGAGCUUUGAGGGGCCCAUGAGGCAGGGGGCGCACCCCCCACCCUCGUGACCGCCUCUUGGCUCCCUUGGAGUACGGUCCAAGUCUCCUGGAUCACGUUCGGUGAGAAAAAUCACGUUCCCGAAGGUUUCAUUCCGUUUGGACUCCGUUUGAUAUUCCGUUUCUUCCAAACAAUGAAAUAGGCAAAAAACAACAAUUCUAGGCUGGGCCUCCGGUUAAUAGGUUAGUCCCAAAAAUAAUAUAGAAGUGGAAAAAUAAAGCCCAAUAUAGUCCAAAACAGUAGAUAAUAUAGCAUGGAGCAAUCAAAAAUUAUAGAUACGUUGGUGACGUAUCACCCACGACCGGAAAACCUUGUCUGGGCUAAAGUCCAUGUAGUGAUAGGUCUAGGAAAGCUGAGGACUCAUCGCCAGGCCGGCCAGAUGUGACCCAGCCAUCUUGGCAAGCUUCUGGACAGAAAGUUGGCUGCUACAUCUGGAUAUCUUCUAGAUGGCCAUUAGGGCUGAUCUCUUGGGGUUAAGGUUUUCUUAGGAGGGUCAAGAGGCUCAAGAAAAAUCAGGGCGAAAGGAUCAAGGAAAAAUACACUUGCUGUACAAAGUGCAAUUUUGGACCAGAAGAGAAAUUAUUUUUUGUAGAAAAAAUAUUACAAAAAGUCAUGCAAUAUUUUUGCUAGAGAAGGUGGGCCAUGGUUCAAAGAAUAUUCAGGAAUUAUUUCAGAAUUUUUGGAUCAAUAAAAAUGGGGGUUGCUUUGGAGCACUAGUUUCUGAAAUAAGUUUUAGAAGAGAAAAUGAAUAUAUAUUUUUUCAUGAAAAAUAUUCAUUUGAUUAUUUUGGGGAUUUUUCAGAGAAAUGGGAUUGAAUGAGAAGUAGAUAGGUCACUUGGGUGAAAGUCAAGAGCAUGCCCAAGUGAUAAGUCCAUUUGAAUUGAUUCCAAAAAUCCAAAUCCAAGGCAAAGGCAAAACCAAGUUCGAAAAACGAGAGAAGGCAAAAUCCAGGCUGUCAUAUUGCGUCAUUAUCUAGGCAAGUUGAUCAGCACGGUAGGUGGUCCGGAUGGGAAGAAAAUGUGCCACCUUCGUUAAGGUGUCCACUAUGACCCAUAUUGUGUCAUUUCCUCGGUGAGUCCUUGGUAAACCGGUGAUGAAAUCCAUGCAGACAUCGUCCCAUUUCCAGUGUGAUACGGGUAAAGGUUGAAGGAGUCUGGUGGGUUUUUGGUUUUCCGCCUUUACCUGGUUGCAUAUAUCACAACCAGCCACAUAGUAAACGAUGUCGUUCUUCAUUCCAUUCCACCAGAGUACCUGACGAAGGUCUUCGUACAUUUUAGUGCCACCUGGGUGAAUUGAGUACGGCGAUUCAUGUGCUUCUGCCAAUAUCUUCUUCCUUAGACCUUCUUGGCCGGGUCGCAAAUCCUUCCUCGGAACCUUAGCGUACCUUGCUGAUCUCUAGAGAAAUCAUGUGUCUGUCCCUCUUGCAUACGCUUGGCAUAUAAUUGCAAUGAUUUGUCAUCUGCUUGAGCGCUACGAAUUUCUUCUUCGAGGGUAGGAGCAACUUCCAAUAUACUGGCAAGACUGGCAUCCAUGAUUACCAAAUUGAGCUAAGCGAAUUCUUCAUAAAGCUCAGGAGGCAAAGAUUCCAUUAGAGCAUUCAGGUUGGCCGGUUUGUGGCUGAGGGCAUCAGGAACCACGUUAGCUUUGCUCGGGUGAUAAUUUAUACCGAGGUCGUAAUCCUUAACCAACUUGAGCCAUCUUCGCUGACGAAGGUUCAAAUCGGGCUGAGUGAAUAUAUACUUGAGACUCUUGUGGUCGGUAAAUAUCUGGCACCUCUUUCCGAUAAGAUAGUGCCUCCAAAUCUUCAAAGCAUGCACCACCGCAGCCAAUUCCAAAUCAUGAGUGGGAUAAUUUCCCUCGUGUGGCCAUAGUUGUCGGGAUGCAUAAGCCACAACCUUGCUAUCUUGCAUAAGUACGCAUCCAAGGCCUUUUCUAGAGGUGUCACAGUAGACAUCAAAACUGCGGUAGACGUCGGGAAGAGUCAAUACUGGUGCUGACGUCAGUCUAAUUUUCAGCUCAUUGAAACUCUGUUCGCAGUCCUUAGUCCAUUCAAACUUCUUAUCCUUCUUUAGGAGCUCUGUCAUGGGCUUGGCAAUCUUGGAGAAUCCUUCAAUAAAACGGCGAUAAUAUCUGGCUAGUCCAAGGAAACUUCGGAUUUCUAAGACUGUCGUGGGUGCGGACCAAUCAAGCACAUCUUUUACCUUGCUUGGGUCCAUGGCUAUUCGUUCUGCCGAGAGAACAUGCCCUAAAAAUCCAACUUGCUUGAGCCAAAACUCACAUUUGCUGAACUUGGCGUAAAGCUGAUGAUCGUGGAGCCUUUGCAAAACUGCUCGGAGGUGGUCCUUGUGUUCGUCUUUGCUUUUUGAGUAAAUGAGGAUGUCAUCAAUGAACACCACCACAAAUUUGUCCAAGAAGUCCAUAAACACCUUAUUCAUCAUAUGCAUGAAGAAGGCUGGAGCGUUGGUGAGGCCGAAUGACAUAACGGUAUACACAUAGAGACCAUACCGAGUGGUGAACGCGGUCUUGGGAAUAUCUUCCUUCUUGAUUUUGAGUUGAUGAUAUCCGGUCCUCAAAUCAAUUUUGGAGAAUGCUUUGGCCCCACUGAGUUGAUCAAACAAAUCAUCAAUCCUUGGUAGUGGAUACUUAUUUUUGAUGGUGACGUCAUUCAGCUGUCGGUAGUCUACGCACAUCCGAAGACUGCCAUCCUUUUUAUCCACGAAUAUCGCGGGUGAUCCCCACGGUGAAGAGCUUGGGCGGAUGUAUCCUUUCUGCAGCAUCUCAUCUAGCUGUUCCUUGAAUUCCACCAAUUCUGAUGAAGACAUCCGAUAAUAUUUCUUGUGUAUCGGUGUGGUUCUAGGCACCAAGUCAAUUGCAAACUCCAGUUCUCUCUCUGGCGACAUUCCUAGUAAUUCCUCAGGAAAUACAUAGGGAUACUCACUGACCACCGGAAUCAAUUCCAACUCUUCAGCCACGGCGGUGAAAACCAUAUCCUUCUUGGGUACGCUUUUACGGGCAUAAAAACUUGCAGUGCGACCCUCCUGAUUUGCCAUGGUAAUUUCUCUGGUCGCACAGUUGAUGCAUACUUGGUAUUGGGUCAACCAAUUCAUUCCCAGAAUAAUAUCCAAUUUGUCAGAAUCGAUGAUUAUCAGAGACGUCAGAAACCCGACCCCCUUGAUAUUAAUUUCCAGAUUACGGUAGAUCAGAUUGCUUCUAAGCAAGGAUCCCGUGGAUUGUACCAGCAUAUGUUUUCCCAAAAUUGAGCAAGGAAAUUUGUUUUGGGCAGCAAAACUCCGCGAAAUAAAAGAGUGGGAAGCCCAGAGUCAAAUAAAAUUAUGGCAGGUAUGUUAUUAACAGGAAACAUACCAAUGACAACUUAUGGGUCCUCUUGGGCUUCAUCGGUGGAUAUAUGAUGGAUUUUCCCUUGGAUGGCACUCGGGCCGAAAUAUGGCUCCAGAUAGUUCACUUGCGGACGGAAUGGAGCUAUUGGCUUGCCGUUCUUGGGGCACUGUCUGGCAUAAUGUCCGUUUUGCCCACAACUGAAACAGGAAUUGUUGCGCUGACAAUCUUCACGUACCGGGCUGGUCAUGAUAUUCUUGACUUGAGUGGUGGUCUUGUUGACAUUUUGCUGCCAGUUGGUUUGUACUCAACCUGAGUCUGUUGCCAAGUACGAGCCUUCUGCACGGGUUGCAUAUCCUUCUUAGGCUCAAAUUUGCGCUUGUGGUCAUUAUUAGCUGGCUUGUUGUUGUGCAUGAGCUUGUGUUCCCUUUCUGCGACAAGAGCCUUGUUCACCAGAGUUUGGAAGUUUGGAAAAUCAAACAUGCUGAGAGUGCACCUGAGAUGCUGAUUUAGUCCUCCAAGAAAUCUAUCGACCUUCCGUUCCUCGGUGGCCACAUCAUAGAGUGAAUAGCGGGCCAAAUGGUUAAAUUUAUUCAGGUACUCGCUGACUGACAUCUUCCCUAAGUGAGAGAGAGGAAUUCGCGCUGCUUGAUUUUCAUAAUUCCGGAGGGAAUAUGAUACUUGCGGAAAUGAUCCUUGAAUUUAGUCCAAGUACUUUCCUCGUCCGUGGGCCACAUGGCCUUAGCAUUAUCCCACCAUAUCGUUGUAGCUCCUUCAAGAUAAUGUGUUGCGAAAGGAACCUUGUCUCCUUCUUCAGUGCGAGAAAUUUCCAGUUUCUUCUCAAUAGUCCUUAACCAAUCAUCAGCGUCCAAUGGAUCAAUAACUUGACUGAAACUAGGAGGCUUGGUUCGCUGAAAAUCUGACAGCUUGGAGUAAUGACCAUUCUGAUGUCCAUUCUGCCCAACCAUAACUUGCACACUUUUCAGUAGUUCCAUCAGAUCGUUGUUCCUUCUUUCUUCAAACAUUCGCAUGAUUUGAUCAAUAGAAGGCGGAUGCAACGAUGGAGGUGGAGGUGGUUGGUACGGCUCGGGGGAAUGUCCUGCUUGUCUUGCAGAGCGACGAACAGGGACAUCCUCACAAGCUUGGCUGCUGCUGCCUCCCCGCGACAUCCUAUUAUUUAGUUUCCCAAUGCAAAGCAACUGCGAUGAGAAAUAUCCAAAACUGGGAGGAAAGCCAGUGACAAAUCCAGAAGAAAACAGCGAAAGAAACCAAGGCGAAUAAAAAGAGAGUUCCAACAUAAUUACACAUAGACUCAACAUAAGAGUUAAACAUCAUGACAGGGUCACUACCCUCAUACAUGAAACUAAGCAUCACAACACGUGCGACUACAUCCAUACAUCAUACUCAUGACGAUGGUGAUACUCUAGCGAUCUACUGCUCGAAUGGCGUUGUUGUGGGCUCCUCUCCUGAGCCGGACCCAGAUCCUGAACUGAUAGUGGUGACCUCCGAGUUAAGAGUGACGCGACGGCGCUGCCUCGAAGGCUCUCCCUUAGGGGCAGGUGCGGGAUGGGAUCUAAGCAUAGGAGCUGCAGGAGUAGUGACAAGGGAAGCCCACGCAGCAGGAGCACUGCGAGGUUUUACUGCCAAAGGGGUAGUGGUACUCUGAGUGGUGGAAGAGGCUGGAGGAACGUAUGGAGUGAAACCGAUAGUAGGGAGAGGGUUCCUAUUAUGAGCAGCGGCGAGAGCUAUCCGGUCGCGGGUUAGCUCCCGAGCUAACUCGUAGUUCAAGAGAUAACUGGCAGUGAUAUAACGGGAAAGGUGGCUAGUAGGACGAUCGCAUGCUGGAUUAAUCAGAGGAAAGCGGAUACGCCCAUUCUCGUGCAUAGAUGGGUAGCAAAAGAAACCUGGGUGGGUGUGCAUUCGAACCUCGUUGUAGCGCAAGUCUACAAGAGCUUCGAUUGCAGCAAACUGGACCGCCUGAGAUGGCAUAGAAGCGAGACCACCCUUAGUAGAACGAGUGUAAGCGCCGGAAGGGGAACUGUGGUGUAGAGUGACCUCAGCAUAAAACUCAUACAAUGAACCGGCCAGAUGCUCUCGAUACACCUGAUACUCUUGAUCAGCACCCUCUGGGUAGAGUCAUCACCACACGUUCUGAAGCAGGUGCGGCGAUGUGUACGGAGCUGGCUCAUGAUGGUACAAGAUCAGAACUGGAGCCAUCCACACUCACAACCAUCAUAUGUUUAGUAAUAACAACAGAUAAACAUGCAUGCUAUGCAACAACCAAUUCCUAUGACUACCGGCACUCAGACAAAGCUAUUUACCGUUCCACUAACACACUAACGGUCUAGCGUGUCCUACAAUCAGCGCGGCUCUGAUACCAAGCGUUGUGGCACCCCGGCUCAGAGCAACUGGUUUACCUUGCAUUGCCAGCCCAGAGAUCAAGUCUUCUGGCAACACACAACAACAUGGUACAGAAGCACCGCUUUAUUGAUGCUAGUGGAAUACAUCGGUCUGAUGUUACAUCGAGAUAAGAGGCCAAGCGACACACAUGGUGCGGCUGAACAGUAUGUACAUUAUUUAAUGAACAUGAAGGGCCUCGGUCACAUGAACUACGCGACAGCGGAAGAACGAUGAAGUGGAACUCCAUAGCACACGGACACCGAUGUGGACACGGCCUAGACGCUGGGAGCUCUCCGAUUGCGAAACGACUUUCCUGAAAGCUGGCAUGACACGUCAGGUCAGUACAUUGAAUGUACUUGCAAGCUCACAGCAAACAUAAGCACAAUGACAAACAAUAUCAUGACAAUUAAUCAGUUUAAUGCAAUGCAAGAAAUGCUACUAAUGCGGUGAAACCAACAUGUGCACUGAGUCCCACGGACUCGCUUACCAGACGGGUUACCUCGUAACCAAACGGUGAUCGUACACAUAUCACAACUGAAACCAAUCACUCAUGAUCAGCUCAUGAGCUCCGAAAUCAUCAUGAAGUCAGUGCCAUCAAUAGUUAUUUAGUGUGCAAGAUUAAUUAUCAAAGUUGAUCCAUGUGUGACUUACUCCCGAGUUGUGCCCAUAACCGAGGACGCGGCUAUCGAUAGAUUUAAUACACUCUGCAGAGGUAGCGCACUUUACCCACACCACGGAAUCCAAGGCCUCGCACUCCCAUUCGGGUGGACCAACGGCAUUCCGACGAAACCCUCCCCUUGUCAUGACACUCUCCCGGCCACUCCGACAAACUCCCUCUCAGGGCUAUGUCCUGGGUGGUCCCGUGUCUACCAAAGACACCAACGGCCAAUGUCGUGGCAAAACAGUCCCAAGCGGGGACAAGGUACCAUAAAAACAAACGGGCACACAAGGCUAUGUCUGCUUACCGGGCCAGGGUAUGCACACCCAUAACCUUCCCUCGUUGGAGGCAUCGGCAAGAGACACAACAAAGGACCGAAUUAAGACCUCCCACAAGGUAAAUGUGGUCGCACUGAGAAAAACCCGAUUCAGUGGCACCAUGACUUGAUCAACGUCAUAUUCAAUUUGGACUUAUUAACAAGUUUAACUUGAAAAUAAAAUUUAAUCUACCAAGUCAUACGAUGCCAUGAUCAUGCAACUAAUCGACAUGUAAAACAUGCAACUCCCAUGUAUGGAUCAAACUUAUCAACAUAACUUACUUGCACUACUCAUGAUUAAACUUUACUGGUUCUACGUCAUUUUUAGUAUCAUGCAAUAUUUUGAUUAACUCAUAGUUUAUAUGAAAAUAUCACUUAACAAAAGAACUAUCAAUAUUUCUCAAAGCAAUCUAACUAAGGCAAAAUUUUAUUUUACCAGAUUAAACUAGUCCAUGCAUUCAACCAGCAACUUAAACAAUCAUUUCAAGCAUGACAAAGUAACUAGCAAGCAACCAUGUUUAUUUUAAAAAAAUUUAAAUGCAUAUAAGAACUCAUAUUUAAGUAGAAAAAUCAUAGAUAUUGAAAUGACACCAUCCAAAUGCUGGUGUGGCUUGCCUUAGUGCAGAGGAGGGUCACACUCCUCCUGGUUAUCUUCAAGGCAAGUCCCUCCUUCUGCAAAUAUUUAGAACCCACAAAACAAAAUAUCAAAAACCAUUCUGAAAAUCACCAGAAAUUCUAGACAGCAAGGAAAAUUCCACAUUUUUGUGUGCUGCUGGAGCUUUCUGAAACAAACACAAUGCAAAAAGAAUCACCUCAUUUGGACUUAUGGGCUAGGAGUUAUCACUGGUCAAAGUUGUGGUCAAAUAUUUGAAUUAAUUUGAAUAAAUCAAAAAAACCUGGGGGAGACGUCGAUGGCGUAAAGCCAGGAUACGCCUCCACUCGUACCGCUUCGGGUGCGAGUGGAGAGGUUGACACUAGUCCCCACCGGUCAGGAGAGAGAGGGGGAGAGAGGGAAACAAAGCGCGGCGGCAGUCCGCUGGAGCUUAUGCCAGCGAUGAGUGGGUCUUGGGCAAAACCAGAGGGAUAGAAGUGGAGAGGGGGUCGUGGCGCACCUGCCCGUACCCGUGGCUUGCUGGGGGAUGGUCGGAGCUGCUCGCAGUCAAGCUUGCAAGCGGCGGUGGUGGACGGGGCUUGCCGAAGAGUAAGAAGGUGACGGCGAGAGGCGACUCCAGGGGCUCAACUACGUCCAGGCGACACGAGAGGAUCACAAACAACGCGCCUGAGAGGUUGAUUGAGCUCGAGGGGUCUGGAGCAGGGUCGUUGGGCUGCGGGGAUCGCCGAUGAUCUCUGGUCGAGGUCGACGGCCAGAGGCCUACCCGACCAGGCUAUGGCUCUUCUACGAGGUCGUGGUGGUUGUGUGGUGCGGUGUGAGGCUUCGAAGCGGAGGGAAUGGCUCUAUAUAUAGCUGGAGCGAGAGGGGGGUACGUAGCGCCGCCGGAGUUCUCUAGAGACCGGCGAACGGCGACAAAAGGCUCCAGUAAGAGGGGGCAAGGGCUCAGUGUGUAGGCGGGAGCUGUCCACGCUCACGGAUGAGCACAGGAGGCAGGGGAGAAGAAGAUAAGGGCACCAGCGCACUGUGGCUUUUGGCCACGACGUGCCCGUGCUUGCUGCGGGGUCUCCGGCGUCGACGAGCGCCAGGGAGGGGUCAAUGGUGAUGAGUCGAGGCUGGUGGCAUUGUGCGGCAGUCGUCGGCGAGCUCUCGCUCGAGCACGCGCCGAACAGAGGUGUUGGCGUUACUCAGAGUGUGUCGAGCGCAUGCCAGACCCCGUGUCCACACGCGGUCACCGCCCUGGCAUGGUCAAAACGAUGCCCACGACUGGCCAAACCUUGUCUGGGCUAAAUUCCAUGCAGUGAUAGGUCUAGGAAAGCUGAGGACUCAUCGCCAGGCCGACCAGAUGUGACUCAACCAUCUUGGCAAGUUUCUGGACAGAAACUUGGCUGCUACGUUUCGAUAUCUUCUAGAUGGCCAUGAGGGCUGAUCUCCUGGGGUUAAGGUUUUCCUAGGAGGAUGAAGAGGCUCAAGAAAAAUCAGGGCCAAAGGAUCAAGGAAAAAUACACUUGCUGUACAAAGUGCAAUUUUGGACCAGAAGAGAAAUUAUUUUCUGUAGCAAAAUAUUACAAAAAGUCAUGCAAUAUUUUUGCUGGGGAAAGUGGGCCAUGGUUCAAAAAAUAUUCAAGAAUUAUUUCAUAAUUUUUGGAGCAAUAAAAAUGGGGGUUGCUUUGGAGCAUUAGUUUCUAAAAUAAGUUUCAGAAGAGAAAAUAAAUAUUUUUCUUUUAUGAAAAAUAUUCAUUUGAUUAUUUUGGGGAUUUUUCAGAGAAAUAGGAUUGAAUGAAAAGUAGAUAGGUCACUUGGGUGAAAGUCAAGGGCAUGCCCAAGUGAUAAGUCCGGUUGAAUUGAUUCCAAAAAUCCAAAUCCAAGGCAAAGGCAAAACCAAGUCCCGAAAAAGAGAGAAGGCAAAAUCCAGGCUGUCACACUAUUUCCAUUCACUACUGCAGGAUGCUGCUAACGUGACACUACGAUUAGAGACCCUUCGAAGAAACUGUGUGCGAUGCCAUAAUCGCAAACGGUGAUGUAAAAUAACCGUCAAAAAAGGUGCAAAACGUUUGUGAUGGAGGAUGCAUCAAACACGGUUCACAUUUUAGUUGCGUGUGCGAUGCAGGGCAUACGGUUCAGCUCAAUUAACUAUUUGUGAUGAGGAGGAACAAAAGAAAUGGGCAGCCAGGUGAAGGUGUGUGUGAUAUACAGCAUACGGUUCACUCGAAUGAACUGUUUGUGAUUAGGCAACACAAAAGAAACGGGCAGCCAGAUAAAGGUGUGUGCGUUAUACGUCAUGCGGUUCACUCGGAUGAACUGUUUGCGUUGAGAGAAGAGAACGGAAACUGUUAAUAUAACAAGAUGUGUGUGAUACGUGGCAAACAGGUCUGUAAUCAGAAAUGUGUGCGAAGACCGAUAAUAACACAGACGAUUGCUUCUAAUAAGACGUAUGUGAUAUGCUUUGUCUACACAACAUCUAUUGGCUAUUGGGGGACGGGUGGUCAUCCGAAUAAGCCAUAAGGAUGCGAAGAGGCAUCCUAUUAGCAAGGACUAGCUGUUCCACCAGUAGCUCAUGUAAGAAAACUUUUAAGUUAAGUGUGCUCAGGCUGGAGCAACCAUCAGAUGGGUGACUGGAUGGGAAGUUGUGUUGAUGUUAAAUUAACUGAUAGGAUGUGUCAUAUCUGUCAAAUUAAAUGACUGAUACGACCCAUCACAUGAGUUAAUUUAACCUCGAGGUCCUUUUUUUUAACACAUGUUAAAGAAGGUCUACCGCACUACUUUUUGACAAUGUGCGAUACGUGGCAUACAGUUGAUCCAUCUGACCUGUUUGUGAUGGAAUAGGCCAUGUGUGUUGUGCGCAAAUGCUUGCUAGUAUUCAACCGUUUGGGAUUGAUGAAUUCAUCACCGACGGGUUCCCUAGUGUGGUCCAUGUUCAUCUGAUCAUCAUCUACUUCUUGUGCUAGCUCGAUGUUCCUUCUAUGCUAAGUUUCCAUUAAUUGAUGGCGUUUUAUGAACACGCCACCAUUUCCCACCAUUUCCUCACUUGUUUCCCGCCAUCCAACGAUAUUGCACAUAGGCGGCACGUGACGCACAGAGGCGACAAGCACAGCCUGUAGAACAUCCACCUUUUCCAAGCAUGCCAACCCACCAAAGUGAUGCCUCUGCCAUCAACCUCGUUGACAAGGAAAACGAGCAGGUGCCACGGCCCGACGAGGCCGAGGCUCUCCUCGGCAAUGCGAUGGACGACACCAUGAUGCGCGUCAUCGCCAGGGUUGAAUAGACCUGUGGCGCAUGGCUCUUGAGCACUGCGGAUCAAGAUAGGCAUGUCAGCGUCGACAGGCUGCAGCUCGCCGCACAACAUGAUCGAUGGCGCGCCGCAGAGCAAGCUAGGCGCGUCCGUGCCGAUAGGCUGUGGCUCGCCGCACAGCGAGACCGUUGGAGUGCCAUAGAGCGAGAUAGGCGCGGCGCGCCGCACAGCAAGAGUGGAUCCAUCGGCGCUUGCCUGCUGUCGACAUGGCGUCGCAGCUGGGUACACGUCCUGUCAGUACCCCCAUUCCUUGCCAGGAGUGGGCAGAGGCCCUCAUUGUCGUACUUGCACCACAGGCCAGCCGCGUCAUACUCAGGGGCGGGCCCAGGAAUUGAAGACUGUGUAUUGAAAUUUUGAAUUUUUUUGGGAAGCCUAUAGCCUUCCUUUUGGCGCGUAUAACCGAUUAUAGUAGUAUAUAUAUUGUACUAGUUAUAAACUAUAUAAAAGAUACUUCAUAAUAUGUUAUAUUCAUCAAAAUUGAUCAUAACUUGCAUCGUUCAACGUAUAAAAGUAAUUGUUCAACAUAUUGUGGAAGAAUCUAAGAUAUACAGAGGAUAGAAAAUAGAAAAUGAUAAGAAACCUUAAAAAUUACAGGAGUGAUAUUCUUUAUAGAUAAUGUUCACUGUAGAAAAAUCAAAAUUUAUAAACAUUCUCACAUUACAUAUUUAAAUGGAAAAUUGCAAACUCUCAUGUCUAAAUAAUUCAUGUGUCAGGACCCCGAUUCCAAGUCACAUCGAUCUAGCCGGUAACACCUCAUAUCACUUUGCGGCCUCACGCACGGUAUUCCCACGGGUGUCGCCUUACCAUGUCCCGGGACCGUUUGCGCCUUUUGGCUCACGUAUAUGAUAGUGUCGCUAGCAUCAAUAUGACAGAGAACCCGGGCUGACAUGGCUAGUCGUGAACCCAAAGCGGCACUAACCCAUGGGGAUAGGCAUACAUGAAUCAACUUCGAGCAUGUCGGUCAGCAACGUGUGAAUCCGAGCUGUAGCACUGGGCUAACAGGACUUUGGGAACCCGGGCUAUAGCAGGCUAGGCAGGACUCCGGAUGUCACCGCAUGACAUUUCCCCGAAGGGACAGACACAAGAACAAAGUGAAUCACAUGCCGGCCAGUCAAGUGUUCCGGAGCUGUAGUGCUGGGCUAGCAGGACUCCGGUGACCCGGGCUAUAGCGGACUACUAUGGCUCAUGGAAGCACAAGAUUACAUUUCCCCAUAAGAGAGGCUACCAAGGAUAAACAACUAGGUUGUCGGAUCCGACACAUACCAAGCAUUUCAAUCAUACACACAAUAUGCUCGAUAUGUGUAAAUACAACAUGGCAUCACAACAUAACUCUACGACUCAAGUAUUUAUUCAUUAGGCUCCGAGGAGCGAGAUAUUACAAACAUGGGUCUCAUGACCCAACAUUCAGAGCAUACAAGUCAAAGCACAUGCGAAAGCUUAACAUGUCUGAGUACAGACAUCUACAAAUGAAAAAGGCUGAGAAGCCUGACUAUCUACCAGAUCCUGCCGAGGGCACAAGAUCGUAGCUGAGGUAUCAAGCUAAACAUCGAAGUCCACACGGAACUACUAGCAAGACUGACGUCUCUCUGCAAAACAUAAAAUAGGCAAACGUGAGUACAAAUGUACCCAGCAAGACUUACAUCAGACCUAUCUACAUAUGCAUCGGUAUCAAUAAAGGGGGGUGGUGGAGUUUAACUGCAGCAAGCCAGCUUUGACUCGGUGGCUAUCCUGAACUACGACUGCAAGUAACUCUUUGAGGUGGCGCACAUGAGUCCGCACAUUCACCAUAUCAAUACACCACUAUGGAUCUACUCCAGUCUCCCUACGAGAAGGCCAUCCAUAGCACUCACGCUUAUCUUGCGAGUUUUAAAGUAUCCACUUUCAGUUAUCUAUGAACUGUUAUAGGCAACCCAGAAGUCCAUUACCGCGGACACGGCUAUUCGAAUACAUGAUGUUAACCCUACAGGGGUGUACUUCUUCACACAUGCUCGCACCACUUAUCGCCGUUUACACGACGUGUACUCGGCAACCUUCAAGCGGAAGCCCAGCGAGGGUGUCGGCCACGGCCUACCUAAACACUCAAGUCUCUAGUCCAGGUUUAUCGCCUAUUCAGGUUCCAUCCGUAGGGAGUCCGGCCGAGGUUUCCACAUACGGCCCCGAACGAUGUGUACAGGGUUCCGAGACACCAAACGGGCGCCCGACAUGCCCGGCCAUGUGCCUACCGCAUCACAGCCCACCCCUCCGGUCAGCGCUGCCCACGGCCUCCAGCAUACUACAAACACCAGAAACUACUUGCAACUCCUGGACAGAGGACAAGGGUGAUCAAGAAGUCGAGAUGGUCCAUUGGUUUCGGGCCCAAUGAGUAGUAGUAACUGUUUCAUGGAUCACAAACACAGAACUCAGUUGCUGAGGACGGCUUCAAUGAGACAACCCACCAUGUAAUCCUACAUGGCCUCUCACCGCUACCUUUACCAAAUCAUGUUCACACACUUAGCUCUCAGCAGUAGGACAUGUUUACACACCUCCGAUUCAUCCCCGAUGAAUCAGACCUGACUCAACUCUAAGCAGUAGCAGGCAUGACAAACAAGCAUGAAUGAGUAGGCACAUCAGGGCUCAAACAACUCCUACUCAUGCUAGUGGGUUUCAUCUGUUUACUGUGGCAAUGAUAGGUCAUGCAGAGGAAAAGGGGUUCAGCUACCGCAGCCACUACUAGAAAAACCGCUACUAAUGGCGCACCUAGUUUGGCCAUUAAUGGCGCAUCACUGGUGCGCCAUUACUAGCACGCCAUUAGUAAUUUUUACUAAUGGCGCACCAGUGGUGCGCCAUUAGUAUCUGGUAUACUAAUGGCGCACCACUNNNNNNNNNNNNNNNNNNNNNNNNNNNNNNNNNNNNNNNNNNNNNNNNNNNNNNNNNNNNNNNNNNNNNNNNNNNNNNNNNNNNNNNNNNNNNNNNNNNNNNNNNNNNNNNNNNNNNNNNNNNNNNNNNNNNNNNNNNNNNNNNNNNNNNNUCCAUUAGUAUGCCUCCCAGGGGCCAUGUAUACCUAGGUGCUUUGGCAUACUAAUGGCGCACGACCACGAGAUGUGCCAUUAGUAACCGCGGCAUGCUAAUGGCGCACUGUCGAGUGAUGCGCCAUUAGUAUGCUUUGUCAUACUAAUGGCGCACUGUCAUGUGAUGCGCCAUUAGUAUGAAUAUUAGGUUUUUUUUAUUUUUUAUUUUCUGUUUUUUGCACAGGUUACAAAAUGUAUAAUUUGACAAAAUAUAGACAACACACAUCAACAACAGAUUCAUCGAAUACAAUAGAAGAUUAGUCUUUGAAUACAAUUCAUCAUAUUAGUCUCCGAAUACAAUUCAUCAUAUUAGUCUCCGAAUUGAAAAGACCGAACAAAGAUAGAACAUUAUAUUACAAGUCUCGAGACCGCGAGUAGCGAGUUUGUCUUCACAUUACAAGUCGAUAUCGAUCAUCUAAACUACCAUCACAUAGAAGAGAGCUACGGUCAUCACGAUGAGCAUCAUCACGAUGAAACUCGUCUUCAUCCGGUUCCUCCAACGCUCCCUCCCCUCUCCCGCUAGAUAGCGGGCGUAUCUAGAUUCGGCCUCGGCCCUAGUGGUGUACCCUUUGUAACUGUUACCGCUGAAUCGGUGAACCUGUCUCCGACACUCCUCCCAGUCAUCGUAGACUCCGGGAACCUUACCCUUGUACACGACAUACGUCGGCAUCGCUAUGCACUAGCCAAAUGAAACGUUAGUACCAAUUCACAGACAAUACAUAAGCAAUAUAUAAGUAUGCAACAGAACGAUCGGAAGAGAAAAGCAAGACAUUAAUAGCAUCGAUUACAUCUAAGUUGAACGACUCUCGAAACCAAAGAGACAUACUACAAGUUCAUUAAAGUUUAAUUACAACAUGAGACAAUCGAUGUUUCAGAACUAGACACAGCAUCACUGCUUUCGACUCGACUCAAGGGACCGGAGCGUGGAUGAAGCCGCCGUCUAUCGUGGGAGUCAUGAAAUAACGGUCGUUGUCAGCCUGCAUUUGUAGCAUUGUGUCGAUGUCACUGUUGGACGGUUGAUUGUUGAGGUAGAACUGCCCCGAGGUACGAAGGACAUCUUGAUGGAUGAUUUCCGCAAACUCCGACUGGAUGCGAAAGAAUUCUUGUCGGAGGUCCGCGUCCUGGAUUGCCGACACGCUCUUUGCCCAAUCUUUGAGUUUACUCGGUAGCAGAAGUUGAUGAUGGUCCCGUACGAUCGCCCGCAUGUGAUGGAUGGCGUAGUAGGCACCCUUCUGACCGCCAGGCGGCUGCUUGACGCAGCAGAACGUUGUAUUGUGGGAGAACACGUGCUUGCCGUACUUACGAAUAGGCCUGGUGAAGGUACCUCCAGAUUUGGCGUAGCCGGGGAGAACAUCAUCAAGAACCUUCUUGACAUUUGUGUAGUCUACGUUCGACUGACGGUCCGGGUCGAAAUACGUGGCCAUGGAAUAUUUGGGGCUUAGGAGGAUGAGCGUGCAACGUGUGUCACUGCAGAAAACACAGAAUGUUAAAAGAAAAAUGAUCGAAAUGUAAGAAUUCAUAUGUUACGGGCCGGUUGAGGGGAGGACUUACUCGGGAAAGUAAGGCACGAGGAAGUUAUCCUUAUCUUGGUUUGCCAGAAUGACGCCUUCGAGGUAAGAACUCGCGACUUGCCGGUCCCCAGCGCUUCCCAAGAUCUUGGCACGCAUGUAGAAGGGGUCGACUAUCACGAUGUCCGGGGUCUUGUCGCGAAUGAUCCGCAUCUCCAUACUCAGCAAAAAUAGCCGAACGAAGGUGUAGUGCAGCGGAUGAAGGUUCAACAUAGCGUGGAUGUCAUCAAAACGCAGGACGAUCGUACGCCCGAUGGAGUUAUCCACAAAGCCCUUGCCCUCUGGCACCUUGGCCGCAAAAACUGGGUAUGCCACAUCCUUCUCCCUGAGAUGCCGCUUCUCCAAAGAAAGAACACUGUCAUGCAGACUCCGCAUAGCACCGGUUGCAGCAUUGAGCAUAUUUGUCGGUAGCAUCGCCCUACCCGCCACAUGCACCCUCCUCGAGAUAUCCUGCGGUGAAGGUGGCCCGUCCUGAGCAUGGAUCGUACUCUGUGCCGGCUGGCUCGCACCCUUCUUAGUCUUUCUUUUGCGUGCCUUCUUCUCCUGUAAUGGGACCGAGUUUUGCUCACAGACCGCCUUCUUGAGUGUGUUGGGGCUGAUAAUAUUUCGCACCUCGCCUAUUUGAGGCUCGGUGAAGUCGGCAGCUGGAGGCGUCUCCUGAGAGCUGAACGCCAGACGGCGCCUGUUGCAACUUGGCUUCUCCGCGGUACCAGCUAGAUCGCACACGUCUUUUGUUGGGUUUGGUUCUUGAGAAGGAGGCCCCAUGAAGUCGCCAUCGUACCCAUGAUCGGCAAAGUACUGAUCAACGUUGCGAAAUGUAUCAUCGUCGUCGUCGUCGUCGUUCUGAUCCUGUGCCAUAUGCAUGUUUGGAUCCAGUGGCAUAAGGAUGUCCGGCACCGUUGCGGCGGUCUUGCCAUGGGGCCGACUUGGCGCCGACACGACUGGCGGUGUUGUCUUUGGGGUGGUGUCCCCCGCCCCCAAACGAAUCUGGCUCUUCGGCCAAAGCAGGGGCCAACUCAAGCAUGCGCUAAGGGUCAUCACGUCAUCAUCGUCGGCCCCGACGGGUCGAAUCGGAGGUAACAACUCGUCGCAGCCUGGCAGCACCCGAACCAGUUGAACCCUAAACAAGUUGGGUGGCAUCUGGGUACCGUGGAACAAGGGGUUGCCCGGUUGAACUAUUUUGCCCUUGGCGACAUCGACCAACUCGUUGUUCACGAAGUGGAGGAGAGUGCACGGAAUGUCGGCGGCGCCCUGCGAAAACAUGUAGGGCGGCAGGGAUGCCCAGUCAAAGGCAAGGAGAUGAAGUUCUCGGCCGAGAGAGGCUUAAUUAGUUACCGUGAUGAUGGCGUCGAGCUCGGCUAAUGUAGAGGCACCGCCAACGGCGGGCGUGCAGUUGACGGAGGGGCCGCUUGCUGCAGAGGUGCCGGCCGGCGUACACCCGGGUGCAUUAAGCUCCCGUGCCGGUGUCGGAGACACCGAUGCCGCCUCCGCCGGAGGCACCAAUGGCCCCGCCAUCGCAUUAUGCGAGUUGCUAGCCGUGAAGCUAGGAAUCGGGGGCAGCCCUUGUUGGCCGCCCGCAAUCCACGCACUCAACCCCGAGAUCAAGGUAGGCACAAUGGCGGUGAUCGUCGCUCCGAGUCGUUGUUCCACUUGCUCUUGGACAAUCUCCGGAAUCCGCGCCACCUGUGCCUUGAGUUCUUGAACCUCUCGCGCCUGGCUUUCCAAGCUGGUCUUUUUCUCCUUCCGCACACCAGCGGUAUAGUAUGACCCCCAUUUUGUCGACAAGCCUUUGCCGGCCACACGACCAGCUGACGUCGGCUUACUGAGCUUAUCCUUGUUCUUCAUUACAUUCAACCCCCUAUUUAGAGUGGUGUCCCAAGGGUUGCUCUUAGUCGACCCCGUGCUACUGCUUUCAGUCGCCUGCGGAAGGAAUGUGAACCAUUUAGAAAUUUGGCUUCAUUAAUUAGAAUGCAAUCAUAUGGAGCUAAUUACGCGGGGGUGUAUUCCUUACCAGAACAAGCUCAAGCUGCCUGGUCUUCGGAUCCAUGGUAAGCUCCUUUGUUUUUGGGUCCUUCUUGUACCGGGCCCUGACAAAGUUCCUGGUCUGCUUGUCACCGUAUUUAUCGAAGAGGGGCGGUAGGCCUUGCUCGGCACGGUCCGCCUCCUCCUUGUCCCAUAUAGGCUCCGCCACUCUGUAACCGCCGGGACCGAGUGUGUGUUCCCCUAUGUUCAGCUCCCGCAUUUGUUUCCCCCACUCACUUGAUUGGGAGUUUGCGGUGCUUGAGCAAUUGAUCUUGAAGUCGUUGUAGUCAUCUUCGGUGAUCGAAGGAUUUUUCUCCUUGAUCUUCUGAUAACUCUCACCUUUCUCGAUCAUUCUCUUCACAUUGCUUUUCCAAGUAGACAGGGCCUUGCUCAUCUUCGUGAGGGCAACAUUGUUCACUUUAUUCCCUUUGAGGCUUGUGUUUGAAAAUUCAGCGGGGAACUUGUAUCGUUCGUGCAGCUUCGUGAAGAGGAGGUUGCGCAAAUUCCCUCUGUCAGGAUGCCUCAGGUUCUCGGUGUUGAUCGAGACGGUGCUCCGGACAAUGCAUCCGAGCUGAAGCGAGUACCCCUUGACUAUUCGUUCGGGCGUUGUUGGAUUCCUGUUGGAGUCCACUUCAGUAACUUCCUCCUUGAGGGUGCGGAGCACGGUCAGGCGCCGGUCCUUCCGUUGCCUCUUCGGUUGGCUGCCAUCUAUGCGUGCGCCGCCAUCAUCAAUGGUGGCAUCCUCGGCGGCACCAUCAGUGGUGGCAUUAGUGUGGUCAUCCUCGGCGGCACCAUCAGUGGUCUCAGGAUCGAUGGGGAAGGCGGCGGCCUCAUACAAGUGAGGUUGUUCCUCCAUCUCCUGGGACAGCUCCCAGAAUGCCUUGCCGCCCGAACCCCCGGCCUCAUCGUUGUGGGCCAUGUUUCUCUCUAAAUAGAAACAAAGUUUGGUCAAAAAGUUGGUUAUUGUCAAGGAACAAGAUCAUGGUCUCAUCAUUUAGGGUUUGUCGACACCGAGGCAUCCUAAAAUCUAAGCUUUUAUCAUUGAGGGUUUUUCGACGCCGAGGCACGCUAAAAGCCUAAGCUUUCAUCAUUUCGGUUUUAUCAUUUAGGCAUUAGUCACAAGUACUCCGGGGCACUUGAUCCUACUUAAUUAACUACUACGAUACCCCGGCCCAUGCAUUAGUCACAAGUACCCCAUAUGUCCUAUUUUUAGCAAAGUCAUGCUAAAAUUCACGGAAAAUUUCAGCAUGACCUUUGCUGAAAAUAGGACAUAUGGAGUACCCGAAUUUGCCGGAAUGGAAGUUAAUCGACAUUCCGGCAAACUCAAGGGCCUCUCGGGGUACCUGCAAAAUCAUUAUCCCAGGUGGACAUGGAUGCAAUGUCACAUGUCACAUGGAUCCCACACCCACAGGAGCUGGUGAAGCUUCAUGUGUAUUUCACGAAAACCAGCCUGACUAAAGAGCUUUAUGUAGAAAACAAAUCACUCCACCAGCUCACACAGGAUCAUCCCUCUAAGCAAUUACUCAAAAUGGGCACUAGCAGCAAAAAGGGAAAAUGCAAUUUAUGGCACAUAGAUGUUGAUCCACUGACAUUCAUAAAUUUCAGAAGAGAAAACAGCAGGCAUUGCGCAUGCAGUAUUUACUGCUAACCAGGGAGAAGAGGUUCUUAUUUUCACUCCCAACAACAAGCAGGAAAACGUCUACAUCGAUGCACUCGGACGAAGAAAGUGCAGCAUACAUAUAGUUCAUAACAGAGUGCACUGUGUGCAGAAACAGGAAGCGUACUAUCAAUCAUCCACAUAUUUUUCGACAAAGAUCAAUCAUCUAUAUAGUAAGGGAUAGCUAAAUUCGCACUUUACUAAACAAACUAUCCCUCAAGUUAUGCUAUGAAAACAUAUUCGGUUUUUGAGACACCAACAAUUAAGAACCUACAGACAAGUAUUAAGAGAGCAGCUACACUAGGAUUAAAGAAAUUGACUCCUAACUACUACCCAGUUCAGCGUUGAGACUCCACCAAUUAAGGUCCUACAUAGUAAUAGACCAUCUAAAAUAGCAUUCCACUACUACCCACUACAAGCAGUAUGUGCUAAACUAGCAUGUCACUACUACAGACUAGAUUGGAAACUGGGUCCUAGCAGCUACAUAUUCAGUUUGCAACAUAACCAAUCAAGACCCUACAAGGUGCCACUUGUUCAUCCUACCAAGAACAGCAGCAUCCAGAAAAGCUCCAUAUUUCAUGCACUCUGCUUCUACACAAAUGUGCUCUGCUCCUAGCUAGUUUCAGUUCAGAUCUGAUUACUCUUUGCUCUUAUCCUGGUUUAGAUCUUGUGGUAAUUAAAUAAAUGUCCGUAUAUGCAAUUGCAGACCAAAACAAAACUACAAUUAACAGCCCCUGUUUUAUUGCAAGUAAAUUUGCUAUCUUAUACUCCCUCCUCUCUGGAUUAGAGAUCCUGCGUGUAAUCUAGGUUGUCUAUUUUACCAACAUAACAAUACAUAUCACAAAAGUUAUACUAUUAGUAGAAAGUACAAUAAAUCUUCAGCAAGAACCAGUAAGGUCCAUAUAGGGCUCUGGCUCCAACUAUAUCAUGUUUUAUUUAAACACAGUAUGUUUCAAUUCCUCCUCUAUACAAAUCUUGAGCAAGGACCAGCAUAUCUAUAUUACUAUAUAGUGUACGAGUUUUGAAGAUUUGAAUCUCAAUGAUAGGAAAGAAUCUGAACCGUUGAUAUAGUCCAUCGAAUGGUCCAAAAUGUUGGGAUUCGCAUCUACAGUGCCAGCUACAAUGCAUCUGCAGUAUAGUAAAGAUUCUGCUGUUUUCCAGAACCAUCUACAAACAAGAAAAGUUCACCUGCUUGCUACUGUUGUGCAUUUGUGUGUGUAGCAGGCCGAACCGAGCAUACAAAUAGACAGGCAGUCUGCGGCAGCGUGCACACUAAUCACGUUGGCAAGGAACGAGGUGAUGUUUUGGCCUUUUGGGAUAGUUCUUAGAGUUGGCUGUACUAUAAGAUACUACUUGGGGAUGGCUUGAGAAGUAUUCAAUGGUGGUUAGCGCAUAUGCAUAUCUGAUGGAAUGAUUAGAGAGUUUUUGGAUGGAGAAAAAGAAGCGAGAUAGUCUCGACCAUGGAACACAGCGAUGAACAUUUCCUUUCUGAAAAAUAUUGAAGGGGGCUGGAAAUAAGAAAAGAAACUUUUGUUAUACCUCGCAAAAAAACUUUGGUUGUAUAUGAGAAAAUAUACUGGAAUAAAAUAAAUAUGGAAAUUGAUCUGUCCAGACUUAUUAUAUGCAAACCCGUUUAUGUUUCAUUUUUCAUUUUUAAUAAAAUUUAUAGUUUGAGAAUUGUUCUUCUCACAUUGUAAUAACUCAUAUAUAUCUCAAUGGACGACUAAUAGAAUUACUUUAUUGCUUGCUGUAGGGGGCAAAAAGUAGAUAAGUUUUCAACAUUGUGAUAAUCAACAAUGAAAUCAAUCACANNNNNNNNNNNNNNNNNNNNNNNNNNNNNNNNNNNNNNNNNNNNNNNNNNNNNNNNNNNNNNNNNNNNNNNNNNNNNNNNNNNNNNNNNNNNNNNNNNNNNNNNNNNNNNNNNNNNNNNNNNNNNNNNNNNNNNNNNNNNNNNNNNNNNNNNNNNNNNNNNNNNNNNNNNNNNNNNNNNNNNNNNNNNNNNNNNNNNNNNNNNNNNNNNNNNNNNNNNNNNNNNNNNNNNNNNNNNNNNNNNNNNNNNNNNNNNNNNNNNNNNNNNNNNNNNNNNNNNNNNNNNNNNNNNNNNNNNNNNNNNNNNNNNNNNNNNNNNNNNNNNNNNNNNNNNNNNNNNNNNNNNNNNNNNNNNNNNNNNNNNNNNNNNNNNNNNNNNNNNNNNNNNNNNNNNNNNNNNNNNNNNNNNNNNNNNNNNNNNNNNNNNNNNNNNNNNNNNNNNNNNNNNNNNNNNNNNNNNNNNNNNNNNNNNNNNNNNNNNNNNNNNNNNNNNNNNNNNNNNNNNNNNNNNNNNNNNNNNNNNNNNNNNNNNNNNNNNNNNNNNNNNNNNNNNNNNNNNNNNNNNNNNNNNNNNNNNNNNNNNNNNNNNNNNNNNNNNNNNNNNNNNNNNNNNNNNNNNNNNNNNNNNNNNNNNNNNNNNNNNNNNNNNNNNNNNNNNNNNNNNNNNNNNNNNNNNNNNNNNNNNNNNNNNNNNNNNNNNNNNNNNNNNNNNNNNNNNNNNNNNNNNNNNNNNNNNNNNNNNNNNNNNNNNNNNNNNNNNNNNNNNNNNNNNNNNNNNNNNNNNNNNNNNNNNNNNNNNNNNNNNNNNNNNNNNNNNNNNNNNNNNNNNNNNNNNNNNNNNNNNNNNNNNNNNNNNNNNNNNNNNNNNNNNNNNNNNNNNNNNNNNNNNNNNNNNNNNNNNNNNNNNNNNNNNNNNNNNNNNNNNNNNNNNNNNNNNNNNNNNNNNNNNNNNNNNNNNNNNNNNNNNNNNNNNNNNNNNNNNNNNNNNNNNNNNNNNNNNNNNNNNNNNNNNNNNNNNNNNNNNNNNNNNNNNNNNNNNNNNNNNNNNNNNNNNNNNNNNNNNNNNNNNNNNNNNNNNNNNNNNNNNNNNNNNNNNNNNNNNNNNNNNNNNNNNNNNNNNNNNNNNNNNNNNNNNNNNNNNNNNNNNNNNNNNNNNNNNNNNNNNNNNNNNNNNNNNNNNNNNNNNNNNNNNNNNNNNNNNNNNNNNNNNNNNNNNNNNNNNNNNNNNNNNNNNNNNNNNNNNNNNNNNNNNNNNNNNNNNNNNNNNNNNNNNNNNNNNNNNNNNNNNNNNNNNNNNNNNNNNNNNNNNNNNNNNNNNNNNNNNNNNNNNNNNNNNNNNNNNNNNNNNNNNNNNNNNNNNNNNNNNNNNNNNNNNNNNNNNNNNNNNNNNNNNNNNNNNNNNNNNNNNNNNNNNNNNNNNNNNNNNNNNNNNNNNNNNNNNNNNNNNNNNGAGUAGGGAAGGGGUGCGGGGGGUCGGCGGCGGCGGUUGAGUAGGGGAGGGGUGCGGGGGGUCCACAAUUUUUUUAUGCAUUUAAAAUGUUGUUUGAUACUUAUUUGUGUUUAAAUAUGUUCAAAUUUGUUUUAUAAGACAGUAAUAAUUUUUUUAUAAGACAGUAAUAAUUUUUUAAAAAAUAUCAUCGAUCUUAGCUAGCUAUCUGUUCACAAUCUUCUUGCCCUUCUUUUUCGCAAUUGGAGUUCUUCUAUGGAACGGACGUCCUUUAGGUAGGGUGGUCCUGCUUCUUCUUGUGGUGUAUGCUGCUACUUCAUCAUCGUCAUCAUGUUCGAUCCUCGGGUCGCCGUACUUGUCGAAGUCUUGCUCAUUGGCUACUCCAUCCAUUCCGAUGAUCUUCCUUUUGCCUCUCCUCACGACAACACGACUGGGCUUUGGCGGGUCGGUAAUGAAGAAGCAUUGGUCCACUUGGGAAGCCAGUACCCAUGGCUCAUUUUUCGCGGUGACGUUUGCGCCCGCGGUCUUGGAUUUGGCUUCAGGUAUAACCAUGGUGGUGAAAUACCGGUCUUCUUUUAUGACGUUCUUGGCCCAUCUGACACGGAACAUCGGGACCUUCUCUCUAGCGUAGCUCAGCUCCCAGAUCUCCUCGAUCCUUCCGUAGUAUUUGUCCUUGUCGUUACCGGUGUAGGAUUCCAUCGUUACCCCGGAGUUCUGAUAACCAUCGCUCUUCAUGUCCUUGGCCUCGGUGUAGAAUGUGUAGCCGUUGAUAUCGUACGCCUCAUAGGUCAUCAGGUUGUGCUCGGCGCCCUGUGACAAGGCAAAUAUGAGUUGUUCUUCCGCGGAAGAAUCCUCAUGUAAAGGGUACGACAGAAGCUUCUGCUUGAACCAACGCGUGAAACAUGAGUUGUGCUCUUUGAGUAUAUCUCCGUCCGUCCUCUGUUGGCGUCGGUCAUUGUACGUCUUCUUAAUAAAGGUUUUGUGCUCUACCACCCAAGGAUCGACCAUGUCUAUGUGUUGUAGCGCGACUAGGUUUGCUCUUUCAAAGUCGGCGAGUCGACCCUCGAAGUCGACAUGCAUUUUGUGGCGACCCUCACGGUGACCCCAUCCAGCGAGCCUGCCGAGGUGCCUGUUGACGGGCAGACCAACGGGGUUCUCGAUGCCUAGAUAAUUCGUGCAGUAGGAGAUGCACUCUUCGGUCAGAAAGCCCCUGGCUAUGCUUCCUUCUGGACGUGACAUGUUGCGAACGUAUCCUUUGAUGACACCAUUCAUCCUUUCAAACGGCAUCAUGCUGUGCAGGAACGUCGGCCUGAGUUGGAUGAUAUCCUCCACUAUAUGGACCAGCAGAUGCACCAUAACGUCGAAGAAUGCGGGCGGGAAGUACAUUUCAAGCUCGCAUAGUAUCACCACGAUCUCUUCCUGUAGCCUUCUGAGUUGCCUCACGCCAAUCGACUUCCGAGAGAUGACAUCGAAGAAGUUGCAUAGGCCAAAUAGCGUUUCACGGACAUGCGCGUCCAUGAUCCCACGGAUUGCAACUGGAAGUAUCUGCGUCAUCAGCACGUGACACUCGUGAGACUUCAUCCCGCUGAACUUCUGCUUCGCUGGGUCUAGGUAUCUGCUUAUCUUCCCCGCGUAACCAUAAGGAAGUUUUACUCCUAGGAGGAAGGUGAAAAACUGCUCGAUCUCCUCCUGACUUAGAGUGAAGCACGCGGGAGGGUAGUCAUUUCCGGUCUUCUUGGCCUUUUUGCCUUUGCGACGACUUUAUGUGUCCUGCUUCGCCUCAUCAUCAUCAUCAUCAUCAGCAUCAUCAUCAUCAUCAUCAUCAUAUAUAGCGUGAAGCUCCUGCCUGAUGCCCAUUGAUUUCAAGUCUGCCCUUGCUUUCGGCCCAUCUCUGGUCCUCUCUGGCAUGUUGAGCAGGCUACCAAGCAGACUCUCGCACACGUUCUUCGUGAUAUGCAUGACAUCAAGGCUGUGAGGCACACGGUGGAUCUUCCAGUACGGCAAGUCCCAGAAAACAGACCUCGUUUUCCAUACCUUCAGCGGCGGCUCUGGCGCCUUUCGCUUCUUUCCCGGCUCUGGCGCCUUUUUCUUCUUUCCUGGCAGUGGGCAGUCUUUCCAAUUUUUCAACAGCUUGUCUAUUUCCUCGCCGCUCCUCGUACACGGGCGUUUUCGGGGUUCGGUUUCACCAUCGAACAGAUCCUUGCGUUUCCUCCACGGGUCAUCAUCGCGAAGCCACCUUUGAUGUCCCAUGAACACAGUUUUCGAAGACCCGGGAUCUCUAUCUAGUUGGCGAUACGUUGUGUCAUCCAUGCAUCUUACGCAUCCAGAAAAUCCGUGGACUACCUGCCCCGCAAGAUAUCCGUAACCGAGAUAGUCGUGCAUCGUCGUGAGCAGUGCGGCUCUCAUAGGGAAAUAUUCUUUGUCUGCGGCGUCCCACGUAUUGGCUGGCAUUUUCCACAGCGUGUCAAGCUCCUCUUUCAGCAGCCCCAGAUAUAGAUUGAUGUCGUUCCCUGGUUGUUUCGGCCCUUCAAUUAGCAUACUCAUGUGAAUGUACUUCCUCUUCAUGCACAACCAGGGGGGAAGGUUGUACAUCCACACAAACACAGGCCAGGUGCUAUGUGUGCUUCUCUGGCUGCCAAACGGAUUGACUCCAUCGGUGCUCGCGCCCAGCACGAUGUUCCUUGGAUCGUUCCCAAAUUCUGGGUAUUCAAAGUUCAACGCUUGCCACUGGCUCGCAUCCUUAGGGUGACUCAGCAUCUUGUCUUUUUUAUCUAUCUCCGGAUCAUUUGCGUCAUCUUCUCGCUUCUUCUCCUCCCUAUCCGCGUGCUAACGCAGGAGCUUUGCUACCUUAGGGUCCGCGAAAUACCGCUGCAGACGAGGAGUGAUCGGAAAGUACCACACCACUUUUCGAGGAGCUUUCUUCCUCUUCUUGUAUCGAGUGACAACGCACACCGGACAUAUGGUAGACUCCGCGUGCUCGUCCCGAUAAAUGAUGCAAUUGUUCAUGAACACAUGGUAUUUCACGUGCGGUAAAUCCAGAGGACACACGAUUUUCUUCGCCUCCUCCAAACUGGUCGGGCACUUGUUCCCCUUGGGAAGACGUUCGUGCCAGAAUGGCAUGUUCUCGUCGAAGCAUGCGUCGGUCAUUUUGUGUUUUACCUUCAUCUCCAGAGCCAUGAGCGUUACUUUCAGGCGGGUAUCCUCGGGCCUGCAUCCUUCAUACAAUGGAGUAACCGUGUCUAACUCAAGUUGAUCCAUCUUGGCUUUCUCUCGGGCGGCAGCUCUUGCGUUAUCCGUCUGCUUGAGAAGCAGCUCUUGAAUAUGAGGGUCCUGCACCCAGCCCAUCGAUGGUCCAGCGUUGUCUGCUUCGCCGGCAUCAUCAUCAUGUCCUGCAUCUUCUACAUGAUGACUGUGUACAGCAUCACCGUCGUGAUCAUCUCCUGGGGAUUCUUCGUCUUCUCGCCCGCCCUAGCCGCGGUGGUUGUCUUGCUGCCCUUCCUCAUUUCUUGCCCGGCCCCCAUGGACGACUUUGUAGUCAUCGUCAUCACCUUGCCACCGAUAGCCAUCCAUGAAACCACGCAAGAGCAGGUGGUCCCGCACCUGCCCGGAAUCCGGGUCCGCAAUAAGGCUCUUCAGCUUGCAUCUUCGACAUGGACAUCUUAUCUCCGUCUCGUUCUUUUGAAGCAUCUCGGCCUUCGCGGACCUCAAAAACCUAUUCACGAUGCCUUCGGUCAUCAUGCGGACCAUGGUCGCCUGCGGGGUAGAGCGAAACGAUAUUUUAGAACCAAGAAAAAAUUUGGCAUGACUUUCCCUAAAAAUAGGACCAAAAAGAAUGCUUAAUGCCAAAAUUCUCGCCAAAACGGAAAUGAAUCAACAUUCCGGCAAAAUAUUGGCAACUAUCGCAUUUCAAAUACCGGUACACCUCCAAACACAAACACAUAUGCAACACCACAAACAUAUGCAACACCACGAACAUACAUAGAUCUAGCUAGGCCAUAAAAAGUGCAUGUGCACAUUGUUGUAGGGAGAACAACAUAAAUAUAGCUUCCCCCCUUACUUACCUACCAAAACAAGGUAACUUAACCACUUAAUUUGAAUGAAUCUAUGGUGGAAAUGAGGUGAAAAAGAGGAGGCACCCGAGACAAGGAGGAGGCGGUGGAGAGAAUGAAGUGGGGAGAAAGUGAGUGUGGGAGGAGAGGCUGUCCAAAAUAUCUUCUUGCUGCCCACUUACUAAUGGCGCACCAACCACAAAUGCGCCAUUAGUAAUCAAGGUUACUAAUGGCGCACCACCUGGUGGUGCGCCAUUAGUAGUUUUGCAAAAAAAAAGAUACUAAUGGCGCACUCCCACACGGUGCGCCAUUACUAGUUUAAACUAGUAAUGGCGCACCGCGAGUGAGUGCGCCAUUAGUAGUUUUGCAGAAAAGGGAAUAAAAAUAAUAAAAAAAAAACAACAUUAGUGGCGCACUUUCUGACUGGUGCGCCAUUACUAGUUACAACUAGUAAUGGCGCACUUCCUAUGGAUGCGCCAUUAGUAUGUUUGGACAGGCGCACUAGUUCAAAAAAAUUUGAUACUAAUGGCGCACCAUGGGCCAGGUGCGCCAUUAGUAGUUUCAACACUAAUGGCGCAUCAGAAGGUGGUGCGCCAUUAGUAUAUACUAAUGGCGCACCACUUGUCUGGUGCGCCAUUAGUGCCAAUCCCAUCUAUAGCCCUUUUUCUAGUAGUGAGCAUGUAACAGUUCAAUCCUUGUUGUCCUAAUGCAGUAAAAGAGAGCAAGAGCGAGAGAGUGGGAUUAUAUCGGAAUGAACAAGGGGGUUUUGCUUGCCUGGCACUUUUGAAGAUAGUAUAGUUCUUCAUUGGUGUCAUUGAUCACAUCGUCGGAACACGUCUAUCGAGAGGGAACAACCACCAACAAACAAAAGAGAAACACAAUCAAUGCCAUGCAACAAUAUGCUGUUGGUUGGCCUAAUGCAACUAGCAACAAGUUAAAUGGAGUUGGUUUGAACACUAGGUUCAAAUUCAAACUCCAUAUGUGCUUUCUUAAAUGCCAUUUCAUUGAAUUGUCCUAAACAGCAACUUUAAAUUGCUCCAACAUGCAUGAAAAUGGUACAGAUGGAUAGAUUGCAUUUUUCUGAUAAUUUUUCAUAUAUAAAUUAUUUCAUUUGGAGUUAUGGUUGAUUCUCUAUGAUUUUUAGAAGUUUCAACUAUUUUUUGGAAUUUCUAAAUCAUUUCUGAAAUAAGAAAAACCAGAAAAGCAUUUACUACGUCAGCAUGACAUCGGUGUGACGUCAGCAAGACAACAUGACCGUUCCUGAUCAAAUCUGACCAGUGGGUCCCGCGUGUCACUGUCUAGGCUAAUUAACAAAGUUAGUUAACGCUAAACUAACCCUAAACCCAGGUUAAUUAGGGGCCUGGGCCCACACGUGGUUGACUCAGGGGAGUCAAACCCCUGGUCAAAGGUGAAAUGCGCCGGCGGCUUGACGCCGGCGACGGCAGGCGCAAUGGAGUGCUGCGGAAUCGCUGCUCCGGCCACAGUUUGAUGCACGGAGGGGUGCUACGCAGAGCUGGAACCCGUCCAUGUCGUUUGGUGCAGGUGGCGUCGCCAUAGGUGACCUAGAACGAUGACGGCGUCCUCAAAUGCGGCGGCCGGAGUUCGGGUGAUGAUGCAAACGUCGCUAUGGUGCACGGCAGAAGCAACGGGUGGUUGCUCUGGGCUCGUGGAGCUGUGCUGAGCACGGUGACGCGCUCGGUUUUGAGCCUGAGCAGCUGCGGCGACGGCGGUGGCAUGGCCGGCGGGCGGAAGCUUUCGGCUCCGGUGAAGAGCACGGUUAGGGGACGCGUUCGGUAGCGAGAAGAGAGGGGAAAGAUGGCGGGGCUCACUGGGGGUCGUAGGAGAAGGUCAGCGGACUCGGGGAUGGCUUGGUGACGGUGAAUUUGUCGAUGGCGUCCGGCGGCCGUGCGGAGAAGACGAGGUCGAGGACGAGGCUUCAGGGCGUCCGGGGUCCAGCGGUUCGGUGUAGAGGUGCGCGGCAGCGAGGCGGAGCUCGUGGGAUAGCUAGCGGGCGUGGGGAGAUCGGUGGAUGCGGCAAGAGGCGACGGUGGCAACGGCUCCGUUCGGGUUGUGGUGAGAGAGAGAGAGCAGAGGAGGGGAAAGAGGUCCAAGGAGAGAGGGGAGAGGUCGAGGGGGUCGGGGGGUGUGCGUGGCGUCGUCUAGAGCGUCCAGAGCGAUGUCGGGGAGGCAGCGUGAAGCAGGAGGUGGCCGAGGCACGUGGCCGCGCGCAAGGGGCACACGCCCGUCCUCCUGGCAGAGGAGGAAGACGACAGGGAAAGAGGCGGUGGUGGGCUGGGCCGGCUUUGCCCAGCUGGGCUGCUACUGUGCCAGGCCAGUGGGCCCUGCCAGGUAAGUUCCUUUCUUUUUAUUAAUUCAUGUUUUCUAUUAUUUGUAUAACUUCAUGGCUUUAUUAAAAAUGUCAGGGCCUUUCCAAAAAUCAUGAAACUAAUCAUGACUACUGUUUGGAAUAUAUCCAACGGUAAACAUUUUAGUGUAUGAUUAUUUGAGCACUUAAAAUAUUUAAAAGCAUUUAAAUGCCCAAAUGCAAACACUAUAAGAUUUAAUUCAGAGCCCAAAUAUGUCAUGGAAAAAUGUGCAACACCUCUGGUUAUUGCUUCUAGCAUUUUCCAGAAAUGAUGAACAUUUUUUGAAAGCCAUUUGGAUUCACUGAAAUUAUUUUAGUUGAACCUAGUGAAUUCCUUUGAUGCUAGGGUUUAGGCAAUCCCCAUUUCAGGUUUAAGAGAAAUUUAAACAUGAUGCAACACAAGACUAACUAGACCAGAGCAGACCAGAACUAGGGAUGUGACAUCAUGAUCGACUACAAACAAGUUCUAAUUUCACAAUAAUCAAAUAGGCAGACAAAUGUUCAAACUAACUUACUUUUGUCAGUAUGUAUUGUAGUGCAUCCUCCUCAACGGCACUAGAAGAAAACUGUGCUCCUGCCUGCACCAAUAGAUGUAUUCAGUUGGACUAAGAAAUAAGAAUUGGCAUGAUAACAGAGCUAACAAUUUCAGAAGUGAAGGAUUAAUAUAUCCAAUUAGCAAUUAUACCUGAAUCUGUCGGAUGUGGCUUUGAAACUGAACCAAUGCAUGUUGGCUGCUGCCCGCUGCUGGAUCAGAACCAGGGUAAGCAGGGGAUGGAUUCGUCGCGCUGUCCAGGCCGCCGUGCACACGUCCAAUUGUCGAGCAGGUGAUGGCAACCGUCAUGGCCUCAUGGCGGCUCGCCGCUCGCGUGUGGGGAGAGAACAGGGCAAGGUGCCGGUUCGUCUCCGUCUGACCUGAUCGAUAAAUUUUUCUGAGGGUUGAUGGUCGAGAGAUCGAUGGUCUGCGUGCGUGCAUGCACUACAGCCACUUGGUCCAAUGGGCCAAGUCGUGUAGUCAUGGAGUUUUGGGCUGAAAUACUUAACUAGCAAGUUUGACGGUAUAGUUUCAUUUUUUGGCAAAAAUAUUGGGUAUUCAAUUGAAUACCCUUGAAUUGAGGUAGGCCCGCCCCUGCCCUAGCAUUAUAUACAUUAUAUAUAUCUAGUGUUUUGGCAAAAAUAUUGGGUAUUCAAUUUAAUACCCUUGAAUUAAGGUAGGCCCACCCCUGGCCGUACUUGCACCGAACGUCCGUCGUGCCGUUUGCAUGGGUGCUGCCAUUCGCCUUGUCCGCGGCCCGCUGGAUGCCAACGCGCUGGUCCGUAGGCUCGACCGCCUCCUUGGUCCAGGUGUCCACCUAGGCGCAGUAGAGGAACAUGGCCGUCACAUCCUCGAGCGGUGAUCUCCGAUGAAGUAGCCAACUUCGAGCUCAAGAUCGCGCUCCAGAUUUACCGCGAGCGUGUCGAUCGCUAGGAUGAACGCAUGCACGAGUUCAGGCAAAGCCAAGAGCUACCGUAGGCAAGGGCUGCUGGUCAUGGUCUCAUGGACGCGUUUUAUUUUGAAAAGUCAUUCCAACGUGGAUAGCUAUGUAUUCACGGCAAUCAUAGUAUUGCUCUGUUUAUUGCUCUGUUUCAAUGUGUGUACUCUGUUUGCCAUUCUUAUAUGUUCUAUUUCAAUGUGUGUAUAUAGGCUUUCCAUUCUGUAUAUGUGGAUGAUAACAGCUAGAUUCAAAUUAGUAUAGGAAAACAGAUAGAAAAUGGAAUUCAUAAUAUAUAUAUAUAUAUAUAUAUAUAUUAAUUGUUCAUUAGCUCAUCACAGAAUAUAUAUAUGUAAUAUCAUCACAUAUACGUGAUGAUACUUAACUACUAGGUACAAUGCAUAAAAUUGAAAACAAACAAUACUAAAACUAGUAAUCCCUCCUGGAGCCACUAUUCCGGCAGCCCCUCGCAAGCAGCUCCCUGGUGCGCAGCGUCUUCCCAGUGCGGAGGCAGUACUCCGCCUCCUCCGCCUCACAGCGCUUGACGUACCGAUCUGCCUCUUACUGGCGGAUGCGCGUAGCCGAUCUUGACAUUUUGUUGGGCACCCACCGGAGCUCCUCGUCGGUGGCACGCUGGAGCUUAUCGGCCCACCUCCACGCAGCAACGAGGCGCCCAACGCCUAUGACCUUCCUCAUGAAGUACCCAUCUUCGUACACCUCCUCGGCACGACGACGCGCCCGCCCCCAAAGCUCCACCGCCUCCUUUUUUGAGGCGGCAUCACGGGCUUCACAGGCCGCCCGGUAGCUGGCUUCCUCCUCCGCCAUCUCCUUCUUGAACGCCACUUGCCUCGCUUUCUCAGCCGGCGGCAGCGACUUCCAUAGAGAAAGAUUGUACUAGCCCCAAAACCAAUCCAAAGUUGGGGGGGUCCGGUGCAACCUCGUCAGGCGGUGCGUAGGGGUCCUCGUCACUGCUAAUCGAGUGAGCAUCCUUGGGGGGCGGUGACUCCUUGUCUGCGCGUGGGCAGACCGGCGGCACCGUGGCAGAGAUUUGAGAGAGAGAGAGAGAGAGGGCGAGCGAGGGGAGGAUGUAGAUGAAAAUGCAGGCGGGACGACGUGAGCAAGGUAGUAUUUAUUGGCGGCCGGAAUCUAGAUCGACGGGGACAGUACACAUGCUGGUCGCCAGAAUUUACGAGUACUGUAGUUUGAAUUACACAUGAUUCCCGCAGAAAAAUCCAUGUGUGAACAAAAUAGCUGACGGUUUCCAAUACAGAACCGUGUCUGAUUAAUGAUCCUCGCCACUCACCUACCAAACCUCAAGCCUCGAGAUAGAGUGCCAAUCGUGUGGGGCCAGUUGUCUUGCCAGAUCUUUACAUUUUCUUUUUUGAACACCAGAUAUUUACAUCGUCUGAUGAUUUUUUAACUGGCACACAAGUACACAAAAAUAUGAUUUUUCAAACCGUUAUGGUUAGGCGUUGCAUGUAGAUGUAGUUCAAAUUUGAAUUAUGGUCAUUAAAUGGUUAGAAAAUCACUUAAAUGUCUUUUAAAGGUCAAAUGACCCCUGAAAAUUUCCAAAUUUUCACAUGACAGUUGUAUUAGUGCAUGUUAAACGUGGAAAAAAACUUGAAGGCCGUAAGAGGAAGCAAUCUCCUGUUCAUCACCAAACAUGCAUUGUUACCUCUCGGAACUACAAACCUUUUAGUGAGUUGCUUCGGUUUGUGAGGGGUGUGUGUCCAAACUUUUUUCAAACAGGCCAAUUUGUUUACCACAUCAUCUUGGUGGCAUGACAUUAAAUCAAGCAAGGUUUCAUGUUUUUCUGAUCAUUUUUUAAUUUUAUGGAAUUAAAAUGCCAUGGCACUCCAUGCAUGUGCCCAUUCCUUGAGACCAAUAUGUUUGAAAACUCCUUCUAAUUUACUGCGCAUGGAAUUAACUCACACACAAUGUCACACCCUGAUUUUCAUGCCACAACACUUAAGCUAAUAAAUCAUGAUAAAGUGUGGUUUGACAAAAACUUUUGCAUUAUUUGGCUUUUAUUUGGAGUUGAUUUCCUCUCUGUGUUUUUCAAGUGCUCUUUAAAGUCAACACAACUCCACCUUCUAAACUUCAUCUCCUUGCCCCAAGCUUCUGCCCAAUGAUCAUGUCAUGUGUAUAGAGCAAUAUAGUGUUUUCUUACAAAAAUAAUUUGGCCAAAAAAAGUAUUUUCAAAAAUUAGUUUUCCAAAAACCCCUGAAUUGAGGUUUGCACUGCAAGUACUUGAUUUGGGGUAUGAAAAAUAUUUCAAAGAGUAUAUUUGAAACCUAUUAGACAUAGGACUCCCAUAAACCACAAAAAUAUAAUUUUAAAAGUUAUUUUCCUAUUUUAUUUAAAGGCUUUUUCUUUAGGCCAGAAAUUGUCUUUAAUAGGUUAAAAUUAUUUUAGUGCUUUAAAAAUAUUUUUGAAAAACCUAGGGAAACUCAGUGGACAUAUAUUGUCCAUAUAUAUGAGUUUCAACAUAUGGUCAUGUUCAAAAUAUUGUACAAAACCUCCCAAAACCAUUUCUGCCCAUUUCAAGGAUUUGAAAUUUUCUACAGGAAAUAUUUUCAUAAAAAUCCAAGGAAAAUCCAGCAAGUCACAAAUUCAUGUUGUGAUCACCUUGCAAAGCCUCAUGUCAAUCAAGGUCAUUUUGGUUCACCAAAAUGCCCCAAAACCCUCUCUGUCCAUAUCCAAAUUUGAACAACUCUACAUUACCAAGUGUGUCCUUUUGAUCUGAAUUUUUGUGGACAAGUUCAAAUCCCCAAAUGAUGAAACUACACCAAGUGGUGCAUCAAGCAGAAUAGUUUUGGAUGACUAGAUCUUGAAAAACCCAUUUCUGCUGAUUUCUAGGGUUUACAAAAGUUGCACUAGCAACUUUGCCCAAAUGAGCUCAAAUUUUGUAGAACACCCUAUUUCUAAGUGCCAUUCCAUCCUGUUAAAUAUCAUGGCAAGUGGGAUUAAUUUUUUUGCCCAAACCAACAACAAACACCUUGUGCCAUUUUUCCAAAAUCAUCAUUUUGACCUCUUCCACUAAUCUCCUUGAGCCCAACUUUUUACCACAGCUCCUCCUAGUCCUCUCCUACCUCCAGUAACCCUCCCCUGGCCAUUGCUCAAUUAUUGAGGGGUAAAAUACCCCCAUUUACCUCCUUGGACAGCCCCUCUCUCCCUCUUCUUCUACCUCUCUCUUCUCCUACUGGCCACCCAGGGCAUCCAAGGCCAUCUCCCACUUCUUUACUUCCCCCUAGAGCUACCAGACACUUUUGGCCGCGCCCACAUUGCAUAGAAAAUGGCCAUGCCGGCCAUUAGGGCGCUCUGGAGCGCGCUACAGUGUGCUCCCGCACUGUAGCCGCCCUCUGCCCGAUGAACCCGGCCGCCUCAGGCCUUCCAAGCGUGCCAGACGAUGCAUCUCGAUGUCCGCGGCACGCUACACUGUCGGCCCCCUCCUCUCUCUCCCUCUCCGGCUCUCCUCGCAUGCGGACAGAGCGCUGCCCGAGCGCGCCAUUCGCUGCCCGCGAUGGGGACCCGCUCUGCCGCGUUCCCCGCUCCCUAUCUUCUCCCCGUGGGUGUUGUCGACCCCCACGAACGCCCUAGACUCGGCGCAGCACCCUCCCGAGGCCCGUAGCGACAAGCACGAGCCCAUGGUGGACCGCCGCUCGCCUAUAUAAGGCAUCCCCGAGCCCUCCUCUCGCCACCACUCGUCCUCUCCCACUCCAAAUAGCCCCACUGAGCCUCCCGUUCAUCCCCAGAGCCGCCCGACCUCGAGAUCGAGCUCGAGCUCCACUGCUUCGGGUCGCCGUCGAUCUCAUGGUACAUGCCUCCUUUGCCCUCUCUCUCUCUCUCUCUCGAUCUGGAACCGCCUCACCUCUCUUACCACUUCCCCUCUGUCUCCCCUCUCUAUUGCAGCCAGAAUCGACCAGGGCAAGCACCUCCCGAAGCCCUUCCGCCGGCCUCCUCGUCGCCGGCGAACCCCUACACUCCGGCGACCACCUCCACCUCCACCCGAACGGCGACUCUGCCCUGAGCACGCCGGUGCCCUCGGAUCACCUCGCCAUAGACCACAGCGACGCCGGUGAGCUCGCCUCCCUCUCUGGCCCGAGGUUGAAGACGACGGCCGUGGGGCCCGUCGGUCAGCCUCACACUCUGACUGGUGGCUCCACCCGUCAGGUUUAAAACACAUGCGCGCGUGCACUGGUUCACUGCGUCGGCUAGAGGCGUAUUUCCCAAAUAUGCCUUCGACGUGGCAGCCUUGCGCGGGCUAGAUUCCCCUUGGGCCUGCUGCACUGUGGCCGAAUAGGCCCAGUUGCACAGUGGCCUUUUUCCUUUUUUCUGUAACUUUUCCAAAAAUUCCACAGGAUUCAAUAAUAAUCCAAAUGCAAUAAUUCCAACUCCUAAAUUCUUGUAAUAAUCCCACCUAUUUAUUGGUGUAGCUUUCACUCUUAUCAAACCAACUUUUCUUCACUUUUCAAAUUUAAAUUUGAAUUUGAGCAUUUAUGCCUGUCAUUUAAAAUUCCUAGCACUGUUUCCAUGACUCCAAAUCCAAAAUUAGGAAUUUCCCCUUCUUAGUUUUCACCCUAGUAUUUAACAAAAAUGAGUUGACAUUUUUCUGAGCACUUUGGUUUUUCUGUUUUAUAAUUGCCUUAUUUUUCUCGCUAUUAUUUUGCGACGAUAGAUUGCAUUGCCGACAAAGGAGUUGGACCAGAAAACUUUGAAGACCCAAGAAGACUUUGCUAAGCCAGGCAAGCAGCCCUUUGACCAUGUCUAUGAAACCCUUUUUAUGCAUGUCAUAUAGCACUAUAUUGUUGUUGCAACGGAAUCAUGAUGAGGUGGUAACCACUUUGAUGGGUUGCCUCUGUUACUUCCUCGUUGAUACUUGCAUUGUGCAUGACCCUACCUCCUUAUGAGGGUUAUGCCGGUGGGAGUAGAUAGGGUGCUAAAGUAGUUGCUACGCAAAAAGGGACGGGAAUAUGCAUGGUGACGGAGAAAAAGUAUUUUCAAAGGACUUUUCGAAAACCCCGACGGGUGCCACUUAUACCCGGGGGAGAUAAUGAGUUGGGUAGCAACUUGAUGACAAUGUGGUGUACCGAGGCAAGUGUGUGUGUUGCUUUUCAAAACGGAUUGGUUUGCGACCAUUAUUCCAACCUUACAUGUGCAACCACUCUACCCUUAUAUGGGAAAGGGAAUUAUUGAUUACCUAGGCCGAUACUAGCUUGGAGCCCGCAUUACUAGUGACGGGAGAGUUGUUGUUGCGCUCUCUCGGGAUGGGGUCGUGCCAGGUAGGGCGGCCAUGACUGUUUUCACAGGGCACCGGAUACACCGUUGUGUCCCCUCUCGGAUGUUACGAUCUCGAGUGAGUCUCGUAUGAUGUACAUCGUGAGGAUACGGAACAACGAGUGGACUCUUUGUUAGUGUCGUCUACGGAAAGAUAGUGAUCGGGUGCUUACCCCGGGUACUUGAGGUACCGCGGGUCGUGGAUGACACGGAAGUUCCCCGGAUCUUGUGGGUAAAGUGUGCAACCUCUGCAGAGUGUAAAACUAUUCGAAUAGCCAUGUCCACGGUCAAGGACAGUUGGGUAACCGCUCUUGGGCUACGUCCACAUGUUUACAAACCAGUGUGUGUGUUUGGAUAAGUGGGAAGAACUACUUGGGUCAAGUCAAAUGACUUGACAUGAUUGAGUUGGGUUGAUGCCACUCUAUUUAUGUUGAUAUCUAUAACAUGUCCUCAUGGUUAAUUGAAUUCUCCUGAUGCAUGUCUUAAAAAUUUACCUAUAUCAUGCAUUGUUGUACCUUGAACCAAAACAUGGGUUGCUUGCGAGUACAUUCAAAGUACUCAUUGGCUUGCCACUGGUUAUUUUAUUGGCCAGGCAUGAAAGAACAGGAUAUAAUGAAGAGUACCUUGGUGACGAACAUGCGAGCUAGGACGCUUCCCAGUAGGAAUGCCUGUAGGGUUAAGGCAGAUGGCAUGGGUCCAAGUUGUUAUUGAAGAUUUCCGCUGCGAUGAUACACUCAAGACUUGACCAUAAUAGUCCUACUUGUGUAAAACGGUAUGUAUGGAUGUAAGACUCUUGGUAUUCAGCUUCUAUGUGUUCAGUGAGCAUUGAUCUCUGGGAUCACUGUACAUGUGCAUUCGGUGAUCUCGACUUAUGGGUCGGGUCCCCACACACAAGUACACAAAAAUAUGAUUUUUCAAACCAUUUUGGUUAGGCGUUGCAUGUAGAUGUAGUUCAAAUUUGAAUACGGUCAUUAAAUGGUUAGAAAAUCACUUAAAUGUCUUUAAAAGAUCAAAUGACCCCUGAAAUUUUCCAAUUUUCACAUGAUAAUUGUAUUAGUGCACGUUAAACAUAGAAAAAAAUUUGAAGGCCGUAAGAGGAACCUUCUCCAGUUCGUCAUCAAACAUGCAUUGUUCCCUCUGGGAACCACGAACCUUCUAGUGAGUUGCUCUGGUUUGUGAGGGGUGUGUGUCCAAACUUUCAUCAAACAUGCCAAUUUCUUUACCAUGGUGGCAUGACAUUACAUCAACAAAGGUUUCAUGUUUUUCUAAUCAUUUUUUUAUUUUUGGAAUUAAAAUGCCAUGUCACUCCAUGCAUACGUAUGCAUGUGUCCAUGUCGUGAGACAAAUAUGUUUGAAAAUUCCUUCUAGUUUACUGCUCAUGGAAUUAACUCGCACACAAGUACACAAAUAUGAUUUUUCAAACCAUUUUGAUUAGGCGUUGCAUGUAGAUGUAGUUCAAAUUUGAAUUACGGUCAGUAAAUGGUUAGAAAAUCACUUAAAUGUCUUUAAAAGGUCAAAUGACCCCUAGAAUUUUCGGAAAUUUCACAUUACAGUUCUAGUAGUGCACGUUAGACAUAGAAAAAAAUUGAAGGUCGUAAGAGGAAGCUAUCUCCCAUUCGUUAUCAAACAUGCAUUGUUCCCUCUCGGAACCACGAACCUUCUAGUGAGUUGCUCCAGUUUGUGAGGGGUGUGUGUCCAAACUUUCGUCAAACAUGCCAAUUUUUUUACCACAUCAUCUUGGUGGCAUGACAUUACAUCAACCAAGGCUUCAUGUUUUUCUGAUCAUUUUCUUUAUUUUUUUGGAAUUGAAAUGCCAUGUCACUCCAUAAAUUCCUUCUAGUUUACUGCACAUGGAAUUAACUUGCACACAAGUACACAGAUAUGAUUUUGCAAACCGUUUUGGUUAGGCGUUGCAUGUAGAUGUAGUUCAAAUUUGAAUUAUGGUCAUUAAAUGGCUAGAAAAUCACUUAAAUGUCUUUAAAAGGUCAAAUGACCCCUAGAAUUUUCAAAAAUUUCACAUUACAGUUGUAGUUGUGCACGUUAGACGUAGAAGAAAUUGAAGGCCGUAAGAGGAAGCUAUCUCCUGUUCGUCAUCAAACAUGCAUUGUUCCCUCUCGGAACCACGAGCCUUUUAGUGAGUUGCUCCGGUUUGUGAGGGGUGUGUGUCCAAACUUUCGUCAAACAGGCCAAUUUUUUACCACAUCAUCUUGGUGGCAUGACAUUAAAUCAAGCAAGGUUUCAUGUUUUUCUGAUCAUUUUUUAAUUUUUUAGAAUGAAAAUGCCAUGGCACUCCAUGCAUGUUCCCAUGCCUUGAGACCAAUAUGUUUGAAAAUUCCUUCUAAUUUACUGCACAUGAAUUAACUCGCACACAAGUACACAAAAAUAUAAUUUUUCAAACCGUUUUGGUUAGGCGUUGCAGGUAGAUGUAGUUCAAAUUUGAAUUACGGUCAUUAAAUGGUUAUAAAUCACUUAAUUGUCUUUAAAAGGUCAAAUGACCCGUAGAAUUUUCCAAAAUUUCACAUUACAGUUGUAGUAGUGCACGUUAGACAUAGAAAAAAAUUGAAGGCCGUAAAAGGAAGCUAUCUCCCGUUCGUCAUCAAACAUGCCUUGUUCCCUCUCGGAACCAUGAGCCUUCUAGUGAGUUGCUCCGGUUUGUGAGGGUGUGUGUCCAAACUUUCAUCAAACAUGCCAAUUUCUUUACCACAUCAUCUUUGUGGCAUGACAUUACAUCAACCAAGGUUUCAUGUGUUUCUGAAUUUUUUUUGGAAUUAAAAUGCCAUGUCACUCCAUGCAUACAUAUGCAUGUGUCCAUGUCGUGAGACAAAUAUGUUUGAAAAUUCCUUCUAGUUUACUGCACAUGGAAUUAACUCGCACACAAGUACACAAAUAUGAUUUUUCAAACCGUUUUGGUUAGGCGUUGCAUGUAGAUGUAGUUCAAAUUUGAAUUACGGUCAUUAAAUGGCUAGAAAAUCACUUAAAUGUCUUUAAAAGGUCAAAUGACCCCUAAAAUUUACAAAAUUUUCACAUGACAGUUGUAGUACUGCACGUUAGACGUAGAGAAAAAUUGAAGGUCGUAAGAGGAAGCUAUCUCCCGUUCGUCAUCAAACAUGCAUUGUUCCCUCUCGGAACCACGAGCCUUCUAGUGAGUUGCUCCGAUUUGUGAGGGGUGUGUGUCCAAACUUUCGUCAAACAUGCCAAUUUUUUUACCACAUCAUCUUGGUGGCAUGACAUUACAUCAACCAAGGUUUCAUGUGUUUCUAAUUUUUUUUUUUUGAAAUAAAAUGCCAUGUCACUCCAUGCUUAAUUGUCUCAUAGCCGUUAGACCAAUAUGUUUGAAAUUUCUUCCAAUUUACUGCACAUGGAACUAAAUCGCACACAAGUACACAAAAUAUGAGUUUUCAAACUGUUAUGGUUAGCUGUUGCAUGCACAUGUAGUUGAAAUUUCAAUUACGGUCAUUAAAUGGCUAGAAAAUCACUUAAAUAUCUUAAAAGGUCAAAUGACCCCUGAAAUUUUCCAAAAUUUGACAUGACAGUUGUAUUAGUACUACAAAAUUUCUCAUUCAUUUAAAACACCAUCCGUUGCCACUUUACUCCAAAUUCGUCUUUCACAGCUAAUAAAAAAUAUCUACAACAUCACACACAGUUGUUUUCUAGGAACCGUUUGAGAUGAAAAUAUCUGGGUCUAUUUAAGUCUCACUCCUUAAGCUUCGCUGGCUCGUCUGCUCCAGUGUCGGCAACCCCCGAAUCCAGAAUCCUGAUCCCCAUUCUCGCACCCCCUUCUUGCAAAGAUGACACCAUGGAAACGCUUCGUGAAGGCUCAUACGAUGGUCGCGUCCCCCCGAGCACUGCCGCCUGCGCUGUGAGCGCGGCCGCCUACGCCGAGAGUGCCGCCGCAUCCGCAUUGAGCGCGGCCGCUUCCGCCGAGAGGGCAUCUACGGCAGCCGACAGGGCAGCUGCAGCAGCCGAGACGACUAUAGCUGCUGCUACGACAGUGGCUGCAAACACCGAGAGCGCUCGAGCUGCCGUCCGUGCCGCCGAUGUCGCCCUAGCCCGGGUCGAGGCCAUCCACACCAAGAUCGAGGAUGCACAUGCCAAGAUAUUCCAGGCCACCUCGGACUCCAACAUGCAACCCACGUCUGAAAAGGCGGCAGUGAGGUCGUCGAGCGGGAGCUGGAGAUGCAGGAGGCGGCGGAGAUCGAGGAGCGCCGGGAGGAGGAGUUGCGCGUGGCCGAGCUCGAGGUAGAGAAGAAUCUGUCCGUCAAGGAAUCGACGUUGUAGUAACAACGCGAGCUCUGGCGUAGCCACUACUACGAGUACUACAACCUUGAGGGCGGCGCCGAGGACGAGGACGCGGUCGACUUCAGUAGGGGGGACGCGGAGUGCACCAACGGCGGCAUGUCGCUAGGACAAGUCAUCGACGUCUCAUCUCACACCAGCGAUGCAUAGGCCUGCGCGGCGGCGGAUAUGUUAAAAUUAUGCAUACUUAGGCUCUGUUUUUAAUGAUGGUCUUUUGUUAGAGCAAUGUUUAGGUCAACAAGCUCUGUUUAAUUACUAAAAUUGCUCAAUUCAGUAAGUGUGGUUUGUCUGCUGUACGCUCUUUUGUGUGUCCAAAUUAGCAAGCGAUGUUAAAUUAUGCAAUGACGUACCCGGGGAAAUUUCCACCAAAAUUUGAAUUAUCAAACUCAUCCCAUGUGCGUAAAGUAGAAGAAUCGUUUGCGAUGCACACAAUCUUUCAAAGUGAAUGGUCUGGUGGCACCGCGCGCAAAGUUUCCCUCCACAUUUCCAAAUUUUUGGCCUACCGCCAAAAUAUCUACCCCCGCCCCCUUCCCCACCCCCUUUUCUCCCCGACCACAAGUCGCAUUUCCCCUAUUUCCUCCUUCCUUCCUUCCUUGCUAAGCUAUAGCCGCUUCCUAGCUCUCGUCGUCUUGCGUCCUACCGCCGGGUUCGCCAUGAUCUUCUUCAAAGACCUCUCCAGCUGUUUCUCCUCCAGCGACUACUCCUUCACCACCCGGGUAUGCCUCUCUUUUCUCUCUUGGGCUAUGACUUGGAUUGAAGGAUUUUUACCCGGCGGUCGAUUUGACUCAUUUCUUCCUCUUGUAGCUCCCUAGGACCAUCAGCGACAAUGAAUGGAGCGGGGUGGCUGGCGAUCUAUCUGCUCGUUGUCACCAUCAAUCUCCAUGCGUGAAGCUAGUUGCAUUUGAUUCUGUUGACAGUGGGAGGAAGUUUCUGGCAUGUGCAGAGAAGGUUAGACCCUCUUUAUUUGUUACAAAUCAUUUGUUAGAUGUGAUUCAGACACUGUCACGGUCCCAACCCAUUCAUACCACACCUUCAACCAAAUGCAUCCUAAGACAGUGUCACAGUUUGUACCUAGUAUCUUAAAUUGUUGCCAUCUCAUCAGCGGUGCCAUUAGAAAAUUAUUUGGCGCCGCUUCAGCAGUUUGUGCAGCCAACUUUGGUCCACACAUCCGAGUAGCCAAGUAGUAAAAUACUAAAUCUUUAUGGCACGAAGGAACUGGGCAUCGCAGAAACUACGUGCUCAGGAGUCCGGGUCCCUGAUUUUUUUCUGCUGCAUCGGCUCGCCAGUGCAGGGCACCGGUGCGAGAUGUAGCAACAGUUGUCUUUACUCCAGUUUUGGCAUACAUAGUGGACAGCCUUAGUGCUAUUAGUUCUAUGUUACUAAAUUUGUGCAUGUACACACCUGUUAGUAUCAAUUUGCUGUCAUCCAAACACUGUCGCUAUGCUGUUGCAGUUAUAUUUACUUUCCUCUUAAAAUGUUCAAUUUGUUAUUUCUUGUACAUGAGUAAGAACUUGUAGUGUCGUUGUAGUUAAUUAUAGCUUCUGAUGUUCCAGAAUUCUGUUGUUGUCUUAGUACCAAUUAUUUCAUUUGCACAUUGAUCUUUUUGAGAAGAUAUGUCAUAAUUAACAUGUUUCUUCAGUUUUUCAAAAUAAACAUUGGUGAUUUUCUAUGUUGCUAUAAACCCAUUUCCCCUACAAUUGUUACUGAUCUAGUUUUAAAUAUUAUAGGAUGAAUGGAAGUGUUCUUACUUGGAGUGGGUUGAUCAAGAGUGGCCAUAGUGUUUGAAGAUGUGCCUAGCGAAGCUCUGGAGCAUGUAUGAGGAAGAGAACAGACUUAGGCUUAGAGAAACAGUUGGCAACGCUCAAGAAUAUUUCAAGAUGCAGGAUAAAAAGUUGAAGGUGAAGAAUGAGCUCAGGUUUUUUAAAUCAGACUUUGUUAAGAUGGUGUUGGCGAAGGACGAGGCACUUUCCUAGUUGGCCCGUGCAAAACGGGUUCUUACUGAACUGAAAGCAGAGGUGGAUAAGACGAGCCUGGAUGAUAUCGAUUAGGGAAAUGAAUAUAUUGUUCUUAUGAAGUUGAACUAGCUAUAUGUUGUACUGUGUUGUUUUCAUGUAGCUACCGUACUGUGAUGUUAUAAUAUAUUUAUGUGCCUGAUAUGAAAUUGGAAAAUAGUUGUUCGAUGUGAACUGUGAAUUUGCGUAAUACUGGAAUUAUUAAUUGUAAACUAACAAACCUGCUAAAUGUGUCAUGGACCUUUGCAAACGAUUCUAGCAGUAAAAGUGCUUGCGAUGGAUAGCCCAAUGCCACACAGUUUUCUUCAUCAAAUCGUGUGUAAUGUAGUUGAUAAAAGCAAACAGUUAACCAAGCCGGACCAUGUGUGAUAGUUACACCUUUCACACACGAGCCUACACAUAAAACGGUGUGGGAUGUACGUACGAACAUAAACGUUUUCCCUGGAUAUGUGUGGGAUGUACAUAAGAACGGAAACAUAUUCCUUGGAUUGACUAUGUGUGAUAUACAUACGAACGGAAAUGAUUUUCUGGGAUUCACCAUGUGGGAUGUACAUACCUACAGAAAUGAUUUUCUGGGAUUCACCGUGUGGGAUGUACAUACCUACAGAAAUGAUUGGGUUUCGAUGCCUCGCCCGAUCGCACAUGGCCCCAGCCUGGGUCCCAGGAGGGCCUAUCCCCAACAAUUUCUGGGUCGUGUGGGAAGGACCCCCCUAUCGCCCACACUCACUUCACGACGGUUCCAAAUGCCUUCGCGGAAAGGGGUUAAAAACUGUUUGUUUAGGACCGACGCGCACCAGUGAUAUAUAAGUUAUUUUGUUAUUUUCCUUUCAGCCCUCCCUGCGUGCUCCCGCAAACUCCAUUAUUGGAGGGGAAUUCUCUACCACCUAAAAUGGUAGAGAGCGACACGCUGCUGCGAGCCCCCUCGCCUAUCGCCAUGGAGGACACCGAAGUGUCGUCCUGAAGGGCCUCUCCUGGCCGAGGGGGGGUGAACGAGGCCGUUGAUGAACACCCGAGGUUAAUACGUCGGUCGCUGGAAACCUGGGGAGGCAACCCCAACCGACAAUGGGGACCCCCAAUAAUCUGGGCCCCAGCCGACCACCAUGCCGGAGACCAGCAUGGCUUCGGGAUUGGAUAAGCAGCCCCCUAUGAAAGAGGGGGGAGGAGCAGCAGCUCCCACGGCGGCCUGCAUUAAUCCGGAGGCGCCCAACGCUCUGGAGGAAGCACUGCAAAGUGCUUCUAUCGUGGAGGAGUAUCGCACCCUGAUGGGUGUGGUUAUGGAGAAGGUUCAGUCUACUAAAAAUGGACUUAACGAAGCCUUUUGCAGCCUAUUAACAGGCUUGGAGGUAUGCGACGUAAUGUUUCUAAAAACUUUUCGUAUAAAGGAAUAAACUUGUGUAUGGACAGUAGCCCCUGAGGCUCUGUCCGGUCUAAAAGAAACCGGACAGAGGAUCCACAUAGUAUUCGGGAGAGUAACGUAAUGUGUUGUUGUUGUAACAGGCUUCCAUGUUGGCGGCAAUCGCCCAUGCCGUGGAAGUUUUCGGACUCAGUCAGAAGCUUCAGGCAGCAGAUGAGGAACUCGACCGCAUUAAUAAGCGGUUCGACGAGACGCAAGGUAUGCGUACAAUGUUAAGAAGGAAUGUAUUUUUAUAUCGGAAGUGAUAUGCAUAUUGAAAGGUUAACUCAUAAAAUGCUUUGAUUAUUAGCACAGUUGGCACAACCGAGGUCGAGACCCUCAAAGGUGCCCUUGCCUAGGCCAAGAAAGAGGCGGAGCCGAACAAGGCAGCCGCUGACAAAGUGGCUGCAAAGGUGAAGACUGAGCAAGCUGCCCGCCGCCAACAUGAAGCUCGGGUGGCCGAAGUCGAGCAGGAGCUGAAGGAUGCCAUCAGCAAAUGCAAAACCUUGGAGCAGAAGACUUCGGACCAGUCGUCCGAGCUUGCCAAGUCUCUCCAUGAUGCCAAAGAGGCGCGGAUCGAGUCCCGGAAUGCUCGCGAGGAGAUCCAUCAGGGGAACAGAUAGCGGCUGGUAAGGCCUUUCUUUUGCAGAGUAUCUUUGGAGGUAAAACGUGUGCCUUGCUUACCCGAGUGUGGAGUUCUCCAGGCGCGUUUGCGGAUCUUCCGAGGAGUGCCAUCGAUGCCACACAGUUCUUUCGAGCCCAGGAGGGAAACUCGACGGAGAAGCAGUUCUGGUCGCAAUUUCUCGCAUUGGAGCACCCGAUGCCUCUUAACGACCAGCUGAAGCAACUGACAGAGCUGCAUAGGGUGGCCGGCUUGGCAUCUAAUACUCCAACUCUAGCCAACCGAGCCUAUUCCAAGCAGCUACUUCGGUUUGGUGAAGCGGCUUGUCGAUGUGCGGCCAUGGAUUGAUACUGUAAAGCGUUCGUCCUGCAUAGAGGGUGCCCGGAUGGCCAUCACCCGCGUCAAGAUGCAAUGGGCGAAGAUGAAGGCCACCGAAGUGGCAUCCGCAGGUCCACCCGAAGGCAAAGAUCAUCGGAAGCCGGAGAGGUACUUCGGUGACAUCCUAGAAGGAGCUCGAGUGAUAGAGGGUCAAUGUUCAAAUGACGUAAUAUUUGAUUGAAAAUGAUCGGGUUAUACAAACUAUGUUAUGAACCCAUGUUGUUAUAUAUCUUAUGUUUGUGCCUCAAGCGACUUUUCCUCCUGUGUGUCCGUUUUUGUUAUAUUUCUGAAAGUUGCCAGUCGUCGGCUUCAGCCCCCAUAUAGGUACUACAGGGGUGUUCGACAUAUCGCGUGACCACACUUUAUCCAACGUCUCGGUCCGUAAAGGAGGUGUCCGCGAGGUGAACCAGGCAAUCGGACUAUGUGGCUUUAUUAUUUUCACUUAGCCAUAGGAGUUUGACUGUGGAGCUAAGUACUAGCCCCUGGUGCGUGUACGGCUACCCGGACUACGGUGCCUUUUCCACGCGGCUGGACGAAGAACAACCCCUUGUAUAACACGGGGUGAAUCGCUAACGAUUUGUAGUAUGAGACUAAGUCGCCAAAUCGCUGACCAGCUCUCGCCUAUCAUGACAGUCAGUUUCCGGCUUUCUCUACCGAGGUACUUGACCGGAUGAACCAGAAAUACAAUCGCAGUAGUUCUCCCUUUACUACCUUAGCCGAACAAGCGGAACGUAAGGUAGUAAGCACAGGAGCCGGGAAACCCAACUAUAGACCAAAGACAUGACUCGGAGCCGAUGCAUAUAAUGCAAUAUCCGAGAUGCCGAAGAGUACCCAAUAGGUGUUCAGACUUGAAAUGUGCAGGGCCAAAUACAACCCCGGUGUUAAGGCUGGACUAAGGCACGUGUGGCAGUCUGAGGUAGGGAGGGAACACAGAUGAUAAUAUAAAAUAAAAUGGCUGCCAAACAAAGUGGUGAUCAACUGUUUCCCUUAUACCCUGAUUAAUAUGUCAAGCCAUGUUAUUACAGAUAAUGCCAAAAACAUCGAGGUCACUUUACAUGCCAGAAGCUUAUACAAGGGAAGGGUGUACACAGAGCCUAAACUAAAUGGUUUAAAAAUCCCAAUGAUGCCCUGCUGCACGUCUGCGCCGUUUCUCUCGUCUAUUAAAAGAGGAACCUAGAAAAAGGUCCCCGCGCGACCGUAGAUCAGGUAGGUUCUUUAAUGAGCAUAUAGUGGAAGGAUAUUUGAGGUCUGAAUAGGGUCAAGCCGUACUAUAGACCUUUUUCGUAGUGUGCCUCUGGCGCUGCCCAUGGUAUUUUAAAGGCGUAAUUGUGUACGUGAGGUACAUAUACCGCAACCUUAUGGGGCAACCGGCAGAGGCUAAACUGCUAUUCGAGCUUAGGUUCAAUCGAGCUACCGCAUUGUAACACGGCUCAGACACAUUUAAUAGUGUCGUGGGUCUUAAUGACCGAUGAGUUCUUCAGCCUGAUGAGGCCGCCCUGUAUUUCAGCUUCUAGGACCAUGGUAUGUUCCUCGGUAUGGGGGGAGCGCUCCAUAUUUCCCAUUUACUGUGAUGAUGCCACGAGGUCCAGGCAUUUUGAGCUUUAGAUAAGCAUAGUGUUGGACUGCAUUAAAGCGGGCAAAAGCAGUUUGUCCGAGCAGCGACUGAUAACCACUACGAAAAGGGACGAUGUCGAAGAUCAAUUCUUCGCUUUAGAAAUUGUCUAGAGAGCCGAAUACUACUUCUAAUGUUAAUGAGCCCGUACAACGGGCUUCCACGCCGGGUAUCACUCCUUUGAAGGUAGUGUUGCUAGGCUUGAUUCUUGACGGGUCAAUACCCAUCUUACAUACAGUAUUCUGAUAGAUCAAGUUGAGACUGCUGCCGCCGUCCAUAAGGACUCUAGUGAGAUGGUAUCCGUCGAUGAUAGAAUCGAGUAAUAGGGUCGCCGAACCUCCAUGACGGAUAUUGGUUGUCUGGUCCCUGCGAUCAAAGGUGUUCGGACAAGCCGACCAUGGGUUGAAUUUUCGGGCGACGGGGCUCUACGGCGCAGACGUCCCUUAAUGUGCGUUUGCGCACCCUCUUGGGGAUGUGGGUAACAUAGAUCAUGUUUACCGUUUUCACCUCGGGGGGAAAUUGCUUCUGUCCCCCCAUGUUCGGCUGACAGGGCUCAUCAUCGUCCUCGCUUGGAGGUCCUUUCCCCUUAUGUUCGUUAUUUAAUUUACCGGCGUGCUUGAAAACCCAUCAAUUUCUAUUGGUGUGGUUGGCAGGCUUGUCAGGGUUGCCAGAAUCUGGCAAGGCCUCUCUAGUAUUUUUUCCAAGUUGGAUGGACCGUCUCCAUUACCCUUGAACGGCUUCUUCCGCUGACCGGGUUUGGAACCACUGAAUCCGGCAUUUACUGUCGUAUCAUCUGUUUCUUCAUUAUUGUUCCGACGCUUGUUUUUGUUGCGCCGUGGCCUGCCAUUGUCAUCCCUGGUGUCAGAAGUUUCGGGGUCGCUGGUACUACUCCUUCUGCGAGCCAACCAGCUAUCUUCGCCCGCACAAAAGAGGGUCAUAAGUGCAGUAAGAACUGCCAUAGUCUUCGGCUUCUCCUGCCCGAGGUGUUGGGCGAGCCAUUCGUCACGGACGCUGUGUUUCACUACUAGGGAAACCCUUAUACACAAAAUAUUAGCAGUAGUGCUGGAUAAAAUAAAGUGCUGCUGCUACUUAGUAGUAGCGCGUUGCUGUAAAAGGCGCUACUGCUAUCCUUUUAGCAGUAGAGCAUGUUGUAAAAAUUUGUUGCUGCUAAGUUUGAAUUGGGCGCACAUGGCUAGCCCCACUUAGCAGCAGCGCGUAUCCUUAUGUAGCGCUACUGCUACUCUCCGUAGUAGUAGCGCUUUUCUUCAACCCGCGCUGCUACUGACCCUAAAUUAUCGUCCCCACACGGCCGACCCUCUCACUAUCCCUCUCAUUCACUCUCCCCCACACCCGAGCCGUCGUCCGCCACCGCCACCGUCGCCCGACCACCAUCGCCGGACGCUCCUGCUCCUCCGAAAUUGAGGUAGUCCCUCCCUCCUCCCUCCUCCCCUCCCUCCUCCUCGCACCGCGCCCUCCUCCCUCCUCCUCCGGCCGCCCCCUCGUCCCUCCUCCCUCCUUCUUUGGCCAAGCCCUCCGNNNNNNNNNNNNNNNNNNNNNNNNNNNNNNNNNNNNNNNNNNNNNNNNNNNNNNNNNNNNNNNNNNNNNNNNNNNNNNNNNNNNNNNNNNNNNNNNNNNNNNNNNNNNNNNNNNNNNNNNNNNNNNNNNNNNNNNNNNNNNNNNNNNNNNNNNNNNNNNNNNNNNNNNNNNNNNNNNNNNNNNNNNNNNNNNNNNNNNNNNNNNNNNNNNNNNNNNNNNNNNNNNNNNNNNNNNNNNNNNNNNNNNNNNNNNNNNNNNNNNNNNNNNNNNNNNNNNNNNNNNNNNNNNNNNNNNNNNNNNNNNNNNNNNNNNNNNNNNNNNNNNNNNNNNNNNNNNNNNNNNNNNNNNNNNNNNNNNNNNNNNNNNNNNNNNNNNNNNNNNNNNNNNNNNNNNNNNNNNNNNNNNNNNNNNNNNNNNNNNNNNNNNNNNNNNNNNNNNNNNNNNNNNNNNNNNNNNNNNNNNNNNNNNNNNNNNNNNNNNNNNNNNUACUAUUCUUGUAUAAUGUAGUUUUUUACUAUUUUUUAGUAAGUGUUUAAUAGAAUUAGUAAGAAAAUUAAUAGAACUAGUUGAACUAGUUUAUUUUUAUUUAUAGUAAGUGCUUUCUUGAACUAGUUGAAUUAAUAGAACUAGUUUAAAUUUAGGUGUAUUUAAUAGAAUUCUAGGUUGAUUCGUUUUGAAGUGGACAUGUCAUAUUUUGACCAUGUCACAUUUGUUGUGAUUUUUUAGUUAAAGCAUUUAUUCUCGCAUUGACGUCGACGAUACCUAUGCCGCAUCCUCGUCAUCGACUUCGGUGGAGGAGGCCUGCUUGAUCAGAGGGGCCAUGUCCAGGACUGGGCUCCGCCGGGCUGGUACUGGGAGGUGCUACCUUCUGGGGGCGCAACUUGGUGAGGAGCUAGCCCUCCAUUGACCCGAACCUUCUUUCGUGGCGGUCGCGUAGGACACUAACAAUGUGGAGGCUUGCAUCCCCCGCGGAGGUGAUACGUCACCGUGUCAGUGAGGAGGAUGAGCACGUCCAUCGCUACAUGGUUGCGUUCGAGGGCAGGUUCAAUAAUACCUGGUAGGUUCUUUAGGGAUCUCACUGGAGCUAUUAUCCUAUGAUGGUUCCUUCUCUUUGUGAGUCCACCGCUAGCGCCGAUACCCGUCAUUCUCUAGGGUUGUAGCUGUAUUAGUGAUGUUAUAUGUAUGAUACUAUUCGAGAUGUAUUAGUGAUAAUAUUUGAUGAUGUACGAACACAAGAGAUGAUUUAGUUUCGCUUAUUUAAAUGCAUGCUAAUUUGAAUACUAAUUUAUUUUAUGGUUUAGUUUCGCUUAUUGAAUGCUCAAAUUGGAGAGCACUAUGCAAGCCAUAUGCAUUUGAUUAGUUGAUAGCUUAUAGGGUUUCACUAAGUCCUAAGAUGAGGAUAAUAAUGUUUUUAUUUAUAUUUUGUUUUUGCAGCCAAAUCUCCAUGUCGUCGUCGCCGUCGUCCUCGUCACCGACCCUCUCCGACCUCGAGGUGAGACCAACCAAAUCGCCAUGUCAAUAUGAGUCCUAUAAGAUAUUUUGAAAUGUUUUUGUUCAUAUUUUCAACCAUUGAAAUGCAAUGACCAUCCAGUUUGAAUGCAAAUAGGAUAUGUGCUUGCCCAAGUGGCCAUGUUUGCAAGUAACACCUCCGAGUGGCCUAUGUUUUGCCGGAGUGUUGAUUAAUUUCCGUUCCGGCAAAUUUCAGGCGCUCGAUAUGUUCUUUUUUAGCAAAGGUCAUGCCAGAUUUUUCUGUGAAUUUUGAAUGACUUGUUCUAGAAUAUGUAGGAAAUAUCAAGUGGCCUGGAUUUUCUAGAGAGAUAAUUAAAUGACAUUUCGGGUUGACUUUAAGUCUGUCGAGGCUCCAUACACGACAAUCAAAAAAUGAGUGAAGGAGAAAGUCUGCACCAUAUAUGAGAGAAGAAGAAUCCCGACUGUUGUCGUGGGGGUCAUUUCUCCUUCUUCUCCUUGUGCUAGACCUUUGUUAUGCACUAGGGGAAGGAGGAGUAACGACCAUCACCGACGGUUGAAAAAAUAGUGAGGGAGUGUGUCCACCAUAUGUGAGAGAAGAAGAAUGCCGACUGUUGUCAUGGGGGUCGCUUCUCCUUCAUUCCUAUGUGCUAGACAUUUUGGUUUAGUACACUCGGGGAUGAAGGGAGGAGCGACCAUCACCAACUGAAUAUAUACACCACGUGAGCUGAGAGUUUUCAAAAAAAGACUCGACGGACCGAUAGUCAACCCGUGCUGAAUAAUAAUGAUCUAAUUUAGUUUUUUAGUACAUAUAUUGAAAUUUAGAAGUUUAAUCUUUGAAUUAUGAACAUAGGAAAUGUCGUUGGACGACGAAAGUCUCACGGAGUGCUCUUGGUGCAGCGACGAUCGGGGUUUCUGCGACAGGCCUCACUUGGUAGAAGGUCGGUGCUUCAGCAUUAAGCUCCAGGAGACCUUCGAUGUUGUAACGGUACGCAACAAUGCAAAGUGUUUUUUCGUAAUUAAGCUCGACUUCUUCUUCUUCUUCAACGUGUAAUUUUUGUCUUUUACAAUUCGACUACCUUAUCCGAUGCCAUGCAAGACGCUAUGUCUUGGAGAGGAUGGAUUUUGAAGAUCAUGAAAAUAUGGGAACCAAGAUAGUUCACCUAAGGACCCAUCCUGGUUUUGAUUUUGCUGUAAAUAUAUACAAUUCUAAGAGCGUAUCCCUUUUUGGUUGCCCGAAUUGGGAAGCACUUUGCAAGGCAUAUGAUUUCCAUGAGGGUAUGCUUGUCACCAUGGAUCUUGGUGAUCCUGACAAGACAAUAUGGACAUUUGGGUCCUUGUUGAUACCCUUCCAAUUCUACCGCUAUGUGAGUUUCUCAAACAUAGUUAUUAAGUAAUUUAUAUUGUUUAUUUCAAAAUAGUUGACAGCUUAUUUCCAUUGAUAGCUUAUUUUCAAUCUUCAAAGAAUGUGCGGAAGAUGGUAGACAGAACCUACUACACCGAUGACGCAGAAUUAACUUAUCAGGAGAAAAAUCAUCUGAUCUCAUUUAUUAAUGAUCUUGAGAAUUACAAUAUCUAUUAUCAAACUCCUGCACAUUAUGGUCAAUACGUGCCACUGGUGCAUGUGUUGAACUACGCUAACAUCCGUGGAGAUAGCAUGGUAAGAUUUUUUACUAUUACGACAUCCGUGCAUCUUUUGCAUAAAUUCUUCUAAAAGUAAACUACAUUGCUAACUACGAAGUUAUUACUAUAUUUUUCAAUAGAAAAUCUUGAAGGAUUAUGUGCCUCACCCGAUGUUUCCGAAAGGUCGCCUUGAUGUUAUGAACUUACGGCCAGGUCAUCCUACGCAUCACUUAUGUAUGGUCAGUCGUAGGGAGGUACUUGGAAGCAACAUUGUGCGACACGCAAGAAUUGGAGACAGGAUAAUCUCCAUUCUCCAUAAUGGAGAGUCAGGGCCUAUCUUGUUUUAUGCUAUUUUACCUAAGAGAGUGUAGUAGGUCCUAUUAGAGAGGAGUAGGUCCUAGGUACAAUGUGUUAUUAUGUGGUACAAUGUGUUAGAGUUGAUGAUGAUGUUGAGGAGGAGUUGUGAUUAUGACUAGUGACCAAAUUUCUAUAUGAUGUCUCAUUGACGAAAAUGAUGAUCAUGAGGAGUUGUUAUAUGACAAUUAUGUAUUAUGAUGAUAAGUUGUUAAUGAUAUGAUGAUGAUGAUGAUGAUGAGUUAUUAUGCCAUUGGGUGAAAGAACCGCGGUUUAGUUCCAAGUGGAUGGAUCCAAAGUUCCAUGCACUUGAAACUAAUCCACGGUUCUUUGGUAAUAACUCAUUCUGAUGUAAAAACAAUCUCUAAAUUGCUACUGUAUGAAAACUUGUAUAAUGGCAUAUGAAUACGACAUAAACAAGAAAGAAAUACCUAGCAAUAGUAGUAGCGCGGGUAGAGAGACGCGCUGCUAGUAAUUACCAGCAGUGCUGUCUAGCAAAAGCGCUACUACUAAGCAGGUAUAGCAGUAGCGUGGGCAAACACACGCUACUAAUAAACCUUAGCUGUAGUGCCAUAGCGGUAGUGCGCCACCCCGCGCUACUGGUAUACCUAAAACCGGCACUAGUGCUAGCCUUUUCCCUAGUAGUGUUUGAAUGCCGCCAAGGCUUUGGCGUAUGGACAGUCCAUGAUUUGGUUCUUUUUAAUUAAGAGCCGAUUCCAAAGUUUGUGAGCCGACUCUCCGGGUUGCUGGACUAUGUGACUUAGGUCAUCAGCAUCCGGUUGCCGGACAUAAGUGCCCUGAAAGUUGGCCCGAAAAGCAUCCUCUAAAUCUUCCCAGCUUACAAUGGAGUUCUCUGGGAGGCUAUUCAACCAGUGCCGUGCUGGUCCUUUCAGCUUUAGAGGGAGGUAUUUAAUGGCGUGGAGGUCAUCUCCGCGAGCCAUGUGAAUGCGGAGAAGAAAAUCUUCAAUCCAUACGGCAGGAUCCUUCGUUCCAUCGUACUGCUCGAUGUUCACGGGUUUAAACCCUUCCAGAAAUUGGUGUUGCAUUACCUCACCGGUAAAGCACAUAGGGUGUGCGGCACCUCUAUACCGGGCAACAUCGCGACGGAGUUCAGAUGACAUCUGUGUUCGGUGCUGACCUCGGACUUGAUUAUAUUUAUUGUGCCAGGCUUGAUGGUCAUUAUUUCGUGUUGGGGCACAUCCUCUUGAUCCGUAAAUUGAUUUGGUCUGGCUGGCUCUAUUGGUCAGGUCCUGAUGUAGGUCAUACGUGUAGCCCGGGGCCGCUGUCUCCCUGCCUCUAUGGGGAGGGGGCCCGGGUUGGUGUUAGACAUGAUUAGCCAUUUUGUCCCGUCCACGUGGUGGUCGGUCCAGUUGAUCAGCCUGAUUGUAUUUUGACGGUAUUGGCACAAGGGCCUCGUCGUCGAAUUGUGGCAGUAGCCCGUGUUUUGGGUAACUCUUUGUUGGGCACUCGAAGUCGUAUUCUUCAGCGGCUAGGACCUUGGUCCAUCUGUCGUUGAGCGUAUCCUGUUCGGCUUGAAGCUGUUGUUGUUUCUUUUUUCAGGCUCCAUCACUGGCGAUGAAAUGUCGCUUGAAGUGUUCUUGUUCGAGGGGUUCCUCUGGGAUGAUGAAAUCAUCGUCGCCAAGGCUAACAUCCUCUUUGGAGACAGGUAAAUAGUUACUAUCUUCUUAAUCCUCAUGAUCGGCGUGUUCGGGGCUGUAUUGACCCUCCUCCCUUUCAUCCUGCUCGAACGCAGGCUCGAAGGGGUGGUCGGGGUCUUCGAUGUUGUCAGGAGUGUCAUUAUCUCUGGUGCCGGUAUUGCUUUCCCUUGCCCGACGCGAUCGUGAGCGGCGCUGCUGACGUUGGCGCUUUGGUGGUUCAUCGACGGGCUUGUCCUCGUUUGGAUCUUGAGUGCCAUCGUCGUCCUUCUUCUCAGGUGUAUCCACCAUGUGUACGUCGUAGGUAGAAGUGGCCGUACAACGCCCGGUGAUGGGUGGGUUGGAUCUUGGUUCGGUUUCGACAUCGUCGUCCAUGCCGUCGAUGUCUUCGGAGGCGUAAUCUAGCAUGUCAGUUAAAUCCUCGACAGUGGCUAUUAAGUGGGUGGUGGGUGGGACGUAAAAUUCCCUAUUCUCGCCCCCCAGUUCAAGCUGGGCGUAGUUCGGAGGCGAUUCUUCCGUGAUGGCGAGAGAUUGUAUUAAGUCCAGCGUUUCGUUUAAAAGCGAGAGUUGGACAGGCGUCUGAGGAUAUGCGGAGCUAAGCUUGGCGAUAACCUCCUGCCCGAGCCCGAGGGGCGCAGACUUCGAGAGUUCAGAGUUCAUGUCCGGAGCCGAGUCCGGCUCCCCAACAACCGAAAGAGUCUAGUUUGACUCCGGGUCUGCCAAUGGUGCGGUUGUCUCUGAGUCUCCGGCUGGAAGCUCCAUGGGAGAAAAGAGUCCGGUCGGGUUUAUCCUCCCGUCUUCGGACGAUGCGGUCCGCUCCAGAUGUAAGGCCAGGGCGAGCGUGAAUGUCGACCCUUGGACAGGACCUGAUAGUAGAACCGAAUGGCCUUCUUCAUGCGGGCGAGGAGCGGCGGCCGAGGCUGUGAACCCCUCGAAGAUCAGGUCUCCUCGGAUAUCAACGAUGUAGUUUAGACUUCCAAACUUGAUCUGGUGACUAGGGGCGUAGCUGUCGACCUACUCGAGGUGACCGGUCAAGUUGGCACGUAGCAUGAAGCCACCAACAGAAAGAGUUUGGCUAGGGUGAAAGGUCUCCCCAAAAACAGCAUCGUCGUUGAUGACGAGGCGAGCCAUCGGUUCUUCCACCGACAACACAACGGAACUCUCAAUGAAAGCACCAAUGUCAGUGCUAAAACCGGCAGAUCUCGGGUAGGGGGUCCCAAAUUGUGUGUCUAAGGAUCGAUGGUAACAAGGAGACAAUAGGGACACAAUGUUUACCCAAGUUCGGGCCCUCUUAAAGGAGGUAAAACCCUAUGUCCUGCUUGAUUGUAUUCGAAGAGUAUAGGGGUUACAAGAGUUGAUCUACCUCGAGAUCGUAAUGGCUAAACCCUAGAUGUCUAGCCUAUGAUUAUUCUGAUGGCCUCCACGGACUAAACCCUUUGGUUUAUAUACACACCGGAGGGGCCUAGGGUUGUACAGAGUCGGUUUGCAGAGGAAGGAAAUAGUACAUCCGGACACCAAGCUUGCUGUCCAUGCAUAUAGGAGUCCUACCCAGUCACGGGGGGUAGUCUUCUGUUUUAUCUUCACGGCUCAUCAGUCCGCCCCAUACCGAAUAGACCGGACACCCGAGGACCCCCUAAUCCAGGACUCCCUCACCGAGCAACUUCACUGUUUUUUUCACGGCGAACUGAAGUAACCGCACUGCAUCAUUUUUGGAGGCGUACUGGACUGCGUGUACUGCAUUGUCUAGAAUAAGUAAACUGAGAUAGUUGCGGAAGUUUACUGCUUACCUCAUGUUGUCGUGCUUUCUUGCGUUUGUAGGAGGAAGUUCCCUUCUCGUCCGUCUGCACAACUUUUUUGUUCACCCGUGCAGUCCACUUGCCCUUCAGAAGUUCAUGAGCAGUCUGGACGUUGCUCAAGGUGAGUGGUGAUGGAGGAUUUGCUCCGAAGGUCGUUGCAGCCUUAAUCCAAGAAGCUGUCGUGGAUGAAGGAACCUUGCACACAGUCCUCCUUGCUCGAAUUGGUGUGAUGUCGAGGCAGCACAACUCCACAUCUAAUGAGGGACAUGUAAUUGAAGACGCACCGCUCAAUGAUGUGGUAAUUGAAGGCCAGGAGGAGAUCGGCGGUGGCGCUACUGAGCUACUACCGAGGAAGAAGGUCGAUAUGCGAGCGGGGAGGCGUUGCUUGGUUGCUGCUGCGGAGGAAGGCCAAGAGGCGAUGGAUGGCGGCGUUGCUCGGUUGCUGCCGCAGAAGAAGACCGAGAGGCGACGGGCGGCGGUGCUGCUUGGCCGCUGCCGCAGAAGAAGGCUGCGAGGGAAGCGACAGCGGCGUUGCCGACCGCCGCCGCGGAAGAAGGCCGGGAGGGGAGUGGCGGCAGUGCUCCCAGGCCGCCAUCAUGGGAGAAAGCGGGGAGGGGAGUGUCGGUUCAAUAUCCGGCGUAUCUUGUAGUAGGGGUCCUAAGCUAGGCGUCUUGGAGCGAUGGUAACAUGGACACGGGGUUUUACCCAGCUUCGGGCUCUCUUGAUGAGAUAAUACCCUACAUGCUGGUUUUGAUUGUAUUCAUAUGGGUGUAGUAUAGAGUACACGUAUCUACCACAAGAUUGUAGUGAUGAAUAUGAUAUUGCCUAUUGACUACCCUCACCUCGGUUUAUAUAACACACCGAAGGCCUAGGGUAUUAGGAGAGUCCUUGGCUUGGGCGCCAAGUCUUGUGGAAUCCUUCUUGUAUGCGGCAUGGGCUGUCCGAACUGGCCCAAUAGUGAACCGCCAUGGGGGUCCUCGGCCAGAUCCAGCUGGUCGGGAGAUGACGUGGUGAGUACCCACUAGUCCAGGACACCGUAAGUAGCCCCCUGAACCGGUCUUCAAGUUGGGGACGCUCCUCGAUUCUUCCGAACUGUUCUUCAUCUCCGGUCGUUGGUUUUGAAAACUGCUUCAACAAAUCUUCCCAUCUUCGAUCUUGAGGAUCGCCGAGCUAAAUCCGAAGAGUUCACACAUCGGGCAUCCGAGGAGACCUUCAAGUUUUCGGCCUUUAUCAAUGCCUUGUAAUUUUUUACGCCACACCUUGAGUUUGAAGUUGUUCCCGUGAGGGGUGUCCUCUCGCAUCCGAGCUCCAAUGCCGGAGUGCCCUUGAGGUAUCUUUUGCAGCCGAGCACCAACGCCGGACUGUAUUCGAGCUCCAACGCUGGACUGUAUUCGAGCAUCACCUCGGCCAUGGGCUGAUUUUUAUGAAUUUAAUUCCGAUUUGUGCAAUGUAUUCUCUGCCGAGAUGUAUAGCCAAUAGCCUUCAAGGUGCGUGUUGGCCUAAUAUCUGGGAUGCACCUGAAGGAUUAAAUCAAAUCGCUUUUCCCAGUAGCCCCUGAGACUCUGGUCGAUUCGUGAAAUCGGCCUGAGGAUCAAUUCCUAGCUCGGCAGCAUACUUAGGAAUAGAAACGCGGUGUAAUAUAUUAGUGGAAAUAGUGAUCGGCGAAUGGGCCCCGGAGAGAGGGCCGUGAGAAGUCGCCGUGAUAUAUCAGCUUGACGCCAAAUAUGUCCCAGAUGGAACUUAUUGUUGUCCAAAAACGCGUUUGUCCAUCGUUCGGCCAUGCCGAACAUUGAGCACUUUGAAUAUUCUGCAUUGAAUAGGCAAUGCAGUAGCCCCCGAGCCACUGGUCGGGUGGCAACACCAGAUCAGGGGAUCGAUGUGCCCAUUUAAUAUUUAUAAAUAAUGAGCCCAAAGCCCAAUAGCCCCCAAGCCUUAAUGCGGGUACGGGUGGCCGAAUUAAGGAUCGAUGUCCAUAGUAAAAUCAUAAAUUAUGUGUAAUGACUCUAUGUAUCCAAGUACUUUACAUCAUUAAUGCUCGGAUCCGCAUUGUACAAAACUUUGUUGACCGACCAUCGGCUUCAACCUCUUCGGCCAGUAGCCGAGGAGUGUUUUCCUACUUUAUAAAGCCGUUAUAAGGGCAAAGAUUUAUGGAAAACAAGGCAAUCUGGCCAUACGGUUUUAUAAACAAAGGUACACUGAGAGAUAUGUUAUAUUACGUUUUAACGUAAGAAACAUCUUCCAAAGAAAAUAGUCCCGCUAUCGGUUCCUUUCUUUGGGUCGACAUGCUUAUCAUGAUCAUGAAACCUCACCUCCGAUCAAUGUGGGGGGGAAAUAUUGAGGAUUUAGUUCGGGGAAAGUUCCCGAACUCUAUGGUAUUAAUGAACCAAAAUUUUCACUUCCGUCAUUGCCGACUAAUGUGAUCCUUUAAGAUUGCUAGCUUUCGGCUUCACCCAAUCUGAGGUACUUACUCGGAUGACCCGGUAGUAACAAUCAUAGAGGUGCUCCCUUUACCACCUAGCCGGACAAUCGGGAACGUAGGGGUAAGCACAUGAGCUAGGCAACCCAGCUUGGCCAAAAUCUUAAGUCAAAUUGAUGCAUAUUUAUGGAUUUAUAACGAUGAUUGCGGAAGGCAGCCCUUGUAUAUUAAAUACAAAUGCCGAUGAUAUGUUUAUUUUGACUCCGUUGCGACCAUUUAUCAGUUGAAAGUGGACCAUCGUCGUCUUCUACCCCUUUGUAGAUACUACGCAGGGUGUUUCCGCAAUAACAAGACAACCCUUAGCCGACGUCUUGGUGCCCGAAGGCGUUUGUGUUAGCGGAAACGAGGCAAUCAGAUAUGCGGGCUUUAUAACUUUCACUUAGUCAUAGGAGCUUAAAGUUGGGAGGCCAGCUACUAGCCUCUGGUUAGUGUUCAGCGACAGCCAAGGUCAAGCCGUUAACACUUCGGCGAACGUUAUGAACGGCUCGUGGCCUAACAUGGGGUGACCUCCAUCGAUCUUAUAAUUUAAUAUAGUCAUAGGAUCGCUGACCAGUUUACACUUAUUGUGACAGUCAGUUUUCGGCUUUCUCCACUGAGGCGCUUAACCAUGCUAGCUGGAAGCACAAUCACAGUGGUUCUCCCUUUGCACACCUAGCCGAGCAAAGCGGAAAGUAGGAGGCAAGCACGGGAGCCGGGCAACCCAACUAUUGACCGAAGACACAAUUCCAAACCGAUGCAUAUAUAGCAAUAUCCGAGAACGUUUUUGUCGAAUCUCUAAAGGUGUUCGGCGUUGCACUGCGAGACUAAUGCUGGAAACACACAAAUAGUUUAAAAGUGCCAUAGGCUCGAAAAGCCAAAAAACUUAUUCAAAAGUUUAAUGUCCGAACUAGAUCAAGUGUUCGGUGCCAAUCCGAAAAUUGGUCUUAGAAAAAGAAAAUUGUGCUUCUGUCGUGCUUUAACAUGACACAUCCUAUCUCAAGACUUCAAGCGGGUCAGCCUAUGGCUUCAACCUCCUAUCCAGAAGGUGAAGUAAUUCUUGUUAGGCCAGUUUAGCAAACUAAACUCUAGCGGCUUUGAGAGAGAAAUUAGGCUCCUUGGCUAUUGACCACACACUCGCGUCGAAAAAAGGAGUGAUAGGAAAAGACUUUGCAAUGACUAAGAAAAAGAACACUUAUUAUAAAACAGCUCACACUAAUUUAAGAGCCCCCAAGUGACUUGGGUGAAAGAAUUUUAUGUAUAAUGAUGGUAUGUACCGAAGUACUUAUAUCAUAUCUGUGUUCACCAGAACUUUAAACGUGUCUUAACCGACCGUCGACUUCUCCCUCUUCGGUCAAGGGCCGAAAAGUGUUAUGUACUUCACCUGUCGACAAUAUCGACGGUGUUUCCUGUUGGCGUUCUGGGAACGGGGGUCCCCAGACUUGCCUGCCUGCGACCCGUGGCGUGGCUCGAAGGGGGCCCAGCACGGCCCAUCUUCAUCAACACAAGACCCAAGACCCUCGCGAGGGGCCAAGCCUCGCAGGGCGGAUGGCGCGGAGCUUCCUCAGGCGCGGCCUCAUCAGGCUGGCUCACGAGGAGGCGGAGAGAUCAAGGCGGCGUACCUCAUGAGGUGCCCAUGACACAAGCCAUGACGACCGAGGGCGCCAGGCGGGCGCCAGCCCGCGCAGUGUCCUCCUUUCCUCUUUGGUGCAAAGGGGCAAGCGCAGGCGAGAGCAUCAAGCAAAGGCACCCGUUUCGGUGCAACGAGACCAAGACCAGUCCAACGGUGGGGAGGAAGUCAUUGUGGAGCCCAAGCUAGCAUCACCACCAGAGCCUUUGGCAGGCGAGGACCAACUUUAGUCAGGAUAAGUGUACCAGAUGUUCCCCUUCAAAAUGGCUAGCUGUUGGCGCCCUUCCCGCUCAAUAUUUGGGAAGAGGCCCAGGGCCUUUGCCUAUAAAUAGGACUAGCCACCUCCAGGGCAGACCCCCGGGCAAUCGGUUAGAAAAGGCAUAGGCAACAGACAGAGAGAGAGAGGGAAAAGGGCGAUUGAACUCCUCAUAGUGGUUCAUCCCCCCAGCCAAGAACAGACCCUCGCGAGGCUGUUCUUUCUUGUAUUUCUCAUCAUCAUCAGCCCAAGAGGCAAUCCAUCACGCCAAAAACUAGAGUAGGGUAUUACACCAUAACGGUGGCCCGAACUAGUAUAAACCUUGCGUCUCUUGUGAUGUUCUUUCCAUAGCUUAGAUCUUAGCGAGGCGGCGGGGUGCAAGUAGGUGGAAGGCGUAAUCUCCGCACGCACCCCAGAGUUUGAACCUCAAGGGUCUGCCGGAACCCGAAAUCCGACAUUUGACGCGCCAGGUAGGGGUGCGCCGGAAUCCACCCUUCUACCGCUUCGUGUCCCGUCGCGUCGUCAUCACCAUGUCCAGCGACCAGGCGGGCAACCCAGAUCCAUGGGCGGCGUGGCCCGCCCGCGCAGAGCCGCUCGCCUCGGGCGACCCCGCGCCCCAGGAAGCUCAUGAUCCGCAGGGCGCUGCGGGCCGCGGGCGACGCGGACAGGCUUCCACAACCCUCACACCGCGGCAAGCGCGUUCGACAGCAAGGGCCUCCAAUCACACCGCGACCACGACACCGUACACCCGCCGGGAGCAGGAGAACUCAAGGGCCGCGCUCACGGUGGCCCGAGAGCUGCUGCAGUGCAGGCUGCUGGAAGGCGGCCGCGACGUGCUGCUGGAGCGGGUUGCCGAGCUCCUGGGCUUUGCCGCCUCGGGGGCUCACCCCUUCUGCACUCAGCUCCCAUCUCAAGCCCAGGGCGGCACGCGCGGGGGCUCCGCGCACGCCCGCGGCUCCAAGGUACUCCAACGCCAAUGAAGCUGUCGGCACCGGACCGGCGGCGGCGCUGCCCCUGCCCCCGGUCCGUGAAGAAGAGGGACUCGGCGCGGCCCACGGUCCCGGUGGGCAGCCGCGCUACCACCCCAUGGUGGGCGCAUCAAGCAGAGCUGCGUGGGACGCGGAGCACUACGACGUGGCCUUCGGGAUGACGGCGCCGGAAGAAUACAUGCCCCACAUGAUGGACCAAGGGCACCCUCACGAGGGCGAACAAGGCUCGCUCCUCAGCCCAAGCUGGGGGGACGAGGCACCAGAAGUUGAACUCUUCCAGGAACCCAGGGACGGCCCCACCGUCCACGCUGGAGGCAAUGAUCAUCGGGUACCGCUACUUCCUCAGGAGUAGGCAUACGCUAAUCAUGGAUCACAGGAGGUGCAGGUCGCCGCAGCGAGCAGCUGCCCCGCUCCCACAGUCUCCUACCCCUCGGGAGGAGGGCGCAGGGGGCUACAGGAGAGGGGCAGAGAUCCGACAUCACCACCGCGGCGUUCGGAGCAAGGCGUUCUCAAGAGGUAGGCCCUCCGCUGGGGAGGUGCCUCAGGGCCUGCCCCUAGCAGAGGACCCGUGGUCGUCGGGGGAACCGCUGGCGACCGCUCUACCCCAUCGGCGGCGUCCUGGUUUCCGGUCGUCGUUGAUGGCCUAGAGUGUGGUGCAAGGCGGGGCCCUCGUCUGGCGAUAUGAAGCAAGGUCGAUACCUGUGAAGAAGGCCCAGUGCUUGUGAAGCUCGCCGCCCCGUGACACUCUCACGUAAUAAUGAGUGGGGUUGUACACGCCCCGGAGUCUCAGGGGUGCCGGCCUCAGGCCCUGGGGCUCCCUCCCACGCCCAGUGGCAGCACUUAGCUCUAUGCUGGUGAGGAGACGUCCAAGACUAGAUUAGGUACCGGACACGGCCUUUUGUCCGCUUUCAUUGCUUUCCCCUUUGGUUGUAACUUUCCCCCGCUGGAUUUAAAAGUUGGAUUCGAAUUUGAGAUUUGCGUGUGUUUGGGGAAGGGGUGCUUAGUCUCGUUCGAGCCAUUUCUCGCGUUUUUAUUACCACUUCGCCUUAGCUGCCUCCCCUCACGAGUCAGGUCAGGCCUAGCUUGCGCGCAGCCCAGACUGCUGCCGCCGCGUCCUCUCGGGAGGGUUUCUAAAUGCCUGUGAAGAUUAUCCUUUUUGAAAAAGGCCCAGAGCCUGUGAAGAAGGCGAAUGCCUGUGAAGAUCAUCCUUUUUGGAGAAGGCCCAGAGCCUGUGAAGAAGGCGAAUGCCUGUGAAGAUCAUCCUUUUUGGGAAAGGCCCAGAGCCUGUGAAGAAGGAGAAUGCCUGCGAAGAUUAUCCUUUUUGGAGAAGGCCCAGAGCCUGUGAAGAAGGCGAAUGCCUGUGAAGUUGUCGCGCUUGGGAAAAGGCCCAGAGCCUGUGAAGAGGGCAAAUGCCCAUGAAGCUUGCUUCCCCCAAGAAAAGGCCCGAAGCCUGUGAAGAAGGCUAACGCCUGUGAAGCUCGCCGCCCGCGACACUCUCACAUCCUAUGGAUUCGGUUAGAGAAGACUCGAGACGCCAUGGGCCCCCAUAGGCUACCUCAGGGCCCGCACGAGAGCGGAGGUAAACUAGCCAACCAGCGCGUCGCUUAGCCAGCCACUUGGCGCGGGCGCAUGUGCAAUGUAACAUCUACUAAUACGAUGAACACAAGUUUUACAUGAGGGGCUCCCCUCCCAAAAUGCUCUCACAAUCAUCAGGCCAAAACCUGAGUUCUAUUCAUGCAGGGUAAGGAAACAGGGACAACGCAUAAUCAGUCGGAUAAAUCACCCAAUGCAUCCUCAGAAGCACCUCCCGAACCGUAACUGGCAUCGCUAGACUCGCCAUCGCUGUUUGCGUCGCCACCAGCGGCGUCAGGGUCAUUCACCACGCCGCCCUCGUCAGCAGUCAUGAUCACGUCGUCAUUGUCCGAAGUGAAGGCCCUGACAAGAGCAUCCACAUUGUCUUCCACCCAGUGCGCCAGGUCGUCCCGGACGGCCUGGGGGACUGGGGCGAUGGCGGCGUCGAAGUCGAAGUGGGGAUCCAUGUUCUAGAGAUGGCUGAAGAGACGGGAAAAGGCGCGCCCGGGCAGGGCGCGGCUCCUCUCCUCCACCAACAUGUCGGCCCUGGCCGACCAUGCCUCCAGCUGCAUCACCACGGCGGUGAAGAACUGAAGGUUGCCGGCGUAGUUGAUUGUGCGCGGCUCGCCAACGUCCGCCUCACAGAUGUUUCCCAAGGCUGUGUUGGCUCUCUCCCGGAGCGUGGAGAGCAUGGGGCCGUGCCCAUGCUCCUGGACCUGCCGCUGACGUAUUUCGUCCGCAUUCUGGUGCGCGACGGCCUCAGCCUCCUCCACCCGCUGGCAAAGACGGAGCACCUUGACCCGGGAGGUGGUUGACUCCCCUUGCGCUACCUCAAGCGCGGCCCGAAGAGCAUCGGCCCGCCGCGUCGCUUCCUCCAGCUUGGUCCUCAAGGCUGCGGUCCUACCUUCAGCCUCGACCCGGAUCAACCCCAGCCUCCCCUCGAACUCGCGCUCGAGGUCUUGGCGCGCCAUCGCCACCCGACAUCCAACCUCCUCCAGGAAACGGGCUUCCCGUGCAGCGACAUCAUCCUCCGCCUACGUCACCAAGCGCUCCCUCGUCUCCAGCCGCUCGUACUCGCGGGUGCGUUCGGCGGCUUCCAGCGUCAACGCCUCCUCACACUUCUGGAGCUCUGCUGGGUCGCCAGAGGCCACCUUCAUCGACGCGAGAGCUGCCUCGCGCAGCUCCGCCUGCUCCUCUAGUGAGUGGCACCAGGCCAGGAGCUCACGAGCCCGCUCCUCAACCGCCUCUCGCCAUCGGUCGGCUUCCCGGGCCUCCUCAGCGGCCUGAGAUCGGGCCUCCCGAGAGGCCUCCAGUGACGCCUUCGCCUCUUCGUCGUCAAGAUCGCGCUGAUGGCGCGCAAGGGCAAUGGCGCCCUCCAGCGCGCGCCUCUCUGCAGCCAGGCGCAGGCCCUGGGCCUCGAGGCGCGCGUCUUCAUCAGUGAGCUCCUCCCCAAGCAGACUCACCGCUUCAGUCGCCCUUCGAAGGAAUCCUUGGCGAUGAGCGUGACGCUCCCGGGCACGCUCGAGCACGUCUUCCACACCAUCAUCUGCCCCAAGCAAGCGCCGGGGACCACGAAUCAGCGCUCCCCCUCCGGGCAGGGGGCUGGGGGCUGGCGCCCUCGCGACGGCCGGGCGCGCCAAGCCAGAAGCCCGGCCUGGAACCAGCCCGUCUCCGGAUGAAGGGCGCAGGGAGCGCCUCAGCCAGUCGCAGUUCACGACCAGACGAGAAGCCCAUGGAAGGCUGGCCAUGCCAUGAGAAGGCCCGCGAAGGAAGAUCGCGGGGAACGCAGGACCUUGAUGCACCUUGGGACGAUUCGCCCCGCCGAUCGCCCCCACCACAAGGGUUGUGCUGCUCGGAGCACCUGAGGACGGUGGAAGGGGCGAAGCCAAGGGGGACGGCACCUCAGCCUCCUCCGCGAGCUCGGCCGAAAGGGGCCUGCGGAGUAAGGAUCAGUAAAAGCAACAAGAGGAUCGGGAGCUGGAAAAGGAGAAGGCUUACUCGUCAGUGGCGAAGUACUUCCUACGCUUCAGCAGGCGACAAGGGUAAUCGUCACCCAUGGCCUCCCUUUUCUUCCGGAGGGCUUCGAAGUCCACGCGGAAGCGGCCCAAGAGUUGAGCGCAGGGAUCAACCUGCGACGAAGACGGAGCGUCAAGGCGAUCCGUGUCAGGGGCGCCCGCCUGAUGCGCGCUGCCGAUCGCCUCGCCUAGAGAAGCAGCCGGAGCCUCAGGGGCCUUAGCCGCAGGCGCUGAGGGCAGCUGCUCGCCCCCCUCAGCCUCAGCGGCACGGGCCCCAGGAGCUGCUCCCUCAUGAGCAUCGCCCCGCGUUGCCACCCUAUCGGGAGCCCCCUCGGCCUCUGGAGCCUCAUGCCUCCCUGCUCCGCCACUUGAGGAAGAGUCGCCUUGACCGACUGGAAGGGCAGUCACCACCGUUGGGUUCUCGCGAGGCCCCUGGAGGCCGGCGGGGCACAGCUGUUGGGUUUCGUAGUAAUUUCAAAAUUUUCCUACGCACAUGCAAGAUCAUGUGAUGCAUAGCAACGAGAGGGGAGAGUGCUGUCUACGUACCCACACAAACCGACUGCGGAAGCGUUCACACAACGUAGAGGAAGUAGUCGUACGUCUUCACAAUCCAACCGAUCAAGCACUGAAACUACGACACCUUCGAGUUCGAGCACACGUUCAGCUCGAUGACGAUCCCCAGACUCUGAUCCAGCAAAGUGUCAGGGAAGAGUUCCGUCAGCACGACGGCGUGGUGACGAUCUUGAUGCACUACAGCAGCAGGGCUUCGCCUAAACUCCGCUACAGUAUUAUCGAGGAAUAUGGUGGCUGGGGGCACCGCACACGGCUAAGGAAUAGAUCACGUGGAUCAACUUGUGUGUUUCUAGGGUGCCUCUACCUCAGUAUAUAAAGGAGCCAAGGGGGAGGGGGGCGCCGGCCAGGAGGAGGGCGCAGGAGGAGUCCUUCUCCUUCCGGGAGUAGGACUCCCCCCCCAAUCCUAGUUGGACUAGGAUUCCCCGAGGGGGAAAGAGAGAUAAGGGGGGCCGGCCACCUCUCCUAGUCCUAAUAGGACUAGGGGGAGGGUAGAGGCGCAUGGCCACCUUGGGCUGCCCCUUUCUCCUUUCCACUAAAGCCCAUCUAGGCCCAUAUGGCUCCCGGGGGGUUCCGGUAACCUCCCGGUACUCCGGUAAAAUCCCGAUUUCACCCAGAACACUUCCGAUAUCCAAACAUAGGCUUCCAAUAUAUCAAUCUUUACGUCUCGACCAUUUCGAGACUCCUCGUCAUGUCCGUGAUCACAUCCGGGACUCCGAACAACCUUCGGUACAUCAAAAUGCAUAAACUCAUAAUAUAACUGUCAUCGUAACCUUAAGCGUGCGGACCCUACGGGUUCGAGAACAAUGUAGACAUGAUCGAGACACGUUUCCGGUCAAUAACCAAUAGCGGGACCUGGAUGCCCAUAUUGGCUCCUACAUAUUCUACGAAGAUCUUUAUCGGUCAGACCGCAUAACAACAUACGUUGUUCCCUUUGUCAUCGGUAUGUUACUUGCCCGAGAUUCGAUCGUCGGUAUCCAAUACCUAGUUCAAUCUCGUUACCGGCAAGUCUCUUUACUCGUUCUGUAAUACAUCAUCUCGCAACUAACUCAUUAGUUGCAAUGCUUGCAAGGCUUAUGUGAUGUGCAUUACCGAGAGGGCCCAGAGAUACCUCUCCGACAAUCGGAGUGACAAAUCCUAAUCUCGAAAUACGCCAACCCAACAUCUACCUUUGGAGACACCUGUAAUGCUCCUUUAUAAUCACCCAGUUACGUUGUGACGUUUGGUAGCACCCAAAGUGUUCCUCCGGCAAACGGGAGUUGCAUAAUCUCAUAGUUAUAGGAACAUGUAUAAGUCAUGAAGAAAGCAAUAGCAACAUACUAAACGAUCGGGUGCUAAGCUAAUGGAAUGGGUCAUGUCAAUCAGAUCAUUCAACUAAUGAUGUGACCUCGUUAAUAAAAUAACAACUCAUUGUUCAUGGUUAGGAAACAUAACCAUAUUUGAUUAACGAGCUAGUCAAGUAGAGGCAUACUAGUGACACUUUGUUUGUCUAUGUAUUCACACAUGUAUUAUGUUUCCGGUUAAUACAAUUCUAGCAUGAAUAAUAAACAUUUAUCAUGAUUAUAAGGAAAUAAAUAAUAACUUUAUUAUUGCCUCUAGGGCAUAUUUCCUUCAGUCUCCCACUUGCACUAGAGUCAAUAAUCUAGAUUACACUGUAAUGAUUCUAACACCCAUGGAGCCUUGGUACUGAUCAUGUUUUGCUCGUGGAAGAGGCUUAGUCAACGGGUCUGCAACAUUCAGAUCCGUAUGUAUCUUGCAAAUCUCUAUGUCUCCCACCUGGACUAGAUCCCGGAUGGAAUUGAAGCGUCUCUUGAUGUGCUUGGUUCUCUUGUGAAAUCUGGAUUCCUUUGCCAAGGCAAUUGCACCAGUAUUGUCACAAAAGAUUUUCAUUGGACCCGAUGCACUAGGUAUGACACCUAGAUCGGAUAUGAACUCCUUCAUCCAGACUCCUUCGUUCACUGCUUCCGAAGCAGCUAUGUACUCCGCUUCACAUGUAGAUCCCGCUACGACGCUUUGUUUAGAACUGCACCAACUGACAGCUCCACCGUUUAAUGUAAACACGUAUCCGGUUUGCGAUUUAGAAUCGUCCGGAUCAGUGUCAAAGCUUGCAUCAACGUAACCAUUUACGACGAGCUCUUUGUCACCUCCAUAUACGAGAAACAUAUCCUUACUCCUUUUCAGGUAUUUCAGGAUGUUCUUGAGCGCUGUCCAGUGAUCCACUCCUGGAUUACUUUGGUACCUCCCUGCUAGACUUAUAGCAAGGCACACAUCAGGUCUGGUACACAGCAUUGCAUACAUGAUAGAUCCUAUCGCUGAUGCAUAGGGAACAUCUUUCAUAUUCUCUCUAUCUUCUGCAGUGGUCGGGCAUUGAGUCUUACUCAAUUUCACACCUUGUAACAUAGGCAAGAAUCCUUUCUUUGCUUGAUCCAUUUUGAACUUCUUCAAAAUUUUGUCAAGGUAUGUUGUUUGUGAAAGUCCAAUUAAGCGUUUUGAUCUAUCUCUAUAGAUCUUUAUGCCUAAUAUGUAAGCAGCUUCACCGAGGUCUUUCAUUGAAAAACUCUUAUUCAAGUAUCCCUCUAUGCUAUCCAGAAAUUCUAUAUCAUUUCCAAUCAGUAAUAUGUCAUCCACAUAUAAUAUCAGAAAUGCUACAGAGCUCCCACUCACUUUCUUGUAAAUACAGGCUUCUCCGAAAGUCUGUAUAAAACCAAAUGCUUUGAUCACACUAUCAAAGUGUUUAUUCCAACUCCGAGAGGCUUGAACCAGUCCAUAAAUGGAUCGCUGGAGCUUGCACACUUUGUUAGCUCCCUUUGGAUCGACAAAACCUUCUGGUUGCAUCAUAUACAACUCUUCUUCCAGAAAUCCAUUCAGGAAUGAAGUUUUGACAUCCAUCUGCCCAAUUUCAUAAUUAUAAAAUGCGGCAAUUACUAACAUGAUUCGGACAGACUUAAGCAUCGCUACGGGUGAGAAGGUCUCAUCGAAGUCAACCCCUUGAACUUGUCGAAAACCUUUUGCGACAAGUCGAGCUUUGUAGACAGUAACAUUACUGUCAGCGUCAGUCUUCUUCUUGAAGAUCCAUUUAUUCUCAAUUGCUUUCCGAUCAUCGGGCAAGUCAACCAAAGUCCAUACUUUGUUCUCAUACAUGGAUCCCAUCUCAGAUAUCAUGGCUUCAAGCCAUUUUGCGGAAUCUGGGCUCACCAUCGCUUCUUCAUAGUUCGUAGGUUCAUCAUGAUCUAGUAGCAUGACUUCCAGAACAGGAUUACCGUACCACUCUGGUGCGGAUCUCACUCUGGUUGAUCUACGAGGUUCAGUAGUAUCUUGAUCUGAAGUUUCAUGAUCAUUAUCAUUAGCUUCCUCACUAACUGGUGUAGGUGUCACUGAAACAUUUUUCUGUGAUGUACUACUUUCCAAUAAGGGAGCAGGUACAGUUACCUCGUCAAGUUCUACUUUCCUCCCACUCACUUCUUUUGAGAGAAACUCCUUCUCUAGAAAGUUUCCGAAUUUAGCAACAAAAGUCUUGCCUUCGGAUCUGUGAUAGAAGGUGUAUCCAAUAGUUUCCUUUGGAUAUCCUAUGAAGACACAUUUCUCCGAUUUGGGUUCGAGCUUAUCAGGUUGAAGCUUUUUCACAUAAGCAUCGCAGCCCCAAACUUUCAGAAACGACAACUUUGGUUUCUUGCCAAACCACAGUUCAUAAGGCGUCGUCUCAACGCAUUUUGAUGGUGCCCUAUUUAACGUGAAUGCGGCCGUCUCUAGAGCGUAUCCCCAAAACGAUAGCGGUAAAUCAGUAAGAGACAUCAUAGAUUGCACCAUAUCUAGUAAAGUACGAUUACGACGUUCAGACACACCAUUACGCUGUGGUGUUCCGGGUGGCGUGAGUUGUGAAACUAUUCCACAAUUUUUCAAAUGUACACCAAACUCGUAACUCAAAUAUUCUCCUCCACGAUCAGAUCGUAGAAACUUUAUUUUCUUGUUACGAUGAUUUUCAACUUCACUCUGAAAUUCCUUGAACCUUUCAAAUGUUUCAGACUUAUGUUUCAUUAAGUAGAUAUACCCAUAUCUGCUUAAAUCAUCUGUGAAGGUGAGAAAAUAACGAUAUCCGCCACGAGCCUCAAUAUUCAUCGGACCACAUACAUCUGUAUGUAUGAUUUCCAACAAAUCUGUUGCUCUCUCCAUAGUACCGGAGAAUGGUGUUUUGGUCAUCUUGCCCAUAAGGCACGGUUCGCAAGUACCAAGUGAUUCAUAAUCAAGUGGUUCCAAAAGUCCAUCAGAAUGGAGUUUCUUCAUGCGCUUUACACUGAUAUGACCUAAACGGCAGUGCCACAAAUAAGUUGCACUCUCAUUAUCAACUCUGCAUCUUUUGGCUUCAACAUUAUGAAUAUGUGUGUUACUACUAUCGAGAUUCAACAAGAAUAGACCACUCUUCAAGGGUGCAUGACCAUAAAAGAUAUUACUCAUAUAAAUAGAACAACCAUUAUUCUCUGAUUUAAAUGAAUAACCGUCUCGCAUCAAACAAGAUCCAGAUAUAAUGUUCAUGCUUAACACUGGCACCAAAUAACAAUUAUUUAGGUCUAAUACUAAUCCCGAAGGUAGAUGUAGAGGUAGUGUGCCGACUGCGAUCACAUCGACUUUGGAACCGUUUCCCACGCGCAUCGUCACCUCGUCCUUAACCAAUCUUCGCUUGAUCCAUAGUCCCUGUUUCGAGUUGCAAAUAUUAGCAACAGAACCAGUAUCAAAUACCCAGGUGCUACUGCGAGCAUUAGUAAGGUACACAUCAAUAACAUGUAUAUCACAUAUACCUUUGUUCACCUUGCCAUCCUUCUUAUCCGCCAAAUACUUGGGGCAGUUCCGCUUCCAGUGACCAGUCUGCUUGCAAUAGAAGCACUCAGUUUCAGGCUUAGGUCCAGGUUUGGGUUUCUUCUCUUAAGUAGCAACUUGCUUGCCGUUCUUUUUGAAGUUCCCCUUCUUCUUCCCUUUGCCCUUUUUCUUGAAACUAGUGGUCUUGUUGACCAUCAACACUUGAUGCUCCUUCUUGAUUUCUACCUCCGCAGCUUUCAGCAUUGCGAAGAGCUCGGGAAUAGUCUUGUUCAUCCCUUGCAUAUUAUAGUUCAUGACGAAGCUCUUGUAGCUUGGUGGCAGUGAUUGAAGAAUUCUGUCAAUGACGCAAUCAUCUGGAAGAUUAACUCCCAAUUGAAUCAAGUGAUUAUUAUACCCAGACAUUUUGAGUAUAUGCUCACUGACAGAACUGUUCUCCUCCAUCUUGCAGCUAUAGAACUUAUUGGAGACUUCAUAUCUCUCAAUCCGGGCAUUUGCUUGAAAUAUUAACUUCAACUCUUGGAACAUCUCAUAUGCUCCAUGACGUUCAAAACGUCGUUGAAGUCCCGAUUCUAAGCCGUAAAGCAUGGCACACUGAACUAUCGAGUAGUCAUCAGCUUUGCUCUGCCAGACGUUCAUAACAUCCAGCGUUGCUCCUGCAGCAGGCCUGGCACCCAGCGGCGCUUCCAGGACGUAAUUCUUCUGUGCAGCAAUGAGGAUAAUCCUCAAGUUACGGACCCAGUCCGUGUAAUUGCUACCAUCAUCUUUCAACUUUGCUUUCUCAAGGAACGCAUUAAAAUUCAACGGAACAACAGCACGAGCCAUCUAUCUACAAUCAAACAUAAACAAGCAAGAUACUAAUCAGGUACUAAGUUUCAUGAUAAAUUUAAGUUCAGUUAAUCAAAUUAAUUAAAGAACUCCCACUUAGAUAGACAUCCCUCUAAUCCUCUAAGUGAUUACGUGAUCCAAAUCAACUAAACCAUAACCGAUCAUCACGUGAGAUGGAGUAGUUUUCAAUGGUGAACAUCGUUAUGUUGAUCAUAUCUACUAUAUGAUUCACGCUCGACCUUUUGGUCUCCGUGUUCCGAGGCCAUAUCUGUAUAUGCUUGGCUCAUCAAGUAUAACCUGAGUGUUCCACGUGUGCAACUGUUUUGCACCCGUUGUAUUUGAACGUAGAACCUAUCACACCCGAUCAUCACGUGGUGUCUCAGCACGAAGAACUUUCGCAACGGUGCAUACUCAGGGAGAACACUUCUUGAUAAUUUAGUGAGAGAUCAUCUUAUAAUGCUACCGUCAAUCAAAGCAAGAUAAGAUGCAUAAAAGGAUAAACAUCACAUGCAAUCAAUAUAAGUGAUAUGAUAUGGCCAUCAUCAUCUUGUGCUUGUGAUCUUCAUCUCCGAAGCACCGUCGUGAUCACCAUCGUCACCGGCGUGACACCUUGAUCUCCAUCGUAGCAUCAUUGUCGUCUCGCCAAGUUUAUGCUUCCACGACUAUCACUACCGCUUAGUAAUAAAGUAAAGCAUUACAUCGCGAUUUCAUUGCAUACAAUAAAAUGACAACCAUAAGGCUCCUGCCAGUUGCCGAUAACUCGGUUACAAAACAUGAUCAUCUCAUACAAUAAAAUUCAGCAUCAUGUCUUGACCAUAUCACAUCACAACAUGCCCUGCAAAAACAAGUUAGACGUCCUCUACUUUGUUGUUGCAAGUUUUACGUGGCUGCUACGGACUUAAGCAAGAACCAAUCUCACCUACGCAUCAAAACCACAAUGAUAGUUUGUCAAAUAGACUCCGUUUUAACCUUCGCAAGGACCGGGCGUAGCCAUAAUUGGUUCAAAUAAAGUUGGAGAGACAGUCGCCCGCAAGCCACCUGUGUGCAAAGCACGUCGGGGGAACCGGUCUCGCGUAAGCGUACGCAUAAGGUUGGUCCGGGUCGUCUCGUCCAACAAUGCCGCCGAACCAAAGUAUGACAUGCUGGUAGGCAGUAUGACUUAUAUCGCCCACAACUCACUUGUGUUCUACUCGUGCAUAUAACAUCAACAUAAAUAACCUAGGCUCGGAUGCCACUGUUGGGUUUCGUAGUAAUUUCAAAAUUUUCCUACGCACACGCAAGAUCAUGUGAUGCAUAGCAACGAGAGGGGAGAGUGCUGUCUACGUACCCACGCAGACCGACUGCGGAAGCAUUGACACAACGUAGAGGAAGUAGUUGUACGUCUUCACGAUCCAACCGAUCAAGCACCGAAACUACGACACCUCCGAGUUCUAGCACACGUUCAGCUCGAUGACGAUCCCCGGACUCUGAUCCAGCAAAGUGUCGGGGAAGAGUUCCGUCAGCACGACGGCGUGGUGACGAUCUUGAUGCACUACAGCAGCAGGGCUUCGCCUAAACUCCGCUACAGUAUUAUCGAGGAAUAUGGUGGCUAGGGGCACCGCACACGGCUAAGGAAUAGAUAACGUGGAUCAACUUGUGUGUUUCUGGGGUGCUUCUACCUCAGUAUAUAAAGGAGCCAAGGGGGAGGGGGCGCCGGCCAGGAGGAGGGCGCAGGAGGAGUCCUUCUCCUUCCGGGAGUAGGAUUCCCCCCCCCCCCCAAUCCUAGUUGGACUAGGAUUCCCCGUGGGGGAAAGAGAGAGAAGGGGGGCCGGCCACCUCUCCUAGUCCUAAUAGGACUAGGGGGAGGGUGGAGGCACGCGGCCACCUUGGGCUGCCCCUUUCUCCUUUCCACUAAAGCCCAUCUAGGCCCAUAUGGUUCCCGGGGGGUUCCGGUAACCUCCCGGUACUCCGGUAAAAUCCCGAUUUCACCCGGAACACUUCCGAUAUCCAAACAUAGGCUUCCAAUAUAUCAAUCUUUACAUCUCGACCAUUUUGAGACUCCUCGUCAUGUCCGUGAUCACAUCCGGGACUCCGAACAACCUUCGGUACAUCAAAAUGCAUAAACUCAUAAUAUAACUGUCAUCGUAACCUUAAGCGUGCGGACCCUACAGGUUCGAGAACAAUGUAGACAUGACCGAGACACAUCUCCGGUUAAUAACCAAUAGCGGGACCUAGAUGCCCAUAUUGGCUCCUACAUGUUCUACGAAGAUCUUUAUCGGUCAGACCGCAUAACAACAUACGUUGUUCCCUUUGUCAUCGGUAUGUUACUUGCCCGAGAUUCGAUCGUCGGUAUCCAAUACCUAGUUCAAUCUCGUUACCGGCAAGUCUCUUUACUCGUUCUGUAAUACAUCAUCUUGCAACUAACUCAUUAGUUGCAAUGCUUGCAAGGCUUAUGUGAUGUGCAUUACCGAGAGGGCCCAGAGAUACCUCUCUGACAAUCGGAGUGACAAAUCCUAAUCUCAAAAUACGCCAACCCAACAUCUACCUUUGGAGACACCUGUAAUGCUCCUUUAUAAUCACCCAGUUACGUUGUGACGUUUGGUAGCACCCAAAGUGUUCCUCCGGCAAACGGGAGUUGCAUAAUCUCAUAGUUAUAGGAACAUGUAUAAGUCAUGAAGAAAGCAAUAGCAACAUACUAAACGAUCGGGUGCUAAGCUAAUGGAAUGGGUCAUGUCAAUCAGAUCAUUCAACUAAUGAUGUGACAUCGUUAAUCAAAUAACAACUUAUUGUUCAUGGUUAGGAAACAUAACCAUCUUUGAUUAACGAGCUAGUCAAGUAGAGGCAUACUAGUGACACUUUGUUUGUCUAUGUAUUCACACAUGUAUUAUGUUUCCGGUUAAUACAAUUCUAGCAUGAAUAAUAAACAUUUAUCAUGAUUAUAAGGAAAUAAAUAAUAACUUUAUUAUUGCCUCUAGGGCAUAUUUCCUUCAACAGCCCCCACUCAUCGAAGAUAGGCAUCUGGCUCACCAGGUCGCCCCUGUUCCGGCAGAGGUACAGCAAGGCCCCUCCCUGCUGGAUGCUGCCAGGGUUGGGGUCCCCAGUCAGGAUCAAGAGCGCUGUCCUCAGCACUUCAGGCGUCAGGUCCUCUUCUUGGAGCCUCAUAUGAUCGUCACACCCGCUGAGGGCCCACAUCCGGCGGGAGUGGCGUUGGAGUGGAGCAAUGCGGCGUAGCAGGAACUCCUUCACCACCUUGGGUGCCGUCACGCCAAGCGCCCUCAAGAACGCCAAGCGGUGCCAGACGAAGACGAGUCGGGGGCUCUCAAGCGUCUCCUGGCCCCAGCCCGAAUUGGGGACGGCAGGCGAAGCUGGCUCCGACAGCAGGGGGCUGGGCACCCCCACAUCCACAAACAGCCACCGCUCGCGGAACCCAGCCGCCGACGGAGGGAGCCUGAAGUCAAUCCCUGAGGCUGCUGUCUUAGACGCGGCAACAAAGCUCGCGCACGUCGAGCAUUGGGUAGGAUCGACAAGGCACAGAGAGAAGAAGUGGCGCAGCAAGGCAACAUAAGGAAGGAUGCCCACCAUUGCCUCGCAAACAAAAGCGAAGACCGAAAGAAGGAUGAUGGGUUCAAGACUCGGAUGCAUCAUAUGGAUCUGAUAGUGGGAAAGCACGACAUUGAAGAAAUCAGAAAAGGGGGGAACCAGACCCGCCCAUAGGGCAUCGACAAAAUACUGGACCUCGGUGGCUAUCCUGCCGAUGGAGAAGUGGGACGCGGGCCAAGCUGUCGUCCUCCCGCAUUCGUUAAAGAUGGUGGCCAGAGCCGAGCUGACCUUGCCCAAGCUCUCGGCGGGAGCCGCCAAUGGCGGCGAGCAAGGCGGAGGCAUGGGUUUCUUCCCUCUUUCCUUCUUCGUCGGAGCCAUGGCGAUGGGAAGGAGGAGGGAAGGUUCGAGAUUAGAUUGGAAUCAGGAGCUGGAGUUCGAGAGGAGGAAGGACAGAGGACGCUCGAGCAACGGAAAGGGGAGCGGCUGUGUACGACUACUAGUCCGCCUAGCAGGGCGCAAAAUAAGGGGGCGUGGGGGAACAGUGCCGCCCACGUCCAAUCAACCGCCACACAGUGCCCAAGGCCGCAGGCUGUUAGGGCCCGCGGCGCUCCGCCCUUGCCCUUCCGCCUCCCUGCAUGGCCAAGUCCGGGCGCGCCUUGGGCCCGGGGGCUACUGUCGGUGUUCUGGGAACGGGGGUCCCCAGACUUGCCUGCCUGCGGCCCGCGGCGUGGCUCGAAGGGGGCCCAGCACAGCCCAUCUUCAUCAACACAAGACCAAGACCCUCGCGAGGGGCCAAGCCUCGCGGGGCGGACGGCGCGGAGCUUCCUCAGGCGUGGCCUCAUCAGGCUGGCUCACGAGGAGGCGGAGAGAUCAAGGCGGGGUACCUCACGAGGUGCCCAUGACGCAAGCCAUGAACACCGAGGGCGCCAGGCGGGCGCCAGCCCGCGCAGUGUCCUCCUUUCCUAUUUGGUGCAAAGGGGGAAAGCGCAGGCGAGAGCAUCAAGCAAAGGCCCCCGUUUCGGUGCAACGAGACCAAGACCAGUCCAAUGGUGGGGAGGAAGUCAUUAUGGAGCCCAAGCUAGCGUCACCACCAGAGCCUUUGGCAGGCGAGGACCAACUUUAGUCAGGAUAAGUGUACCAGAUGUUCCCCUUCAAAAUGGCCAGCUGUUGGCGCCCUUCCCGCUCAAUAUUUGGGAAGAGGCCCAGGGCCUUUGCCUAUAAAUAGGACUAGCCACCUCCAGGGCAGACCCCCGGGCAAUCGGUUAGAAAAGGCAUAGGCAACAGACAGAGAGAGAGGGAAAAAGGCGAUUGAACUCCUCAUAGUGGUUCAUCCCCCCCAGCCAAGAAUAGGCCCUCGCGAGGCUGUUCUUCCUUGUAUUGCUCAUCAUCAUCAGCCCAAGAGGCAAUCCAUUACGCCACAAACUAGAGUAGGGUAUCACACCAUAACGGUGGCCCGAACUAGUAUAAACCUUGCGUCUCUUGUGUUGUUCUUUCCAUAGCUUAGAUCUUAGCGAGGCGGCGGGGUGCAGGUAGGUGGAAGGCGUAAUCUCCACGCGCACCCUAGAGUUCGAACCUCAAGGGUCUGCCGGAACCCGAAAUCCGACAUUUCCGAUAACCAGGCAAUCAUGCCAUAAGGCUGUAACAGACAAAGCGCGCUUAGGGAACUUAUGCUAUAUUACUGACGAAGUGUAAGAAGCACCUUCGAAGAAAAUAGUACCCACACCGAUACCAUUCUUCGGUUGCUCAUUGUUACUAUGAGACUUGUGCAAUAGAUUUUUUGUACUCAUGAGUUCCAUUGUGUGCCGACCAUAAUUGAAAACGAUAAGAGCGCUAGCUUUCGGCUUCACCCAGUCUAAGGUCCGAGCUCGGAUGACCCGACCGUGACAAUCGCAGAGGUGCUCCCUUUACUCCCUAGCCGACCAAUCAGGAAAAUAGGGGUAAACACAGGAGCAAGGCAACCCAGCUUGCGGAACACUUAAGUCAACAUGGUGCAUAUUGUGCCAUAAUACACGAACAAGGAACAAAGCCAUACAAGUAUAGUCAUAUGCAAGACGAAAACCUUCAUAAAGGAAGCCCCCAAGUAAACGGGGUAUUUGAAUUUGUGUGUCACAAACAAAGUUUGGACAAGGAAGUUUUUCACAAACACCUUUUUGCCAAAAAAGUACAAUGCUUGGUCGAACCGAACAAAAUUCAAAAUUGAAAGUCUUUGAGCAUGAAAGAGACUUAGCUGAUUAAUGUGCUCGGUAUUGAUGACGAGGUCUGGAUUAUGGCGGGACGAAUACAUAGACCUCGGCCUGGCUGAGGUCCCAACCCCCAAGCCGGUUUCGGAGUGUCCGAUAAAAGAGCUCGGCUUGACGAAGUGGCGACAUAGCGCAGUUGGCAUGUUGAAGAGCAGCCCCCGGUCCAGCCGAGCUGACGAAGCUGGUCGACUGAUGAUGCCGGAGUCCCCGGAGUAGGUUUGAUGAAGAGAUGGCAAAGCCCCCGGUCCAGCCGAGGUGACGCGGUAGGUCGGUAAGGCGACGACAGAAACCCCGCAUCAGCAUGUCGGUACGCCGAAGUGACAGCGCUGCCCGACCCGAAUCAUUUACCUGUGCAUAGAAAAUAGUGCAAGAUAAAAGUAACAACAAGUAAUGAUAAUAAUAAUAUACUUUUUUAAAAAAAGUUAUUCUACUUAAUUAACUUAAGCGAAGUAACUAAUUAAAUAAAAAUGGCCUGAGGGCCGAGGUCGGUGCGGCGGAGUGGCCGCACGGAGAUGUCGGCAGGGGGACACGAGUCGAGGUGACGCCCGAACUUAGUCGAUACAGGCGGAAUGAGUACGUCGGCUCGCCAUGACAUUGUCUACAUGCAUGAAGUAGCACAAGACAGGUAAAAAUAAUAAAGUAAAAAUAAAAUUUACAGAAUUGUUUAUGUGAAAUAAAUUAUUAAAAGAGAGGUGGCCUGGCGCGAGGCCAUUGUCGACACAGGGCAUCGGCGCAGCGAGGUGACAAAAUCCGGAUUCGCACGGUCGCCCGAAUUACGGAUGCAAUGCGCGCGGGGCCGCGACGGCAUAUCGGAUCGCCCUGAAACGGCGGCCGCAGCGUAGACCUGAUUGCAAAACCUGCAGGACCAAGAGUCGCUGACCAGCAGAAAAUAUUUUUUGAAAUAUUAUUAAUAUGCACAUCGUGAAUAACUAGAAGGAUUGCACCUGAUGAUUUAUCCGACGAUGUCGGAACUGGUGGCAGACAAGAUGAUCAUGGACGAGGGACGUCCAGGCAAGAGUGCUUCAGGACUGCGUCGGGCCAACCAAUAUACGGAACGACCGAUCAGUAUGUCGCCGCCUAGCAGAAUUCCGUUAACUGACCUCGGAUCGCGCUGGCCAGAUUGAUCUCCACAGGGAGUUGCAGCAACAAUUGUUGAUGGCUUGUGUGCCGAGGAGGAUAGAGCUCGGACAAAUUUUUUUCCUUGAGCCGCAUGCGAGCAGAAGAAUCAACAAUCAAUCAACAUAUCUUGUCCACCAUUAACUUUCCGGCAUACAUAAUGCAGUGCAGGACAGAUAUAAAAAAAUUCCUUUGUAUAAUUUAUUUAUUCAAAAUAAAUAAUUUGAGAAAUAUAGUUUGGGCGCCGAGGUCCGCUUGUGACAGUGGUGACGCGACGGUGCGGACGCAGCUCGGUCCGAAUUCGCAGGAUGGCGAUGCUGGUGUGGUGCGCUCCGGACGUGCAGGGCAACAAUACUGACAGGACACAAUGAAGCUGCAAGGAGUUUGGCCUGGAGCGCCGGCGAGAUGCCUGCCAGGUCGGGGCGAUGGAGCGCCAUGGCAUCGCGUUCGAGUCACAGACGAACAGUCCGCCGUAUCAUGGAUAUGAAGACAGCCCGGUUGCGUACAAAGUACCUGACAAGCCAAAAAGCUGACACAGAGCUUUAUGUAGAUUAGAAUUCAAAGUGUGCGUGUACUAAUUAUUUGAUUAAUAGUACGUCUUGGCAGUAGCCAACAGCCUUGAUACUUAUAUAAUUUAAUUUAAAGCAAUGAGACAAAGAGGAUCUCCUGGUGGAUGACGCCGAGUGGGAAUUUCCUCGGCUCCGCGUGCACUGCUUCGCGCGAGUACUUGAGUGCUAUACAUCCUUCUGCCCUAGGCUGCCGCCGCAUGAAGCUCGGUUGUUUUUUCAUUUGUGUUGGCUGUCUGUGGUAGAUCCUCCAGCCCUAGGUUGCCGGUGGCCGCCGCAGAGCCCGGAUUAGAUGUACUAGUUGGCGGCGUUGUUAAGAAUUUCUCCAUUUGCAAAGAGAGUUGUACAAGGCGGCAACAAUGAUUUUGCAAAGUAGAUAAUUUACGUUUGAACAGAUCUAGCUGAAAAAAAUAUCACCUGGUCAUCCCAUCGAUCUGUGACGAUCACCCAGCAGGCUCUCAUUGAAAGCACCAAUGUCGGUUCAAUAUCCGGCGUAUCUCGUAGUAGAGGUCCUAAGCUAGGCGUCUUAGAGCGAUGGUAACAUGGACACGGGGUUUUACCCAGCUUCGGGCUCUCUUGAUGAGAUAAUACCCUACAUGCUGCUUCUGAUUGUAUUCAUAUGGGUGUAGUACAGAGUACACGUAUCUACCACGAGAUUGUAGUAAUGAAUAUGAGAUUGCCUAUUGACUAGCCUGGCCUCGGUUUAUAUAACACACUGGAGGCCUAGGGUAUUAGGAGAGUCCUUGGCUUGGGCGCCAAGUCUUGUGGAAUCCUUCUUGUAUACGGCAUGGGCUGUCCGAAAUGGCCCAAUAGUGAACCGCCAUGGGGGUCCUCGGCCAUGGGAGACGACGUGGUGAGUACCUCCUAGUCCAGGACACCGUCAGGGAGUGGCGGCAUCCCUCCCAGGCCGCUGCCACGGAAGAAGGCUGGGAGGGGAAAGGCGGCGACGCUCCCAGGCCGCUGCCACGGUAGAAGGCCGGGAGGGGAGGGGCGGCGGCACUCCCAGGCCGCUGCCGCGGUAGAAGGCGGUGAGGGGAGGAGCGGCGGCGAUCUGGUGGGGGAUGUGCAAAAUAAGGUGGGUGUUAUCAGAAUAAGGGUCUUAAGGGGUGUUAUCAUNNNNNNNNNNNNNNNNNNNNNNNNNNNNNNNNNNNNNNNNNNNNNNNNNNNNNNNNNNNNNNNNNNNNNNNNNNNNNNNNNNNNNNNNNNNNNNNNNNNNNNNNNNNNNNNNNNNNNNNNNNNNNNNNNNNNNNNNNNNNNNNNNNNNNNNNNNNNNNNNNNNNNNNNNNNNNNNNNNNNNNNNNNNNNNNNNNNNNNNNNNNNNNNNNNNNNNNNNNNNNNNNNNNNNNNNNNNNNNNNNNNNNNNNNNNNNNNNNNNNNNNNNNNNNNNNNNNNNNNNNNNNNNNNNNNNNNNNNNNNNNNNNNNNNNNNNNNNNNNNNNNNNNNNNNNNNNNNNNNNNNNNNNNNNNNNNNNNNNNNNNNNNNNNNNNNNNNNNNNNNNNNNNNNNNNNNNNNNNNNNNNNNNNNNNNNAUGAUCCGUUCUACGAGAAAUUCUAUUUAUAUAUAUGCAUAACGUGUACAAUAUGUAGUAGCGUAAAAUAUGUUUGAAAUCAAAAAUAAUUAAAUGGAAAACACAAAAUUAAAGGAAAAAAUAAACCAUAAACCCCUAAACCUUUUGGUCCCGGUUGGUGUCACCAACCGGGACUAAAGGACCCCCAGCCCCAGAGCGGACUCGUGCCACGUGGUACCUUUUGGUCCCGGUUCAUGUCAUGAACCAGGACUAAAGGACCCCUGGCCCCCAGCGCGGACUCGUGUCACGUGGUGGGCCUUUGGUCCCGGGUCGUGACGAACCGGCACUAAAGGGUGGGGGGCCUUGAGUCCCCACCCUUUACUGCCGGCUGAUGAACCGGGACUAUAGGCUCUUACCAACCGGUAUUUGCCUCUCAUGUAGGUUCAUGUUAAUUUUAUACAGUAAAGGGGAAUUCCUUAGAUUUUGUGGUCUCCAUUUUCUUUGUAAAAAGUGAUCAAACUAGACAAGGAAAGCCAACUGCUAUAAGGGCAGUCAAAAACUUACACAACCAAGUUUCGAGAAAAUGCGGAGCAAUCCUAGCUGAAUAGUAUGGAACCAAAUCAAUGCUUGCAGUCUAGUGAUACGGAUGUGGUAGAUGAUUACAUAUAACUAAAACAUGGAACAAAAGGGAAAGAGUUCUCUAAAGAAGACACAUACCUCUUUCAUACUUCUUUCCACCCCACUCCCAUCAAUAUCUCCUCUUACAUCCAAACAUUGCACAAUCCACCUUGACUGGUGCUCUACAUGUUCAACAUUUUAUCAUUGUUAAUUAACCCAUAAAAAAUAUGAUGACACGAGGCAAUAGUUUCGCCCAUAACAAAAUUGUGAUCAUACUAUCAUCUUAACGGCUGACCGGGCAGCUAUUAGAUCUAAAAAUGCAAUAGAAAUUUAGAAUCGCAUGUCACUUGAGGAAACACGGUUUCUCUUCAAGUCAGUAGUCAGAAUUGGUGAUAUAUAUUUACUUAAAUUGUUGGUGUUUGUUAGAUCAUGAAAUGAUGUCGGUAUCCCAUUACGCUGAGAGGAUGUCAUAUGCAGCUGUGAAUCAACACCGGACACAAAGCAUCACCUUUCAAAUACAUUAAUAAAUAAUAAUAAAAUUCCAAGACGCUUUAGAAUUUUUAUUCAUCAUCCUACACUAUUCUUGUCCUAUAUUGGUAUCAGUUUAUUACGAUAACUACAGAAGCCCAAAGAAAAAUGCAGUAUAUUCAACCCAGUUUGCGUACAUCAAUUAGUAGAGACAUAUGAUGUGAUGUUGCAGUUUGCAUUAAUAAAAAGGCGGCAUUCAUUAAUACCAAAAGCAUUUGGUGAAAGUACAGUUUACUUGCAGAACAGGAUCAAACGUACAAAACAGCAGCAGGAGUUCAAUUCAAACAUAUAUGCAGACAUGCGUACAGUAUGUACUAAAUAACAAAAUUAGGCCCUUGCAAAGCUGAGAUGUCAAUACGUGCGAGAACUACACCACACCAACCCGAGUACUGUAGAAAACAUUUGCUAAGUGCUCCCACAAAUCGAGCACAGAUCAUAACUUAUAAUUAAAAGAUAUAUAUGUGCGUGCUCUCAGUGGGCACCUCGCUGCUAUGGUCAGUUACUUGAGAUUGUGGAAGCCCGCGCCGGCCCGAAUGGAAAUCUUGCUCGGCGUAUAGCUCUCGUCCAGCUUGAAACGCAUGUAGAGUGCAACAAGCGGGCCCCAACAAAAAAUUUAGAACCGAAAAAGAAUCAUGUAUCUAAUGUGGAUGGCGAGUCGUCGACCGCCUGAUCUUUCACGGUACUAGCAGCAGGAACAAGAAAUUCCGGUCGAGCAAAGAUGCAAGACCGUAAGAUCAGAAACUUGUGUCGAGUAGAUUGGAUCGACUCCACACGCAACAGCAACAAAAUCCCUUCGGAUCAGCAACAAAGAUAUUUGGUGUCCCCCGACAUGGGACGUUUUCUGUAGUUUUAUUGAACUCACGACUAAAACAAAAAUCUGACCUGAUACAUCGGCCGUAGCCAGCCUUUUAUAUAGGCGUCACACAGCCAAACCGACCAACGAGAGGAACUAAAACGACACGGACUCUAUAUCAACUAAUCUCUGUUAUACGAAUAGGAAUCUCUCUCCUAACUACUAAAUAAUACUUUCCUAAUAAAAUAAUACGGCUACGCUGAUCAUGUACAUCUAACCCAACUUAACUAGGACUCUUAGCAAAGUGGAACCCCAGUUGGAAUUUCUCCAGCCAGGUUACAACUACACGGUGGUGUUCUGAAGUUUGGCUUGAUGUCUUCCUUCCAUGAUUCAGCUGAGUGAAUUUGAAUACCAACAGAGCCAAUAUAAAGUAUACACGAAGUCUGUAUAGAUGCAUGCGUUGGAGUUUUCAAUUCCUUUGCACUAGUACUAUUGUGUUUCUCCAUAUCUUGAACAUAUGGCACGACCCUGGACAUCUCCAUGGUGUUUCUCUCUUUUCUAGUAGCUAUAACACCAAUGACCACAUCAUCCCCUCCUCCUUUAAGAAAAACCGUCCUUGAUUUUAAAGUAUUCUUCUCAAUUUUCUUCUGCAACGAAACAGUAGCAUCAACCUGGAUUGUGCUAUCAAACAUUGGCUGCAACACACGCCGCUUUCCGGCCUCCCAAAAAGAAUAAGUGUUGGACCUCCCCUCAUGUGUGGCACGUCGAUCAUAUUGCCAAGGCCUCCCCAACAACAAGUGGCAUGCAUUUGUUGGCAAAACAUCACAUAUCACCGUAUCAAUAUAAUCGCCCACAGAAAAAUGAAGACGCACCUUGUGAGUAACUUUCAACUUGCCCGAUUGAUAUAUCCAUUCGACACAGUGUGGUUGUGGGUGCUUCCAAGUAGGCAAUGCUAAGGCAUCCACCAAGUCCUUGCUGACCGCAUUGGUGUAGCUUCCUCCAUCUAUGAUCAACUUACAAUUGGUGUUUUUGAUUUGGCAUUGAGUUUGAAAAAUAUUCCAACGUUGCCCUUUAUCCUCAAUGCGAUCCUCUUGCACUCGCUGCACCAUUAGUGAAGGAUAUGACUCAGCAGCUUCAAAAUUCGCAACCACAUUGUCAGCAUCCCUAGAUUUUUCACUAGAAGUGUCAGAAACUGCCUCUUCAUCACUAGAGGAUGCAUAGCCAUCUCUCGUGAGUAACACUCUUUUGUCAUUAGGACAUUCACGCUUCAUAUGUCCCCUUCCUCCACACUUGAAACACUCUAUGUCACUAGUGCAUCCGGUCGACUGUGCACUAGAAUCAACCAUCGACAGUCCUGAUUUUGAAGCAUCCUUUUGCACAGAACCAUGAGAGCGAUUUGAUGAUGUCGCCCUGGAGCUAGGACCGACAUCCUCAUUCUUAUGCUGUGAGCGUCGCCAUGUGUUCAAAGUGGUACCGGGAAUUGUGUUGACUUGGCGUCGCUUAAUCUGUUGUUCCGCACACACAGCUUGGUGCACAAGAUCUUGUAUGUUGUAGUAGACCACCAUCUCAACACGAUCUUGCACCUCGAUAUUCAGCCCAUUAAAGAAACGUGCCAUGGUCGCCUCUGGAUCCUCCGUUGUCCCUGUACGUAUCAUAAGCAAUUCCAUCUCCUUGCAAUAUUCAUCAACACUCAUAUUACCUUGAGAGAGCCGCUGCAACUUGUUGUACAUAUCUCUUUUAUAGUGUUCAGGAACAAAACGACGCCUCAUGAAUUCUUUCAUACCUCGCCAAGUCGUCGGGCGAUGUCUUGAACGACAAAUUUGAUUCCACCAAAUUAGCGUGUAACCGGUGAACUCAAUUCCAGCAAGUUGAAUUUUCUUCUCCUUGCUAUAAUGAUGGGCAUCAAAUAUCUGAUCAACACGCAUCUCCCACUCCAAAUAGCCUUCUGGUUCGCACUUGCCGGAGAACGAAGGGAUUGAAAUUUUUAUGCGCCCAACUCCAUCAUCCAAAGGCACACGCACAGCUUGACCAACUCGGUCAUGCACUCCACCAUGAACGGAAGUUUCAAGACGAGGCUCAUAGUGUCGUGGUCGUGGCGCGUAUCCCGCCUGGUUAGCGCCAUCAUCGAAACCAUCCUCUCCAGCAUGAGCGUGUGCCGCCAAACGGCGAUCAUGCACGCCGGCAUGUCCGUCGUGAGCUGGUGGUGCAUAAUGCAGUGGAGCAGCCGGAGCAGUCUGUGAUGGUGCAGAAUUCGUUGCCGGCAUAUUGAUGAUGUCUGCCAAACCAUCGAAUCGAGUGAUCAGGACAUCUAUCCUUUUGCCGAGCGCAUCAUGACAUUGCUUGAUGUAGUUGCAUGUGUGGUCAAACCCAUCCCGAAUAUUUUGUGGAAUACCAUCCGCAUACACCGGACGUACUAUUUCCUUAGAAUCAGCAGCAACCUCAUCACCCUUGUUGACCGAGGUUGACAUCUUGAUCAACACAGUACCGUGAACAAUCUUAGCUCUGAAUACCACUUGAUGUGGACUCGACUAGAUGGCGAGUCGUCGACGGCCUGAUCUUUCACGGUACUAGCAGCAGGAACAAGAAAUUCCGGUCGAGCAAAGAUGAAAGACCGUAAGAUCAGAAACUUGUGUCGAGUAGAUUGGAUCGACUCCACACGCAGCAGCAACAAAAUCCCUUCAGAUCAGCAACAAAGAUAUUUGGUGUCCCCAGACAUGGGACGUUUUCUGUAGUUUUAUUGUACUCGCGACUAAAACAAAAAUCUGACCUGAUACAUGGGCCGUAGCCAGCCUUUUAUAUAGGCCUCACACGGCGAAACCGACCGACGAGAGAAACUAAAACGACACGGACUCUAUAUCAACUAAUUUCUGUUAUACGUAUAGAAAUCUCUCUCCUAACCAUACUAAAUAAUACUUUCCUAAUAAAAUAAUACGGCUACGCUGAUCACGUACAUCUAACCCAACUUAACUAGGACUCUUAGCAAAGUGGAACCCCAGUUGGAAUUUCUCCAGCCAGGUUACAACUACACGGUGGUGUUCUGAAGUUUGGCUUGAUGUCUUCCUUCCAUGAUUCAGCUGAGUGAAUUUGAAUACCAACAGAGCCAAUAUAAAGUAUACACGAAGUCUGUGUAGAUGCAUGCGUUGGAGCUUUCAAUUCCUUUGCACUGGUGCUAUUGUGUUUCUCCGUAUCUUGAACAUAUGGCACGACCCUGGACAUCUCCAUGGUGUUUCUCUCUUUUCUAGUAGCUAUAACACCAAUGACCACAUCAGUAUCUAGAAGAUUAGAUCCGUGUAUGCUAUGGUUGUCCUCAGCUGGCUCUUCUGGGACCACUUCGCAUGCCAUGCACAUAUAUACAUGCGGCAUGAGGAAAUCAAGAUCCAUUGUAAGUCUAAAAACAUGCCCAGAUUCAACUGAAGGUUACAUAUUAACCGAAACAAACGUGAUGUUAGAACUCAGGAAUCUCUCUCUCUCUCUCUCUCUCUCUCUCUUGUUCUCUCUCUCUUGCUCUCUCUCUCUCUCUCGCUCUGUCACUACUCCAUGGAACAAGCGCCACUGUGUACGAUUAAAUGCGAUCAGUCUACUUGCAAAUCGGUCAGAGUCACCUAUGUAUUCAAGUAGGAGUAUUUAGCAAAUAUUAUUCGAUACGACUUGCUUCUAUAAACUUUUUUUUGGCACACAAAGCGGCAGAAUUAACCAUUCAGCUCAGUAGCAGUAUACAACAUGGAUUACAAAGCCCUGAAAAUCAAAAUUAGAGAGGAGAGAUACUACAGGGCGAGCAAUAUUCCUAUGAGCCGAAGCAUAACAGCAUAUAUCAGGCUCUUCAUGAGGUCUAAGAACCGGCUAAGCUACAUUGUGUGCAAUACCAUUGAUAUCUCUAGAAAUAUGGAACACCUGGGAAUGAAGAUCAGAUGAGAAGAAGAAAAAAAUCAGCCAACAUCCUCCUAAUGGCCCAAGGAACAGAAGCAUCAGUAGUCUUUCUAGUUGCUGCAAACGACGCCAAAAAAGACAGUCUGUGAGGAAAAGAGGCUGGGAAAUGUUGAGUCGGUUAGCCAGUUGAGCCGGAAAAUCCUAUUUGCCGCUCGCUGCGGCGAAUUGUCGAGUGAUCGCACAGAGCAGCGUAGCGAGCGACAGACAUGUGCCGGCCCACUUAUACGUAGUGCGUCCAACCGGUUUUGGGAACCUUCUAGAAGGUUCCAUGAACCGGGUUUUUUACUGUAUCCUUUUUUUCUUGUUCUUUUUCGGCUUUCUAUUGUUUUUUUAUUUCUCUUUUUUUGUUUCUGUUUCUUUUUCAUUUUUUCAUUUUUUUCAUUUUUUACAUUUUUUGUUUCUUUUUCUUUUUCAGAACAUGUUCGCAGUUUUACAAAAUAUUUAGGAUUUUAUUUUUCAUUUCUUGUUUCUUUCCUUCUCUUUUUUUCAUAAAAAACAAAAAAAAGUAAAUUUUGUUUGUGUUUCCAAAAAAUGUUCAGUUUCUGAAAAAAAAGUUCUCAAAAUUCAAAAAUUGUUCUCGUUACACAAAAAGGUUAAAACUUUCAUAAUUCAGAAUAUGUACCAGAUUUCAUUUUUUCACAUAUUCAAAAAAAAAUUGCGCUUCCAAAUUUGUUCUUCAUUUUUCAAAAUUGUUCUCCGUUUCAAAAUAUGUUCUCAAGAUUCCAAAAAUGUUUGUGCCUUCAAAAAUUAUUCGUGCUUCCAAAUUUGUUCAGUAUUUUUCAAAAUUGUUAUCUAUUUGAAAAUUUGUUCUCAAGAUUCAAAAAAUGUUCAUGCUUCAAAAUUUGUUCUCAAGAUUCAAAAACCGUCGUGCUUUAAUAAAUUGUUCACAAAUUCCAAAAUGUUCAUGUUUUCGAAAAAUGUUUGGGUAAUUCAAAAUUUGUUCGUUUUCAUAAAAUAUGUUCACAUAUUCGAAAAAUGUUCAUGUUGUAAAAAUUUCACAAAUUCAAAAAAUUGUUCUCAGUAUUUAGAAAUUUAGUUCUCAAAUUGGAAAAGUGUUGAACGUUCGAAAAAUGUUCAGGAAUUUCAUAAAAUGUUCACAGUUUACAAAUUAGGUUAUAAAUUUUAAAAAUAAUCAAAAAUUUUAAAAAAUGUUCGCGGUUUCACUUUUUUGUUUGGAAUUACAUAAAAUAUUUCAUUUUCAUAUUUUUUUUUCAAUAUUCAAAAAAUGUUCAAGGUUUCAAAUUUUUGUUCGGACUACAAAAUUUAUCCACAUUUUUUCACAAAACUUUUUCUAUGUCCGUGUUACUUUUUUUUAUCUUUUCUUUUUAAUUAUCUUUCAGUUUUCCUUUCCACAAUUAUUUCUUUUGUUAACAAUUUUUAUGGGAUUUGAAAAUGUUCGUAUUUCUUUAAAUUUGUUCAUUUUUCCAGAUUUUGGUCCGGUUUUAAAAUUAUCAUCAGAAAUUCCAAAAAAGAUUAGUACUUCAAAAUUUGUUCAGUUCUUUUCAAAAAGUGUUCGAAAAUACAAAAAAGAUUAAAUUUUGAAAAUGUUUGCAUUUUUUAAUUGUGUACACAAAUCCAAGAAAUGUUUGCGGAUUUCAAAAUAUGAUCUUGUUUUCAAAACUGUUCACAAAUGGAAAAAUGUUCAUGUUUCCAAAUUUGUUCGCAUAUCAAAACAUGUUCUCUUAAUUAUAUAAAAAAAUCGAAAAUUGUUCUCGUCUUUCAAAAAAUGUUCAUUUUUUAGAAUAAUGUGCGCAUUUUUUCGAAAGUGUUCCUGUUUUCCAAAAAUUUCACAAACCCAAAUUUUUUAAAGUUUUCAUAUUUUUACCGCAAAUUAAAAAAUGCUUGGGAGAAUUUUGUAAGAUAUUUGCGUUAAAUAUUCAUAAUUUCGGAAAAAUUAGAGUUUUUCAAUUUUUGGUCCUGUUUUUAAAAAAUGUUCGCAUUUUGAAAAAGUUGUUCGUGGUUUCAAAAAAUGUUCUUGUUUUCUAUUUGUUCCUGUGUUUACAAAAAAAUGUUUGAGAUUACCAAACAUAGUCUGUGAGCACAUUUUGAAAAUGUUUGUUUUCGUAAGUAUAUUUGCUUUUGUGAAAAAGAAAAGAGAGAAUUCCUUAUUUGGACCUUUGUUAAAUUUUGCUUUCUUUUUUGGCCCAAAAAACAUUUUUCUUCCUUUUUUGACACUCAAAGUUCAUUUUGUUCCCUAUGUGACACAUCCAUCCAUUUUUUCAUCCAAGGGUGUUAAAUGGCAUGUAGAAAGACAAUUUUGCCCCUGAUGAUAUUAUGAACAGAAAAGAGGAAAAGAAGGGGUGUGAACGACCAAAAAAAUAUAUGAGGCGGAAUCUACACUCCUGCCUCUUUUCCUCCUCACCGCGGCUCGGGCGCUAAGCCGAGUGUUUUCUGGCCGUAUGAAGUGUGCACAUAGGUAGAUGUACGAAAGCUAACUUCCUAAGCAGACAGGCAUGCACCUUGAUUGAUUCUGGAGCACACGUAAAACUAGCUAGCUUGGCACUAGCCAAUGACACGCACAUCAGGGCAGCUAGUAAGGGCAAAGCCGAUGGGUUGCUAGAUGGACAAUGGCAUGAGCGUGUGUAGCAAUUUAAUCGUGUAUAUAUGGGUAGUGACUCGAUUCAUGUAAGUAGUUUAGAUAAUUAUUUGGACUCGAUGGACACAUUUUUCGGAACGAGUCAAUGUGCUCUUGGCUUCUUGCAAAUUGCAAUUAACGUAAUGGCAUGAGCGUGUGCAGCAAUUGAGGCACGAACACAGCUCAGCCACAUCACCUGUUGAUAUGUCACGGUCUAAUCUAUCGCCUGUAAUAUUAAUCUCUACAAAUUUAUAUGCUACAGUAGAGCAUGAAUGGGUUGCCAUUGUUCCACUCAUCAUAUUAUUUAUUUAUCCCCUGCAAAAAAAAGAUUCAUCGUAUAAUAAUGUUUUUUAUUUAACCACGACAAAAUAUAUCACAUUACCUCUGCGUUUGCUCAUAAAUAAUCUGGUCACAUACUAUACCUAGGGGUACAACGGUCUUCUUAGGUCAGACUUAACACCGUUACUAGACAAAACUAAUGGAAGUGUCACAUAGGCACAAAAUGAAGUUUGAGUGUCAAAAAAGGAAGAACAAAAAAUUUAAGGCCAAAAAGGAAAGCAGAUUUUAAGAAAGAGCCAAAUAAAAAAUUCUUUCAAAAGAAAACCAUGUUCGAUAUUUUUAAAAAAGUUUAUUUUUUCCGCAUAAUCUCAUAGUUAUAAGAACAUGUAUAAGUCAUGAAGAAAGCAAUAGCAACAUACUAAACGAUCGGGUGCUAAGCUAAUGGAAUGGGUCAUGUCAAUCAGAUCAUUCAACUAAUGAUGUGACCUCGUUAAUCAAAUAACAACUCAGUGUUCAUGGUUAGGAAACAUAACCAUCUUUGAUUAACGAGCUAGUCAAGUAGAGGCAUACUAGUGACACUUUGUUUGUCUAUGUAUUCACACAUGUAUUAUGUUUCCGGUUAAUACAAUUCUAGCAUGAAUAAUAUACAUUUAUCAUGAUUAUAAGGAAAUAAAUAAUAACUUUAUUAUUGCCUCUAGGGCAUAUUUCCUUCAACAGCCCCCACUCAUCGAAGAUAGGCAUCUGGCUCACCAGGUCGCCCCUGUUCCGGUAGAGGUACAGCAAGGCCCCUCCCUGCUGGAUGCUGCCAGGGUUGGGGUCCCCAGUCAGGAUCAAGAGCGCUGUCCUCAGCACUUCAGGCGUCAGGUCCUCUUCUUGGAGCCUCAUACGAUCGUCACGCCCACUGAGGGCCCACAUCCGGCGGGAGUGGCGUUGGAGUGGAGCAAUGCGGCGUAGCAGCAACUCCUUCACCACCUUGGGUGCCGUCACGCCAAGCGCCCUCAAGAACGCCAAGCGGUGCCAGACGAAGACGAGCCGGGGGCUCUCAAGCGUCUCCUGGCCCCAGCCCGAAUUGGGGACGGCAGGCGAAGCUGGCUCCGACAGCAGGGGGCUGGGCACCCCACAUCCACAAACAGCCACCGCUCGCGGAACCCAGCCGCGGACGGAGGGAGCCUGAAGUCAAUCCCUGAGGCCGCUGUCUUAGACGCGGCAUCAAAGCUCGCGCACGCCGAGCAUUGGGUAGGAUCGACAAGGCACAGAGAGAAGAAGUGGCGCAGCAAGGCAACCGAAGGAAGGAUGCCCACCAUUGCCUCGCAAACAAAGGCGAAGACCGAAAGAAGGAUGAUGGAUUCAGGACUCAGAUGCAUCAUAUGGAUCUGAUAGUGGGAAAGCACGGCAUUGAAGAAAUCAGAAAAGGGGGGAACCAGACCCGCCCACAGGGCAUCGACAAAAUACUGGACCUCGGUGGCUAUCCUGCCGAUGGAGAAGUGGGACGCGGGCCAAGCUGUCGUCCUCCCGCAUUCGUUAAAGAUGGUGGCCAGAGCCGAGCUGACCUUGCCCAAGCUCUCGGCGGGAGCAGCCAAUGGCGGCGAGCAAGGCGGAGGCAUGGGUUUCUUCCCUCUUUCCUUCUUCGUCGGAGCCAUGGCGAUGGGAAGGAGGGGGAAGGUUCGAGAUUGGAUUGGAAGCAGGAGCUGGAGUUCGAGAGGAGGAAGGACAGAGGACGCUCGAGCAACGGAAAGGGGAGCGGCUGUGUACGAUUACUAGUCCGCCUAGCAGGGCGCAAAAUAAGGGGGCGUGGGGGAACAGUGCCACCCACGUCCAAUCAACCGCCACGUGGUGCCCAAGGCCGCAGGCUGUUAGGGCCCGCGGCGCUCCGCCCUUGCCAUUCCGCCUCUCUGCACAGCCAAGUCCGGGCGCGCCUUGGGCCUGGGGUCUAUUGUCGGCGUUCUGGGAACGGGGGUCCCCAGACUUGCCUGCCUGUGGCCCGCGGCGUGGCUCGAAGGGGGCCAGCACAGCCCAUCUUCAUCAACACAAGACCCAAGACCCUCGCGAGGGGCCAAGCCUCGCGGGGCGGACGGCGCGGAGCUUCCUCAGGCGUGGCCUCAUCAGGCUGGCUCACGAGGAGGCAGAGAGAUCAAGGUGGGGUACCUCACGAGGUGCCCAUGACGCAAGCCAUGACGAUCGAGGGCGCCAGGCGGGCGCCAGCCCGCGCAGUGUCCUCCUUUCCUCUUUGGUGCAAAGGGGGCAAGCGCAGGCGAGAGCAUCAAGCAAAGGCCCCCGUUUCGGUGGAACGAGACCAAGACCAGUCCAAUGGUGGGGAGGAAGUCAUUGUGGAGCCCAAGCUAGCGUCACCACCAGAGCCUUUGGCAGGCGAGGACCAACUUUAGUCAGGAUAAGUGUACCAGAUGUUCCCCUUCAAAAUGGCCAGCUGUUGGCGCCCUUCCCGCUUAAUAUUUAGGAAGAGGCCCAGGGACUUUGCCUAUAAAUAGGACUAGCCACCUCCAGGGCAGACCCCGGGGCAAUCGGUUAGAAAAGGCAUAGGCAACAGACAGAGAGAGAGGGAAAAGGGCGAUUGAACUCCUCAUAGUGGUUCAUCCCCCCCCAGCCAAGAACAGACCCUUGCGAGGCUGUUCUUCCUUGUAUUGCUCAUCAUCAUCAGCCCAAGAGGCAAUCCAUCACGCCACAAACUAGAGUAGGGUAUUACACCAUAACGGUGGCCCGAACUAGUGUAAACCUUGCGUCUCUUGUGUUGUUCUUUCCAUAGCUUAGAUCUUAGCGAGGCGGCAGGGUGCAGGUAGGUGGAAGGCGUAAUCUCCGCGCGCACCCCAGAGUUCGAACCUCAAGGGUCUGCCGGAACCCGAAAUCUGACAUUUUCGAUAACCAGGCAAUCAUGCCAUAAGGCUGUAACAGACAAAGCGCGCUUAGGGAACUUAUGCUAUAUUACUGACGAAGUGUAAGAAGCACCUUCGAAGAAAAUAGUACCCACACUGAUACCAUUCUUCGGUUGCUCACUGUUACUAUGAGACUUGUGCAAUAGAUUUUUUGUACUCAUGAGUUCCAUUGUGUGCCGACCAUAAUUGAAAACGAUAAGAGCGCUAGCUUUCGGCUUCACCCAGUCUAAGGUCCGAGCUCGGAUGACCCGAUCGUGACAAUCGCAGAGGUGCUCCCUUUACUCCCUAGCUGACCAAUCGAGAAAAUAGGGGUAAACACAGGAGCAAGGCAACCCAGCUUGCGGAACAUUUAAGUCAACAUGGUGCAUAUUGUGCCAUAAUACACGAACAAGGAACGAAGCCAUACAAGUAUAAUCAUAUGCAAGGGGAAAACCUUCAUAAAGGAAGCCCCCAAGUAAACGGGGUAUUUGAAUUUGUGUGUCACAAACAAAGUUUGGACAAGGAAGUUUUUCACAAACAGCUUUUUGCCAAAAAAGUACAAUGCUUGGUCGAACCGGACAAAAUUCAAAACUGAAAGUCUUUGAGUAUGAAAGCGACUUAGCUGAUUAAUGUGCUCGGUAUUGAUGACGAGGUCCGGAUUAUGGCGGGACGAAUACAUAGACCUCGGCCUGGCCGAGGUCCCAACCCCUAAGCCGGUUUCGGAGUGUCCGAUAAAAGAGCUCGGCUUGACGAAGUGGCGAAGCGCGGUUGGCAUGUUGAGGAGCAGCCCUCGGUCCAGCCGAGCUGACGAAGCUGGUCGACUGAUGAUGCCGGAGUCCCCGGAGUAGGUUUGAUGAAGAGAUGGCAAAGCCCCCGGUCCAGCCGAGGUGACGCGGUAGGUCGGUAAGGCGACGACAGAAACCCCGCAUCAGCAUGUCGGUACGCCGAAGUGACAGCGCUGCCCGACCCGAAUCAUUUACCUGUGCACAAAAAAUAGUGCAAGACAAAAGUAACAACAAGUAAUGAUUAUAAAUAAUAUACUUUUUAAAAAAAGUUAUUCUACUUAAUUAACUUAAGCGAAGUAAAUAAUUAAAUAAAAAUGGCCUGAGCGCCGAGGUCGGCGCGGCGGAGUGGCCGCACGGAGAUGUCGGCAGGGGGACGCGAGUCGAGGUGACGCCCGAACUUAGUCGAUACAGGCGGAAUGAGUACGUCGGCUCGCCAUGACAUUGUCUACAUGCAUGAAGUAGCACAAGACAGGUAAAAAUAAUAAAGUAAAAAUAAAAUUUACAGAAUUGUUUAUGUGAAAUAAAUUAUUAAAAGAGAGGUGGCCUGGCGCGAGGCCAUUGUCGACACAGGGCAUUGCGCAGCGAGGUGACAAAAUCCGGAUUCACACGGUCGCCCGAUUUACGGAUGCAAUGCGCGCGGGGCCGCGACGGCAUAUCGGAUCGCCCUGAAAUGGCGGCCGCAGCGUAGACCUGAUUGCAAAACCUGCAGGACCAAGAGUCGCUGACCAGCAGAAAAUAUUUUUUGAAAUAUUAUUAAUAUGCACAUCGCGAAUAACUAGAAGGAUUGCACCUGAUGAUUUAUCCGACGAUGUCGAAACUGGUGGCAGACAAGAUGAUCAUGAACGAGGGACGUCCACGCAAGAGUGCUUCAGGACUGCGUCGGGCCAACCAAUAUACAGAACGGCCGAUCAGUAUGUCGCCGCCUAGCAGAAUUCCGUUAACUGACCUCGGAUCGCGCUGGCCGGAUUGAUCUCCACAGGGAGUUGCAGCAACAAUUGUUGAUGGCUUGUGUGCUGAGGAGGAUAGAGCUCGGACAGAAUUUUUUCCUUGAGCCGCGUGCGAGCAGAAGAAUCAACAAUCAAUCAACAUAUCUUGUCCACCAUUAACUUUCCUGCAUACAUAAUGCAGUGCAGGACAGAUAUAAAAAAAUUCCUUUGUAUAAUUUAUUUAUUCAAAAUAAAUAAUUUGAGAAAUAUAGUUUGGGCGCCGAGGUCCGCUUGUGACAGUGGUGACGCGACGGUGCGAACGCAGCUCGGUCCGAAUUCGCAGGAUGGCGAUGCUGGUGUGGUGCGCUCCGGACGUGCAGGGCAACAAUACUGACAGGACACAAUGAAGCUGCAAGGAGUUUGGCCUGGAGCGCCGGCGAGAUGCCUGCCAGGUCGGGGCGAUGGAGCGCCAUGGCAUCGCGUCCGAGUCACAGACGAACAGUCCGCCGUAUCAUGGAUAUGAAGACAGCCCGGUUGCGUACAAAGUACCUGACAAGCCAAAAAGCUGACACAGAGCUUUAUGUAGAUUAGAAUUCAAAGUGUGCGUGUACUAAUUAUUUGAUUAAUAGUACGUCUUGGCAGUAGCCAACAGCCUUGAUACUUAUAUAAUUUAAUUUAAAGCAAUGAUACAAAGAGGAUCUCCUGGUGGAUGACGCCGAGUGGGAAUCUCCUCGGCUCCGCGUGCACUGCUUCGCGCGAGUACUUGAGUGCUAUACAUCCUUCUGCCCUAGGCUGCCGCCGCAUGAAGCUCAGUUGUUUUUUUAUUUUGUGUUGGCUGUCUGUAGUAGAUCCUCCAGCCCUAGGUUGCCGGUGGCCACCGCACAGCCCGGAUUAGAUGUACUAGUUGGCGGCGCUGUUAAGAAUUUCUCCAUUUGCAAAGAGAGUUGUACAACGCGGCAACAACGAUUUUGCAAAGUAGAUAAUUUACAUUUGAAUAGAUCUAGCUGAAAAAAUAUCACCUGGUCAUCCCAUCGAUCUGUGACGAUCACCCAGCAGGCUCUCAUUGAAAGCACCAAUAUCGGUUCAAGAUCCGGCGUAUCUCGUAGUAGAGGUCCUAAGCUAGGCGUCUUAGAGCGAUGGUAACAUGGACACGGGGUUUGCUUCGGGCUCUCUUGAUGAGAUAAUACCCUACAUGCUGCUUUUGAUUGUAUUCAUAUGGGUGUAGUACAGAGUACACAUAUCUACCACGAGAUUGUAGUAAUGAAUAUGAGAUUGCCUAUUGACUAGCCUGGCCUCGGUUUAUAUAACACACCGGAGGCCUAGGGUACUAGGAGAGUCCUUGGCUUGGGCGCCAAGUCUUGUGGAAUCCUUCUUGUAUACGGCAUGGGCUGUCCGAAAUGGCCCAAUAGUGAACCGCCAUGGGGGUCCUCGGCCAUGGGAGACGACGUGGUGAGUACCUCCUAGUCCAGGACACCGUCAGGGAGUGGCGGCAUCCCUCCCAGGCCGCUGCCACGGAAGAAGGCUGGGAGGGGAAAGGCAGCGACGCUCCCAGGCCGCUGCCACGGUAGAAGGCCGGGAGGGGAGGGGCGGUGGCACUCCCAGGCCGCUGCCGCGGUAGAAGGCGGUGAGGGGAGGAGCGGCGGCGAUCUGGUGGGGGAUGUGCAAAAUAAGGUGGGUGUUAUCAGAAUAAGGGUCUUAAGGGGUGUUAUCAUAAUAUAUAUAUAUAUAUAUAUAUAUAUAUAUAUAUAUAUAUGAUCCGUUCUACGAAAAAUUCUAUUUAUAUAUAUGCAUAACAUGUACAAUAUGUAGUAGCGUAAAAUAUGUUUGAAAUCAAAAAUAAUUAAAUGGAAAACACAAAAUUAAAGGAAAAAAUAAACCAUAAACCCAUAAACCUUUUGGUCCCGGUUGGUGUCACCAACCGGGACUAAAGGACCCCAGCCCCCGGCGCGAACUCGUGCCACGUGGUACCUUUUGGUCCCGGUUCAUGUCAUGAACCAGGACUAAAGGACCCCCGGCCCCCAGCGCGGACUCGUGUCACGUGGUGGGCCUUUGGUCCCGGGUCGUGACGAACCGGCACUAAAGGGUGGGGGCCUUGAGUCCCCACCCUUUACUGUCGGUUGAUGAACCGGGACUAAAGGCUCUUACCAACCGGUAUUUGCCUCUCAUGUAGGUUCAUGUUAAUUUUAUACAGUAAAGGGGAAUUCCUUAGAUUUUGUGGUCUCCAUUUUCUUUGUAAAAAGUGAUCAAACUAGACAAGGAAAGCCAACUGCUAUAAGGGCAGUCAAAAACUUACACAACCAAGUUUCGAGAAAAUGCGGAGCAAUCCUAGCUGAAUAGUAUGGAACCAAAUCAAAGCUUGCAGUCUAGUGAUACGGAUGUGGUAGAUGAUUACAUAUAACUAAAACAUGGAACAAAAGGGAAAGAGUUCUCUAAAGAAGACACAUACCUCUUUCAUACUUCUUUCCACCCCACUCCCAUCAAUAUCUCCUCUUACAUCCAAACAUUGCACAAUCCACCUUGACUGGUGCUCUACAUGUUCAACAUUUUAUCAUUGUUAAUUAACCCAUAAAAAAUAUGAUGACACAAGGCAAUAGUUUCGCCCAUAACAAAAUUGUGAUCAUACUAUCAUCUUAACGGCUGACCGGGCAGCUAUUAGAUCUAAAAAUGCAAUAGAAAUUUAGAAUCGCAUGUCACUUGAGGAAACACGGUUUCUCUUCAAGUCAGUAGUCAGAAUUGGUGAUAUAUAUUUACUUAAAUUGUUGGUGUUUGUUAGAUCAUGAAAUGAUGUCGGUAUCCCAUUACGCUGAGAGGAUGUCAUAUGCAGCUGUGAAUCAACACCGGACACAAAGCAUCACCUUUCAAAUACAUUAAUAAAUAAUAAUAAAAUUCCAAGACGCUUUAGAAUUUUUAUUCAUCAUCCUACACUAUUCUUGUCCUAUAUUGGUAUCAGUUUAUUACGAUAACUACAGAAGCCCAAAGAAAAAUGCAGUAUAUUCAACCCAGUUUGCGUACAUCAAUUAGUAGAGACAUAUGAUGUGAUGUUGCAGUUUGCAUUAAUAAGAAGGCGGCAUUCAUUAAUACCAAAAGCAUUUGGUGAAAGUACAGUUUACCUGCAGAACAGGAUCAAACGUACAAAACAGCAGCAGGAGUUCAAUUCAAACAUAUAUGCAGACAUGCGUACAGUAUGUACUAAAUAACAAAAUUAGGCCCUUGCAAAGCUGAGAUGUCAAUACAUGCGAGAAGUACACCACACCAACCCGAGUACUGUAGAAAACAUUUGCUAAGUGCUCCCACAAAUCGAGCACAGAUCAUAACUUAUAAUUAAAAGAUAUAUAUGUGCGUGCUCUCAGUGGGCACCUCGCUGCUAUGGUCAGUUACUUGAGAUUGUGGAAGCCCGCGCCGGCCCGAAUGGAAAUCUUGCUCGGCGUAUAGCUCUCGUCCAGCUUGAAACGCAUGUAGAGUGCAACAAGCGGGCCCCAACAAAAAAUUUAGAACCGAAAAAGAAUCAUGUAUCUGAUGUGGAUGGCGAGUCGUCGACGGCCUGAUCUUUCAUGGUACUAGCAGCAGGAACAAGAAAUUCCGGUCGAGCAAAGAUGCAAGACCGUAAGAUCAGAAACUUGUGUCGAGUAGAUUGGAUCGACUCCACACGCAACAACAAAAAAAUCCCUUCGGAUCAGCAACAAAGAUAUUUGGUGUCCCCCGACAUGGGACGUUUUCUGUAGUUUUAUUGAACUCACGACUAAAACAAAAAAUCUGACCUGAUACAUCGGCCGUAGCCAGCCUUUUAUAUAGGCGUCACACAGCCAAACCGACCAACGAGAGAAACUAAAACGACACGGACUCUAUAUCAACUAAUCUCUGUUAUAUAUAUAGGAAUCUCUCUCCUAACUACUAAAUAAUACUUUCUUAAUAAAAUAAUACGGCUACGCUGAUCACGUACAUCUAACCCAACUUAACUAGGACUCUUAGCAAAGUGGAACCCCAGUUGGAAUUUCUCCAGCCAGGUUACAACUACACGGUGGUGUUCUGAAGUUUGGCUUGAUGUCUUCCUUCCAUGAUUCAGCUGAGUGAAUUUGAAUACCAACAGAGUCAAUAUAAAGUAUACACGAAGUCUGUGUAGAUACAUGCAUUGGAGUUUUCAAUUCCUUUGCACUGGUACUAUUGUGUUUCUCCGUAUCUUGAACAUAUGGCACGACCUUGGACAUCUCCAUGGUGUUUCUCUCUUUUCUAGUAGCUAUAACACCAAUGACCACAUCAUCCCUUCCUCCUUUAAGAAAAACCGUCCUUGGUUUCAAUGUAUUCUUCUCAAUUUUCUUCUGCAACGAAACAGUGGCAUCAACCUGGAUUGUGCUAUCAAACAUUGGCUGCAACACAUGCCGCUUUCCGGCCUCCCAAAAAGAAUAAGUUUUGGACCUCCCCUCAUGUGUGGCACGUCGAUCAUAUUGCCAAGGCCUCCCCAACAACAAGUGGCAUGCAUUCGUUGGCAAAACAUCACAUAUCACCGUAUCAAUAUAAUCGCCCAUAGAAAAAUGAAGACGCACCUUGUGAGUAACUUUCAACUUGCCCGAUUGAUAUAACCAUUCGAUGCAGUGUGGUUGUGGGUGCUUCCAAGUAGGCAAUGCUAAGGCAUCCACCAAGUCCUUGCUGAUCGCAUUGGUGUAGCUUCCUCCAUCUAUGAUCAACUUACAAUUGGUGUUUUUGAUUUGGCAUUGAGUUUGAAAAAUAUUCCAACGUUGCCCUUUAUCCUCAAUGCGAUCCUCUUGCACUCGCUGCACCAUUAGUGAAGGAUAUGACUCAGCAGCUUCAAAACUCGCAACCACAUUGUUAGCAUCCCUAGAUUUUUCACUAGAAGUGUCAGAAACUGCCUCUUCAUCACUAGCGGAUGCAUAGCCAUCUCGCGUGAGCAACACUCUUUUGUCAUUAGGACAUUCACGCUUCAUAUGUCCCCUUCCUCCACACUUGAAACACUCUAUGUCACUAGUGCGUCCGGUCGACUGUGCACUAGAAUCAACCAUCGACAGUCCUGAUUUUGAAGCAUCCUUUUGCACGGAACCAUGAGAGCGAUUUGAUGAUGUCGCCCUGGAGCUAGGACCGACAUCCUUAUUCUUAUGCUGCGAGCGUCGCCAUGUGUUCAAAGUGGUACCGGGAACUGUGUUGACUUGGCGUCGCUUAAUCUGUUGUUCUGCACACACAGCUUGGUGCACAAGAUCUUGUAUGUUGUAGUAGACAACCAUCUCAACACGAUCUUACACCUCGAUAUUCAGCCCGUUAAAGAAACGUGCCAUGGUCGCCUCUGGAUCCUCCGUUGUCCCUGUACGUAUCAUAAGCAAUUCCAUCUCCUUGUAAUAUUCAUCAACACUCAUAUUACCUUGAGAGAGCCGCUGCAACUUGUUGUACAUAUCUCUUUUAUAAUGUUCAGGAACAAAACGACGCCUCAUGAAUUCUUUCAUACCUCGCCAAGUCGUCGGGCGAUGUCUUGAACGACAAAUUUGAUUCCACCAAAUUAGCGCAUAACUGGUGAACUCAAUUCCAGCAAGUUGAACUUUCUUCUCCUUGCUAUAAUGAUGGGCAUCAAAUAUUUGAUCAACACGCAUCUCCCACUCCAAAUAGCCUUCUGGUUCGCACUUGCCGGAGAACGAAGGGAUUGAAAUUUUUAUGCGCCCAACUCCAUCAUCCAAAGGCACACGCACAGCUUGACCAACUCGGUCAUGCACUCCACCAUGAACGGAAGUUUCAGGACGAGGCUCAUAGUGUCGUGGUCGUGGCGUGUAUCCUGCCUGGUCAACGCCAUCAUCGAAACCAUCCUCUCCAGCAUGAGCGUGUGCCACCAAACGGCGAUCAUGCACGCUGGCAUGUCCGUCGCGAGCUGGUGGUGCAUAAUGCAGUGGAGCAGCCGGAGCAGUCUGUGAUGGUGCAUAAUUCGUUGCCGGCAUAUUGAUGAUGUCUGUCAAACCAUCGAACCGAGUGAUCAGGACAUCUAUCCUUUUGCCGAGCGCAUCAUGACAUUGCUUGAUGUAGUUGCAUCUGUGGUCAAACCCAUCCCGAAUAUUUUAUGGAAUACCAUCCGCAUACACCGGACAUACUAUUUCCUCAGAAUCAGCAGCAACCUCAUCACCCUUGUUGACCGAGGUUGACAUCUUGAUCAACACAGUACCAUGAACAACCUUAGCUCUGAAUACCACUUGAUGUGGACUCGACUAGAUGGCGAGUCGUCGACGGCCUGAUCUUUCACGGUACUAGCAGCAGGAACAAGAAAUUCCGGUCGAGCAAAGAUGAAAGACCGUAAGAUCAGAAACUUGUGUCGAGUAGAUUGGAUCGACUCCACACGCAGCAGCAACAAAAUCCCUUCGGAUCAGCAACAAAGAUAUUUGGUGUCCCCAGACAUGGGACGUUUUCUGUAGUUUUAUUGAACUCACGACUAAAACAAAAAUCUGACCUGAUACAUGGGCCGUAGCCAGCCUUUUAUAUAGGCGUCACACAGCCAAACCGACCGACGAGAGAAACUAAAACGACACGGACUCUAUAUCAACUAAUCUCUAUUAUACGUAUAGGAAUCUCUCUCCUAACCAUACUAAAUAAUACUUUCCUAAUAAAAUAAUACGGCUACGCUGAUCACGUACAUCUAACCCAACUUAACUAGGACUCUUAGCAAAGUGGAACCCCAGUUGGAAUUUCUCCAGCCAGGUUACAACUACACGGUGGUGUUCUGAAGUUUGGCUUGAUGUCUUCCUUCCAUGAUUCAGCUGAGUGAAUUUGAAUACCAACAGAGCCAAUAUAAAGUAUACACGAAGUCUGUGUAGAUGCAUGCGUUGGAGCUUUCAAUUCCUUUGCACUGGUGCUAUUGUGUUUCUCCGUAUCUUGAACAUAUGGCACGACCCUGGACAUCUCCAUGGUGUUUCUCUCUUUUCUAGUAGCUAUAACACCAAUGACCACAUCAGUAUCUAGAAGAUUAGAUCCGUGUAUGCUAUGGUUGUCCUCAGCUGGCUCUUCUGGGACCACUUCGCAUGCCAUGCACAUAUAUACAUGCGGCAUGAGGAAAUCAAGAUCCAUUGUAAGUCUAAAAGCAUGCCCAGAUUCAACUGAAGGUUACAUAUUAACCGAAACAAACGUGAUGUUAGAACUCAGGAAUCUCUCUCUCUCUCUCUCUCUCUUGUUCUCUCUCUCUUGCUCUCUCUCUCUCUCUCUCUCGCUCUGUCACUACUCCAUGGAACAAGCGCCACUGUGUACGAUUAAAUUCGAUCAGUCUACUUGCAAAUCGGUCAGAGUCACCUAUGUAUUCAAGUAGGAGUAUUUAGCAAAUAUUAUUCGAUACGAGUUGCUUCUAUAAACUUUUUUUUGGCACACAAAGCGGCAGAAUUAACCAUUCAGCUCAGUAGCAGUAUACAACAUGGAUUACAAAGCCCUGAAAAUCAAAAUUAGAGAGGAGAGAUACUACAGGGCGAGCAAUAUUCCUAUGAGCCGAAGCAUAACAGCAUAUAUCAGGCUCUUCAUGAGGUCUAAGAACCGGCUAAGCUACAUUGUGUGCAAUACCAUUGAUAUCUCUAGAAAUAUGGAACACCUGGGAAUGAAGAUCAGAUGAGAAGAAGAAAAAAAUCAGCCAACAUCCUCCUAAUGGCCCAAGGAACAGAAGCAUCAGUAGUCUUUCUAGUUGCUGCAAACGACGCCAAAAAAGACAGUCUGUGAGGAAAAGAGGCUGGGAAAUGUUGAGUCGGUUAGCCAGUUGAGCCGGAAAAUCCUAUUUGCCGCUCGCUGCGGCGAAUUGUCGAGUGAUCGCACAGAGCAGCGUAGCGAGCGACAGACAUGUGCCGGCCCACUUAUACGUAGUGCGUCCAACCGGUUUUGGGAACCUUCUAGAAGGUUCCAUGAACCGGGUUUUUUACUGUAUCCUUUUUUUCUUGUUCUUUUUCGGCUUUCUAUUGUUUUCUUAUUUCUCUUUUUUUGUUUCUGUUUCUUUUUCAUUUUUUCAUUUUUUUUCAUUUUUUACAUUUUUUGUUUCUUUUUCUUUUUCAGAACAUGUUCGCAGUUUUACAAAAUAUUUAGGAUUUUAUUUUUCAUUUCUUGUUUCUUUCCUUCUCUUUUUUUCAUAAAAAACAAAAAAAAGUAAAUUUUGUUUGUGUUUCCAAAAAAUGUUCAGUUUCUGAAAAAAAAGUUCUCAAAAUUCAAAAAUUGUUCUCGUUACACAAAAAAGUUAAAACUUUCAUAAUUCAGAAUAUGUACCAGAUUUCAUUUUUUCACAUAUUUAAAAAAAAUUGCGCUUCCAAAUUUGUUCUUCAUUUUUCAAAAUUGUUCUCCGUUUCAAAAUAUGUUCUCAAGAUUCCAAAAAAGUUUGUGCCUUAAAAAAUUAUUCGUACUUCCAAAUUUGUUCAGUAUUUUUCAAAAUUGUUCUCUGUUUGAAAUUUUGUUCUCAAGAUUCAAAAAAUGUUCAUGCUUCAAAAUUUGUUCUCAAGAUUCAAAAACCGUCGUGCUUUAAUAAAUUGUUCACAAAUUCCAAAAAUGUUCAUGUUUUCAAAAAAUGUUUGGGUAAUUCAAAAUUUGUUUGUUUUCUUAAAUAUGUUCACAUAUUCGAAAAAUGUUCAUGUUGUAAAAAUUUCACAAAUUCAAAAAAUUGUUCUCAGUAUUUGGAAAUUUAGUUCUCAAAUUGGAAAAGUGUUGAACGUUCGAAAAAUGUUCAGGAAUUUCAUAAAAUGUUCACAGUUUACAAAUUAGGUUAUAAAUUUUAAACAUAAUCAAGAAUUUUAAAAAAUGUUCGCGGUUUCACUUUUUUGUUUGGAAUUACAUAAAAUAUUUCAUUUUUAUAUUUUUUCACGAUUCAAAAAAUGUUCAAGGUUUCAAAUUUUUGUUCGGACUACAAAAUUUAUCCACAUUUUUUCACAAAACUCUUUCUAUGUCCGUGUUACUUUUUUUGUUCUCUUUUCUUUUUAAUUAUCUUUCAGUUUUCCUUUCCACAAUUAUUUCUUUUGUUAACAAUUUUUAUGGGAUUUGAAAAUGUUCGUAUUUCUUUAAAUUUGUUCAUUUUUCCAGAUUUUGGUCCGGUUUUAAAAUUAUCAUCAGAAAUUCCAAAAAAGAUUAGUACUUCAAAAUUUGUUCAGUUCUUUUCAAAACGUGUUCGAAAAUACAAAAAAGAUUAAAUUUUGAAAAUGUUUGCAUUUUUUAAUUUUGUACACAAAUCCAAGAAAUGUUUGCGGAUUUCAAAAUAUGAUCUUGUUUUCAAAACUGUUCACAAAUGGAAAAAUGUUCAUGUUUCCAAAUUUGUUCGCAUAUCAAAACAUGUUCUCUUAAUUAUAUAAAAAAAUCGAAAAUUGUUCUCGUCUUGCAAAAAAUGUCCAUUUUUUAGAAUAAUGUGCACAUUUUUUUCGAAAGUGUUCCUGUUUUCCAAAAAUUUCACAAACCCAAAUUUUUUAAAGUUUUCAUAUUUUUACCGCAAAAUAAAAAAUGUUUGGGAGAAUUUUGUAAGAUAUUUGCGUUAAAUAUUCAUAAUUUCGGAAAAAAUUAGAGUUUUUCAAUUUUUGGUCCUGUUUUUAAAAAAUGUUCGCAUUUUGAAAAAGUUGUUCGUGGUUUCAAAAAAUGUUCUUGUUUUCUAUUUGUUCCUGUGUUUACAAAAAAUGUUUGAGAUUACCAAACAUAGUCUGUGAGCACAUUUUGAAAAUGUUUGUUUUCGUAAGUAUAUUUGCUUUUGUGAAAAAGAAAAGAGAGAAUUCCUUAUUUGGACCUUUGUUAAAUUUUGCUUUCUUUUUUGGCCCAAAAAACAUUUUUCUUCCUUUUUUGACACUCAAAGUUCAUUUUGUUCCCUAUGUGACACAUCCAUCCAUUUUUUCAUCCAAGGGUGUUAAAUGGCAUGUAGAAAGACAGUUUUGCCCCUGAUGAUAUUAUGAACAGAAAAGAGGAAAAGAAGGGGUGUGAACGACCAAAAAAAUAUAUGAGGCGGAAUCUACACUCCUGCCUCUUUUCCUCCUCACCGCGGCUCGGGCGCUAAGCCGAGUGUUUUCUGGCCGUAUGAAGUGUGCACAUAGGUAGAUGUACGAAAGCUAACUUCCUAAGCAGACAGGCAUGCACCUUGAUUAAUUCCAGAGCACACGUAAAACUAGCUAGCUUGGCACUAGCCAAUGACACGCACGUCAGGGCAGCUAGUAAGGGCAAAGCCGAUGGGUUGUUAGAUGGACAAUGGCAUGAGCGUGUGUAGCAAUUUAAUCGUGUAUAUAUGGGUAGUGACUCGAUUCAUGUAAGUAGUUUAGAUAAUUAUUUGGACUCGAUGGACACAUUUUUCGGAACGAGUCAAUGUGCUCUUGGCUUCUUGCAAAUUGCAAUUAACGCAAUGGCAUGAGCGUGUGCAGCAAUUGAGGCACGAACACAGCUCAGCCACAUCACCUGUUGAUAUGUCACGGUCUAAUCUAUCGCCUGUAAUAUUAAUCUCUACAAAUUUAUAUGCUACAGUAGAGCAUGAAUGGGUUGUCAUUGUUCCACUCAUCAUAUUAUUUAUUUAUCCCCCGCAAAAAAAAGAUUCAUCGUGUAAUAAUGUUUUUUAUUUAACCACGACAAAAUAUAUCACAUUACCUCUGCGUUUGCUCAUAAAUAAUCUGGUCACAUACUAUACUAGGGGUACAACGGUCUUCUUAGGUCAGACUUAACACCGUUACUAGACAAAACUAAUGGAAGUGUCACAUAGGCACAAAAUGAAGUUUGAGUGUCAAAAAAGGAAGAACAAAAAAAUUAAGGCCAAAAAGGAAAGCAGAUUUUAAGAAAGAGCCAAAUAAAAAAUUCUUUCAAAAGAAAACCAUGUUCGAUAUUUUUAAAAAAGUUUAUUUUUUUCGCGUAAACUUCAUGUGAAAUGAGCUGGCAUUUUGGACAAAGAAGUCUAUGAACACGGUUGGUAGCGAUGUUGGUUCACUCACUUGAGGUCAUGUAAUCGAUCCCACAAACGUACAUUUUUUGAAAAAAUUACGAACUGCUCUUUGUACUAUACUAGGAAACAUGCCCGUGUGUUGCUACGGGGUAAAGGGGCAGUGGUUGGAGAGAGAGGGGUGCAUGGAGAACUUUGGUCGAGUGCAUUUUUUUUCUCAACUUUGAAGCACAUUCUCCAAAAGUUCAGUUACUAAUUCAAAGAAUUUUUAAAGUAAGAGCGCACAUGAUGUUUUUUGUUUGAUUUUCAAUACCACAUUGUACAUUAGACCGUCCAUAUAUAGUGACAAUGCAUAUCUGACCUGCAAAUUAAUCGUCACGUUGACAAUCAAAAAAUCAUACACGCAACACUUAUGUUGAGUUACUAAUAUCACACAAUAAAAAAUGUCGUAUACUUCGCCUAGCAUCUAAGAAUGUUGUGUGCGUGCUACCAUCAAGUCCUUUUGGUAUAUAGGAUUCUCCAUCGUAAUUGAAUCUUUGUUUAAUAUGUUGCGCCCCAACCCACGGAUAUCUGUAAUCUGCUCUAUUUUAGCUUUCUUUUGUUGUGAUUGCAUAUUUAUGUAUUUCUGCCUUUCUCAUGCGCACUUUUUUUAUCUUCUGUGUUGGCUCCAUGUUUGCAUAUUUCUUCUUCCCUUGUUCUUGGGCCGAAUCUUUUAUUCUUUUGUUGGUUGAUAGGCUUCAUGAUGCUUUUUCAGUUUUUUCUGUUGUUCUUCACUGGUCAUUUAGCAUUAGUUUUUUCUGUUGUUCUUCACUGGUCAUUCGUAAAUACGGAUCUCUAUCUUAUUUUUUCCCUCUUUGUUCCUUGGCAUCCAUGACUCGAGAUUGCCAUACAAAUUUCUUGCGUACAUGAGAUUUUUGUAUACUAUAUGAAGUUGUUGUUGAUUAAAUCACGAAUAUAAAAUUUGCAUCAUAAAUAGAGCAUAUGUAGCUACGUAUAAAUAAAUCUAAUUACACCUGGACAUAAGCAUGAGAAUAUAUGUGUUGUUUGCAUGCUCAUGUUUUUCCUUGAAAAGCAAUUUAGAAAGCAGAAAAAUAAUAUUAAAGUAAGAGCAUUGAUUCACCAUGUUUUUCGUCCGACUUAAGUAUGACAUUGUAAAUCAUUCUGUCGAUACCUAUUGACAAAGCAUAUACCACACUGAUAGAUUAACCAUUGCACUGACUUCACAAAAUAAAAAUGUCGUAUAUGCAACACUUGAAAAGUAAUUUUUUCUGGAUGCAAUUGCUCUUGUUUCUUCAUAGCAUCAAUGUUUGGGUCAAAAUAAGUGGUUGUCUCGUUCCUUCGUACCACCUUCAACAUAAUCAUCUUCAAGGACUUCUCUCAAGAAAACAACUUCUCCAGGGACAUCAAGCAUGACAUCUUCUUCCUGAUCUAAAAGAAAAACUUUAUUGACAACAAUUAAAGACUUUGUGGCCAUGAUAUGUAAAUGCCUAUGUUUUGCGCUGAUGAUUUAUUAUGCACUCGUAUAAACUAGAAUCAGCAGCGCCCGAAGAUAAUUUAUGUAUUUACUUCAUUCGGCGUCCAGACAUAUGUGUUUUCGCCGCGUGUGUCCUGACCUAUUUAGUGAGUCAAAACCACAAACAGAUGCAAAUCUUCCUUCAAGAAGAAGAAAAAAUAAAACCAAACCCGGCAUGUGUAUGUGAUUCAGAGAAGGCGACUGAUAGGCGCCGGUCGACCGGCCGAAAGCCUGCGCCGGUCACCUACCGGCCGUUCGAUUCACCCCAUCCCGCACCGUUGAUUUUCCUUCUUCUCCUUUCUCAGCCUGGUCAACGCAUCCCUUCCCUACACCAGCUAGUCAACGCGCAGCUCUUACAUCGGGGGCUCCUCGUGAGGCACGGCGGCCGCAUUCAUCGGCGUCGAGCCAGUCGCCCUUCGGAAGCACCCACAUUUCUGUAGCUUCUCGCUUGCCACUGUCGGCUGCAACAUAGGGCGUAGUCACCACCGCCCGCCAAUCCAGCAAAAAAUGGCCGGUUCAUCCCCGCCGUCGCCGCCAACACACCGGCCGUCGAGCAGAUGCAGCAUCACGCGUCGCCGCCGCAUCACGGCUCACAUACCCCCUCUCGUCGGGCUGCAGGAAACCAAGGCGCAGGUCCUAGCAUCCUUGCCGCGCCCGCCGCCUCCGUUGUAGCUCCUGGAGUUGCUGGUGUUGGUAUUGAUCUAGAGGCCCAAUGGGCCAAAAUAAAAAUAAAAGACCAGAAAUAAAGUUACGUUAAAGAGAGAAACAGGGAGGCCACGAACCAACGUUCGUACCCCUCGAUCUCAACUUACGCGCCCUAAUCGGGGGCACCCUAACCAACUAUGGUUUUGGUCCCCUGUCGCCAGCGCACAUAAAAAGAUGGGGGAGCAGCCGGCACCUACGUCAGACUAGUUCUCGUACGGUUUACUCCUACUCCCCACAUCCCUAAACCCUAACCGAUCUGGGGGAGCGUUGCAUGACGGGAAGAUCAUCUCCAAGCUCUGCCCCUGUCCCUGGGCAGUGCCGGUGGCGCCCGGAGGGACGCCUCUACCUGCAGCGAGCAUCUUCACCGAGCCUGCAUCAAGCCUGCAUCGAGCAGGCACGGGACUUCGCACCGUCGACACCAAUGGCUGCUUCCAUUGGUGGUAAGAACCUAAUCCAUCUCUCUGAUCUGUGCUAUUAGGUGAUCUAACGCCUGGCUUACGAUCUGUUAAGUAUAUCCUACGGGAUGAUAAGUUUAACAAUGGUAUCUUGAGCAUGGUUAAGCCUAGAUUAGAUCCCUAAGAUGAUCUGCUUAAGUUUGAUGAUCCUGAUUACGUACUAAUGAUUAAGGUUUAAGUCUAAUGGUUCAUGAAUAAGGUUAGAUUGCCCUCUGUUGAAGUUGAUGUUUGAUCUCUAGGGUUAUGUGUUUCGGUCAAAGUCUCAUUUGGCUAUGGGUCAGUGCUAAUUAUCCAGUGAUUAUGAUAAAUCAUGUUCUGCUAGUUUGAUUUGCCACGUUUCCGCAUCAAUAUUGUUAAUUAGCACUGGUUUUAGUUCCUGUUAGCAAUUAGAACAUGAUGAAUUGGCUAAGUUAAAGUCAGCCGAACCCUAACUCUAGAAAAUCCCCAAAUUUGAAACCCUAGUUUUCCUUUUGUGAAAUCCUCCAUUGGUGAGUCCAAAUGAUGAAUGAAAUUGGAAGAAGAGAAAAGAUGACGGGCACACCCAGAUGACGCCGGCUUUCUGGGUCCGCACGGCCGCCGCUGUGCGUGCACGUCAUGGCCAGGACGCCGCAGCCCUUCAGGAUGGCGCGCGGAAUGAAGUAGCAGUCGCCGCUGGUGCGCUCACGCACGCGCGCGUCGCUUGGCCUCUGUGCCUCGGACGUCGUCGGCCGCCGCCAAAAGCUUGCGGCGGCAGCCGCCGGCGAAAUGCCCCACCGCUGCGUCGUCGCGUCACCGGAGCUACGCUCGACGGAGGAGCGCACGGGACAAAGUCCAUUUGCACGCUGCUCCGGCGAGCGAAGCUACCGCGUCGCCAUGUCCGGUGUGCCUCACGCCGCCGUGACCUCAUGUGCGGGCGCAUCUCGUCGUCGCCGCCGCAGUCGCUCUCUCUCACGGGAGCGAGUGAUUCGGGAGGAAUGGGGAUUAGGUCUAGGGUUUGACCAGGCAGUGUUUUGCUCCACUCCGGAGCGAUCGGAGCCGUCGGCUCGAUCCAACGGACAAGCCCAACGCGCUGCUCCAGACGGGCCGUCGGCCGAUGAACGGGCCGCUUUUGCGGCUGGGCUUUGGCCCAAGUUGCCAUAGCCCGCAGACAAAGAUUUUAUUUAAUAUUUUUUUGUUUGUUGGGCUAGAAUUUGAAGAGCUGCCGUGGGUCUUGGGCUAAAAAUUAAAGUUUCUAUGCGUUUUCUAUUUAAUCAGUGUAUUUCCGUAUUAUGAUUAUUCCCAAAAUGUUCUUGCACUGUUGUAAAUAGAAAAUUGCCAGAAAAAAAUGAUUAUGAAAAUUAUGUUUUAGUUUUCUGAAUGAAAUGGAACCAACGAGAAAUUUUAUUUAGAAAACUUUUAUGGAUUAAUGUUUGUGUCAUUUUAUGGUAUAUUUAUGUUCAUCUCAUGGUAACAUCAAUGAAUGAUGAAUUAUUAAUGUUGGAAAAUUGAUAUUACACAUGAGAUUAAUGUGAUCAUUUUUGUAAUACAGACCAACGUUGUUUUACAUUUUUGAAUCACUCUGUUAAUUCCUUAUUAUUUUCUGCCCAACAGUGAUAUAAUUUGGAGUUAAUUUUUGCAUAAAAAUUUAUCAAACCAACGUAGGUUAAUUUUUGUGCAAUUUAAUUCAAUUAUGAUGUUCUUUUCCUUUACUUAUGAUAUUUUGAAAUCAUGACAGCUUCUGGUUCUCGUGGCCUCGAGAUCGAGCAACUUACUGGGAAUAACAUCCAAUCAUGGAAGGACUCGUUGCUUUUGCACCUCGGAUGGCAUGAGGUUGACCUCGCACUGAGGGAAAGUAAACCAGUGGAACCUGCAAAGGGUGCCACCGGGUAUGCUGAGCUUAAGAAAGACUAUGAUGCUAAAGUUGAGCAGUGGAGAGGUCAAACAGAAUGGCGCUCCUAAUUAUGAACUUCUCCAUCUCGACUUAGAUUAAAGGGGCUAUUCCUGCCAAUGAAAGUGCCGCCGAAUAUUUGAAAUCGGUGGAAGAACAAUUUAAGGGCUCGGAGAAAGUGUAUGCAGAUGAGCUUUUGCACAAGCUGCUUGCAAAAUAUGACGGGCGUGGAAAUGUGAGGGAGCACAUCUUAAGUAUGAGCAAUGCUGCGGCAAAGCUUAAAACCAUGAAGUGUGACUUGAACGAAGAGCUUCUUGUGCUCCUAGUUUUUAGGUCACUACCCUCACAAUUCAAUCCAUUCAAGAUAAACUAUAACUCUCUUGAAACCAAAUGGAAACUAUCUGAACUCAUUGCACAUUGCGUUCAGGAGGAAGAGAGAAUGAAGAGUGAGCAGAAAGAUCAAGCUCUCCAUGUUAACUCUGCAAAGAGGAAGCAUGAGAACCAUGCUCAUAACAAUAAUGUGCCCAACAAAAAGCAGUAUUCCAAAAAGAAUCCUCCAAAGCCUAAGCAAUGCAACGAGGCAAGUUGUUCACGUCCCGCACCUUCAGCGGCUACUUCAGUUAAUCUUACAAAUGCCGCUGGAGAAAGACUUUGCAAUUUUUGCAAGCAGCCAAAUCAUUUCAAGGCGGACUGUCCAGGUUUUCUUAAGUGGCUGAAUAAAAAUGGUAAGGAUGAGAUCACUCUUGUAGAUGAAUCUCUAUAUGUUGAUUUUUCUGAAUCUACAUGGUGGAUUGACUCAGGUGCGACUGUUCAUGUCGCGAAUUCUUUGCAGGGAUUCCAUAUAAGCCACACCCUAAAGGGAACAAGAAGACUUAAUCUCGCGAAUGGGAAGGAGGCUGAAGUUGAAGCCGUGGGCUCCCUCACCUUGAAGUUGCACACUGGUUUCCUACUUCAGCUCAAGGACGUUCUUUAUGUGCCUACUUUGAGUAGGAAUUUGAUUUCAGUUUCAUGUUUAGAUGAUUUUGGAUUUCAUUGUACCUUUGGGGAGAAACAAUGUUUUUUAAAGUAUUGUAAUAAGGAUGUUGGUCUCGCCGUCCGACGAGGCAAACUUUAUAUCUUAAAUCUUUCCGGUUAUCCUAUGUAUGUGAAUCUCUGCGAAAUGAAUAUGAAUGAACGCAAUCAUAAAAAGAAUGGGAGAAGUAUCAAUCCUUCUUCGAAAUUGUGGCAUCGUCGCUUGGGCCACAUUUCGAGGGGGAGAAUGGAACGAUUGAUUAAAGAAGAAAUACUUCAUCCGCUAGAUUUCUCUGAUGCGGGCAAUUGUAUUGACUGUAUUAAGGGAAAAUAUGUGAAAACAAUUAAGAAAGGAGCAGUUAGAGCCCGGUCCUUGAACUUAUUCAUACUGACAUAUGCGGACCUUUUAACGUAAAGUCUAUGGAUGGUUUUGAUUCUUUCAUUACCUUCACAGAUGAUUUCUCUCGCUAUGGCUACAUUUACCCCAUACGUGAUCGAUCCGAAGCUUUGGACAAAUUUAAGAUUUAUAAAGCCGAGGUUGAAAAUCAACUCAACCUAAAGAUCAAAGUAGUACGGUCUGACCGCGGGGGAGAAUAUUAUGGCAGGCAUGCUCCUUAUGGGCAAAUUCCAGGACCGUUCGCAAAAUAUCUUGCUGAAAAUGGAAUAAUUGCCCAAUAUUCAAUGCCUGGUGAACCUCAGCAAAAUGGCGUAGCUGAGCGUCGCAACCGCACUCUUAUGCAUAUGGUACGUAGCAUGCUUAGUCAUGCGAACUUACCAGUAAGCCUUUGGAUGGAGGCAUUGAAAAAAGCUACACACAUCCUAAAUCUUGCUCCAACUAAGUCAGCACCGAGCACACCUUACGAGAUGUGGGCGGGAAAGAAACCGAGCUUGAAUUACUUACGAGUGUGGGGCUGCCCAGCUGAAGCUAAAGUAUUCAAUCCACAUAUUAAGAAAUUGGACCCAAAGACAGUUAGUUGUUUUUUCAUUGGGUAUCCUCAUAGAGGAAAAGGAUAUCGCUUUUAUUGCCCAGGUCAUACCACCAAGUUAGUGGAAACCAGGCAAGCGGUGUUUUUUAAGGAUAAUGAAGUCACUGAGGUUAGGGCGAUUGAUCUUGAGGAGAAGCGGGUGUACGUUCCAUCCCCGACUAUCCAACAGAACUUUAUCCCUAUGCCUAAUAUGCACGAGACACCUACUGGUGAUCCCGAACCUGAAGUGGAUCCUCAAACCGACGAGGAGCCUCAGCAUAAUGAAGAUCCUCAGCCUGAUGAGGAUCCUCGGCCAAAUGAUGAGCCUCAACCCAAUGUUAAUCCUCAACCUUCUCGGGCAAGAGAAAAUGCACAUACUAAUGAGCCUACGAGAAGAUCACAACGGGAAAAGAAAAAGGCCAUCUCUAGCGAUUAUGUCACUUUCAUGUGUGAGGAUGAAAAUGACAUAGGGAAGGCACAAGAUCCGACCUCAUAUAAAGAAGCCACUAAAAGUGAAGACUCGUCCAAAUGGUUGGUAGCCAUGGAAGACGAAUUGAAAUCUAUGAGCUCAAAUGAUGUUUGGGACUUAGUAGAAGUUCCUUAUGGAGCCAAAAGGGUAGGCUGCAAGUGGGUCUACAAAACCAAAUAUGAUUCCAAAGGGAACGUCGAAAGGUUCAAAGCGAGACUUGUAGCAAAGGGUUUUACGCAGAGAGAAGGAAUCGAUUAUAAGGAGACCUUCUCGCCUGUGUCAUCCAAAGAUUCUUUCAGAAUUUUCAUGGCACUUGUAGCUCAUUAUGAUUUGAAGCUGCAUCAAAUGGAUGUCAAUACGACAUUUCUGAAUGGUGACUUAAAGAAGAAGUUUACAUGACUCAACCUGAAGGUUUUGUCGUGGAAGUAAAAGAACACAUGGCAUGUCGUUUAAAGAAAUCCAUAUAUGGCUUGAGGCAAGCUUCAAGGCAGUGGUACCUAAAGUUCGAGGAGAUUAUUAGAACUUUUGGUUUUAAAGAGAAUGAAGUGUACAACUGCAUAUAUGUUAAAUUUAAAGGCAGUAGGUUCACAUUUUUUGUCCUAUAUGUGGAUGAUAUUCUAUUGGCUUGCAGCGAUAAAGAUAUGCUGCAUGAGACCAAGAGAUUUCUGUCCUCAAAAUUUGACAUGAAGGAUCUCGGUGAAGCCUCGUAUGUCCUUAGCAUGGAGAUUCAUUGAGAUAGGUCCAAAGGAACAUUAGGACUAUCACAAAAGGCAUACUUUGAGAGAGUACUAAAGAAAUUCUAUAUGCAUAAGUGCUCUUCCUCACCUGCCCCCAUAGUUAAGGGCGAUAAGUUUGGGACAUUCUAAUGUCCGAGGAACCAAAAUGAAACUGAUCAGAUGAAGUUGGUUCCUUAUGCUUCAGCUGUCUGAAGCAUCAUGUAUGCUCAAGUAUGUACAUGCCCUGACUUAGCUUUUGUAACCGGGAUGCUUGGCAGAUUUCAAUCUAAUCCAGGACCGGACCGCUGGAAGGCCGCAAAGAAAGUCUUGCGUUGUAUGCAAGGUACUAAAAGUUUCACGCUUACAUAUAGAAAGUCCGAUAACCUGGAAGUUAUUGGUUAUUCAGACUCUGAUCUUGCCGGGUGUGUGGAUAGUAUGAAAUCCACGUCAGGUUAUAUAUUCACACUCGCUGGAGGAGCCAUAUCGUGGAAAAGCUCCAAGCAAAAGAUAGUUGCCUCAUCUACGAUGAUGGCAGAAUAUCUAUCAUGUUUUGAGGCCAUCGGGUAGGCUGUAUUCCUAAAGAAUUUCAUUCCCGGACUUAAAGUGGUUGACAGCAUUUCCAAACCACUGACAUUGUACUGUGAUAAUGAACCUGCAGUUUUCUAUGCCAAUAACAACAAGUCAAGUGCUGCUGCCAGGCACAUUGACCUAAAGUACCAUGUUGUUCAACAUAGAAUCCAGGAUCAAACUAUUAAUGUUAAGCAUAUCAGUACGACACGUAUGCUUGCAGAUCCGCUUACUAAAGGCUUACCACCCAAUAUAUUUCGUGAGCAUGUAGCCGGCAUGGGAUUAUUGGAAGCCUCUUGAUUCUGGAAUUAUGGGACCGCUAAUAUAAACCACUCCCAAUAAGUAAAAUGUGUUCCACUUUGAAAUAGGAUGCGCGCUAUGAGUAUUGAGGUUCAAUGGCUUUUCAUCGGCUAUUGUAACACCUUACUCUGGUAUAUUAUUCCUAUGGAGAAUGGACAAAAGUCAUUGAGCCUAACAAUCAAGGGGGAGAAUGUUGGUAUUGAUCUAGAGGCCCAAUGGUCCAAAACGAAAAUAAAAGACCAGAAAUAAAGUUACGUUAAAGAGAGAAACAGGGAGGCCACGAACCAACGUUCAUACCCCUCGAUCUCAACUUACGCGCCCUGAUCGGGGGCACCCUAACAAACUAUGGUUUUGGUCCCCUGUCGCCAACGCACAUAAAAAGAUGGGGGAGCAGCCGGCACCUAUGUCAGACUAGUUCUCAUACGGUUUACUCCCGCUCCCCACAUCCCUAAACCCUAACCGAUCUAGGGAGCGCUGCACGACGGGAAGAUCAUCUCCAAGCUCGGCCCCUGUCCCAGGGCAGUGUCGGUGGCGCCCGGAGGGACGCCGCUACCUGCAGCGAGCAUCUUCACCGAGCCUACAUCAAGCCUGCAUCGAGCAGGCACGGGACUUCGUACCGUCGACACCAAUGGCUGCUUCCAUUGGUGGUAAGAACCUAAUCCAUCUCUCUGAUCUGUGCUAUUAGGUGAUCUAACGCCUGGCUUACGAUCUGUUAAGUAUAUCCUAUGGGAUGAUAAGUUUAACAGCUGGUUCCAUCAAUUUCACUUGCCGGAUGCAGCAAAACAUGGCUCCAGUCCAGCAUCCUUACCGUGCCCGCCAAUCCCCUGUAGCUCCCGGAAAUGCCAGUUCCAACACGCUGAGAUGCUGGUUCCAGCAAAAAAGAUACACGGUUCCAGCAAUUUUCAUCGCCGUUGAAAAAUGCACGGGUCCCAACAAGCUGCCGUCGCGCGGCGUCGCAGCACACCGCGACACCAGUUCCAUCAAUGGAGGUCGACGGUUCCAGCAUUUUUCGUUGCCGGAUGUAGCUCACCAUGCGUGCCGUGGUAGCAAAUCGUCGUCGCCCGUCGUAGCAUUUUUUUGGCCGUUUCCAGCAGUGGAGGUCGUCGGUUCCAACAUUUUUCACCGCCGGUUGUAGCUCGCCAUCCGUGGCAUCGUAGCAUUUUUGCCCGCCCCGUCGUAGCUUUUUUCUUCGCCGUUUCCAGCAGUGGAAAACGCCGGUCCCAGCAUUUUUCGUCUCCGUGCAUGCCAUCUUCGUCACCUGAUGGCUCCACCACUCCAGCACGGCCGGUCGCCGCCGACACUGGCUGGCGAGGUGGCAGUCCAGGCUCACAGCAACCCCACUCCCCCCACCUCACGGCUGCCGCCGCAGCUCCGUAGUGCCGCAGCUCUAGCACGCUACCGCAGUUCCUCACUUCCCCUGAUGUGUGGUGGAGAAAAAACACAGAGAGAGGGGUAAGGUAGAGAUUGAGCGGCCGAGAAGAGGAUGGGAAUGAGGGAAGGAUAAGGUUGCCGCCGCUUUUCUCUUGGGGGCCCGCAAAAGGACGCGUGCAAAGGAGCCGAGCGUGGUUUGGGUCUCUUAGAUCAGGCCUAAUCUAACGAUCAGCGCCCAUCUGGCCGAAGUUUCAGCUGGUCUGCCGGUAGGGAACGUUUCCGUGCUAGGCGUCGGCACGCCGGCCCAAACACUCGGCCGGUCGCGUCCUAGCCACACGAUUAAUUUAUUCCAACCGUUUGAUUUGGCUAGUCUUUAGUCUAUCUCAGACCAGGGAGAUUUCCCACGUCACGCAACAUUUAGCGGAGAAAAAAGGAUAGAGAGAGCAGCGCCCCGCUCGUCCUCGGCCGCUCGUGUUUGCCGGCCUCCCACAGGCAACCUUGGCUGGUCACGGCGGCACACCACAACAGGUAGCCAUCGUCGUAGGUGCGAGGCCAUCGUCGUCCCGCGCUCGCCGGCUGCUAGUGCCACCUGUGCUCGCCCUUCCGCUGGUCGUGGCUGCGCAUCACAAAUAAGUCAUCGUCGUCAUGGGCGUGAGCGUGCCGUCGUCAUCGCGGCCAUGGAUGCAUCCGUCGCAGCACGAGGUCAUUGCCAUCCCUUCCAACUUCGUUGUGGUCGUCAUAGGUUCGUCAGGCACAGUUGUAGCAAACCCGGCGGCCCAUUGUAGCAUCCCGUGGUGCCUAUCUUAGCAUCUUUUUUGGUCGUCAGGUCUCCGUUGAUGAGUCGCCGGAAACGGUUGUAGCAAACCCGAUGGCUGGUUGCAGCUCCGCCAUGCCCAUUUGCAGCUUUUGCCAAUACGGUCAUAGCACGGUAAUCGCUGGUUGUACCUCUGUUGCCUUUGGUUGCAGCUUUCGCCAACACGAUCAUAGCACGUGUCGCCGCUGGUUGAAGCUCCGGCAGGGCACGAUUGUAGCAUGGGUUACCGCCGGUUACACGAGUCGUAGCAAGGGUCACCGUGGCUCUGCUGCAGCUUCCCAGACAAUCGUUUCCAGCACCUUAGAUUGGAGGUUGUAGCUUCUCACUCAGUCGGUUGCAGCUUCCCGGUCGCCGUGGCCCCGUUGCAGCUUCCCAGACGGUCGUUUCCAGCACCUCCGAUUGGGGGUUGUAGCUUUUCACCCAGUCGGUUCCAGCACCUCCGGCUGGGGGUUGCAGCUUUUAGCCCCGGCCAGUUGCUGCAUUUUGCGACGACCAAAGGACAGGGAAGAUGACUGCCAUGGCAGCGUGGAAAAUUGAGAGAGAUGGUGAGAGAGGUGCGGAGCAGAGACCUAUAGGAAGAAAAAUGGUGGUUAGAGAAAAAAGAGGAAGAAGAUAAGAAAACAACUAGCGAUGCAUGGGCCUCGAGCUAUUAGAUAAGGUUGAAUCCAACCAAUGUUGCUUUCAAAGCGUGGGUCCCGUGGGACCGCGUCUAGUUAGCCGCGGCCGGCCGAAAGUUUAGCUGGUGCGCCGGAUAGAAAUGUUUCCCUAAUCCUAUACGUGUCUUGUGUCUACUGUAGCCCGCUUGGGUGUCCCUCGUAAGGCCAACCAUAUCCAGCUGUAGACAAACCAGUCGUCUCGAGCGGGCGGCCUCUGUCGUCUGGCCCCAACCACCGCUGUUCUCAUCCUCCUCCUCGUCUCAGUCGCUCACUGAUGUCCCAUCUUUUUCUCCCCCAUCUCUUUGUCAAGCAGAGAGCUACUACCACGCAGCACACUCCCUUAAUGUCUGCCGCUGUUUCUAAGGCCCCCCGGAGCUUGAUCCAGAUCGGUAUCGAGGCCACCACUGAGCCGCCUCCCCUCCUCCGUCCUCCACGCGCGCGCGCUCAGCGCCCGAUCCACCCCUUCCCCAUCCUCGCACAUGUUGCCCUGCUUUCUCCUUCUUCCUCUAAGUUCUUUCUUUUCCUUGGCAGGGAGCAUGCAGGGAGCCUCGUGGCCGCUACCACAACCGGAUGUCCUCGCGUCGUCGCCGCCUCCGAGUUUGUCGGCCGCUGGCGCCCGUCCUCCCCUUUAUUUUGUAUUAGCAAGUUUUGCCACCUGAAUCAAUUGUAAAUUGGGAUUUUUCAUGGAAGCAUCUGAUGAUUCGGUUUGUAAUCUCCUAUUAUUGGAGAGUUUACUUGUUCCUUGAAUCCCUCUUUUCACUUGCAG